RNAcentral lists this long non-coding RNA (189453 nucleotides) under Populus tremula. RNAcentral describes it as "long non-coding RNA (PTRE_LNC000792)". The stretch from base 102755 to 102912 matches the Rfam family "MIR2912 microRNA precursor family". The record is from RNAcentral. Lineage: Eukaryota; Viridiplantae; Streptophyta; Magnoliopsida; Malpighiales; Salicaceae.
CCUGUUUGAGUAUGUACCUAACCACACUGCAAUUUCCAUAUUUGGCCGCUACAUGAAGAAUGUUCUGCCCUUUCUUAUUGAGGAAUUCUUUUGGAUAUGGGAAUUUAUCAAGAAAUUCCUUCACUACAUCUACAGAGUGACGUUUGCAUGCUACAUGGAUAGGAUAGUCGCCUUCAAGGUUUGUUUCAUAAGCAUCAUCGUGAAAAUUCGUUAAUAGGAAUCGAACUCCUUCCAGAAAACCUAUGGAUGAUGCAUAAUGCAGUGAAUUUCCAAACUCUUCCUCGGUGAGACGUAAUAGCUCUGGCUUUUCAUUUCCAAUUUUCUCCAAAAUAUCUGAAAAUCAAAAGAAAAUGUUCCAAAUGAAUAUAAAGAUGAUAGCUUUGCAACAAUUGUUUGUAUGUAAUUCAUUUUCUAGUGAGUGAUGAAACUGUGAUCACCUCUGUUACGUUGCUUGAUGGCAGCAUGAACAGGUGACUUUCCUUUUGGCAGGGCAUCACCAUCUUCACUUUUUAUAGGGAACGAAACUCUCAAAUGCAAGAGAUCAUCAAGUAUCUCUUUCUUAUUGCCGUUCUCAACUGCCAGAUAUAAAGGAGACUUGCCAUUCUUGUUGUUGUAAUAGGCCACUUCUGGAUCUCUGGAAACUAGGAGUUGGGCAACUUCUUUGUUAUCGGCGAUCACUGCAUCAUGCAAAGGAGUGUUUCCCUUUGUAUUUUUCUUCAUGAUCAACUUCUUUGUUAUCGGAUUUGAUUCCACAAGAGAUAUAAUUGCAUGACUGGCGUUUCCUUCUCUGGCAGCAAGAUGAAGGAUUGUGUCCUUCUGGCUGUUUUGAAUGGUGAUUAGAGAAGGAAACGUUCCAGCCAGAUAAGAUGUAAUAUUGUCACUUCCAUAGCUUACAGCUACGUGAAGUAGUGUAUUCCCGCAGGGUGUCACUAGCUUCUCCGCUGAACGUUGCUGGACAAGCCUUCUAAAUUCCCCAGUAUUUAUGUUCUGCCUCACAAACUCAUGCAACUGACUAUCUAUCAUUGCAUUUGCCAUGUGAUCUCUCGGAAUCGAGUUUUCAUCAAUGUUUAUUGCUACGCUAGACAUGGCAAAAGAAAAUAUGGUGUUGGUUGAAUCAGCUAUACAAAAAUUAUAGUCUUAAUACCCAGACCCACCUGUACAGAUUCGGGUUGACGAAAAAAUUAUAUAGUUGACUAGUUAAAAUCCGAAUGUCAAAUAUUUUUUUAAAAUAAAAUAAUACUUAUUUAAUUUUUAUUUUCUAAAUCUUCUUUAGUAGCCUCGUUAUUUUUAUUUUCUCAGAAUACAAGUUGUAAAUUUGUCAUGUUAACCCAAGUUGACUUAAGUCAAUCCAAUAUGUUGUUAUCUUAAUAUAAAAAAAAAAUUAUCAUCUUAAAUUUUUUUAAUCAAACUAUGUUCUUACAUAAAUGUCUUAUGGGUUGUUUUUAGAUCCACAAAGUCAUUCAAGUGCAUCGGGUCAACACUUACAUGGUUUUAAUUUUUUAUUUUACAAAUAUGUAAAAAUAACAUUAUUUUGGUCAAAUUUAAAAAAAAAAAUCAAUGGGUUUUUAGACGGGUUUUUUUAAAAAAAAAUUAAAAAGAAUUUAACAAAAAAAUUAGGUCGUACAAAUUUUAAAUAAAAAAUAAAUAUCAUGGUUAAUUAAGAACAUUGAAUAAUUUUUAAUAAAUACCCUUUUAUGAAAUAUCCUUAAAAGUCUAAUAUGUUUGUCAUUGCCUUUUAAACGGGGUUGGAUAAAUUUUAAUUUUUUUUAUUUAAAAUUAAUUUUUUUUUAUUUUCAGAUUGUUUUGAUGUACUAAUAUAAAAAAUAAUUUUUAAAUAAAAAAAUUAUUAAUUUUAAUAUAUUUUUAAAUAAAAAACAUAUUUUUUUUUAUUCUAACCACCACUUGAAACGCUACAUAGCAAAAUUGAAAACUUAUUACAACCUGGGAUAUGAAAAGGACAUCUGAAAUAAAAUAAAUACAGAAAGCUGUAAUCUGAUGGCAUUAAUUCCCAUAAUUUAUUACACCUGGCCAGUUGUCCUUUCUCAUAACUUUCUAAUUCACUCAUUAAGCUGAGACAGAAAAAAUGCACUGAUCAGAGUGAUUCUCUAGAGGAUGAAAGGGAAAUUAAUCUUAAUUUAAUUUCUUGCAUCUCAUUCAACAACUUCACAGGCACGGCUGUCUAUAUCCACAUCCCAUGAGCGGAAUCGAAAAGGCAUCAACCAUACCUAACCAUAACUAGGCAUGUGAAGAAGAUCGUUUCACUGCAUGGGUGCUUUGGGAGGUUUAGUUUGACAGAUUCUGUGAUAUGCAAGAGGUGUGUCUUCUUUAAGAAGAAACCAUGUGUUUGAAAUUAAUACUUUUUGGAACAGAUUUGGGAAUUGAUACAGAAAAAACCUGGAUUACUCGAUUAGUUUAAAUUAAUUAUUUAAAUUUUCUUUUAGAAUUGACCUAAUCCACUAGCUAGCCUAGUAAGGUAUAGUUGGGUUAGGUCAACUAGAUUACGAGUAAAUUAUAUUUCACUAAGUCAAUUUCUUUUUUGUUUUAAUUUAAAACCUCGGCCAAGCCACACUUCCGGCGUUAACGUUCCAAGUCAACCCAUUAUACUAGGCUAGGUUUAACAAGAAUGUUUAAGACAUUUUAUUUAACAAUAAAAUAAGUAAUCCAAUAUUUCUAACAUCCGAUUCAACAGACUCAAUGUCUUUCCAAUAUGUUUGAAGGCUUAAACACCGAUGUCAAGGCAGUUUUUCCUAUCUACCAGCCUUCGGACCCCUGACCUAGUUGUGACAAGGCAUAAGAGCUGUGCAAAGAGCUUGCCAUGCUCUCUGCUUAAACCUCUUGAGAUUUUGAGAUAUUAGUCUGGAAAUUUCUUGAUUCCCUCAUAAACAAGAAGGAAAAUCCCAUGAGUUUUCAUCUUCCUGCCAUUUCAUGACCAUACUUUGUUUUCGUAGAAGUUAAACACUUUUACAUUUUCUUAAUUAAGAGAUUCAAAGAAAGUAAGUUUAAUAAAAAAAAAACAUUGGUAGAAGACUGGAGCAUGCAGCUAGCCUAGACAGAAAAUUAAUUGAUGUACAAUCAGUCUUAAUACCCAGACCCACCUGUACAGAUUCGGGUUGACGAAAAAAUAUAUAGUUGACCUAGUUAAAAUCCGAAUAUCAAAUAUUUUUUUAAAUAAAAUAAUACUGUUUUAAUUUUUAUUUUUCUAAAUCUUCUUUAGUAGCCUCGUUAUUCAAAUAUUUCCUAAAGUUUGACACCGGGUUGAUUUUUAAAACAUGUGUACAAUUGCUACCCCACUAUCAGGUCAUUAAAGGGUUCACCUAGAGUACUACCGUUAUUUCACUUAUUUCUGAAAAAGACUCCAUGCAUGCAUGCAUUCAUAUAUUUACAAUUUUAAUUGUACAAGUUAGACCGUACGUAUUCAGUUAUUGGCAUCACCUACUGCUCUCCACCUUCCAUGUCCUCUCCACUUGAUGAUGAGGCCUUGCUGUCCAUCCUCCUAAUAAAAGUUGCCCAUCCGUAAAUUUAUUACACACCCUGCACAAUUCCCUUUUUUUAUCUGUUUACUGUGUUAGAAAAUAGUAUGAAAUCAUUCUUGUGAUUUUACCUAAUAAUCAUGAUUUUAAAACUCACCUCACCACCUCCAAUUUAACUAAAAUAAAAUUAAAUAUAAAGUAAUGUUGAGUUUCUGCAGAUUUUGUUAUAUGAAACUAUGACAGAAUGGAUUAAUUGAAGAAGUCGGUGUUGACGCUGAAGAUGCAAGAAAAGCACUAUUAUGAGGCUUAAUCUGCAGUGGACAAGGAGCUCUCCUUUGUAACCGGCUUGAUGGCCCCCUGUAUUCCAUCUCUUCUUUGUGAACGCAGGUUUGGAAUCCAGGAAAGUCAUCACCAGAAUCCCCCGUUUUCUGUCAGUGCCUCACUUGAAGCUUGGAUCAAAAGUAAGCAAACGAGAACUGGAGAAAAAAGCUUGGUAUCAGCUAGUUGAUCAUUGGAAGAGAUGAACCGUACCUGAAUUUCUUGCUUAGUAAUACAAUCACGGAUAAAGUAAUAAUCAACUUUUUAGUACGAGUGUGAAACACUGAAUUGAUAAAUAAUAGGAAAUAUUAUGUUUCCGCUUGUAUAGUUUUAUUCUGUGUAAUAGGUUACACCAUAACAUAUAUACAAUGCCCUACUUAUAUAAAUAGUAGAGGAACUGCUCUGAUUAAGACACUCAUCAAAUUAUUACAUAUCUCUACUUUAACUUUGUAUUAGAGCCUCUCUAUCUUAAAUAGGUUUUUUUUCUUCUACUCUGUUGCAGAUUCUUCUCCCUACCGCGAUCCCUGCUCUUUUAUUUUCUACUGCAGAUCCGUCUCUCUACUGCUUGCUAUUCACCCUCUGCUACAGCCUCGCUGUCAACAUCGUUUCUCCAUCUGGGUACUCUGCUUAGUCCCUGCCCAAUUUGGACUUGUGCGUGGAUCUCUCCACAUAUUCUUUUCCAUAGCAGACCUUCAUUGAUCCACCUUCUGCUCUGCCACCCAUUUGGCAGUAUCCUAUGGUGAUGCAUCAUAGACAGCAGAAGAUUGCCAACAUCAGCUCUGCUUCUGCUCCCUUCACCAAUUUCAGCUCCACAGGUAAUGUUCCCCUCUGCUUUUGAGCAUCUAAGUUUUAAGGAAGCUGACUAGUACUUGUGUUGGCAUACUGCCAUGAAGGAUGAAAUUGCAGCCUUACAUGCCAAUGUCACUUGGUCACUGGUGCCAUUUGAUCCAUCUAUGAACAUUGUUGGUUGUCAAUAGGUGUAUAAAAUCAAGCGUCGAGUUGAUGGGGCCAUUGACUGUUACAAGGCUCGCUUGGUUGCACGAGGGUUCACUCAACAGGAAGGUAUAGAUUAUUCAGAAAUCUUCAGUCUUGUUGUUAAACCGACUACUGUUCGGCUAGUCCUCACGAUUGUAGUCUCAAAAUGAUGGCAGAUUCCGAAACUUGAUGUUCAUAAUGCUUUCCUCAAUGGUUCACUUCGCAAGGUUGUUUACAUGCAACAACCCUAAGAUUUUGUCGACUUAACUUUGCCCACUCAUGUCUGUCGCCUUCACAAAUCUCUCUAUGGCUUAAAACAAGCAUCGCGGGCCUGGUACAUGCAAGUGAGUGAUUUCCUCCUGACUAUUGGUUUUCGGGCUUCAAAGGUUGAUACCUCCUUGUUUAUUCUGAAUGUGAAUCAUGAUAUCUGUUACUUACUUGUCUAUGUGGAUGGCAUCUUACUUAUUGGUAAUAACUCUCAAUUGAUUCAUUGCCUCAUUACCUUCGUGAUUUGGGUCAUGCACAUUAUUUUUUGGGGAUUGAAGUUGAUCCCACCAGUGUGAGUCUUGCGCUUAGUCAACAGAAGUAUAUUCUUGUUAUUCUAAGCCAUGAAUGAAUGUGAUCGUGUAAACCUGUUGAUACACCAGCUUGUGUUUCCAAACUUGAUCUGUAGUCUACUGAGUUGUUUUUAGAUCCCACUCGCUUCCUCCAAAUUAUUGGUGUUCUUCAGUAUCUCAUAUUUACUUGACUAGACAUUUGAUAUGUUGUAAAUAAGGUAUAUUAGUUUAUGCAUGCUCCUACCGAAGGUCAUUGGGCCGCUGUUAAGCGUAUGCGUGAAAGGCCACCUUUGGUCUCCACCUUUCUCAUGACUCAGCUUUGACUCUUCAUGGUUUUAUUGAUGCUGAUUAGGCCUACAUAUUGGUGAUCAAAAAUCCACGGGCCGGUGGAUACAUUGUAUUUCUUGGCACCACUCCCAUUUCAUAGAAAUCUGGCAAGCAAGCAUUGUUGCUCGCUCCUCCACUAAAGCAAAGUAUAAGGCCUUAGCUGAUGGUACUGUUGAGGUUGUUUAGCUUCAUUAUAGUUUUUUCAGAUUUAUGUUUCUCUCCUAGUUCUGCUACCACUAUCUAGUGUGAUAAUUUGGGUGCUACUUAUCUAUCGGUUAAUCCGAUCUUUUAUGCUCGUACGAAGGAUGUUGAGGUCAAUUAUUACUUUGUUCAUGAUCGAGAGGCUAAGAAGGAGAUUUAGAUUCACUUCAUCUCCUCCAAAGAUUAAUUAGUCGAUGUUCAUACAAAGUCACUUGCUUCCUCUGCUUUUGCUUCUCUACAUUCCAAGCUUCACGUAGAUAACUCACCUUCAACUUUGGGGGUGUAUUUUAGGAAAUAUUAUAAAAUUAGAAAUUUUAUGUUUCCUCUUGUAUAGUUUUAUCUUGUGUAAUAGGUUACACCAUAACUUAUUUAUAAUGCCCUACUUAUAUAAAUAGUAUAGGAGCUGCCCUGAUUAAGGCACUCACGGAUAAAGGGACUAAUUGCAAAAAUAAAAGGUAUUAGCACCUCUAAUAUAUCUUACCUAAGGCAAACCAUGUUGUUUAUUUGUCUGAUAUAAACUAAGGUAUUGUUGUGUUUUCUAAUCAUUGAUCUGUCUAAAAUUAAAGAAAAAUCAUUCUCAAUAAAGAGAUCUUCAUCUUAUUAGGUUAAAAACUUAACCAUUCUAAUGCUGAAACAUGAAAAAGAAAGAAAAUUGUCUUUUUAUUUAAUUUUAGAAAUAUAUCUUACGUAUAAUCUUAUAAUUCCAGAUAUUAAACAAAAUGUGGUUCUUCCUAUCACAAGUUUAUUUUCCAAGUGUUAAAGAAUAAUAUAAAUCAUAUCCUGGACCUCACCUAACAGCUUAAGCUAUUAGGUUGAGAUGGUUCUUUGAUAUGAUAUCAGAGCAAACAAAUUGUCCAGUAGCCUUCUAUCGUCCUGUAGUCUUCUUUUCCAGCGCCUUCUUUCAAAUUUCUCCCUCACAUCUGAUUCUCUUCUUCUAGCAACUUUCUUCCUUUAUUUCAUCCGCAAUACUGCUAGACUUCUUUCUCCUAUGGACAAUCAAUAACUUCAUCAUUCUGUUGCCGCUGCAUCAGCACUUCAAUCUUCUUUCUCCAUUAUGGUGCCAAUAGCCACCUAUGGUGUAUCCACUCUGGUUUCUGCCAUCAUAUCUCUUCCUAACACGUAACAGGUAAUGUCUUUAAAACUCUCCAACACCAAUUUUAUGUAUUGGAUGAUGGAGAUGAAACCGUUCCUUUUGGGCUAAGGUGUGUACUCUUUUGUUAAUGGCACAUCAUCAUGUCCUCCUUCUCAUCUAGAAUCUGCUGCGACAUCUUCACCUGAUGGUUAUCAACACUUGUCGAUAUUUGCUGAAGCUGGAAUUUAGACAAAUCAAUACAUAGAUUAAAUCUAUAAGGGGAAUCAGAGGAAGAACCUGAUGAGGAGCUUAAUAUAUGUGCAGGCCGUGAGGGAGAACUAGCUGGAGAAUCUACAAGAGUGACCGCCACAACAGGGGAACUAGCAGGGGAAAAACCAAAGCAACUGGUAGGAGCAAUGGAUAAUGCAUGCGAGGGUGGUGAAUCUAAACUUGUACCUGAAGCAUGAUUAUGAUAAUAACAUGCAGAUAAUGGUAAGGGAGCCAAUGAGAUGCAAGGGGUGUGGGGGGUAGUGGUGGAAAGGAUGAAGAUAGUGGCUUGGAUGGUAUAAAGUAACCGGUAUAGUGGCAGCAUAAAUAUUUGUAGGUGCGACUAUAAUUUGUUCAGGUUUACUAAGAAGAAAAACAUGUUCAUGAAACUAGAUAUCAUGACAACUCAUGAUAACCUAAAUGAGAGUUACUAUAUCCUAGAAAAACACAAGUAGAUAAACAAAAAUCUAACUUAUGAGCAUUGUAUGGACGGAGGAAUGGAAAACAAAGACACCCAAACAUACGAAGAAAAGCAUAAUCAGGAGAUGAUUUUAAAAGACACUCGAAAGGACUCUUAUAAUUAAGAACCAGAGUUGGCAUGUGAUUAAUCAAGUAAACAGAACUUUUAAAAGAAUAACUCCAAUAUUUAAGGGGAGUGUCGCACCCCAAAAAUAAAUCAGCGCGCGGCAUCGGCUGGCGAUUUUUAUCGUUGUUGCGUUACGUUUGCUUGAAUCGGUUCGUUGGAGUCGCCACCUAGUAAUUCAUUGAAGGCUACUAGGAAACCGGAUGUACUGGUCUUGUCAGAGAUUUGCGGGUAAGGGACUGGUUGUGGUUAGGGAAGGUAUUAGCACCCCUAACGCACCCUACCUGAGGUAAGCUGCUUCGCGAAUUUGAUGUGUUAAAGAAGUUUUAAUAAUUGUCUUUUCAUCGGAAAUUAGAAAUAUCACUUACGUAUAAGUUAAUAAUUCUUAACCGUGAUCCGAUCAAAAAAUUAAAUUCUUCUUUAAUAUAUUUGCAAUUUUAUCAUUUAAAACUAUAUACAAAUAAAUAAAACAAAAAAUACAAGCACACACAUACACUUUCACUAUUUUAUUUUUGUUUCUUUUCUUUUUCUUUUCUUUUCUUUUCUUUUCUUUUACAUCCAUAUUUACAAAAUACAAAUUACAAAAACUAAAAACUAAACAAAUAUUACAUUAAACCAUUUGGAAAUUACAAAAAUGACCCAAAACAAAUUCAGGAACAAUUCUGGGCUGCCUGAACAGUAACGGCGCGUGGGCUCACGCGCCGCCCCGAAAAUCAGGCAGCGUGAGGGGGCUGUAAUGCUUCCUCCUCUCUUCGAUCUCUUCACCUGCAAAUCCAAAAAACACACAGCAAGGGCAGUCGAUUUUAAGUUUUUCUUAGUUUUUCAAAUCUGUUUUUUUGUUCUUUCUUUCUCCGCCGUCUUCGAUCUGCCCCUCUCUGCAGCUUGUUUCUGUUUCCUCUUCUUCUAUACAGAUGGCCGGCGGUUGUGGGUGUCUUCUUCUCCUCUAUUUCUGGUGGUGGAUCCGGCGGUUGUAAAGGGGGAGCGACGCUGCUGCUGGAGGAAGCUUCGGGUUGAUGGAGAUGAAAAGAUCGGUCUAGGUCUGUCGGAUGUAGGCUGCUGGGUUGGUCUCCACUUCUGUUGGUUGCAGCGGCGGAUGGCCCUGCUGCUGUUGUCUGCGUCCGGUGGAGCCGCUGUGAAGAUGGAGGGGUUGCCUUGGCUUCUCGGGUUUUGGCUGCUGAAUCCCAGCGAGGACGGCUGCUCCGGGUGGUCUGUGCGGCUGAAAGGGGAGGGGGUUUCUUUGGCUGGUGAGAGGCAGCAAUGGGGUUGUCGGGUUGAAGAUUGAGGGGGCGGCUUCGGGCUGUUGUUUUGGAUUUGUUUGUGGCCGAGAGAAAGGGAACGGCGAAGAAGAAGAUGAAAACAGGGGGAGGCUGGUUCGGGUGGCCGGUUUUUUUGGGUCAGAAAAAAUCAAACCGAGGAGCAACUCCGGGAGACCAAAAAUGAAAACCAGGGGGGGCGGCUGGUGUGAAGAAAAAAGUUUUUUUUUUUUUUUAGGGUUAGGGUUUCUGUAUUUUUUUCUUCUAUAAGUGUCAAAAUUACCCCCCCUUUUGCAAGUGUUGGAAAUCAGUAUUUAUAGACAAAAUUUUUGCUAGGUUUUUCAACUUGGUCCCUCAACUUCUUUCUUUUUUUGUAAAUUUUGAUUUUUCUUAUUUUUUUGUAUUUUUUUGAAAACGAGCAAUAUCAACGUCGACUCAAAUGCGGAAAAUCAAUGAUUUUAAAAAUGACGCGUGAAAAGUCGAACGCGUUUGAAAAAUUAAAUUAUUUAAAUCAAAAUUAAAUUCUUUCUAGACGACGCUGAAAAUGCUAAAAUGACGGGAAUAUAUUAAAAAACAUAUUUUUUGGAUUUUCAUUGUUUUUCUCUAUUUUUGGAUUUUUUGAAAAUAUAUCAAAAACAUGGGUCAAAAAUUGGGUAGCAACAGAUGCCCCCUUUUUACAAUGCUUACGAAGCGAAAAUCCUCAAAAUUUUGCAUAGUAAGUGUUGUAACCCAUUUUUGGGUCCCCAUGAAAAAAUAAAAUAAAUAGCCAAAAGAGUUAAAAAAAAAUAACAAAAGGCAGAAGCGCUCAGGAAACAGUCAGAAAAUUGGUCAAGAAAUUCAAAAAUACAAGGAUUAAAUUUUUGACAGUAUAUUCUUGAAGGAUGAAAGCCCUAUUGAGAAGGAAAAUUUGAAUUUUGAGGAGAAAAGCCCAAAUUUGGAUGUUUAUGGACUUAAUUGGAUUUUUAUUUGAAUUUAUAGAAGAUUUGAUUGGAAGAAAAAUUGAUUUUUAAGUCAAUUUGGGCUUUAAUUUGGAGAAAUUUAAGUUCUGGGGCCAAAAUAUAUUUUUUAGGAAUUUAUUGGGUCAAAUCAGGGGCUCAAUUGCAUAAAUAUUGAAGUUUAAGGGCCAAUUAGGGACUUAAUUGUGAAAAUCCGAAACCAGGGACCAAUUUGGAGAAGGCGCAAAGAUAGAGGGGGCUGUUUGGAUUUGUUUCAGGGGCUUAAUUGAAGAAAUUGGAAGUUUAUUGAUCAAUUAGGGGCUCAAUUGCAUAAAUCAGAGGCCAAGGACCAAAGUGAAAAAGGCGGCCAACAAGAGGGGUGGGGACCGAAUUUGGGGGACUGAUUUGAAGUUUAGCCAUUUAAAUGAAACGGCGCGUUUUACCCAAAACGACGCCGUUUCAUAAAAAAAAAAAAAAAAAAAAAAAAAAAACGGUGUCGUUUUGAACGACACUGUUCAUCUUCCUCCUUCCCCCCGUUUUAACAGAACAGAAGACGAAAAAAUUCGAAAAUCUUCCCGCGCCUCUCUCUCUCCUCGCCCCCACCACCUUUAGCAUUGGCCGACCAGCCGUUGCACCGCACUAACGAUGGUCCCCCACGGUUCGCCCCUAUAAAGAAGAAAACGAAGAAAAAAAAAAAAAAAACCGAAGGGAGGAGAGAGAGAGGAGGCCGAAGAGAGAGAGAGAGAACACCGAAGAGAGAAGGAGCCGCAGCGCCGCCCGGGAAGCCACGCCACCGCAGCACCGCCACCGCCUCCUCCACGCCAGGUCACCUCUUCUCCCCCCUUCGUUAGUUUUUAUUUUUUUCCCUGCAUGCAGAAUGAACAUUCUGCAUGCAGGGAGGAGGGGGGAAUUAAUUCCCCCCUUGUUGAUUGCGUAGCUGGGCCAGGUGGAUCCUGGCCCAGCACAUUUUUUUUUUGGGCCAGACUAGUCUGGCCCGGCCUUGUAUCUGACGGGCCAGACCAGGUCUGGCCCAUACCAGCUCUCUGGGCCAAGUCCGGCCCAGAUAUUGUGGCCGGCCCAGCCCGAAUUAUUUUUAUAUUAUAUAUUAUAUAUUAUAUUAUAUGUGUGUAUAUAUAUAUAAAAUAUAAUAAUAAAAAAAAUAAAUAUUUUGAAAAAUCUUUAAAAAAAUAUUGUUGAUUUUUCUGCAUAUUUUUGUCAAAAAUGUUUUAAUUUUGGUUUGUAUUUUUAUACUGUAAAGAUACAAAACCAGUGUUAUAAAUACCCGGUUUUCGUCAAAACAUCAAAGAUUUUCAGAAUAAAAAAUGUUUUUGCUUUCAAAAAAAUUCUAAAAAGUCCCUAAAAAUGUUGUUGAUUUUUCUGCAUAUUUUUAUCAAAAUGGUUUAAUUUUGGUUUGUAUUUUUAUACCGUAAAGAUAUAAAACCAGUGUUAAAAUACCCGGUUUUCGUCAAAACAUCAAAGAUUUUCAGAAUAAAAAAUGUUUUUGCUUUCAAAAAAUUUCUAAAAAUUCCCUAAAAAAUGUUGAUUUUUCUGCAUAUUUUUUAAAAGCGGAUUAAUAUUGGGUUGUAUUUUUAUACCGUAAGGAUACAAGCUCAGUAUUAAAAUACCCGAUUUUCGUCAAAGCAUAAAAAAAAUAAUAUUUUCUAAAAAUUGUUUUUGUUUUAAAAUACGGCCUAGUCUCUCCAAUAUAUAUACAUAAAUAUUAUAACAUCAUAUUUUCACACAACAAAGAAAAUUUUCAAAACAAUAUAUGUAUUAACAUGCAUUUUGGCUUUAAUAACCAGUUUAUUCAAGCCAUGAGAACUAGGCCAAUAUUUCAAAAAUUCUAAAAAAUCUUUUUGUUUUAUUUUAGUAUUUGGGAUUACGAAUUUAUACGUAAAACGUAUUCCUAAGUAUUAUUAAUAAAAUUUUGGUAUGGACGUUAGAACGGUUAGGAUUUUUACCCGAUAAGAUAAAAGACCUUCUUACUGAGGAGGAUUUUUCUUGAACUAUAGACAGAUCAACAACUAGGAAAACACAACAACACUUUAGUUUUUUAUCAGACAAUAAAACAAUGCAGCUUACCUUAGGUAGGGCGUAUUUGGGGUGCUAAUACCUUCCCUUUACGCAACCAGUCUCCGUACCCGAUCUCUGAGACCAGUUAGGUUCCUAGUGACCAAAAUACUAGGUGGCGACUCCAAAGAACCAAAUAAAAAUAAAUAAAAAAAUUCGCCAGUCGAACCCGCAAUUGAAAUUUUGGAAUUUUUUUGGGGUGCGACAGUAAGCUUUGUAAAGAAAACAAAAGGAAAAUGAUUUCAUUAUCUUGGGCAACCUGCCUACACAUACUCACUCUAGUCUAUUUUCACGGGCGACCGACCCACACUCUCGCAAUAGUCUAUUUUCACGGGUGACCUGCCCACACAUUGUGUUUACCUGAGAUCCCAUCUAGCGACCUCAUUCAACUGGAACAAAAAUAUUGUGUAACUCGGUUAACCUGAAAUCCCAUCUGGCGAUUCCCUUUAACCAAAGCUACAUGAGAUCCCAUCUGGCGACCUCAUUCAAUUGGAACGAAAUAUACAUAACUCGGUUAACCUGAAAUCCCAUCUGGCGAUUCCCUUUAACCAAAGCUACCCGAGAUCCCAUCUGGCGACCUCAUUUAACCAAAACAAAAGAAUGUGUGAAAAAUGGUCUCAUUGUAUGGGUGACAAACCCAAGAAAAAAAUGAUGGUCUCAUUGUAUGGGUGACGAACCCCAGAAAAAUGAUGGUCUUAUUGUAUGGGUGACGAACCCCAGAAAAAUGAUGGUCUCAUUGUAUGGGUGACGAACCCAAGAAAAAUGAUGGUCUCAUUGUAUGGGUGACGAACCCAGAUGGAAAAAAUGUGAAGUGCGGUCUCAUUAUAAUGGGUGACCUACCCACGUGGAAAAAAUAUGAAGUGUGGUCUCAUUGUAAUGGGUGACCUACCCAGAUGGAAAAAAAUGAUGAAGUGCGGUCUCAUUGUCAUGGGUGACCUAACCGGAUGGAAAAAAUGUGAUAUGACAAGUGUGAAAAAUAGGACUUACCUAGCGAAGUUCUGAAGGGAUGACAGAAGAAAGGGCUGGAAAACUUGGUGCUUCCUGAUAAUUCCCGAUCAUGGGGUUUGAAAACUCGGUGUUUCCUGACUGCAAGGGUUGAAAACUCGAGGCUUCCCGGUUGCAAGGUUGAUCUAUUCAUUUCUUUGGGAUUUUCCUAAUGGUAGGGUUCAUCCCAUCGUCCUUUUAUUCCAUGAUCAAAACUGAUUCUUUAUUAUCAUCACCACAAUGCUUCUUUCUCUUUCCACCAUUGAUUGUGCAUCAAAAGUAUUAUUAAGUCUUUUAUUUUACAUAUGUAUUUAUUGUUUUUAUUUGUCAAAUUCUUGAAAGAAAAUAUUUUCUCUCGUUUUGGCAUGCCCCGGGCUAUGAUUAGUGAUGGGGGAAAGCAUUUUUGUAACAAGCCCGUUGGGAUGUUGAUGAGAAAAUAUGGUGUAAUUCACAAGGUCAGUACCCCAUAUCACCCACAGACUAGUGGCCAAGCUGAGUUGGCAAAUAGGGAGAUCAAGAACAUUUUAGAGAAAACAGUCAAUCCAAACCGUAAGGAUUGGUCCCUACGACUAGUUGAUGCUUUGUGGGCAUAUCGCACUGCUUACAAGACCUUUUUAGGAAUGUCUCCUUAUAGGCUAGUUUAUGGAAAACCUUGUCAUCUCCCUGUUGAGAUUGAGCAUCGUGCAUAUUGGGCCAUCCGGCAAUUCAAUGACAAUGAAAACGAGGUUGAAAAAAAUAGAAAGCUUCAAUUGGAUGAAUUAGAGGAGCUGAGAAAUGAUGCAUUUGAAAAUGCAAAAAUUUCAAAACAUAAGAUGAAAGCUUUGCAUGAUAAACAUAUUUUUAGAAAAUCCUUUCAUGUUGGUCAAAAGGUUCUCUUGUAUAAUUCACGAUUACAUCUCUUUCCUGGGAAGUUGAGGACAAAAUGGAUUGGUCCAUUUGUGAUUAAAUCCAUCUCUGAGCAUGGUGCAUUUGAGGUAGAAAAUCCUAAGAAUGGAAAUGUUUUCAAAGUAAAUGUCAUCGAUUGAAACCUUAUCUUGAAAACGUUGUGGCUGAAGUUGAGACAUUGGAUCUUGAAGAUCCAAUACCAUUGUAGUAUCAGAAGUAAUGAGUUUUUAUUUUAUUUAUUUUCAUUUUUUUUUAUUUUUAUUUUCUUUCUUCCAUCUCUUAUAUUUUCUUGUUCAUGCAUUAGGGACAAUGCAUAAUUUUCAGUUGGGGGGUGUGAGGUUCUUUAUUUUCACAAAAAAAAUAAAAAAAAAUCAAUGUUUUCUUUUAGUUGUGAUAUGCAGGUUAAAAAAAAAAUCAAGCAAGAAGUCAGCUCAUGUCCAAGUCAAUCAGACAUUCAUCCUUGAAAACAAAAGGGGAGUAACAGUUUUCUAAUCAUUAUACUUUUCUUCUCUUUUUUUUUUUAUUGAGGAUAAUGUAAAACUUAAUUUUAGAUAUUUGAUUAUGUUGAAUGCUUGAGAUAACCAUGCUUGUUUAAAAAAAAAAAAAAAUUGCAUUCGAAUGUGAAUGAGACUUGUUUAGGAUCAACAUUACAUUUUUGGAUUUAUUAUUGUGUUGAACAUUGCAUGCUUUAAUUUGGGAUAGAUAAUAUCUUAUAAAGAGAUAUAGCAUACUUUUUUUAAAGAUUAUUGAAGUACAUCUUUCCUUGUAAAAGUUGUGUGAGUUGUGCGAUUAUGCAUGAAAGAUGAGUGUGAUGCUUUACUUGUGAUUAUCCCUUUUGAUCUAGUCCUAAACAAGGUUUAAGUAAAUAAAGUAAUAAUUAUUACACAAAUAAAUAAAUAAAUGUGUACAAAGUUCUAUCUACUCCAAUGUUUUGAGUUGCUCAGUAACUAGGGUAUUCAUCACAAAUGUUUAUCUUUACGUCAAAAGGCAGCUUGAAAUAUGAGUAUGCAAAGCACUUUAAGUUUGUGACUUUGUGAGUAACCGGGUGCAUUCAUCAAAUGUUUGUAUUCGCGUCAAAAGGGAAGUGACCACUUAAAGAAAAAGAAUAAAUAAUAUCUUCAAAAAAAAAAAAAAAGAAGAAGAAAAAAAAAAGGAAAAAUAUAUAUAGAUAUUUCUUUAGUUUGCUACCUUGUUUGUAGUAGUGAAAAGGGAAGAUUACAAGUUGAGUUUUCGCGUGAAUCAAUUAUUUGGUUGCAUGAUAAAUACGAUUGAAUUUGGAAUUUUUAUGAGAUGUUUGAUUUAGAGAAUGUGAGUAUGCUUAUUUUUCUUUAUUUGGUAUUGUGUACACUAAGUUAAAGAUACCAAUGUUUGCAUGAUAGGUCCUUUAAGUGUGAUGAGUCGAGCCUAAUUAUGUUAUUAUUAUUCUUUUUAUUUCAAAGGUUUUAUGUUUUGUUUUGCUUGAGGACUAGCAAAAUCUAAGUUGGGGGGUGUGAUUGUGCAUCAAAAGUAUCAUUAAGUCUUUUAUUUUACAUAUGUAUUUAUUUUAUUUGAAUUUUUUAUAAUAAGUGAUGUGCUUUUUAGUAAUGAAGUUUCUUUUAAUGUUUCGAUAGGUUUUUGGAGCUUAAAUGAUUUCAGAAAAUUCAACGUCGGAAUUCGGAACAAAGAAUUGAAGAGAAAUUUAGUUGAAGAUUGAAGCAAAUCUUGGUUCAAAUAAGUGCUCCAAUUUGCCCAAAAAAUCAAUUAUUUUCCAAUUCUAGAAAAGAAUAUCAUAUGAUCCAUUUCAAGCCCAAACUUACCUUAUGUUGUGUGCAAACUUCAACCAUCAAACACUCAAGGUUUCAAUGUCAAUCUUAGCCCAAAUAAUAGGUACAAUUGUAUACUUAUUUGAUGUUUAAAUCCAGCCCAAAUCAGCCCCAAAUCAGCCUCCAAAUCAGCCCAAGCACAAUCCAUGAUCUUACAUGUCCACACAACAAAUAAUAUUUGAUUUAUUUUGGGCAAUUAAUUGAUUCAAGAGGGCAAGCACAUGGAUGGAAAGCUGGAGGGGACAUUGUGACAUUAUUUUGGGUCAACAAGAAGAAAGAAACAGCUCAUAAAGGAGGAAGAAAAACGUGCACCAAAGUGUUCUCCAAGCUGGCCUGAUUUAAUUUUCCAGAACAUCUUUCGGUGUUUUGCCCAUAACGUUUGACUCAGAUGUCCAAAUGAGCUGUUCUUUAAUGAUCUGGAAAGCUCAUAGAAUUUCCUAUACAUAUGUCUCUAAUAGCCAUCUCCAGGGGAGGCUUCUAAGAGGGUCGAAUUUCUGUCCAAAGUUAGAGUCAGAUUUGUGUCCGAAUUUUUACUGAAAUUCUGUUGUGUUCUUCUUUGUAGAUUUCGGUUCUUUAGUUUGUAAAACUUAUUAUUUCAGUUUGAUUCAAGUUAUUUCAUGUUUAUUAAAGUGUUCUUAUAUAUAAUCAUGGUUGGCUAAUCUCUUUCUUGGAUCCAAAUCAAGGAUGAUGGUGAUUGAGGUGAGUUCUUUAAGAUAUGAAUGAAUGUUAAUGAUUAUCUUUCUUUCUUCAUGAAUGUUUUAUUAUUGCAAAGAAAUUUUAGAAAUCAUUUAGGUAAUGUUAUAAUCUUGAAUUUUUAUGCACAAACCUUAGUUUUGGUAUAGAGAUUGCUUGAUUCAAUGUCUUACUUAAUUUGAAAGUACUUGUUCAUUCUUAAGCAAUAAUUAAUCUUCAUCUUUUUAAACUUCAUUGUAAUAUCUUCCGAUCUAAUAUCACCCGUUUAUUAGGUUGAGUUAUCUUAUAUAUGUUGAAGAAAUCACCAAUACAUCACCAUUAAAAUUGAUUUGGACCAAGACUUACUUUUUCUUGUCUUUUAAAAUCUAUUUACACUUUUUCAUCUUUGAAAACAAAUCCAUCAAUUAUUUUCAACCAAGUUAUUGUUAAUUUAAUUUCUCUUGAGUUUUUUUUGUUGUUACCUAGCUUAAUUUCCAGAUCUAGCUCUCUGUGGAUAUGACCUCGAUCUUACCGAGUUAAUUGCUACAUCGCACACUCGUGCACUUGCGAGUUAAAACAAGCCGAUCACAAAAAGCGGUCAAGCAACCAUCUUGCUGGACCUCAUUAAGGAUUUUCCUGUAACAAUUCAAAAAUAUGUGCAAAUGGUUUUUUUUUUUUUUUAGGUUAGAUGAUAUGCAUGCAUCCUUACCUGAUUUGAAAUAAUAGGUCCCCCCUCUUUGAUGCUCCAUCGUCAUAGGGUGCCCUUGUUUGUAUCCCAAAGCUUUCUUUGUUCUUCCGAUGUAUUGGCUCAUUCAUGUGUUAGCCAUCCACUCAGUUGUAAAUGCAGUGCCCAUCCCGGGCUGUCUUCGACAAUUACUGCUUGCAUCGUUCAUGAAGCUUGACCCUGCCCCCAAGUGUGGUACUGCUUGAUUCAUCAUGAGAUUUUCUCUCCUGGAUUCUUCUGAGAAAUUAUCCUCUGAUUGAUUGUGUGCAUCAUGCCAACACCCAUCACGUUUGUUAAUCAGUCAUGAACUUGCCUUUGGUUGAAACACCAUUCAAGUAUGUAUGGUCACCAGCCUUCAUGGAACUGCCAAGUCAUCCAGACAUGUAUCUCAUGCUUUGCAGUAAACAGCUCAUCAUUGUAAGCGCGAUGUAUUUCUCUAUGGAUUCCUCUUAGCUUGUCAAAUCAGAUCGUGAAAAUACCUGCUUUGGCAUCAUCAAUGAUGUUCAUGUUAUCACCCAUAUUCAUGCGGUGAAGUGCGCAUUUGAGCUUCAGAAUAGAUGGUCCCAUCGUAAAUCUUGGUGGUAUGCAUAUGUUCGAUGUUCAUCCAAAUGCACUCACCCGAUAACAUCUGUCCGGAGUCAUAUCCAUGUUUUAAAGUAACCUAAGAUGAAGAUAUGAAAAUAUCUUUCUAGUGCAGCGUUGAUCAUCAAUUGCUGCUGAAGUGCACUAGAUCAUGGAUUGUCUUUGAACAACAUUGGCCUCAGUAUGAUCUGAAGGUUCAUUCAUCGGUUUAUACUCAAUAAGGUUUUUCUUUGUCAUUGUCAGAUGCUAAACAUAACUUUGACGACUCAUCAUCGGAUUCUUUCUUUGCCCCCAGCUGAUCUGAUACUGUUUGCUUUCCUUCUUAAGGUCCACUGUAUUGCCCCCAGGUGGUCAACGUUUCAAGGAGUGUCGAGAAAUGUUGAUGUCAUUUUUGUCAAGAAUUUUGCAAACUCAAUUGAUGUUCUUGUUUGAAAAUCUUUCUUGUUCUGGAAUCAAAUCUCAACAUUUCAACGAUCAUGUCUAUUCAAGUAUAAUUGUUGAAAUGAAAUCAGAGAGAUAUCAGUUUUUGAAAAGUUAUUUUUGAAAUUCGAGCUCCUUUGGUCAAAGACCCAACACACUAUUCAAUGCAGUCCUUUGAUUGUCUUGUAUUUUGAAAACAGAAAUGACCCGUUGUAAGAUUUAAAAUGACUUUUUCAUGGUUCUUUGUGUGCACUUUAAACUCUGAUUUUGGGUAUAUCUUUUGAUGGUCUGUGAUGAGAUGACAUUUUUAUGAAUUUCAAAAACAAGAUGCUCAGGCUUUAUCAAGAAAGGUUGUUUCUCUUCUUAUAACUUGUUUUAUCAGCAUGCAUAAUAACCAAUAGCUUAAUUCAUGAAGUCACGACCCUUAUGGAAAAGCUCUUCAAGUUUUGAGAGCGUCAUUUAUCGGUUCAAAUUGCAUGCUUGAUUAAAAAGGGCUUUUAAAAACACGUAAUGCAGGCUAUGGUUCAUGGCUAUGAAAGAAAGGAAUUUCAAAGGCUCAAAAGGUGUUUGAGGGUUUCAAAGACCUAGGAUCAACAUCAAUUAUUCAUCAACUUGUUUUCUAUUGUUGUCUUUGUAAAGGAAACGACAUAUAACCUUGUUAACCUCAAAGAUUAGACUUCUCUUAACAUAAAAUCAUAAUACAAAUCCACUUUUCCUUGAUGAAUAACCAACCUUAAUCAUCUGAUAACAUCGUAGGCUUUAUAAUGGAUCCCAAAAGUCAACGUUUAUAGCUUAGUCUUUUUCUGGUAUUGACUUUUGUUGUGCCUUUCCUUGAUUGAAAUUUCUUUUGCUCUUCAUAGACUUGAUAGGCGUUCUCCUUCCUUUAUCUUUUUUUCAUAGCCUUCCUCAAAAUUUUCUUAUAUGCCCCCAGUCUAUGUGUUUUCUUUUAGCUCUCUCUCAAUCAUUGGACCUUUGUUCUAAGCCUUCCCCUUUAUCCAUUAAUUAUAUCAAUGUCUCCAAAAUAUCUCUCAUUUGCCCCCAGUGUAGGGUGUGAUCCUAGUCAGGGUUUUUUAUGAAAAGAAUAUUCUAUACAGCUCAAAAUGGGACUACAAGGGAUAUAAUCUUUAGAAAGUGAAGGAUAUCAAAGAUGGCCUUUUCUCAUUUCAAGCAAGAUCGGUUAGAACCGAUAAAUUUUGUCUUCAUCCAGUGUAAUGAUUGGGACUUGUAAGAAUCAUGAUUCACGAGUCCAUAACUAUUGAAUCCACUACAUGUCAUUAUGCAUACUGCUAAAACUUAGCUAUAUGAUGUGUGGUUCAGUUUCAAAAGGUAUGAGUUCAAAAUUGUUUGGUCACCUCAUGUCAUUUUCAAGCAUAGAGUCAUUUCUGUAAUCAAAACCCUUCCUAAUCUUCCGGAUUGAUUAACCUUUAUCGCAUGUUGGAGUUUGAUCAAAAUAUUUUGUCAGAAUAAAAUGCUAAACAUCUGUUGAUUUCAAAACAACAAAGAGACAAAAGCAAGGCAUGUUUCGUUGAAGGAUGAGAUGUGAUCCCAAAACAAAAUGCAGAAUUCCAUAACAAUAUGAUUGACUGUUCAUCACCCUUCUUGAAUCAGCUUUUCUGGCAAUAUCUGUGUUUUGCCAAGCAUUUUCGAUCACAUGUCAUUCUGAAGAUGUUCGGGGAACAAUAUAGCUCAUGACACCCUCCUUCAACGACUCCACUUGUCUCUUACUCACCAACUUUCAGACUCCUUCUUGCAAUUCUUGAAAUUGCUCAUUGAAAUGGUUGAGGACCCCAUCAUGACAUCACAUCUCUUAUCUGGAUUAACCCCAGAAAAUGGUGGUUGCAUGGGAUUUGUCGGAGUCAAGCAAAAUUCUGGAAUCUGGCAGAUGCUGGUCGACAAACUUAAAUGGCAGAGGAAUGUCCCAUCUUGGCAAAGAUAUUUGAGCAAUUGAUGCUACCGUGAGACCUGGCUAUACCACAUAAUUAAGGGCUCACACCGUCAAAGUCAUCUCCUGAUUCACCUCUCAUCAUUGUUCUAGAAUCCAUGGCAGAUCCUUCAAUCUUUCUUCUCUUCAUAGCUUGUUCAAUUCUUCGGCAAAUCCUCACAACAUUAUUUCAAUCUUCCAAUGUUGCUAUGGUUGGUUGAGGAUUGUUAGAAAACUUUCUAACAGCUUGGUAAUCUUGGCAGCGCCCAGAAACUUGUAGUAUCGCCACUACCGACGUGUGGAAUCACACAUUGUCUCUAUUGGAAGAGCACCUGAUGAAUCUAAAACUCCUUUGUCCCCUCUUAAUUUCUCACUGACAGUGCAGCAAACAAACACCUAUAGAGGAAGUCCUGCUCUGUUGAAGUUUCAGUAUUCUUCAUGUUUUUCAGUCUAGGCAUGUAUUCUCUCUACUUUUGCAUUUUAAUACUGACACUGUUGGAGGAAAAUCAUAAUGAUCUGAAACUACUGUAUUCCUUCUUGGAUUUCCCACUUGCGGAUCCACAAACAGAUUCCUGUCGAGAGCUCUGCUACGUUGAAGUUUGAUGUCUGCUCUAUUUUUUCAACCAAGUCUGGCUCUUCAACCUACUAAGUUUCUUCGUGCUGAAACUGAUGAGAGAAAUAUUUGUAGCAUAUGCAAUUAGUAAAUCCCCUCUUGCAUUCCCAAUUUGCAGAGCCAUAAAUGGAUUUUUGUAGAGAGCUCUGCCACAUUGAAGUUUGACAACUGCUAAUAUUAUCAGACCAGGUCUGACUCUUCUGCCUACUACAAUGUUUUGCUGGUGCCACUGGUGGGAAAAAGUUUCAAAGCAUAUGAAAUUAAUACAUUCCCUUUUGCAUUUCCAUUGCAGAUCCACAAAUAAAUCUCUACAGAGAGAGCUCUACCGCGUUGAAAUUCAGUGUCUGAUCAUGGUUUUUUCAGACCAACAUCUUGUGCUGCUGAACUGGAAUUGAGCUCAUAAUUGGGGUAACUUCAAAGCAGACUAAUGCACCAUGAACAGGAGGCUAGUAGUCGUUUGGUUCCAUUAGAUGAUGUGGAGGCGAUGAAUACUUAACAGUGCAACUGGACAGGAAUCAGAGUUGUCAUUAGUUGAUGACUGAAGGCGUUGUUGCUUUGUUCAUGACUGAAAAGGAGAGUACAGCUUCAAUUGGACGUGAACAAGCAGUGUUCCCACAGAAAACUGUGCAGACAUUCUCUUUCAUUUGAUGCUCAACACUUGUUCGAGCAGAUCUGAGUCGCUACUUCACUUUGAUGCUCUCAACCUUAAUCUGAUAAUGAGCCUAUAUCUGACUCCUUUGUUCACUUCCAUUAUUUUUCUUCAAUCACGUGCAGCACAACUUGUGGGGACCUACUUUCACCCGGUUCAUGCAUGAUAAAUGUAUGAACAUGUAAUCUAUAUGAUGAACUCACCCUUCGAGAGGUGACAAUAUGGUCGUAACUCUUGUAUGAUGGACAAGAAUCGUGAUUUUUGCCCAAACUCUACAAUGAAAAUUUUCGGAGCAACGACCAAUGUGUCACCCACAAGUCUUGAGUUCAAGAUGCUUCAAGAAGGGUUUGCCCUUAUGCAAAAAACGAUAGCACAUACAACCUAAGGACAGGUUCUAUUCAUUAUGUGAACAUGGGUAAGUUUUCUAUCUGGUCUCAAAAGGGUCUCAUAUCUGCCCAGUGACGUUCUUCGUAAAGACAGUAUGGGGGCGUUGCAAGGAAUGGUUAAGGCACGUAUACCCACCAUUACCAAGCAGGCACUCAGAUAUGAGUUGGGUGUUUCACGCAUCUGAACCCUGACCAAUAGUCUUAGGGCAGAUCGCUAGUUCCCCACCUAACCUAGAAGCUUGUGUGUGCUUUUAAAAAUAAAUACAGGUGAUGCAUGAGACAAUUCUAUAAAAUGCAUGGAAAUAAAUAUUAACAAAAAGAUAAAAAUGCAAAAACUUAAACACAUCAAAUACACAAAGCUUAGUCCAAUAAUCGAAAAAAUACCUUCCCCAGUGGAGUCGCCAUUCUGUCGCACCCCAAAAAAAAUCAGCGCGCGGCAUCGGCUGGCGAUUUUUUUUUUUUAUCGUUGUUGCGUUUUGCUUGAAUUUGGUUCGUUGGAGUCGCCACCUAGUAAUUGAUUUGGGCUACUAGGAAACCGGAUGUACUGGUCUUGUCAGAGAUUCGCGGGUAAGGGACUGGUUGUGGUUAGGGAAGGUAUUAGCACCCCUAACGCACCCUACCUGAGGUAAGCUGCUUCGCUUUGACGUGUUAAAGAAGUUUUAAUAAUUGUCUUUUCAUCGGAAAUUAGAAAUAUCACUUACGUAUAAGUUAAUAAUUCUUAACCGUGAUCCGAUCAAAAUAUUAAAUUCUUCUUUAAUAUAUUUGCAAUUUUAUCAUUAAAAUAUAUAAAUAAAUAAAAAAAAAUACAACACAACAUACAUUCACUAUUUUAUUUUUUUUCUUUUCUUUUUCUUUUCUUUUCUUUUCUUUUACAUCCAUAUUUACAAAUACAAAUACAAAAAUAAAAACUAAACAAUUACAUAAACAUAAAUUACAAAAAUGACCCAAAACAAAUUCAGGAACAAUUCUGGGCUGCCUGAACAGUAACGGCGUGGACCCCACCACCGCCGUGACUGGCGGCGCGUGGGCUCACGCCGCCCGAAAAUCAGGCCGCGUGAGGGGGCUGUAAUGCUUCCUCCUCUCUCGAUCUCUUCACCUGCAAAUCCAAAAAAACACAGCAAGGGCAGUCGAUUUUAAGUUUUCUUAGUUUUUCAAAUCUGUUUUUUUGUUCUUUCUUUCUCCGCGUCUUCGAUCUGCCCUCUCUGCAGCUUGUUUAUGUUUCCUCUUCUUCUGUUCAGAUGGCCGGCAGUUGUGGGUGUCUUCUUCUCCUCUAUUUCUGGUGGUGGAUCCGGUGGUUGCAAAGGGGGAGCGACGCUGCUGCUGGAGGAAGCUUCGGGUUGAUGGAGAUGAAAGAUCGGUCUGGGUCUUGUCGGAUGUAGGCUGCUGGGUUGUCUCCACUUCUGUUGGUUGCAGCGGCGGAUGGCCCUGCUGCUGUUGUCUGCGUCCGGUGGAGCCGCUGAAGAUGGAGGGGUUGCCUUGGCUUCUCGGGUUUUUGGCUGCUGAAUCCCCAGCGAGGACGGCUGCUCCGGGUGGUCUGUGCGGCUGAAAGGGGAGGGGUUUCUUGGCUGGUGAGAGGCAGCAAUGGGGUUGUCGGGUUGAAGAUUGAGGGGGCGGCUUCGGCUGUUGUUUUGGAUUUGUUUGUGGCCGAGAGAAAGGGAACGGCGGAGAAAAGAUGUAAACAGGGGGAGGCUGGUUCGGGUGGGCCGGUUUUUUUGGGUCAGAAAAAAUCAAACCGAGGAGCAACUCCGGGAGACCAAAAAUGAAAACCAGGGGGGGCGGCUGGUGUGAAGAAAAAAGUUUUUUUUUUUUUAGGGUUAGGGUUUCUGUAUUUUUUUCUUCUAUAAGUGUCAAAAUUACCCCCCCUUUUGCAAGUGUUGGAAACAGUAUUUAUAGACAAAAUUUUUGCUAGGUUUUCAACUUGGUCCCUCAACUUCUUUUUUUUUUUGUAAAUUUUAUUUUUCUUAUUUUUGUAAUUUUUUUGAAAAACGAGCAAUAUCAACGUCGACUCAAAAUGCGGAAAAUCAAUGAUUUUAAAAAAUGACGCGUGAAAAGUCGAACGCGUUUGAAAAAUUAAAUUAUUUAAAUCAAAAUUAAUUCUUUCUAGACGACGCUGAAAAUGCUAAAGACGGGAAUAUAUUAAAAAACAUAUUUUUUGGAUUUUCAUUGUUUUUCUCUAUUUUUUGGAUUUUUUAAAAUAUAUCAAAAACAUGGGUCAAAAAUUGGGUAGCAACAGGAGCAUGACAUUGCCCAAAAAGAGUAAGCCCAUUUGACAAUAUAUCUAUGACGACGUUCAACCAUGCCAUUUGUUCAUUGGUGUGCGGGUAGAGUACACGUGAUGAAUACCAAUUGGUUUUAAAAUACAUAUUGAGUUUUCGGUAUUCACCACCCGCCAAUCUGUUUGACAGAUUUUAUUUUUAAAGAAAAUUGGUGCUCAACAAGCGCUUGAAAUUGAUGAAAAUAUUAAAAAAUCAAACUUGUCAACUGUUGCUACCGAAUUUUGACCCAUGUUUUUGAUAUAUUCAAAAAAAUUCAAAAAUAGAGAAAAACAAAGAAAAUCCAAAAAAUAUGUUUUUUUAAUAAAUUUUCGCCAUUUUAGCAUUUUCAACGUCGUCUAAAAAAGAAUUUAAAUUUUUAAGGGUUUUUCGAAUGCGUUCGACUUUUCACGCGUCAUUUUUAAAAUCAUUGAUUUUCCUCAACGAGUCGACGUUGAUAUUGCUCGUUUUAAAAAAAAUACAAAAAAAUUAAGAAAAAAUCAGAUUUAUAAAAAGAAAGAAAUUGAGGGACCAAUUUGAAAACCUAGCAAUAUUUCCACCUAUAAAUACUGGUUUCCUCAACACAUUCAAGGGAGGGGGGGCAAUUUUGAGAAUUGAGGGGAGAGACAACCCAAAAACAAAACCCUAAUUCUAUCUCUUCUCCAAGCCGCCGCUUGGGACCCCCCCGGCUCCCUUUGAAUUUUUUUUCUCCUGAAGCCAAGCCGGCCGCCCCCCUCCCCUGCCUUGAAUUUUUUUUUGAUCCCCCACACAGACCCCUCUAACGAAAACAGCCACAACCGCCUUACCAUCUCCUCCCACUCUCCCUCACCCUUUGCCAAACAAACCAGCCGCCACUCUCACUCUCCCUUUCCCCGGCCAAGACGCCUAAUCUCCCUCAUCCCUCUCUCGGUUGCAAAAAAAAAAAAAGGGACCAAACCAGCCUCAUUUCCCUUCCUUCUCCCCUCAACCGCAACCUCUGACCAUCUCUCGAUCACCCACACUCCCCUCUCUUUCAGACCAAACAAAUCACCUUCUAAUUUUCCUUCUCAGCCGCCAACCCCCACCUGGAUUUUUUUUUCUUUCUUCUUCCUCUUUCCUAGCUGGCUUGCUAACAACCACAGCAGCCAUCCACUUCCCUCUCUCGGGUGCACUCUGACCGACCUCUCUCUCAGCCACCGAGAACACCGCCUUCCAGCCCGCAGGCCACGGUCUCCCUCCUCAACACAGACGCGAUGAAGCUUCGUUCAUCGGCGCAGAUCGGCCUCCAGCAACGCCGUCCAUAUCCGGCCACAAAUCCACCAUCCACCAGCCGCCGUCCAACUACCUGCAACAGAGAAGAAGACGGCGAAGCCUCAAAAAUAGAUCCCAAAACCGAGAAGAAACCGACCACCUGAAGAAGGAGAAAAUGGCAAACUGAGAGAGAACAUAAGGAUUUGAACGGAUCUGAAAAAUAACCAAAUAAAAUCGACUGCUUGUGUUCUUUUCUUUGUUUGCUGGUGAUGCUGGUGUUACCACCAGCAGAGAAGAGAAGAGAAGGAGAAAACAGGGCAGAUCCGCCCGUUUCCGGCAUGUUCGGCGGCACGUGAACCCACGCGCCGCCAGUGACUGGGGCGCGUGUGAAGACGCGCCGCCGCUGUUCCAGCGGGUGGCCGAAGGGCUUACCUGUAAUUUUUGGAGUUUAGGGACUAUUUUGUAAUUUGUAAAUUAUGUAAUGUAAUUUUUGUUUAAUUUGAAUUGUUUUUUUUAUAUAUAUAAUUUGUAAUGUGGAUGUACAAAAAGAAAAGAAUAUAGAAAAAAAGAAAAGAAAAGAAAAGAAAAGAAAAAUAUAGUAAAAGUGAAUGUGGGUGUUUGUAUUUUGUUUUAUUUAUUUGUAUAUAUUUUUUUAUGAUAAAAUUGCAAAUAUAUUAAAGAAGAAUUUAAUAUUUUGAUCGGAUCACGGUUAAGAAUUAUUAACUUAUACGUAAGUGAUAUUUCUAAUUUCCGAUGAAAAGACAAUUAUUAAAACUUUUUUAACACAUCAAAUUCGUGAAGCAGCUUACCUCAGGUAGGGUGCGUUAGGGGUGCUAAUACCUUCCCUAACCACAACCAGUCCCUUGCCCGCGAAUCUCUGACAAGACCAGUACAUCCGGUUUCCUAGUAGCCUUCAAUAAAUUACUAGGUGGCGACUCCAACGAACCAAUUCAUGCAACCACAACAACGAUAAAAAUUGCCAGCCCGAUGCCGAGCGCGGAUUUUCCGACGUGCGACAUCAACCAUCGGAUAAAACCAGAUAAACUUUGUAUGGGGCAUCCACAAAAAUAACAAAAUAGAGAAAAUUGUAUGAUGACAACAUAGGAAAGGGACCCAGGCUUCACUAAAAUUAAAUCAAGAGGAGCUAGAGUUUGAUGACCUGUAGUUUUAAAGUCAGACGACACAACUUGCCGAGAGGACACAAGACAAUUAAAAUUAAAUUGUUUUGACUUAUAUAACAUCUUUUUAUUUUUCACCAAAAAAUGCAAAAUGCAUGGACUGGGAUGCCCAAGCUGACGAUGUCAAAUAUUAGUGGAAGUAGAGAGGCAUGUAGAUGAGAAAGCCUGAGGCAUCGACAUUACAGACAACUCGGACCAAACAUAUAGACCAUCUCUACUCUAACCGGAAAGAAGCACUUUCUUUGUCAUGAGGUCCUUAACAUAAAAUAGACAGAAAUGAAAUUCAAAAAACACGUUAUUCUCAAGGAAAAUUUUUUUAACAGAUAGCAGAGGUUUUUUAAUGGCAAGAACAUGUAAAAUAUUAGAUAAAGUAAAGGUGCGUUUUUAUGAAUGAAUUUUAGAGUGAGCAAUAUUGGAAAUAACAAGGCCCUUACCAUCACCAACAUGAAGAUGAUCAUUACCAAGGUAACGUUCUGAACUCAUCAUACUAGCAAGAUUUGGCGUUACAUGUUGAUUUGCACUCAUAUCAGGAAACCAUGUGAUAAGAGACGUUGUAGGGGCAUUAUUAAAUGCGAGAUUGACAUUGGCUUGGAGAGGAUGAUUAGCCAACUAAGAGCACUGUUGGGCAAUGUGCCCAUAUUUAUAACACAGCUGACACUUUACAUUGAGAUUAUCCCCACCAAAAUGGUUACCUUACUGCCUAAAUUGUCCUGUUGUCUAAGAGGGAGAUCCAGAAAACUGUCUUGAGGAGAAUUAGUGUCCCUAUUGCCUAAAUUGUUGACCUGAGGUAUAACUGCUAUUGCCAUUAUUUCCACAAUAAGCAUUUUUUGCGAUUAUUAUUAUUUCUCUAGCCCCCACGAAAAUUGCCUCAUCUAGCAGUAUUGAAGCCAAAGUGAUUCUGCACAAAGAAUGCAGUUGGUUGUUGCGUUGUGGGUGUCGCACGUGUGCGGCGGCGCGGCGAUCGUCCACCCUCAAGGAAAAAUCAGAAUAUUUAUUCCAAGCAAAUAGGGAGAGACAAGGAAUUCUUGUGUCUAUAAGUGAAAAUAUGGAUUGCGAGUCGCCACCUAGUAUUCUGGUUACUAGGAACCUUAACUGGUCUUUAGAGAUCGGGUACGGAGACUGGUUGCGUAAAAGGAAGGUAUUAGCACCCCAACUACGCCCUACCUAAGGUAGGCUGCAUUGUUUUAAUGUCUGAUAAAAUCUAAAAUCGUGUUGUGGUUUUUGAAUUGUUGGUUCGUUUACAGUUUAAGAAAAGUCCUCCUCUGUAAGGAGAUCCUUAUCUUUAUCGGGUAAAAAACUAACUAUUCGAAGUCGUCAAAAGAAAAUAUCUUUUUAAUAUCAGGAAUACGAUUUAUGUAUAAAUUCAUAAUCCCUGAUACUAAAAUCAAACAAAAUAAAAUAUUUUGUUGUUUUUGAGAUUUUGGCCAAUGUUCUCUUGACUUUAAUAAACUGGUUAUUAAAACCAAAAUGCAUGCUAAAAUAUUGUUUUUUGACAUAUGAAAAAUACGAUAUGAUUUUUUGAUUUGAGACACUUGGCCGUAUGCACAAAAACAUUUUUUUUCUCUUUUUUGUUUUUAAUUUUUUUGUAAUUUUGAAAGUUGUGACGAAAACCGGGUAUUUUAAUACUGGAUUUAUAUUUUUACGAUGUAAAAUACUACCCGAUAUUAAUCAAAAUGACAUAAAAACUGCACGGAAAAAUUAUAAAAUGCUGAAGCAAAUAUUUUUUAUUUUUUUCUUUUUGAAUGGGCCGAGUCAGGCCCAAAUACAUGUGUGAACAGUGCUGUAAAAUGCCACCUGAUAUUAAUAAAAAAAAUGUGCUGGAAAAAUUAUACAAUUUUGUAUAUAAAAAAAAAAUGAAACUGAAAUGGGCCGGACCCGGCCCAAAUGCAUGGGCUGGGCCAACGGCCCAGACCAGGCCCAAACGGGCUGGCUACUGUGCAUAAGCACAGUAACCAGCCCUUCGUUAUUUGCAGAACGUGAAUUAAUUCACGUUUUGCAUGAAGGUGUUGGCGACCAUAAGCAAAGGGAGGCAGAGGCGGGGCAACAGGAUGGCGUACCUGCGGUGGCGUCGAGGUGAUGCUGCUGGCGGCGUUGGCACGGUGGCCGGUGGUUUUCCUUCUCUUUCUCUCUUCUGUUUUUUUCUCUUUUUCUUCUGUUUCUGUUUUGUUUCUCUUCUCUCUUCUCUUCUCUCUUCCCUCUCCCUUUUGCUGUGUUCUCUCUCUCUCUUCUGUUUUUUUCUCUUUUUCUUCUGUUUCUGUUUUGUUUCUCUUCUCUCUUCUCUUCUCUCUUCCCUCUCCCUUUUGCUGUGUUCUCUCUCUCUCUCGUCCUCCCUCCUGUUUGGUCUGCUUCCCCUGUUUUAAUAGGCAAAAACAGGGGAAGGACAUCAUGGUGGGGCGGCCACUGUUGGCCGCCCCCUCCACUAUCGAUCAGUGGAGAAAAAGGAGGCAAGUGGGCGUCGAAUGGUGGGCGUAUUAUUGCGUAAAAAAUGAGAAAGAAAGUUCGGCGAAAAGUGGAGAAAAAAAUUAUUCUCCCCUGUUCUCUGCGUGCGCAGGGAAGAAGACGAUGGUGCCAUUUCAAAAUGGCAUGAAACAAUGCAUGAAACGGCGCCGUUUUGGUCAAAACGUGCCGUUUGAUUUAAAAGAAAAAGGCGCCAAGAUGCGUCAGAUAUCAAAGAAGUCCCUUAAUUGGCGCGCGUUUUGCAUUUUAGUCCUUGGUCUCGGAUUUCUUCAAUUAAGUCCCUAAUUGGGCAUUAAACUUCAAUAUUUAUGCAAUUAAGCCCCUGAUUUGACCAAUUUAACUUCCAAAAAUUAUAAUUUGACCCCAGAAAAUUAAUUUCUUCUAAUUAAAGCCCAAAUUAACUCCAAAAUCAAUUUUUUUUUGCAAUUAAAACCUCUAUAAAUUCAAUUAAACCUUCAAUAAAAUUUAAUUGAGUCCAUAAACUUCUAAUUUUGCAUUUUUCUUCCUCAAAUUGAAUUUUCUUUAUCAUCGGGGCUCUCAUCAGUCAAUGAUAUACUGUCAAAAAUUAAUUUUUAUAUUUUUGAACAUCCUCAAUCAAUUUUGAGCAUUUUUAGGGCGCUCUGACAUUUUUUUCACUGUUAUAUUUUUUUAUAAUGUAUUUUUUUUAUUUUUUGUAUUUUAUUAUUUUUUAUGUGGGGACCUAAAAAUGGGUUACAACAGUCGGUAACAGAGGUGCUAUUACGAUUGGUUGGAGAAUAGCUUUAUGGAGAAAUUCAUAUGUAAGUAGUUUGCUAUGGAGAUCAGUGUAGGAGAUGGGAUCAACCUUAGUAGACAAGUUGGUGACAAGAUCUUUAAACUCGCAGCGUAACCCUCGAAACACAUGCAGGUAGAAUUCUGCCAAGGAGAUUGGUCUGUCAGCCACCACAAGUUCAUCAAACAAUGCAUUUGCCUUCUACAAGUAGGUGCUAACAAAAUCAUCAUGCUGGCGUAACUCUUGGAAGGAACCGUGAAGUUGCAUGAUCAUGGAAUUCGAAGGAGAAGCAAGAGUUGUUUCUAGCGUUCUCCAGAUAUCAUGGGAGGUGUUAUGUAGGUCAAAAAAAUUUAAUUUUAAUUGUCCUGCAUGUCCUACUUGGUCAUUAGUGCCCUGUCAUCCGUCUAUAAAUGUGAUUGGUAAUAGAUGGGUGUACAAGAUUAAACGCCACGCAGAUGGUCGAAUUGACCGAUAUAAAGCAUGGUUUGUUGCCCGCAACUUCUCUUAGCAAGAAGGGAUUGAUUAUUUGGAGAUGUUUAGCCUGGUCGUUAAACCUACAAUGGUUCACCUUGUGCUCACUAUUGUUGUCUUAUAUGGUUGGAAUAUUCACUAGUUGGAUGUUCAUAAUGCUUUCUUGAAUGACAUUCUUCAAGAGGAGGUAUACAUGGCAUAACCACCUGAGUUUGUUGAUUCUACUAUUUCAUCUCAUGUGUGUCGUCUUCACAAAUCUUUGUAUGGCUUGAAACAAGUACCUCGAGCUUGGUACAACCGGUUGAGCGGAUUUCUCCUUUCCAUUGGAUUUCAAGCAUCCAAGGUUCACACUUCCCUGUUUAUUCUCUCUCUUAAUGGUGCCAUGAUUUAUUUGCUUGUGUAUGUGGAUGAUAUUUUACUGAUCGGGAGUAACUCAGCUUUGCUUCAUAGAUUGAUUAUUUUACUACAAACAGAAUUUAAGCUUCGGAAUUUGGGUUCUGUUCAUUUCUUCUUGGGUAUUGAAAUUAAACCUACAGCUAUGGGUAUCUUAUUAAGUCAACACAAGUAUGCACUCGAUAUUAUCCAAUGAGCAGGUAACUGGUUGAUACAGAUUGUUGGAGCACUGCAAUAUCUUACUUCCACUAGACCUAAUAUUUGCUAUGUAGUCAACAAAGUAUGUCAAUUUAUGCAUGCCCCUACUAAAGAUCAUUGGGUUGCCGUUAAAUGUAUCCUACAUUACCUGCAGGCUACAGCAACCUAUGGUCUGUACAUUACUCGAGACUUUCUCUUAACUCUUCAUGGUUUCACAAAUGCUGAUUGGGCAGGUAGUAUUGACGAUCGCAAAUCCAUAGGUGGGUAUCUUAUGUACCUUAGUUCUACCCCUAUUUCAUGGAAAUCCAGGAAACAACACAUUGUUGCUAGAUCUUCUAUGGAAGUAGAAUACAAAGCCUUGGCUAAUGGUACUGCUGAAAUUUUGUGGAUUCGUUCUUUAUUGGCAGAACUUUGGAUUUCCGCUUCAUCCAUGACUACGUUAUGGUGUGAUAACUUAGGGGCCACUUUCUUAUCUACCAAUUUGGUGUUCCACGCUCCUAAACAUGUUAAAGUUGAUUAUCACUUUGUUUGUGAUUGCGUUGCUAAGAGAGAAAUUCAGAUACAAUUCAUCUCUUUAAAGGAUCAACUUGUUGAUGUUCUUACCAAGCCUCUCCCUCCAGUCUCGUUUGGUUAUGUUUGAUCCAAUCUUCAGGUGGAAUCUCCACCUUCAGCUUGACGGGGUGUAUUAAGAAAAGAGACCACAUAUAUGUAAAUACAUUAUAUAGGGAUAGUUAUCAUGUGUAGUACAUUCCACCAUUGUAUUGUAUACAACCCUAAAGGUAUAAAUACAAAGGGAUGGUUGUUUUAUCAAUCAUUGAUCACAAUUAUACAAAAGACUAUCUUUCUAAUCUUGACAUGGUAUUAGAGUCUUGAUGACCAAACGGUCACGAGUUCGAAUCUCACCAUCCUCAUUUAUUUGAUAAAAAUUAAGCACAAGGUAAUAUAGGUUUGUGCAAUUUUCAAGCCCAAAGGGUUUUUACUUGAAGGGGUGUGUUAGAAAAUAAUGUAAAUCAUAUCAUGAGACCUCACCUAACAGCUUAAGCUAUUAGGUUGAGAUUAUUCUUUGAUACCAAGAUAAUUGGUCUAUCAAGACUAACAAGAGUUCUCUUAAGAUUGUCAGUUAUUUCUUCAUCAGUUCAACAUCCAAUCUGCUCAAUAUUGUUACUUACAAUUUUUCUUUAAGAAGAAAAAAGAAUACAGUGCUUAUAACUGGGAUGGGGGUCCUACCAGAUCUUUAGUUUUCCUCAAUAGAUUUUGUAAGAUUAUCUAAUUGCUUCAAGUACAACACUUAGAAUAGGAUUUUGAAGUCUAAGUAAGUUCUUAGUGAAAGCUGGAUGCUGUAAAAACAAAACACUACAAAAGACAUUAACCUAACCAACUUGUGUUAACUAGAAUCCCGCUUUUUGAUCAAUUAAUUUCCAAACUAGAUUUACUAACUAUAAUUUUGAGGAUAACAACAUAUUUAAGCUAAGGUAGUGGAAGACUUUAACCAAUGAGGCAGUUUCUGAAAAUUUCUUUUCUAAAUAAAAACUAAAUAUUUUUCAUUAAAAAAUAUAAAAAUGGCUCCGUAAGUGAGGGAAGAUGAAGUCGUGUUGUGUGCAAGCAGCAUAAGAAGAAAGAUGAACUAGGUUUGACCAACCUUGACAAGCAUUCAGUUGAGCUACCAAUUAAUUUCUGUUGGCUAAAAGAUGCAAAUAAACAAUGAAUUGAACUAAAUACUCAACAAUAAACAAGGUCCCGUUGGAAAAAAUGCUCCUCGAAUUAUUAACAAAUACACUAAAAGAACUUGACUGCGCAAUAUUCAUAUAAUAACCUAAUUUAAAAUAGAGAGAUACUACUAAGAGUUAAGAGGAGAGAUGGGAGGAAAAGUUGAAUAGAAACAAAAGCAUUUCACACCUUUAAAGUUUGAAAGUUACUGAAGUUUGAAGGAGAUAAUUGAAGGGAGGAGAAUGAGUGCAGGCGGUGAGAAAAAAUAUAAUAGAAAGAAGGGGAAAUGUUAUUUAUAUAAAAAAAUAUUUAAGAUUAUUUAUAUAUUUAGGAGGCUGCUUUUGCGUCAACUGGACAACAAGAGGAACUUUAGAAGCAUGGGCUUCUUUCACUCACGAGGAUUCACACCAAGAAAAGCUUGAAGCUUUGCAUUUUAAUGGAAGAAUUGAGCCUAGAGGUGUAAGUAGCUUUUGGGACCCAAUUUCUUGGAAUCAUAUCUCUUGCAAACAUUGCUCUUCCUGUUGAUAGUGUUGUUAACUUCACAGAUAAUGGUCCUUUCUAUUGAUAAUUAUAGGUAUAUAAAGAAUUGAAUAUUGAUGAUAAUCAGAAAAACAAAGAACAGAGAAUUUGAGCAAAGAACAAAGAGCAGAAUGUUUUUUAUAAGUUACUGCCAUCCCUUAGCUUUUAUUUACAAAUGAAAUCAAUCACAACAAAAUUAAAAAACGCAACUAACAUAAACUCCUUCAUUUAAAGAGUUAUGUAACUUAUCCUAAAGAAGUUUCAAAUCGAAAAAAGUAAAAAUUGACUAAACAACAUCAAGAUAAUGAUGUUACUAAUAAAUAGAUAUUAAUGAAAGAUAACCUACAACUGAUACAUUAAUUUCAGCUUUGGUGCCAUAACUUCAACACUCCUCCUUGGUUCCAAAGCUGCAUAUCCAUAUCCUCUCCCUUAGAUCUUCAAAUCUAUCUUUAGCUAAAGGCUUGUUGAACAGGUCUGCUAAUUGCUCUUUUGAAAUGCAGUAUAUCAUCUUUAGUUCCCCUUCUUGCUGGAAUUACUUGAUAGCAUGGAACUUAAUCUUCAUAUGCUUGGUCUUGUCAUGAAAAAUAGAAUUCUUUGAAAUAGCUAUUGCUGAUAUAUUGUCACAUAACAAUUUUAUGGGACUUCGUUGAUGAAAGUCUAGAUCAUUCAACAUUUUCCUUAGCCAUAUCAAUUGCUUUGUUGCCACAUAUGCUGCUACGUAUUCUACCUCUACAGUGGAAUGUGCAACCACUGAUUGCUUCUUUGAGUUCCAACAAAAAAUGCUUCCUCCAAUAGCAAAGCAAUAACUUGAGGUGCUCAUCAUUUUUUCAUUUCUUCCAGCCUAAUCACUAUUAGAAAAACCAAUUAGUUUAACAGAACUUGAUUUCACAAAAUGCAUGCCAAACUCUAAGGUCCCUUUUACAUAUCUCAGAACUCUCUUGGCUGCAACAAAAUAGAUUUGAUUUGGACUUUGCAAGAACCUAGAGAUGUAAUUGACAACAAAAACAAUGUCUGGACGUGUAGCAGUUAAAUACAACAAGCUGCCAACUAAACUUCUAUAGGUUUUUCCAUCAGUUUUGGGAGAUUCAUCCUCCUUCAUUAGCUUUUGUUCCAGUACCAUAGUACCAUAGGUGUACUGACUGGUUUGCAAUUUUCAAUUGCAAAAUUUUUAGUAGCUUUAUUGUAAACCUCUUUUGACAUAGAAAAUAACUUUGCUCUAACUGAGUUACUUCCAUGCCUGAGAAUUAUGACAGCAAACCAAGUUCAUUAAUCUCAAACUAAUCAUCAAAUGACAACGUGGGACACAAUCUGCAUUAUAUAUUGUAUUCUCUUCUGUUGAUGGAGGGUGGUGUUUGCUGUAUUUGUUAGAACAAAAUAUUUUUUUAAAUUGCUCGUCCUUUUACCUUGAAAAAAAUCCUGCAGCAGGGAUGGGAUGGAUGUUUGUUGAUUUUAUCGUAAUGCACCGUGUCAAUGAUUUUGGGACGGCCAUUUUAAUACUGUUCAGACCAACCAAGCUGUUGAUAUCUUUAAUUAACAUUCGUAUCUUAAUUUGAUUAUUAUUAUUAUUUUUUUUACUCAAUCAAACAACAACAACAGGAGUCUAGUAAAUACAUGCUUAAAAUAUAUAUAUAUAUAUAUAAGUAGAAGUGCGCAUACAUUCAAUUGGAAACUCAAGAGUUAUUACAAAGUUCAAAUUAUUACCACAAUCGCUAGCCAGACACAAUCCAAGAUGUGAUCGAUCCCAAAAUCCCGACCUCUGAUCUUACUAAAGAUUGUGCUUUAUCUUGUGAUCAGAGAGCUUUCUCUUGAGAUCAGAGGGUAUAUUACGCAGCCACCACCUACUGUAGAAAAACAAGAAAAUUAAGUAGUAGAUAUAAUGCAAGAGCACUAGUAGAAGAACCGGGUUGCCAAAUAGCAGGAUAAUCGAAGGAAAAACAAAGGCCACCCCUGCAAUGAUGAUUGUUAACAUCCAACCAUGGGAUCCUAUUAAUGCUAUUCUCACAGAAAAAAGGAAUGCCCCGAACAUCAUGAAAAUAGCCAAACAAACCAUGAUAAUUGAAAACCCAACUGUAGAGAUUUGAAAUCUGGGAAUAUUAAAGUUUGCACAAGAAGGAAUAGAGCUGCCGCCAGAGAGGUAGAUAAAGCCCCCACAUCGAGAAACAAAUAACCAUACAGAAGAUUCUCAUAAGUGCUGUAAUCGGAGGCAGUAUAAGUGACGUUAAAUUCAUGACGAUGAUCACUUGAGUUAUUGUUAUCCCUUAAUUGUGGCAAUUGUAUAGCACCCGCAAAGGUUACUCCAGCAACAAGCACUGCCACCACUAGAAGAUUCCCUGUCAUGCUCUUUGUUUCCUCUUUUGCUUUUGACAUGGGUAGUGGAGUAACAUGGAAAAACCUCUUUAGGGAAUUCUUAGGUCGGGCAUUGAAGAAUAAGAUCGAUAAUGUCAGCACCUGCAUAUAUAGCACGGGGAAAUUAAAAACUUAAUUGUUUAAUGAGUUCUUGGCACUUCCUCAAUUGCAUCUAAAAACGUUGACCUUCGAAUGCCUUUCCCAGAACAAGUAAUUUUCUGGAAUGGUUUAGAAUGUUUUAAUAUAAUGGUUUACGAGUUAAAUCGAUUGUUUUGUUAAAAGAUUAGGGAUGGCAAGGAAAAAAGAAGAAGCAAUAAUACCAAUGGGAGAUACAAAACCGUUAUUUCGUCCUUUGGUGAUGCCUCUUUUGUAUCCAUCUUAUUUGAAUCAAUUUCUUUGCCCUGUCAAAAUAAUAAUAUUAUUAUUAUUAUAUGUGAAAAUGCAGUGCUCUCCUGUGUGCUAUGGCUAGACAACAAUCGAAGCAAAUGAAACUGGUUCAUGUUUGAAAAAAAGUCAUUUGACAUUAAAUGGUUUUGAUUAAAAUAAUAUAUUUAUUGAAGAUUUUUUAUUUCGUGUUGCGAGAUACUUUUAAUUUUUUUAUUUAAUUACAUGACAAUAAAAAUUAAUUUUAUUAAAUAAUUUAAAUUCUAUUAUUGAAAAAAAAAGGUAUCUAUAUUUUUUUUAAUCAAAACCAUUUUCCUUAUUAAUACGUUCCAUUUUUUUUACUAAUGUUUUUAUAAAAUUGUUUUUUUUAAUAACAACCUAUCAUAAUCUUAUAAAUAAUUUUUAAUUUAAAAAAUAAAAUAAUUAUGGAUUGAUGAUUUUCUUGAAAAAAAAAAUAUUAAAUCAGUAAUACUCCUAAAAUAUAUAGACUUUUGUAGCUCGAUAAAUGAUGAUCAAAUUAGUAGCUUACCAUUUCAUCUGUUUUUAAGUAUUCCUCUUCAGAUCUUUUGGAAAAUUGUUCAGCCCACUCAUAUGGUGUCCAAUUUUCAUUGUUAACAAUGAAAUGUUCGACGCGAUUGUCACGCACAAGAAGAAAUGUAGCCGCGCAUCGGCCAUAACCUGCUGCCAAGUGCAAAGGUGUAUUUCCAUCCUCAUCUAUCGCAUUUAGCAGCGGUGCGAUGAGCUUCUGGUCCAGCUUGAGUAUGUACCUAACCACACUGUCAUUUCCAUAUUUGGCCGCUACAUGAAGAAUGUUCUGCCCUUUUUUAUUUAUGAAUUCGUUUGGAUAGGGGAUAACUUUCAGGAAUUCCUUUAACAAAGCAACCGAGCCUCCCUUGCAUGCAAGAUGAAUAGGAUAGUUGCCCUCUUGGUCAGUUUCAUCAGCACCGGGAUGAUACUUUUGUAAUAGGAAUUGAACUCCUUCCACAUAGCCUGUAGAUGAUGCAUAAUGGAGUGGAUUUCCAAACUCUUUGUCAUGGAGACGUAAUAACUCUGGCUUUGCUUCUUCGAUUUUCUGCAAUAUACCUGAAAAUAAAAAUAAAUUGUUUUGAAUGAAUUUAAAGAUAGGUUUGCAAGAUUGGUUUGUAUGUAUAUCACUUUUCUGAUGAGAGGAGACAAUGUGAUCACCUAUGUUACGGUUCUUGAUGGCAGCAUGAACAGGGGACUUUCCUUGUGGUAGCAUGCCAAGUGAAUCUCCAUCUUCUCUUUCUCUAGGGAUCGAAGCUUCCUCAUUCAAGAGAUCAUCAAGAAUCCCCUUCAUAUUGCGAUUUUCAACAGCCAGAUAUAAAGGAGACCUGCCAGUCUUGUUUUUGUAAUAGGCCACUUCUGGAUCUCUGGACAUGAGGAAUUUGGCAACAUCUUUGUUACCAUUGAUCACUGCAACAUGCAAAGGAGUGUUUCCUUCUCUAUUUGUCGUCCUCAGCAAGAAAGCAUUCGAAUUGACAAGGUUUCGAAUUGCAUGACUAAUACUUCCCUCUCUGGCAGCAACAUGAAGGAUUGUGUCUUGCUGGUCGUUUCGGCUGGUGAUUAGAGAAGGGAUCUCUUUAGCCAGGUAAGCAGUAAUAUUAUUACUUUCAUACCUUAUGGCUACAUGAAGUAGCGAAUUCCCACAGGGAGUCACUAGCUUCUCCGCUAAAUGUUGCUGGACACGGCUUUUAAAUUCCUCAAUAUUGUCCUGCUUCACGUACUCAUAUAACUUACUAUCUAUCUUUUUAUUUGCCAUGUGAUCUCUCGGAAUCGAGCUUCCAACUAUGUUUAUUGCUACGCUAGACAUAGCGAAAGAAAAUAUUAUUUGACCUGAAUCAGCUAUACAUAUCAGACGGCAGGACUUCUAAUUUAAAUAGACCAGACUGCAUGUCAAUGGAAUCUGAAAUAAUGUGAAUCUUACUCUUUUUUUUUAUUUGCAAGGAUAUAUACUUUGAUUACUCAAAUACUUCACGCAUUUGUUCUGGAAUCCAGAACAUAGCAAGAGAGAGAGAGAGCAGUCUUGGCUAUGGUUAAAGCAGCAUCUUGAAAAGGAAAAGGGGAAAAUCUGUCCCCUAACUCAAAAAAGAUGAGUGUUCCUAGGGAAAUUCUUAGCUUAAAUUUGUAACUCAAAAAAGAUGAUUGUUGUUAGGAAAAUUCUUAACUUGAAUAUAUAACGCAAAGGAAAUUCUUAACUUGAAUAUAUAACUCAUAUACACUGUGCAGGUGGGAGAAUCCAUGGUUUAAUGAACAUGAUGAUGCACGAUGGCAUGAGAGUCCACAUCUUAUACCUUCCGGUGAUUUAACCAAUUAAUUCAAAAGUUUUAAACUCUCAUGUUAAAAUCCAAGAAUACAGUUUUAUAAUUUUUAUUAUUUUAAUGGGAGAUCUCGUGUGCGUUGGACUGCAUUAUAUAUGUAUAUAUAAACGAAUUUUCAACUAUUGAUUUGGAGUGUCGAUUUAAAGUAUUGUAAUAGCUUAAGAUGUUUAUUGAAUAAGAUGAAUCUAGCUAAGUCUUGGCUUUACCCAGCAUGAACAUUUUCUUUUUAGUUACAUACCUAAUAUGAAUUUCAUUUUGUAGUAAAAGUAUGGAACUGAUGGUAAAAAAAAUAAUAACUAGUUUUUUUAAAAAAAAAAAAAGCUUUGGAACGUUCUGUGCCUUGCCCAGACACUUGUUGGUCGCCCAUUGGACAGCAAGACCGAUUGGUUGCCCAACUUGCCUAGCAACCAACCAACUUAUCUCUCUCUCUCUUUCUUUUUCUUAUUUUUUUUCUCUUUUUAAUUUUCUCUCCUCUGUUUUUCAACAAAUAAAACUACAUGCCACGAACUCUAUAUAUUAUUUUUUUAUAAUAUAAUUUAAUUGUCUUAAUACAAGAGUUAAUAUAUUUUCAUAGUUUUGGAGCACUAAUUAGACAUAAAAAAAAAGAUACAAAUUACAUUAAAAAGCAGGUUCGGAAGGUUCAACAAAAGUAACCUGCUAUCAAGCUAUAAGCCUGAAAAGAAUAAUAAUGAGAGGGUGAGUUCAACAACUCAGUGAGUAAAUAAUAUUCAAUAUACACACACGAGGUAAUACAACAAUGAUAAUACAUAUACAAUUAUGGCUCUAGGUUCUUAUAGGAAGGUUUCUCAAAUAGAUCAUAACAAGAAUAUCAUAUGGUAAAGCUCGUCAAAAAAUCAAAAUGCAAUAAGCAUGAGCUCCGUACUGUGGGAUGAUCAGUCACACAGGUUGGUGACUCCCCGACCAACUAGGGUUCAUAUACGAUAUGCAAAGACUAACAUUACCCUGUUAGCAUGGUAUUCUGACUGACAUACAUAGGUUCAUAAUCAUAAUCAAACAAACAUAUUCAUAUCUCAAAGCUCAACUCAUGACAUCAAUCAAAUGAGGAGCUAUCAAUUCAAAAGUCAAUUCAAAAUAUAUACUGGUUCAUAUCAAGAAUUCAGAUUCAAUAAUUGAUCAUGCUUUAUCAUAACAAGGAUAAUAAUCAACAUAUAUAUUAUCAAGAAGCAUGAUCCAAUUCAUAUUAACAAAUCAAAUAUUUAUAAUAUUUCUCAUGCAUAUGAAAAAUUAUCCACUCACCUGACUCAAAAGCAAACGGCACUCAAAAGUUGAUACCGAAGGAAAUCCUACUAACGUCCCGCUAGUAAAAUAUCAGGAUUAUCUGAAUACAAAGGAGACAUAUUCAAGAACGACUCGAAAAACAUUUAACCUAUUUAAUACACUUAACUAAGGUGUAUUCCGUAACCCUAUAUGUUUUGAACUAACUAGUCAAUUUUCUCAAAAACCCAAAAUUUAAUGGUUUUCCCGAAAUCUAAUCCAUAAUAAAACAACUAAUAAAAUUGGUAAUAAUUCACUAAAUAACCUUAAUUAUUCACAAAAUAAUCUGCAAAAGCUAAUAUUACACUAGGGACUAAUCUGAAUUUAUCAUAUUUUUAGGGCCAAAUUGUAAUUUUCAUCUAAUUGGAGGACCAAACUAAACAUAUCAUAAAUUCAUGACUAUAGUGGAAUUAUGUCCAUAAUUCAUCCGCAUUUCUGUCCAGAACCUCUAAUUAUGCUCCAGGGACCAUUCUGGAUUUUUUUCCCAAAUUUUAGGGUCAAAUUGUAAUUUUUGUCAAAUGGAGGACCAAACUAAAAUUGUCAUAAAUCCAUGACUAUACUGAAAUUAUGACCAUAAUUAAUCCUCAAUUAUGUCCAGAAUAUCUCAUUAUGCUCCAGGGACCAUUCUAGAAUUUUACCAAAUUUUUAGGGUCAAAUGGUAAUUUUUUCAAAUUAGAGGACCAAAUUGAAAGUUUAAAAUUUCAUAACUAUACAGUAAUUCUGCCCAGAAUUCAUAUGUUAUUCUUUCAGAAUCUCGGAAUAUGCUCCAGGGACCAAUUUUUAAUUUUCCAAAGUUUGGGACUAAACUGUAAUUUUCACAAAUUAAGGGACCAAAUUGAAUUUUCGUCAUCUUCAACCUCCAACCCAGAAUUUUAAUAUAAAACCCACUGUUCUCUCCAAAUUUCUAACACAAAUUAACCAUUCAAACAAAAUCAUAACUCAAAAUCAUCAUCUUUCAAUUCAAUCUCUCAAAAUCAACCAAAUAAUCAAAUAUCAACACAACAAUUAACCCUGGUUUUGUUAUGUUAUUUAUUACCUCGACACUCCUGCACUUGGGAUAAGACAUUAAUCUUUUAAUCAUGUUGAAAAUUUAGAUUCCUUUUAUUUCUUAUCAUGAUCAACGACUUGUAGAUGUUUUUAUUAAGUUAUUUUCUAUUGUUUUUCAAUUCAAAUUUCGGGUCGAUUCUUCACCAUAUAUAUAUAUAUAUAUAUAUAUCAAGGAAAUAUUAAUAUGUUUAAUCACUGUUAUAUAAGGUGUUGGUUAACUAAUAAGUUAAUAUAUAAUUCCAUUCACAACAUGACACUUUGACUAUUUGUUUUUUGUUUUUGUUUCUUUUAAUAUAAGAACUUAUAUAGCCUAUCAUUGAUAAAUAAAUAAAUUAAAUUUGCUUUAAUGGAGUCAUUUUAAUUUGCUUUAACUCAACUUAUUGACAAUUUUCUCUUAAAAUUUAUUCAUUUCUGAUAAUAUAUUGAUAGAACACACAUAUUCAAUUCAUUAUUUCAACUGGAAACUCAAAAGAUAUUACAAGUUCAAAUUAUUAUUACAACAUCUAGACACACAAUAUUCCAAGAUGCUUUUUCACCCCUAACCUUCUAAAAAAAGGCGAUCACACAAAAUCAUGACAUCUGUUGAUGAAGAUCAACCUGGAUAGUUACUUGGGCUUUGUCCAGAGAUCACGAAGUNNNNNNNNNNNNNNNNNNNNNNNNNNNNNNNNNNNNNNNNNNNNNNNNNNNNNNNNNNNNNNNNNNNNNNNNNNNNNNNNNNNNNNNNNNNNNNNNNNNNNNNNNNNNNNNNNNNNNNNNNNNNNNNNNNNNNNNNNNNNNNNNNNNNNNNNNNNNNNNNNNNNNNNNNNNNNNNNNNNNNNNNNNNNNNNNNNNNNNNNNNNNNNNNNNNNNNNNNNNNNNNNNNNNNNNNNNNNNNNNNNNNNNNNNNNNNNNNNNNNNNNNNNNNNNNNNNNNNNNNNNNNNNNNNNNNNNNNNNNNNNNNNNNNNNNNNNNNNNNNNNNNNNNNNNNNNNNNNNNNNNNNNNNNNNNNNNNNNNNNNNNNNNNNNNNNNNNNNNNNNNNNNNNNNNNNNNNNNNNNNNNNNNNNNNNNNNNNNNNNNNNNNNNNNNNNNNNNNNNNNNNNNNNNNNNNNNNNNNNNNNNNNNNNNNNNNNNNNNNNNNNNNNNNNNNNNNNNNNNAACAAUAGAAUGUGUGAAACUCUUCUUACAUAAUCAUCAAAGAUCCAUUCGUAGUACAGUCAUAACGUCUGUAUCCAAUAAACUGCAAUUAAUCAUUAGGGACUAAACUUCAAAUCUGAUUCAACUCUUAGGGACCCAAUUUAAAUCUGAUUAUAAAAAUUAAGGACCAAAUCAUAACAAUUCAAACUCAAGGACCAGGCUAUAAUGAUUAUAAAUUUCCAUGGAUUAUAUUGUAUCUUUACCUUCUCCUUCUCGAGAGUUUCUGCCGAUUCUCCUUUAUCGACAUUGGCUUAAUCCUUCUGAAUCAUCUUUUAUUUCUUUGGGACAUACUAAUUGUGCGGUAAACGUAAAUGCACAUGCAAUGACCAUUACUAUCUUUUUUAUUUUUUUUAUCUUAAAAGUUAAUUUUAGUUGCUAAGAAAUGAUUAUUAAUCUAUAAAUAGUCAUAUAAAUUCAAUUUAUUUAUAUAAAAUAUAUUAAAAAAAAAGAUAAAUUACAAUAAUCUCUUGGAAGCAUUACAAAAUAAAUAAAUAAAAGAUUAAUUAUUUUUUAAAAAAAUAUAAACUAAACAAUUAAAAAAAUUAUUAAAAAAUUUAAAUAGAAAUUAAUAAAAUAUUUUUUUUAAAAAAAAAAUAUUAAGCAAUGCUGGGAAUAACAUACCAAGCCCACGCGCUAGGCGAGGAUAAAAAACAUAAGUGUGCUUGAUACUAGAAGCCCAAGCCAGCAUUCCGGCUAAAUUUUUUUUUUCUUUUAAAGUUAUUUCUUGAAAUAGACAAGUUGUUUAUUAUGCAAAAAUUAUUUUUAUCCUCUGCAUCUUUUUCCUGUUACCUCCUGUGUUUGAAAAAUAAAAGCUCAAGUUUUGAAACAUCAACUUCAUUAAACUUUCAUUAAAAGAUAAAUUUAUUAAUAACAAAGUCAAUCUUUUUAUGAUUGAAAUCUGUCCAUUAAAGUACUUUUUCUCUUUUUAAUAUUUUUCGCUAACUUUUUCUCUUCUCUUUCAAUGUUCAGACGCUAAAUUUUAUUUUAUUUUUUUUAAAAGGACUAAAAUGUGAAAUGCUAUAACAACAAGGAUUAAAUAAUAAAUAAGUUGAAACUUUAUAGAGAAAAUUAAAGUUUUCCAUACCAAUAUUCAAAUGGGGUUUUUUUUUAUUAAAUUUGGUCAAGUUCUUAAGUUUUGUUUUAACUAAACAUAAAAUUGUAUUUUGCAAAAUUAAUUUUUAAGUUAUCGUUGUAAAAUUUGUUGACAUUUUGUAUAUGUAAGACAAUGAAAAUUAAAAAAAAAAAAAAACAGAUCUUAACAUGUAAAACUGUUUUAAUAUAAUUUUGAAAGAUUAAAUUGAAAAUAUUAUAGUUUCAUGAUCAAAAUUAAAAAAAAAUAACAUUUGCAUGAAUAGUGUAAUGAAUAAUGAAUCUCGAUCGAGAGGAAGAGUAACAAUACACAGUAUUAAUAUUAAUUCCAUAAAGUAAUAAAUCGUAAUCCACUUUAAUUAUUCAAUUAAUCUAAAACUCAUAACAAUACAUACAAUCCCUUUCCUUUGAGAGUGCUUUUAUUUAUUUGCGAAAUUGCAAAUAAGUGAAUAACUACGAAAUGAGCAUUGUACCUCUAAAUCAAUGCUAGUUAUUAGGGGUGAAUAAAAAAAUUAAAAAAUCAAGAAAAUAAAAAAAAAAACGAUUAAAAUUUUUACAAAAAAACCGGCAAGUUCGGUUCAGUUUCAAUUUUAUAAGCCUAAAACUGAAAAAAUCGAACCGAACCAAACCGAACCGAACCCAAACCGAAAAAAACCGAGCCAAACCAGUAAAAAACGGAGCCAAACCGAGUCAAAAGCUAGUCAAAUCGAAAAAACCGAGCCAAACCAGUUUGAACCGGUUUUGAUCCUAAAAAACCAAACCGAAACCGAUCGGUUUGACCCAGUUUCGGUUCGGUUUUGGUUUUUUCUAAACAAAAAAAAUUAAUUUUUUUUUUUUUUUUAUAAAAACCGAAUCGAACUGCAAAUAAUCAUCCCUACCGCCCAUUAAUUUUCAAAUAAAGACAAUAUAGUCUAUUCACUCUAAUUAUUAUUUUUUAAUUCCAUCUAAGUCCAUAAUUCCUAGAGUUUUGUUGGGCCUUGGCGUUUUUUUUAGUAGGUUUCUACAGUUUUGUUCACAUUACAGCCUACCAUUUUCACGAUGUCUCCCUAUGGAUAAUCAUAUCUCACUUGAUUAUAUUUGAAAGCCUUUUGAGGUAAAGAUGAUAAGGUUUUUUAAUUUUUAUGGAAGGUCCAUCUAAUUUUUUAAUAUAAAAAAUCUUAUUUCUUAUCUUUAUUUUCAACGUAAAGUAUAUUAAUAAAAAGAUAAAUCUUAAUUUUGUUUCUUAUAUUCUUAAAUAUAAUAAUGUUCAUUGUAUUAUACAAAGGAGACCAACUUCCUCAAUGCAUAAGAAAUAAAGGAAUCGAAAAAGUGAAGUGAGGCUCACUUUCCUUCACCAGCAUAUACCAUGCGUUUACCUUUCCAAUAAUUAGAAGAAAGCGACUUGUAUGGAGAGAGCUUUCUAAAUUUCUUAUAUUGAAAUUCUAUAGGUGUCUUUACAUUUUGAUUACAGUUUUUUUUAUGCUUGCUUCAAUUAAAAGAAUUUUAAAUUUUAAAGUUAGAUAUUAAGUUUGAUAUUGUUAACAAUCUAAACUUCAGACAUUAUCCAUGUAAUUCUAAACUUAUAGUUCUAGGCUUAAAAUAAUGUUUCUCAAAUAUAAAUUUAAAACUUAAUGAUCUUUUUAUAUAUAUAGAAAGCAAAUUAAAACUUGUGAAGUAGUCAAAUAACCUAAAUAUUUUGAAUACAAAAAAUAACUUAACAACUCAAGAUUAUAGAAUUUACAUUCAUUGGAUGAUUCUUCAACUUUGGCUAUCAAGGUUGUGCAUGAAGAUCAAGUAGAUGUUGCUAAAGAUUUUACAAUUAGAUAUACAAGGAAUAUUUGUGGUAUUGCUAAUGACAUCUUCACCACAAAUCAACUAAAAAUUCAUAUCAAGAAGGCCAUCAUGGACUAAAUAGAAAUUUCAGUUUAACCUUUAUAUUAUUAUGCAAAGCCAUACACACAAAAGUUGAGCUAUCAACCAAUAAAGGUUCAACAAUUAGAUAGCAAAAGGAAUCUAAGGCAACAUGUGGCUCACUUUAUAGAGGCUUGUAACAAUACUAUAAUUGAUGGUGAUCUCAUGGUAAAACAAUUCAUUCAUUCUUUAAAAUGCAAUGCAUGACUUGGAGUCUUUUUUAAGUUAUUGUUGGGAGAAAUUGAAACAUAUGUUUCUUCAACACUCAUCAUAUAGUUAACAUGAUUAAACUUACCAAUGAACAUUAAUAAAUAGAGAAGCAUGUCACUAACUACAUUCAUCAAUGGAAAAAUCUACAACACUUAUCACAUGGUUAACAUGAUUGAACUUAUCAAUGCAUAUUAAUAAAUAGAGGAGCAUGUCAUUGAUUACAUUCAUCAAUUGUAAAGAUCAACUCAUCAAAAGUUUUACUCUAGAUAUAUGCAUUGAAGGGAUGCAUUAGGGGCUUUGUUGUAUUCUAUAAAGCAUUAAAAACCCAAAUCUUUUAAAGAAUUAGCUACUAGAACACAUAAUAUAGGACUUAAUAUUGCUACAACGGAACCUUAUCAUUACCUAUGUAAGAGCCUAAAAAAAAUAAGUCUGAAAGUCAUAGAUUUGAAAAGAGCACGUCAAAGGUUCAAGGAAAACAAUCUUUGGUAAUUAACUUCGUUGUCAUAAAUGUACCUACUAGAGGUAAAAGGAAUGAUUGUGCAACCCUAAAUGCUUUUCAAAAGGGUGAAAAGAAAACGUAAUCCUUUAAAGAGUGACAAUAAAAAAAGUAUCAAUUCCCCAACUUGGAUAUAUCAAGUACACUAUAAAUCCAUGUUUGAUUUGCAAAGUAAAUUUCAUUAAGCUAUCAAAGUUGAAACAUCAUAAAAAAAAAAAAAAAGCAAAUCAACAUCAUUGAGUUCACCUACGCACUAAGCCCAAGUAUAUAUGGGCAUGACAAGUUGUUAGAUCAAACACAUUGGAUUCACCUACAUGUUGAGCCCAAACAAACAUGGAUUUAUCAAGUUGUCAAACCCAAUAUCCUAGGGUUCAACUACGUGUUGAACCCAAGUACAUAUAGAUCUAGCAAACUCAAUGAUAUUAGGUUCAGCUAUGCACUAAGCAAAAAAAAACGUGGGUUUAGCAAGUUGUUAGACAUAAAAUUCUUGGGUUUAACUAUGCACUGAGCUUAGGCAUAUAUGAGUCUGGCAAGCUACCAAAUCCAACAUCCUUGUUGCUAAGCCCAAAAAAAAAAAAAUUGUGUGGCAAGCUUUCAAACACAACAUCAUUGGGAUCAGCUAUGUGCUAAGACCAAGUACAUAUAGGUCUGUCAAACUACCAAACCUAAUGACCUUGGGUUCAACCACGUGUUGAGCUUAAACAGACAUAGGUUUAGCGAGCUAUCAGACCCAAUAUCCAUGAGUUUAACUAUAUGCUAAACUUAAGUACAUAUAAGUUUGGUAAAUUGUCAUACCCAACAUCUUUAGGUUUAAUUACAUGUUAAGCCUAAACAGAUGUGGGUUUGGCAAGCUGCAAGACCCAUUGCUAAUGGACUUGGCAUCAUGUCAAGCCUCAGUGGGUAUGGGUCUAAAGAUCAUUAUAAGCCUCAUAUUGGGCUAUAAGGCUUUUUUGUUUAUUCUUAUGAUUUUUAAUAUGAAAUGUUAAUGUUAAGAAUACUCAUCUCUCUAUACUUAUAAAUAUAUAAAAGUCUUCUAAGACCUACCAUAUUUUCAUUAGUAUUAAAUAUUGUAUAAGAGAUAUUCAUCCCUCAUUAAUGAUGUGUAAGGAAUAUGUAUCCAUUGUCCAAACACUCAAAAACCUCUUUCUUAAACAUAUUGGAUUUUGAAAUAUCAUAAACUGAUGAACAAGAAAUAGAUCUUUUUUCCAAGAGAAAAGUAGAGAGGAAGGAAAGGAUUAAAAAAUAACAAAAGAAUCAGCUGCAAAACAUGAACCAUAUGACAAAAGUUGAUGCUUUGCCAAGCCAUGUUCACCUAGUAGCCGCAUCCUUGCCUAUAACAGAAACCAUAUCCACUCAAUUAAUUAAGGAAACAGAAGAGGUUUAGCAAACAUGCAUCGAGUAAAUUUUAUAAUUUACACUUUGGUCCCUAAAUCAAUAAUUGCUUUAAAUUAGGCAUCAAACAUUGAUUCUAUGAUUUUAUUUAAUAAAAUUUAAUUGAAAUUGAUCCCUAAAUUUCUGAUUUUGACAAUUAUAUUUUAUUUUUUAAUAAAAAUAUCUAUAUUAAUUUACUUUGAAAAUUUAAUACGAUCAAAUCAAGUUUUAGUUGAAAAAAAGAUAUUCAAAGUUCAAAAAUCCUCUUAACCAUAUUUUUCAAGACAUGUCUACUUAUUUUAAGGCUAAGUGAACUUGUAUCGAAGGGCAACAUCUGUAUCAACAAAAUAUUGUACAAAUUCAAUUUUUUCAUGUCUUUUUUUAUUUUAUUUUGACCUAAAAAAUUAAAAUAAUUGACAUGGAAAAUAAAUGGGCCUUUAUGUAUUUCUUAGCCAACAAAAAGUUGAAAAAUAGGAUGAGAUAUUUAAUUUAUUUUAUCAUCAAUGCAAGAUUUUAUAAUUGAAAAUCAACCAAUAACUGAUAAUAAACUUUAAGUAGAAUUGAACAUUAUUAUUUUUCUAAUGAUAUGGUGAAUUUAAAUAUCCAAUACAAAUUUAUUUAUAAAUGUGUCCACAUAUUUACCCAUUUAAACAUACUUAUUCAACAUUAUUAAUUUUUAAUUAAAAUUAUUUAUAUGAGAUUUAUUUAAAAAUAAAAUAAAAAGUCUUAAUGUAUAUUUGAUUUAAAUUUGAAUUAUACUCAAUUUUUGAAAAUAAUAAUGCAAAUUAUGUCAUUAUUUUUUGCUUCAGUCAAUGUAUCCAAUUAUCGAAUAAAACUUUAUUCAUGAAUGUGUUCGCACAUGUACCUAAUUUUUUUUUAUGAAUAUGUUCAGUACUAAUGUACCUACCAAAGCAUAUCUAUUCAACAUAGUUAAUUUUUUAUAGAAGAAUUUAUUGAUUAGUUUAAGAAAUCACAUCCUAUAAUAAAAUUAAAACUCUAGAUGCAUAUUCAAUUUAAAUUUAUAAUUAUGCUAAAUUUUUUAAAGUACUAAUUUAAACUAUAUCACUUGAUUUUGUUAGUUUGUUCUUAGAAAAAGAGCUCAACUGAAAAUUAAUAUAAUAAGAUGUAAUUUAAAUCUUUUAUUAUAAUAAUAUUUAAAGCAGCUUAAAUGAUAUGAUCAUUAUUUAUAUCAUUUUAUAUUUUUUUAAUAUUUUUUAUUAAAUUAUGAAUUAUUUAAUAUAAAUAAGGAAGGAAAUGAUUAGGUUAAAAGAAUUACACUAAGUUGUGAUUAGAAUGUAACCAGAAAAUCCGCAAAAUUAAUUUUUAGAAAUUUUGAUAAUUAGGUCUGGUAAACUAUCAGGCCCAACAUCUUUGAGUUCAAUUACAUGUCAAGUCUAAACGGAUGUAGAUUUGGCAAGUUGUAAGAUUCAUUGCCAGUGAACUUAACAUCGUGUCAAGCCCAACUGGGUAUUGAUCUAAUGAUCAUAAUAAGCUUCAUGUUGGGCUAUAAGGCUUUCGUUGUUUAUUUUUAUGAUUUUUUAACAUGAAAUGUUAAUGUUAAGAAUUUUAAUCUCUCCAUACCUAUAAGUAUAUAAAAGUCUUAUAAGCACUUAUUAUAUUUCAUCAUUAUUAAAUAUUAUGUAAAAGAUAUUUAUCCCUCAUUAAUAACGCGUAAGAAAUAUUUAUCCAUUCUCUAAACACUUAAAAACUUUAUUUGGAAGCAUGUUAAAUUUUAAAACAUCAUCAACUACUGAACCAGAAAUCGAUCUUUUUGGCAAGAGAAAAGUAUAGAAGAAGGAAAUGAUUAAAACAUAAUAAAAAAAAAUAGUUGCAAAACAUGAACCCCAUAACAAAAGCUUAUGCUUUGCCGAGUCAUGUUCAGCUAGCCACCACAUCCUUGCCUAUAACAGAAACCCUAUCCACACCAUUAAUUAAAGAAACAGAAGAGGUUUAGCAAACAUGCAUAGAGUAAAUUUUAUAAUUUACACUUUGAUCCCCAAAAUCAAUAAUUGCUUUAAAUUAGGCAUCAACCAUUGAUUAUAUCAUUUGAUUUGAUAAAUCUCAAUUGAAAUUGAUCCCUAAAUUUCUAAUUUUGAUAAUUAUAUUUUAUUUUUACAAUAAAAAUAUCUAUAUUAUUAAUUUACUUUGAAAAUUUAAUAUGAAGUUGGGAAAAAAUUUAUCAAAGUUCAAAAAUCCUCAUAACCGACAUGUCCACUUAUUUUAAGGUUAAGUGAACUUACAUCGAGGAGGCAUUUAUAUUAACAAAAAAAUUAUAUGAAUAAAAAAAAAUUAUAUGUCUUUUUUAUUAUUAAUUUUUACCUAAAAAAAUUGAAAUAAUUGAGAUGAAAAAUAAGUGGAACAUUAUGUAUUUUUGAAGACAUGUCCACUUAUUUUAAAUCUUUUAUUAUUAUAAUAUUUAAAGCAGCUUAAAUGAUAUGAUCAUUAUUUAAUUAUAUCUUUUUAUCUUUAAUGUGGAUAAUUAAAGAUAUCAACUUGGUUGGUCUUAACAGUAUUAAAGUGGCCGUCCUUAAAACAAAGAAAAAAGGACAUGGCCAAGCAUUGACACGUUGCAAAUACGAUAAAGUCAACCAACAUCGUCCCACCCUUGCUCUAAUUUGAUGCAAUAAUGUUUAAGGGUGCGUUUAUUUCUGAAAUCCUGCAGCAGGGACGGGAUGGAUGUUUGUUGAUUUUAUCGUUAUGCACCGUGUCAAUGAUUUUGGGACGGCCAUUUUAAUACUGUUCAGACCAACCAAGUUGAUAUCUUUAAUUAACAUUGAUAUCUUAAUUUGAAUAUUUGAUUUAUUUUUUUUACUCAAUCCAACAACAACAAGGUUAACAGGAGUCUAGUAAAUGCAUGCUUAAUAUAUAUAUAUAUAUAUAUAUAUAUAUAUAGAGUAGAAGUGCGCAUACAUUCAAUUGGAAACUCAAGAGUUAUUACAAAGUUCAAAUUAUUACCACAAUCGCUAGCCACACAAUCCAAGAUGUUAUCGAUCCCAGAAUCCCGACCUCUGAUCCUACUAAAGAUUGUGCUCUUUCUUGAGAUCGGAGAGUUUAUUAGGCAGCCACCACCUACUGUAGACAAACAGUAAAAAAAGGCCGUAGUAGAAAGGGUGCAAGUGCACUUUUAGAAAAACUUGGAUGACAAAUAGCAGAAUAAUCAAAGGAACAACAACGGUCACCCCUGUAAUGAAGUUUGUUAAAAAUGAUUGAUGGGAUCCUAUUAAUGCUAUUGUCACAGACGAAAGGAAUGCCCCGAACAUCAUGUAAAUAGCCAAACAAACCAUGCAGCUUGAAAACCAAACUUGAAAUCUGGGAUUACUAAAGCUUGGCACAAGAAGGAAUAGAGCUGCCAACAGAGAGAAAGAUAAAGCCCCCACAUCGAAAAUCAAAUAAUCAUACAGAAGAUUCUCAUAAGUGCUGUAAUCGGAGGCAGUAUAAGUGCCGUUAAAUUCAUGACGAUGAUCACUUGAGUUAUUGUUAUCCCUUAAUUGUGGCAAUUGUAUAGCACCCGCAAAGGUUACUCCAGCAACAAGCACUGCUACCACUAGAAGAUUCCCUAUCAUGCUUGUUUCCUCUUUGCUCGUGACAUGGGUAGUGGAGUAGCAGGGAAAAUCUCAAAUCGGUAUUUCUUGGGCGGGCAUUAUUGAAGAAUAAGAUUGAUAAUGUCAUCGCCUGCAUAUAUAUAGCACGGGGAAAAUUAAAAGCUUAAUUGUUUAAUGAGCAAUUGCAUCCAAAAGCAUUGACCUUCAAAUGCCUUUCCCAGAACAAGAAAUUUUCUGGAAUGGUUUAGAAUUUUUUAAUAUAAUGGUAUACAAGUUCAAUCAAUUGGGCUUGAACUAGAAGUUUAAAAGAUUAGGGAUGGCAAGGGGGGAAAAACAAAAAAAGGAAAGAAGAGAAGCAAUAUUAAUACCAAGUGAAAAGACCCAAACCGUACUUCGUCCUUUGGUGAUGCCUGUUUUGUAUCCAUCUUAUUUGAAUCAACUUCUUUGCCCUGUCAAAAAAUAAUAAUAAUAUUAUAUGUUCAAAUGCAGUGCUCUCUCUGUGUGCUAUAGAUAUAUAUUGAAGAUAUUUGAUUUCCUGCUGCGAAAUACUUUUAAUCUUUUUAUUUAAUUAUAUAAUAAUUAAAUUAAUUUUUAUAAAUAAUUUAAAUUCCAUAGGAUAAAAAAUUAAUUUAAAUUGAUUUGAAAAAAAAAAAAAAGUAUCUAUAUUUUUUAAAACAAAACCAUUUUCCUUAUUAAUACGUUCCAUUUUUUUUACUAAUGUUUUUAUAAAAUUUUGUUUUUUUUUAACAACAACCUAUCAUAAUCUACAAAUAAGUUUUAAUUAAAAAAUAAAAUAAUAAUGGAUUGAUGAUUUUCUUGAAAAAAAAAUUUAGCAAUGUUUUUAUUGCAUAAAAACUAAAAGCAAUUAAAAUAAAUAUGGACAAAAAAUUUCAUGAUUUUAUUGCAAUAAAGAUAAUAAAUAUAUAAUAUAAAUAUAUAUAUAUCUAUUUGAAAAAAAAAAAGCUUUUUUUUAUUAAUCCAUCCUCUCUUUUUUCUGGGGUAGUAUUUUAUAAAAAAUAUUGUUUCUUAAAUAAAAAACUUAUCAUAAUCUUAACGUAAAUACCUUGAUCUCGUGCGCAGGGGUACUACUGUUCUUUGAAUCAAUCGGCUUUCGUUCCUCGGCAGGCUGGCAACAAAGUGGAAGCCCAGAUACCAAAAUAUUAAAUCAGUAAUACUCCUAAAAUAUAUAGACUUUUGUAGCUCGAUAAAUGAUGAUCAAAUUAGUAGCAUACCAUUUCAAUAUCUGUUUUUAUGUCUCUUCAGAUCUUUUGGAAAUGUUCACCUAAGUACUCAUAUGGUGUCCAAUUUCUAUUGUUAACAAUGAAAUGUUCAACGCGAUUGUCACGCACAAGAAGAAAUGUAGCCUGCAUCGGCCAUAACUGCUGCCAAAUGCAAAGGUGUAUUUCCAUCCUCAUCUGUCGCAUUUACCAGCGGUGCGACGAGCUGCUGUCCUUUGAGUAUGUACCUAACCACACUGCCAUUUCCAUCUUUGGCCGCUACAUGAAGAAUGUUCUGCCCUUUCUUAUUGAGGAAUUCUUUUGGAUAUGGGAAUUUAUCAAGAAAUUCCUUCAGUGCAUCAGCAGAGCGACUUUUGCAUGCUAGAUGGAUAGGAUAGUCGCCUUCAAGGUUUGUUUCAUAAGCACCAUCGUGAAACUUCUUUAAUAGGAAUCGAACUCCUUCCAGAAAACCUAUGGAUGAUGCAUAAUGCAGAGAAUUUCCCAACCUUCCUCGGUGAGACGUAAUAGCUCUGGCUUUUCCUUUCAAUUUUCUCCAAAUAUCUGAAAAUCAAAAGAAAAUGUUUCAAACGAAUAUAAAGAUGAUAGCCUUGCAACAAUUGUUUGUAUGUAAUUCAUUUUCUAGUGAGUAAUGACAUUGUGAUCACCUAUGUUACGUUGCUCGAUGGCAGCAUGAACAGGUGACCUUCGUUUUGGUAGGGCAUCGCCAUCUUCACUUCUUAUAGGGAACGAAGCUUCCGUUUUCAAGAGAUCAUCAAGUAUCCCGUUCUUAUUGCCGUUCUCAACCAGAUAUAAAGGAGACUUGCCAUUAUUGUUGUUGUAAUAGGCCACUUCUGGAUCUCUGAAACUAGGAGUUUGGCAAGUUCUUUGUUAUCGGCGAUCACUGCAUCAUGCAAAGGAGUGUUUCCCUUUGUAUUUUUCUUCAUGAUCAAGCUCGGAUUCGAUUCCACAAGAGAUUUAAUUGUAUUACUGGCCUUUCCUUCUCUGGCAGCAAGAUGAAGGAUCGUGUCCUUCUGGCUGUUUUGAAUGGUGAUCAGAGAAGGAAACGUUCCAGCCAGAUAAGAUGUAAUAUUGUCACUUCCAUAGCUUACAGCUACGUGAAGUAGUGUAUUACCGCAGGGUGUCACUAGCUUCUCUGUUAAAUGUUGCUCGACAAGGGUUUUAAAGGCCUCAGGAUUGUCCUGCCUCACACACUCAUGCAACUGACUAUCUAUCAUUGCAUUUGCCAUGUGAUCUCUCGGAAUCGAGUUUUCAUCAAUGUUUAUUGCUACGCUAGACAUGGCAAAAGAAAUUAAAUAUAGUGUUUGUUGAAUCAGCUAUACAUAUCAGACAUCUGGACUUCUAAUUUAAAUAGACCAGACUGAAAUAAUGGAAUCUUACUUUUUUUUAUAUUUGCAAGGAUAUAUACUUUGAUUACUCAAUUAAUUACUUCACCCAUUCGUUCGGGAAUCCAGGACAUAGCAAGAACAAGAGAGCAGUCUUGCCUAUGGUUAAAGCAGCAUCUAGAAAAGGAAAAUUCUUAACUUGAAUUUAUAACUCAUAUACAGAGUGCAGUUGGGAGAAUCCAUGGUUUAAUGAACAUGAUACACGAUGGCAUGAGAUUCUAGGUGAAAUAAACAUUCAAUUCAAAAUUAGUCUCAAACUCUUACGUUAAUGAUAGCAAGUUCCUUUCCUCUAAUUUAAUUUACAUAUAAUUAGAGGAAAGGAACUUGUAUAGACCGAGCUUCUUGAUGUUCUUCUAGGGAAACACUUCAAGCAUCUUUACUUUUCCCUCUUUCUUAUGAAAACUUCAAGUGCGAGUUUGUCCUUUUUUGGAUGCAGUAGUUCUUUUUCUCAUACUUUAUUCUUUCUGCGUCUUUUUUUUUUUAAGUGAUUUUAAUUUAACUUCUACUAGAAAUUGUGAUGAACGUGCAACACAUUGGCUUCCAAGGUAGAGUGAUCAGGUUGUUUUUAUAAGCAAUACUUUUAUUAUAUCAAGCUUUGAAUCUCCUGAAAAUUAUUAUUUAUAUUGUCAAGCUCUUUCAAUUUCAGUGUAGAAUUGACCUCAUCUUUUGCUUAUUCUAGCGUAAAAGUUUGACAUUUAAUUUAGCGUAAAAAUGACUUCAGCCACAAACUACAUAAAUUCACAAAAUUUCAAGAAUUUCAGAAUCUUCAAAACCACACACCCACCAUAGGAACAAUCUUUUCAAAAUAUUAACAGUUAAAAGAGAUGUUUUGACUGUUUAGACAUGUUCAUGAACUAAGUGAUUUCUUUAUAUAAAUCAUUAUUAGCUUAAAUUAUUUAAGUACAAUAUUCAUCAAAAUACAUUAAAUAAAGGUCAACAUUGUGGUUAGUCUUGUUGCCUGUUGGUGAAUUUAGUCUUUUAUCUGAUCUUCAACAGGUUAAUAACAUCACAUUCAGAUGGAAGCUAUGGUAGAAUAUGCAUGUAGCACAAACCAUGUAUAGUAAUUUGACUAGAUGAUUGUCUCACGCAAUGUGGUAAAUGUUGUAGGUCAAAUUAAAUUUAUUUCUUUAACUAAAAAAUUAUCUAGCUAAAUUAUUUUUUUGUGGAAAGAAAUUUAAACUAUAUAGAGAUUGAUCUAAUGUGACCCGGUUACUUUGGCAGGUUUAAAGACAAUUGAACAACCAUUAGAAACGUAAUUCAACUCAAAAUAAAUAUUUAAAAUGAGAUUUGUUUUUAUAAAUAUUGAGACGACAACAUAUUGGAUCAAUUUGGGUUAACCUUUCAAUUCAUAUACUAAAUCAUGAAAUAAUGAUAACCUCAUAGAAUACAAAUAAAAAAAAAGUUAUAAAGUUUAAUUUUCAAUCAACUCAAUUUUGAAUGAUGAAAUUUUUUAAAAAUAUAUAACAAUUAAAGAAGGAUAAAAAAAAAUAACAUGAGUCAACUUGAGUUAAGUUGCUAAACUCGUGACCUAGAUCAUGAGACUAUAAUAACCCAAUAGAAAAUAAAUUAAAAUAAAUUAUAAAGCUUAAUUUCCAAUCAACCUGGUGUUAAGAUGAAAUUGAAAAAAAAAUUGAUAAAGGACAAAAAAAAACCGACGCAAUUGAACUUAGGUUAACCCAUCACCCGAGUCAUGAGACAGGAAUAACCUCAUAGAAAACGAAUCAAAACAAAUCACGAAACAUAAUUUCUAAUUAACUCAAUGUUAAAUGAUGAAAUUGAAAAAAAAAAUCAAUCAGGAAAAGAGAAAAAAAUCAAGUCAACUAAGCUAACAUGUUAAACCUUGAGAUUAACAUUUUUAAUUUGGAAAUUUUUCAUCAUCUUGGUUCCUCACGGGUAACUUCAAGAAUAUAUCAAGCUUCCUUAGCUAUCUCAUACAUGGAGGUUCUUUUAAAUUCAUCAAGAGGCUAUAUAAAUAUAGCAUUCAAGCCUUUAUUAUUCCAAUUAUAAUGAGUGGAUUCAUCUCCGGUCCAGUGAUUGAAAGGAGUUAAUUUUAGGCUUAAUCCAUCUUGAAAUAUUCACAAAAUGAGAGAUUUAAGUUGAAAGAUAUCUUAGUUGAUUAUUUAUUGAAAGUUGAAACAGGUCGAAGAUUUUUUAUUGUGGAAGGAAAAUUGUAAACAAAAUUUUUUUUGUUUAUUUGUGAAUGAAAACUUUCAUCCCCUUUUGUAUGGAAGAUGAGAACUUUUAUUAAUCAACUAAUUUAGUCAUGAAAAGCAUGGCUAAAUAGGAGAAGUAAAGUAACAAGAGAUAGGCUAGAAAACAUACAAAAUAAAACAAAGACCAAUCAAACUUAACUACGUUUCUAUUUACUUAAAAAAACAUAUAAAUCAUGCAAAAUAUAAAUAUAUGAAAGAGGCUUAUAACCAUACAACCAAAUCAGCUUCUUUAUAAACUUUUUAUUUGGCCAAAUGAUCCGCUACAUGGUUACUUUCUCUAUAAAUAUAUGUAAAACUCGUGUGAGAAAGCCUAAGAGAGACAUUAGAGAUGUUAUUAAAAUCACAUUAUAAUCACAACAAUCUCAUAACAUUGCUUCCUUUUAUCCAAGCAAUUGCAUUAUAUAAAUUAAACUCCAUAAUACAACCCUUAAAGGAUGUACAACAAUAUUAAUCAAUACAUAAUACUUAAAGUGAAAGCUUUUUGAAUUCUCAAAACCUCAGCUCCAUUGGAUUCCCUAUACAUAUAGGAAUAAAAUAGUUACAAAGAAAUUUUCCUACGUGAUCCCUUAGAACACCCUUAAUCCCUGAGGGUUUAGGCUUGUUAUUUGUAAAAGCAUCUACAUUUCACUUAAGCAUACUUUGAGGAGGAGGAAUUUAUGAUGAUUCACUAUAUACUUUUUCCUUAUUUGUCCAUAUAAGAAUAUUAUUUGGUGAUCUUAGUAAGUAUAUCCUAGUAUAGCAGAAACUCCCAUCAUAAUAUGUUUUCCAUGUUACAACUCUAUAAAAAAGUGAGUAGUAUAUAUCAUCCAAAUGGUUUUUAACUCAUUAAAGAUCAAUUAUUGUGAGCAUUUCAAAUGGAUCAAACUAUUCCAAAGAAAAAACAAAGGCCACAUCUCUUUGUUUUUGCAUAAAUCCCAAGAUCAUUUCAUGUCACUAUAAGUAAAAAUUAUCGAAAGACUUUAGAAGAUUCAUUGUUGGCCAAAUCAAGACAGUACUACCGUGACCAUAACUGCCAUACCACCUCACAAUAAAAGAAGACAUGUUUUGUAGUCUCAAUUUUAUUUUAUUUUAUUGAAAUGGCAACUCAAAUCACUCACUUGUAACAACUUUGUUGGUGGUGAAAAGCUUGUAUAGAUAGUUUAUUCAUAAUUGUAAGCUAGAUAUUAAACUCAACCUUUGAAGGAGCAAAAAAGGACCACAAAUCAAAAUUAAAAUGUUUAUUUAUUGAAGAAGAAUCGUCUCAAUAAAGGUUGGCAACUUUUCAACUGAAAAAAUACAUUUAAAUAAAGCUGGAUCAAAUUGUUUAUUUAAAAAGCUAAGUGAAUGGCUCAUCGUUUUAUGAAAUGGAUUAGGUAUGAUAAGUGUAUGCCAAAGAUUGUUCAGCUUUUGGUGAGGAGGGUGGGAACUCUAACACUAGAUUAUGGAACGAUAUUGUCUCAAAUAUCCAUAAUGAAAAGGUUGCAUUAAAUUUAUCUUUGAAAAGGUUAAUGCAAGGGGAAGUACAUGGUGUAGAUUGUUAAUGUUUGUGCCAAGGAUGUGAGACUUUAGAAUAUUGCAAACCAAGAAAUUUGUGCGUUAAUUAGUUGGUAAUGGUAAAGUUAGUACAAAAACUUUUCUCCAGCACCGGAAUGUUUUACCUGCCUCACAAGCUUCAUAUGUUUUUGCAGUUUAGAUUUGGAAACCUCGUAGCAUCGUUUUAUAUACUGUAACUUUUCUAAGAGUGUUUGGAUGAAAGUUUUGGAUUGAUGGACUAUCCAAUGUUGUUUACCGAGAAACACUUGACUCACUGCUUAUGCAGUGGCCCGAAAUGGUGCACGGCAAAUUCCAAAGAUCAGUUUGGAGACUAAUUUUCAGUAAUACUUUUGGAGUGUUGGUUAUUGAGGAACAAAAUUGUUUUUGAGGAGGGAACUAUAAGCUUAUUUGAUUGUCUUUCCACCAUCCUUCAUCAGGUUAUUAUUUGUUUGCAUAUUUUAUAUUCAAAUUUCACUUAUACAAGAAAUGACCUCUUAAAAUCUUCUGAUAGCAUUAAAUUGUGGUGUAAUAAGAAAUCUUAGGUAAUCUCUUUGUUAUUUAUUGUAGGAGAUCAUUUUUUUCCUUUUUUUUUCCUAAGUCUUUUUUUUUAUAUAUCCUUGUAUUUCAUUUUGACUAUUGGUUUUAUAGCCUUUUCAAUAUAAUCCAAAAAAAAAAAAUUAUAGAUGGUAAUGGUUGCGGGCUUGGCAAUUCUUGUCUUACUGUACAGUUUCCAAGAUUAUAUAUAUUACCUUUCGGAAGACAAAACCACUUCAAUUCCUAAUAUGGGUGUGUGGGAUCGAUGACUUGUCUUGGAUUUGGAAUUUCUAUGUUUGGUAUGUUGUCCAAAUUAACGUUGUCCAGCAAGGUUUUGGACAAAUUGAGUUAGAAGUCAAUCUCUAAUGGGAUGUCUUCUUUCAUUUCCUAGUCAGCCUAGUUCAUGCAUUUCCUUCAAUGGUGUAUGAAAAGGAUGGUCCCUCCUAAAGUUGAUUUUUUUUGUUCGAUGGCUAUCCUUAAUAAAAUCAACACCAGAGGUGUAUUGGCUAGAAGAAGUAUUAUAUAUUGAGUCUGAUGAAGCAACAUGUUUUGUCUGUUUGUUGGCUGAGGAGAUUGUUGAUCGCCUUCUCCUACGUACAUCAACACCGGAGGUGUUUUGGCUUAAAAUGGUAAGAAAAACUAGAUAGUGUAGCGCAUCAUAUCCCAUUCAUUCAACAUAAAAAUGUAUAAGCAUUGAAUUGAGAAUUUUAAUUUGAAUUAGUAAUGAUAAAAAUGUGUAGUCUCGUGCUUAACAUCAUAGUUUUGAAACCCGGCCCGGCCCGGCGGGUUGACCCGGGACCCGGCUGCCCCGGGCAUGAAACCGGUCCGGGUGGAGGCCAAAACCCGCUUGGGAAUUGGCCCGGCCAGACCUGGUCGACCCGAAACCCGGCAAGACCAGGCCGUAAACCCGUUGACUUUUAUUUUUUUGUUUUGUUUUUACUAAAACGACGUCGUUUUAAUUUUUUUUUAAAAAUAAAAAAUAAAUUUUGACCCGGCCGACCCGGUCAAAACCCGGAACCCGGGCUUUGGACCGGGCCGACCACCGGGCCGGGUCUUAAAACUAUGCUUAACAUUCGUCAAAAGUGCCCAUCCAAAUAAUCUGUCCAACCACUAUCAUAAACAUCAACAUUUAAAAUAAUUAUAAUUAUAAGAAAAACUAAAAGAGAUGGGAAAAGAUAAAAAGCAGCCCUUAUAGGAAGGGGGAAAAAAAGCUGCAUAAUUCAAGGGAAAGUGAGAGGGGAAAAAAAAAAAAAGGAAAAUUGGUUGUCACAUUGGGAAAUAGCCGCCACACGCUGCCUAUAAUGAAUGGCCUUGUCCAGACACUUCCAGAUCAGACGCCAAGAAAGAUCAUUUUUGAAGGCAAGAGGAUUUUGAACGCGCCGUCAUAAUGUGGCAGGUCCUCCACAUGCUGGUGUGUUCCCAUGCGCAACAUUUUUUUGUCAUUUUCGUUAACUUUGGUCUCUAAUUGUAUAAAUGUUUUUUCAUUUAGUUUCAAAUUUCUUCCCAUCUAAAUCCAAGUUAUUUUUUUUUUUCAAUUUAAUCUCUAAUUUUUUUAUAUAAAAAAAAACCCUAAUCAAUCUAGUAUACAGAAAAAUGAACAAAACCCCCCACCAAGAUUCCUAAAUUGAGAACUCAAAUUUCCAAAUUAGCAAAAUUCAAAAAGAAAUAUUUAUGGAAAUGACAGUUACAAAGAAAAAGCUGAAAACACCUAAUAAUUCCAAUAAAACAAAGUUAUUUACAGGUGGGAAAAAAAAGCAAUAAAAAUGCUAACUUUCAACUUAAAAAGUCAAACUUUAAUAACCAAAGGCAGUUAGAUUAAAGAGAUGCAAUAAAUAAAAGUUGGGUUGUGCUCUAAGCAGUUGCAGAUCUAAUUAAUAAUCACCACAAAAGUUGAUAGAAAGAGAUAAGCAUAGAAAUAAAAAGGAAAUGCUCCUUAGAGUGUAAGUUUUUAGAAACUUUAAACACAAGAGAACUACAGAAAGCUGGAGGAAAUAAAAGAAGAAAAACUUGCUAGUUCGAAAACUAAUUUGCAAAGAACACCUACACUUAUAUACAGUGAUGCGAGGAGCUUGAAAACAUAAGCACCAAAAACUUUAGCCAGGCAAGGCCGGCAUGCUUUUUCACCUACAUUACUUACUCGUAUCCAAAACCAUUAUAUGUAAUUGGAAUAUAUAUUAUACAUAGAGAAGAUCCGUAAGGUUGUAGUAUUAGCAAAUUUUAUUGUUGUUAUGUAUAAUUUAUUAAAAAAUAAUAUAAAUUAUAUCUUAAAAAAUUCUCCUAACAACUUAACCUCUUAACCUAAAUACAAGUCAAAGAAUAUUGAUGAAGAACCAUGGUAGUAUACAAUACAAAUUAUCUAAUUAAAAGAAAGUGAUUUGGAUCCAUAGACUAGUCAUACACUAAAUCUCAAUAUUGAUUCUGAAUUCAAUGAUUUAUAUUAGUUUAGGAACAAAAAAUAAUUAAGAUUUGAAUUAUUGUUAUUUUAUCGAGCACUACAUCAUGUCCAUUCCAUUAGAAUAUAAAUUUAUUGAUCAAAGAAAAUGAACUAAACUUGACAUUUUUCUCUUAAAAUAUAUUUAUCUAUGAGAGAACAUAUUGAUAGAACACAUUCAAUUCAUUAUUUCAACCGGAAACUCAGAAGUUAUUACAAGUUCAAAUUAUUAUUUCAAUAGCUAGGCACACACAAUAUUCCAAGAUGUUUAUUCAUCCCAAAAAUAACCUUUUAAAAGAGGGCAAUCCCUCAGAAUCCUGACUUCUCUUGACGAAGAUCAACCUGGAUAGUUACUAUUUCUUUCUACGGAGAUCAGGAAGUUUAUCAGUCAGCCACCUCCAACUGUAGACAAGCACGAAAAGAGAUGUAGUACACAUAAUGCGAGACCAAUCCUUCAAUAAUUUGGUUGACGGAUGGUGGAAGAAUCCAUUGAAUAUAAAGCAAUGUUUGGGCAACGAAAAACGCGAUCCCCACCACUAUAAUGGUGAUCGCGAGCACCCCAUAAUUGGAUCCACCUAAUGCGAUGCUCACGGCAAAAAAGAAUGACAAGCACAUCAUGUAAAUAGACCCACCCACCAUUAACGAUGUAAACCAAAGUGCAAAUGGUGCAAACUUGACAUCAUUCAAGUUUGUCCAAAGAAGGAUUAUAGCUGCCACCACAGAGGUAUUUAAAGCCCACACAUCAAGACAUAAAUAACCAUCCAAAAGAGAUGAACCAGUAGGACUAUCAAAGACAGUGCUGUUCCGGGAGGCAGUAGCAGUGCUGUUAAGUUCAUGAAGAUGCUCACUCUUGUUAUUUUUAUCCCUUAGUUGUGGCAUCUGUAUAGCACCCGCGAAGGUUACACCAGCAACAAGCACCGCCACAACAAGAAGAUUCUCUAUCCUUCUCUUUGUUUCCUGUUUCCUUGGCGGCUUGCCUUGAGUCCUAGUGAAACGCUCAUAUAGGGAUUUUUUAGGGCGGGCAUGGAAGUAUAAGAUAGAUAAUGUUAUCAUCUGCAUAGCAAGGGGAAAUCAAGAUUCUGGAAUGAUUUCAGAAUUUUGAAUAUAAUUGUAUAGAAUCUAAAUUAAUCGGUCUUGAACUAGAUGUUUAAAAGAUUAGGGAUGGCAAGAAAAAAAUAGGAAGGAAGAAGAGAAAUAAUACCGCUCCAUAAUAAUCAAGCAGUUUGUAGUGCUUUUGUGAUGCCUUUCUUGUGUCUUGCUUCGUUGAAUCAACUGCUUUGUCCUGGAAAACAAAAACAAUUUUAUGUUAAUGAAUAUAAGCAAUGCAUAACACAUAAUGGUUCAAAUUACAUGACAUCAAUAUACUGAUCGAGAAGCCUUCUGAUAAAGAAUGAUGAUGGAGUAUAAAAAAAAAAAAAAAAAUUCAAAACAACUCUUAUACCUUGGUCUUGUCCGCAGGGGUACUGUUCUUUGAAUCAAACUGCUUUCGAUCCUCAGCAAGCUGGCAACAAAUAGGAAUCCCACAUACCAAAAUAUUAAAUCAAUAAUACUCCUAAAAUAUAUGCUUUUGUAGCUCAAUAAAUGAUGAUCAAAUAGCGUACCAUUUCAUCUGUUUUUUCAUAUUGCUCUACAGCUAUUUUGGAUUGUUUUUCAGCAAUAUCAUAUGGUGUCAAAUUUUCAUUGUUAACAAUCGAACUAUCAACGCGUUUGUCACGCACAAGAACAAAUGCAGCCACGGAAUGACCAUGAUUUGUUGCCAAAUGCAAAGGUGUAUUUCCAUCCUCAUCCAUCUCAUUUAGCAGCGUCUUCUCUUGUCUGAGUAUGUACCUAACCACAUUGCCAUUUCCAUUUUCCGCCGCUACAUGAAGAAUGUUCUGCCCUUUUUUAUUGAGGAAUUCUUUUGGAAAUGGGGUAAUCUUCAGAAAUUCCUUGACUACAUCAACAGAGUCAUUUUUGCAUGCUAGAUGGAUAGGAUAGUUGCCUUGGUUUCUUUUAUAAGCACCAUUGAGAAACUCUUGUAAAAGGAAUUGAACUCCCUCCUGAAAACCUCUGGAUGAUGCAUAAUGCAGUGAAUUUCCCAACUCUUUGUCAGUGAGACAUAAUAGAUCUGGCUUUGCUUUUUCAAUUUUCUCCAACAUAUCUGAAAACAAAAGAAAUUGUUUCAAAUGAAUAUGAAGAUGAUAGGUUUGCAACAACUGUCUGUAUGUAAAUCAUUUUCUACUGAGUAUAGACAUUGUGAUCACCUCUGUUACGUUGCUCGAUGGCAGCAUGAACUGGUGACUUUCCUUUUGAUAGGGCAUCACCAUCUUCACUUUCUAUAGGGAACGAAGCUUCUGUUUUCAAGAGAUCAUCAAGUAUCUCUUUCUUAUUGCCGUUCUCAACUGCCAGAUAUAAAGGAGACCUGCCAUUCUUGUUGUUGUAAUAGGCCACUUCUGGAUCUCUGGAAACUAGGAGUUUGGCAAGUUCUUUGUUGCCCUUGAUCACUGCAUCAUGCAAAGGAGUGUUUCCCUUUGUAUUUGUCUUCCUCAUCAAGCUCGGAUUCGAUUCCGCAAGAGAUUUAAUUGUAUGACUGGCCUUUCCUUCUCUGGCAGCAAGAUGAAGGAUUGUGUCCUUCUGGCUGUUUUGGAUGGUGAUUAGAGAAGGAAACGUUUCAGCCAGAUAAGAUGUAAUAUUGUCACUUCCAUAGCUUACAGCUACAUGAAGUAGUGAAUUCCCAGCGGGAGUCUGUAGCUCCUUUGCUGAACGUUGCUGGACGCGGCUAUUAAAUUCCUCAAUAUUGUCCUGCUUCACAUACUCAUAUAACUUACUAUCUAUCUUUGUAUUUUCCAUGUCAUCUCUCGGGAUCGAGUUUUCAUCAAUGUUUAUUGCUACGCUAGACAUGGCAAAAGAAAAUAUUGUGUUAGUUGAAUCAGUUCUACAUAUCAGACUGCUAGUCUACUAAUUUAAAUAGACUGCUUGCCAAUGGAAUCUGAAAUAACGUGAAUCUUCCUUUUUUUAUAUUUGAUUACUCAAUUACUUCACCCAUUCGUUCUGGAAUCCAGGACAUAGCAAGAACGAGAGAGCAGUCUUGGAUAUGGUUAAAGCAGCAUCUAGAAAAGAAAAAGGAAAAGGAAAAGAGGAAAAUAUGACCGCUAACUCAAAAAAAGAUGAUUGUCCCCGAGUCCCUGGGUAAAUUCUUGACUUGAAGUUAUAACUCAUAUACACUGUGAUGCAGAUGGGAGAAUUCAUAUUUUAAUAACAAUUUUUAUUAGUUUUAUAGGACAUCUAGAAAUUAUUUUGCAACCUGAAACAUCUACGUAUCACACAACAAGACCUCUAAUUCAAAUAGAACUUACUCUGGUUUUAUAUGCAUGGAUACUUUGAUUGCUCAAAUACUUCACCCAUUUGUUAUGAAAUCCAGGACAUAGCAAGACAUAGGGAGACCAGUCUUGCCUAUGGUUAAAGCAGCAUCUAGAAAAGGAAAAGGAAAAGGAGAAGAGGAAAAUAUCUCCCCUAGCUCAAAAAAAGGAAAAUUCUUAACUUGAAUUUACAACUCAUAUACAGGAAAAUUCUUAACUUGAAUUUACAACUCAUAUACACAAAAAUAUACAAAAUGCAGGUCUUUCCUAUCCGCGACAGGAGUAGUAUCUUAGUUGUUGCAUUUUCUUUUAUGUUAUUUGGAUUCAAUAGGUGCUGAUGUAUUUUGUAUCGAAGAACUUUAGAACUUGUUCAGAUGACAUCUUGUAAUCUAAGUACUUGAAUAAUUAAAAAAUCUCGAGUUUAAAUUUUAUUUUUUUUAUUUUUUAUUUUUAUUUAAAAAUAUAUAUUAGAUAAUAAUAUAAUUUAUAUCUUAAAAUUUUAUUUAAUAAUUAAAAUUUUUAAAUUAAAAUGAUUCUUUCUUAUAUAUAAUAGCAACCAAAACUAUAAAAAAAAAGGAAAAAAAUGUUCCAUAAGCGACUGAUUGUCCUUAUUCUUAACUUGAGAAUAUAACUCACUUAGCGAAUACUCAAAGAUUAAAAGAACAGGAUCCACAAUGGCAUCAGAUUGGUUUAGGUAAAAAUAUCCAAAAUUUUUAACUGGUUAUCAGGAAGCCCAAGGGAUGUUUUAUGUUGUUUUCUUAUAAACUAAAAACUUCUAUAAAUUACUAUGUUGCACGAAAAUACCUUAAAUGAACUUUUUUUUAGUUAAGUUCUCAAAGAAAAAAGUUUAUUUCAGCAUGAAUUUUUAAAUGAAGUUUUUGGAUCGUUUUAAUUCAUUAAUUUAAAAAUAAUUUUUAUAAAAUAAAAAUAUAUCAUUUUAAUAUAUUUCAGUAUAAAAAAUACUUCAACAAUUAACCGCAACCAUCGAAUAGGCAUACCAAAACCUACUUAAUUUAAAAUCAUCACUUGUAGAAUGGUGAUCAAGUAGAUCGUUGAUUGAAUAUAUAAGACCAAUAGUUAAGUAUUUGCUUUUACACUGUACGAGUUUAAUUGCCUUUGUGUCACACGUUUGGAACCUCGUUCUUUCUAAAGUGAAGAUGUAGGUGGUUCUUUUUUUCUUCUUUUUUAAUGUUCUAUGUGCUUGUCCCCGUUUAUAGAAAACAUAAUGACAUGGGAAACAAUAGAAUGUGUGAAAUUCUUCUUACAUAAUCAUCAAAAUCAAUAGGUUAUAAAUCUAUCCAUUCGGAGUACAGUUAUAACGUCUGUAUCCAAUAAACUGCAAUUAAUCAUUAGGGACUAAACUUCAAAUCUGAUUCAACUCUUAGGGACCCAAUUUAAAUCUGAUUAUCAAAAUUAAGGACCAAAUCAUAACAAUUCAAAGUCCGAGGACCAGGCUAUAAUGAUUAUAAAUUUCCAUGGAUUAUAUUGUAUCUUUACCUUCUCGUUCUUGAGAGUUUCUGCCGAUUCUCCUUUACUGACAGUGGCUUAAUCCUUUCUGAAUCAUCUUUUUAUUUCUUUGGGACAUGCUAAUCUUGUGCGGUAAACGUAAAUGCACAUGCAAUUAUUUAACCAUUACUAUCUUUUUUUCUUUUUUUUUUAUCUUAAAAGUUAAUUUUAGUUGCUAAGAAAUGAUUAUUAAUCUAUAAAUAUGUCAUAUAAAUUCAAUUUAUUUAUAUAAAUUAUAUAAAAAACAUUUAAAGAUAAAUUACAAUAAUCUCUUUGAAGCAUUAUAAAAUGAAUAAAUAAAAACUUAAUUACUUUUAAAAAAAUACUAAAAAAUUAAAAAAAAAAAAACAAGAUAGAGUAUUAAUUAAAAUUUAAAUAAAAAUUAAUGAAAUGUAUAUUAAUAAAAGUUAAGCGAUGCUGAGAAUACCAUACCAAGCCCACGCGCUUGGCCAAGGAUCAAAAAACAUAAGUGUGCUUGAUACUAGAAGCCCAAGCCAGCAUUCCCGGCUAAUUUUUUUCUUUCUUUCUUUUGAAGUUUUUUCUUGAAAUAGACAAGUUGUUUAUUAUGCAAAAAUUAUUUGUUAUCCUCUCCAUCUUUUUACUCUUACCUCCUGUGUUUGAAAAAUAAAAGCUGAAGUUUUAAACUAUCACCUUCAUUAAACUUUCAUUAAAAAGAUAAAUUCAUUAACACCAAUAAACUUUCAUUAAAAAGAUAAAUUCAUUAACACCAAUUUCAAUCUUUUUAUGAUUGAAAUCUAUCCUUUAAACCAUUUUUUCUCUCUUUAAUAUUUUUUGCUAACUUUUUAUCUUCUCUCUCAAUAUCCAGACACUAAAUUAUUAUUAUUAUUUUAAAAAAAUAGGACUAAAAUAUGAAUUGCUAUAACAACAAGGAUGAAAUAAUAGAUAAGUUGAAACUUUAUAUAGCAAAUUAAAGUUUUCCAUACCAAUAUUCAAAUGGGGUUUUUUUUAUUAAAUUUGGUCAAGUUCUUAAGUUUUGUUUUAACUAAACAUAAAAUUUUACUUUGCAAAAUCAAUUUUUAAUUCAUUGUUGUAAAAUUCGUUGACAUUUUGUAUACGUGAGACAAUGAAAAUUAAAAAAACAAAUCUUAACAUGUAAAACUGUUUUUAAAUAAUUUUGAAAGAUUAUAUUUUAAUUAUAUAUCAUGAUCAAAAUUUAAAAAAAAAAAUGACACUUGCAUGAAUAGUGCAAUAAAUAAUGAAUCUCGAUCGAGAAGAAGAGUAACAAUACACAAUAUUAAUAUUAAUUCCAUAAAGUAAUAACUCAUAAUCCAUUUUAAUUAUUCAAUUAAUCUAAACCUCAUAACAAUACAUACAAUCCUUUUGAGAGUGCUUUUAUUUAUUUGCGAAAUUGCAAAUAAGUGAAUAACUACGAAAUGAGCAUUGUACCUCCAAAUCAAUGCCAUCCAUUAAUUUUCAAAUAAGGACAAUAUAGUCUAUUCGCUCCAAUUUUUUUUUUUUUUUAAUUCCAUCUAAGUCCACAAUUCCUAGAGUUUUGUUGGGCCUUGGCGUUUUUUUAGUAGGUUUCUACAGUUUUGUUCACAUUACAGCCUACCAUUUUCAAGAUGUCUACCUGUGGAUAAUCAUAGCUCACUUGAUUAUAUUUUGAAAGCCUUUUGAGGUAAAGAUGAUGAGGUUUUUAAAAUCUUUUGUGGAAGGUCCAUCUAAUUUUUGAAUAUAAAAAAUCUUCUUUCUUAUCUGUAUUUUCAACAUAAAGUAUAUUAAUAAAAAGAUAAAUCUUAAUUUUGUUUCUUAUAUUCUUAAAUAUAAUAAUAUUCGUUGUAUUAUUUGAACCUUUUAAUUAGAGUGGAAGUUUAAUUUCAUCACUUUCUUACAAGGUUUUUUUUUUAGUGGAUAAUCUGAAAAAAAAUCUAAGAGAAGCUAGAUUCGUUUCAGAGGGUAAAUUUAUGCAUGGAUAUACAAAGGAGACCAACUUCCUCAAUACAUAAGAAAUAAAGGUAUCGAAAAAGUGAAGUGAGGCUCACUUUCCUUCACCAGCAUAUACCAUGCGUUUACCUUUCCAAUAAUUAGAAGAAAACGACUUGUAUGGAGAGAGCUUUCUGAACUUCUUAUAUUGAAAUUCUAUAAGUGUCUUUACAUUUUGAUUACAGUUUUUUUUAUGCUUGCUUCAAUUAAAAGAAUUUUAAAUUUUAAAGUUAGAUAUUAAAUUUGAUGCUAACAAUAUAAACUUCAGACAUUAUCAAUGUAAUUAUAAACUUGUAGUUCUAGGCUUAAAAUGAUGUUUCUCAAAUAUAAAUUUAAAACUUAGUGAUCUUUUUAUAUACAGAAAGCAAAUUAAAACUUGUGGAGUAGUCAAAUAAUCUAAAUAUUUUGAAUACAAAAAACAGCUUAACAACUCAAGAUUAAAGAAUUUACAUUUAUUGGAUGAUUCUUCAACUUUGGCUAUCAAGGUUGUGCAAGAAGAUCAACUAGAUGUUGCUAAAGAUUUUACAAUUAGAUAUACAAGGAAUAUUUGUGGUAUUACUGACGAUAUCUUCACCACAAAUCAACUAAAAAAUCAUAUAAAGAAGGCCAUCAUAGACCAAAUAAAAAUUUCAGUUUAACCUUUAUAUUAUUAUGCAAAGCCAUACACACAAAAGUUGAGCUAUCAACCACUAAAGGUUCAACAAUUAGAUAACAAAACAAAUCUAAUUAAAGGUUCAACAAUUAGAUAGCAAAACAAAUCUAAGGCAACAUGCAUGUGGCUCACUUUAUAGAGGCUUGUAACAAUACUAUACUUGAUGUUGAUCUCAUGGUAAAACAAUUCAUUCAUUCUUUAAAAUGCAAUGCAUGACUUGGAGUCUUUUUUAACUUAUAGUCGGGAGAAAUUGAAACAUAUGUUUCUUCAACACUCAUUAUAUGGUUAACAUGAUUAAACUUACUAAUGAACAUUAAUAAAUAGAGAAGCAUGUCAGUGACUACAUUCAUCAAUGGAAAAAUCUACAACACUUAUUAUAUGGUUAACAUGAUAAAUCAAACACAUUAGAUUCACCUAUAUAUUGAGCCCAAAUAAACAUGGAUUUAUCAAGUUGUCAAACCCAAUAUCCUAGGGUUUAACUAUGUGUUGAACCCAAGUAAAUAUAGAUCUAGCCUCGUAUUGGGCUGUAAGGCUUUCUUUGUUUAUUCUUAUGAUUUUUAAUAUUAAAUGUUAAUGUUAAGAAUACUCAUCUCUCUACACUUAUAAAUAUAUAAAAGUCUUCUAAAAACCUACCAUGUUUUCAUCAGUAUUAAAUAUUAUGUAAGAGAUAUUUAUCCAUCAUUAAUGAUUAAUGAUGUGUAAGGGAUAUAUAUCCAAUGUCCAAACACUAAAAAACCUUUCUUAAACAUAUUGGAUUUUUGAAAUAUCAUAAACUGAUGAACAAGAAAUAGAGUUUUUUUGCCAAGAGAAGAGUAGAGAGGAAGGAAAGGAUUAAAAAUCAACAAAAAAAUCAACUACAAAACAUGAACUGUAUGACAAAAGUUGAUGCUUUGCCAAGCCAUGUUCACCUAGCAGCUGCAUCCUUGCUUAUAACAAAAACCCUAUCCACUCAAUUAAUUAAGGAAACAGAAAAGGUUUAGCAAACAUGAAUAGAGUAAUUUUAUAAUUUACACUUUGGUCUCUAAAAUCAAUAAUUGCUUUAAAUUAGGCAUCAAACAUUGAUUCUAUAAUUUGAUUUGAUAAAAUUUAAUUGAAAUUGAUCCCUAAAUUUCUAAUUUUGACAAUUAUAUUUUAUUUUUACAAUAAAAAUAUCUAUAUUAAUUUACUUUGAAAAUUUAAUACGAUCAAAUCAAGUUUUAGUUAAAAAAAAAAAAGAUAUUCAAAGUUCAAAAAUCCUCUUAACCAUAUUUUUCAAGACAUGUCUACUUAUUUUAAGGCUAAGUGAACUUGUAUCGAAGGGGCAACAUCUGUAUAAACAAAAAUAUUGUACAAAUUCAAUUUUUUCAUGUUUUUUUUUUAUAUUUAUUUUGACCUAAAAAAUUAAAAUAAUUGACAUGGAAAAUAAAUGGGCCUUUAUGUAUUUCUUGGCCAAUAAAAACUUGAAAAAUAGGAUGAGAUAUUUAAUUUAUUUUAUCAUCAAUGCAAGAUUUUAUAAUUGAAAAUCAACCGAUAACUGAUAAUAAACUUUAAGUAGAAUUGAACAUUAUUAUUUUUCUAAUGAUAUGGUGAAUUUAAAUAUCCAAUACAAAUUUAUCUAUAAAUGUGUUCACAUAUUUACCCAUUUAAACAUACUUAUUCAGCAUUAUUAAUUUUUAAUUAGAAUUAUUUAUGAGAUUUAUUUAAAAAUAAAAUAAAAAGUCUUAAUGUAUAUUUGAUUUAAAUUCUGAAUUAUACCCAAUUUUUGAAAAUAAUAAUGCAAAUUAUUUCAUUAUUUUUUGCUUCAGUCGAUGUAUUCAAUUAUCGAAUAAAACUUUAUUCAUGAAUGUGUUCGCACAUGUACCUAUUUUUUUUUUAUGAAUAUGUUCAGUACUAAUUUUUUAUAGAAGAAUUUAUUGAUUGCUAAUUUUUAUGUUCAGUACUACCAAAGCAUAUCUAUUCAACAUAGUUAAUUUUUUAUAGAAGAAUUUAUUAAUUAGUUUAAGAAAUCACAUCCUAUAAUAAAAUUAAAACUCUAGAUGCAUAUUCAAUUUAAAUUUAUAAUUAUGCUAAAUUUUUUAAAAUACUAAUUUAAACUAUAUCACUUGAUUUCAUUAGGUUGUUCUCAGAAAAAGAGCUCAACUGAAAAUUAAUAAAAUAAGAUGUAAUUUAAAUCUUUUAUUAUAAUAAUAUUUAAAGCAGCUUAAAUGAUAUGAACAUUAUUUAUAUUAUUUUAUCUUUUUAUCUUUUUUUUUAUUAAAUUAUGAAUUAUUUAAUAUAAAUAAGAGAGGAUAUGAUUAGGUUAAAAGAAUUACACUGAGUUGUGAUUAGAAUGUAACAAGAAAAUCCCCAAAAUUAAUUUUUAGAAAUUUUGAUAAUUAGGUCUGGUAAACUGUCAGACCUAAUAUCUUUGAGUUAAAUUAGAUGUCAAAUCUAAACGGGUUUAGAUUUGGCAAGUUGUAAGAUUCAUUGUCAGUGAACUUAACAUCAUGUCAAUCCCAAGUGGCUAUUAAUCUAAUGAUCAUAAUAAACCUCAUGUUAGGCUAUAAGGCUUUCUUUGUUUAUUUUUAUGAUUUUUUAUCAUGAAAUGUUAAUGUUAAGAAUUUUAAUCUCUCCACACCUGUAAGUAUAUAAAAGUCUUAUAAGGGCCUACUAUAUUUUCAUCAUUAUUAAAUAUUAUGUAAGGGAUAUUUAUCCCUCAUUAAUGACUUGUAGUGUAAGAGAUAUUUAUCCAUUCUCUAAACACUGAAAAACUUUAUUUGAAAGCAUAUUAAAUUUUAAAACAUCAUCAACUAUUGAACAAGAAAUCAAUCUUUUUGCCAAAAGAAAAGUAGAGAAGAAGGAAUAAUGGUUAAAACAUAUAUAUAUAUAUAUAUAAAAUCAUUUGCAAAACAUGAACCCUAUGACAAAAGCUUAUGCUUUGCCGAGCCAUGUUCAGCUAGCUCCCACAUCCUUGCCUAUAACAGAAACCCUAUCCACACCAUUAAUUAAAGAAAAGAAAAGGUUUAGCAAACAUGCAUAUAGUAAAUUUUAUAAUUUACACUUUGGUCCCCAAAAUCAAUAAUUGCUUUAAAUUAGGCAUCAAACAUUGAUUCUAUCAUUUGAUUUGAUAAAUCUCAAUUGAAAUUGAUCCCUAAAUUUCUAAUUUUAAUAAUUAUAUUUUAUUUUUACAAUAAAAAUAUCUAUAUUAAUUUACUUUGAAAAUUUAAUAUGAAGUUGGGAAAAAAAUACCAAAGUUCAAAAAUCCUCUUAACCAACAUGCCCACUUAUUUUAAGGAUAAGUGAACUUACAUCGAGGAGGCAUUUAUAUCAACAAAAAUAUUAUACAAAUCAAAAAAAUUUAUGUUUUUUUAUUUUAUUUUUCACCUAAAAAAAUUGAAAUAAUUUGAGAUGAUAAAUAAGUGGAACAUUAUGUAUUUUUGAAGACAUGUCCACUUAUUUUAAAUAUUUUAUUAUUAUAAAAUUUAAAGCAGCUCAAAUGAUAUGAUCAUUAUUUAUAUCUUUUUAUCUCUCUUUUUUUUUUUACUUUUUAUUUGAUUAAAUUAUGGAUUAUUUAAUAUAAAUAAGGGAGGAAAUGGUUAGAUUAAAAGAAUUACACUGAGUUGUGAUUAGAAUAUAACAAGAAAAUCUGCAAAAUUAAUAAUUAGAAAUCUUGAUGAUGAACAACGGUUUUGGGACAAACAAGAUCAGAAAGGUGGACAAAAUGGUUGAAAUAUCACAAGGAGCCUGGUUUGAUAAGCACCGAAGACAAAUCCAGAGUUGUGUUUGAGAAUGCUUAGAGCGAGCCACAAAUGAUAUCCUAGCUUUAAUAUUGUUGUCCUUCGUCCAUAAAUGAAACAAUUUAGGACAACAAUGUCUUUAAUUUGGAUCAUUAAAGAUAUCAACUUGGUUCGUCUUAACAGUAUUAAAAUGGCCGUCCCAAAAUUACCCCUUAAAACAAGAAAAAAGGACAUGGCCAAGCAUUGACACGUUGCAAAGACGAUAAAGUCAACAAACAUCGUCCCACCCUUGCUCUAAUUUGAUGCAACAAUGUUUAAGGGUGCGUUUCUUUCUUAAAAGUAAUUUUCAAGAAUUUAUUUUUUAAUUUUUUCCUGUAUUUAUUUGUUAUUAAAAAAAUUAAUUAAUAAAAAUAUUUUUUAAUCAAUGAAAAAUACUUUCUUAUCAAAGAAAAAUUUAGCUUGAUUUUUUAAAAAAUAUAUAUAUUUAUUUAUUUUAAACAGAAAAUACUUUUUAAAAGUUGACAAACAUAGAAUCAAGAAAAAGUUGGAGUUUUUUUUUUUUCUUCUAAUAGAAAGUUUUCUAAUCAACGAAAAAUAUUUUUCUAUAAAAACAAAUUUAAUUUAAUUUCCAGAAAAAUAAUUUUUUUUUAUUUUAAACGGAAAAUACUUUCAAUAAAUUAACAAUUAUGAAGUUAAGGAAAAGUAGGAUUUUUUUUGUUAAUAGAGAGUUGUUUAAGUGUAUGGCAAUUUUUUUUGUUAAAAUAUAUUAAAAUAAUAUAUUUUUUUAUUUUUUUAAAUUUAUUAUUAACAUCAAUAUAUUAAAAUAAUUUAAAAAUAUAAAAAAAAUUAAUUAUAAUUAAAAAUUUUAAUUUUUAUAACAUACUGUUUAUAAGCAAUUCUAAAAUGGAAUACCUAUAGACAACAAAAAAAAAACUUAUCAUCAAAUGACAACGUGGGACACAAUCUGCAUUAUAUAUUGUGUUCUCUUCCGUUGAUGGAGGGGUGGUGUUGGCCGUAUUUGUUAGAACAAAACAUUUUUUAAAAUUGCUCGUCCUUUUACCUUGAAAAAAAUCCUGCAGCAGGGACGGGAUGGAUGUUUGUUGAUUUUAUCGUUAUGCACCGUGUCAUUGAUUUUGGGACGGCCAUUUUAAUACUGUUAAGACCAACCAAGUUGAUAUCUUUAAUUAACAUUGAUAUAUUAAUUUGAAGAUUUGAUUUUUUUUUUUACUCAAUCCAACAACAAGAAGAGGAGUCUAGUAAAUCCAUGCUUAAUAUAUAUAUAUAUAUAUAUUCCAUGCUUAAUAUAUAUAUAUAUAUAUAUAUAUAUAUAUAUAUAAGUAGAAAUGCGCAUACAUUCAAUUGGAAACUCAAGAGUUAUUACAAAGUUCAAAUUAUUACUCCAAUAGCUCGCCAGACACAAUCCAAGAUAUGAUCGAUCUCAAAAUCCUGAACUUUCUCUUGAGAUCAGAGAGCUCUCUCUUGAGAUCAAGAUCAGAGAGUUUAUUAGGCAGCCACCAGCUACUGUAGAUAAACAAGAAAAAAAUGCCGUAGUAGAAAUGGUGCAAGAGAACCCGUAGAAGAACUUUGUUGAAAUAUCCCGACCUCUGAUCCUAGAGAGUUUAUGAGGCAGCCACCACCUACUGUAUAUAAACACUAAAAAAAGGCUGUAGUAGAAAUAGUGCAAGAGCACUUUUAGAAGAACUUCGUUGCCAAAUAGCGGAAUAAUCGAAGGAAAAACAACGGCCACCCCUGUAAUGAUGAUUGUUAACAACCAACCAUGGGAUCCUAUUAAUACUAUUCUCACAGAAAAAAGGAAUGCCCCGAACAUCAUGAAAAUAGCCAAACGAACCAUGAAUAUUGAAAACCAAACUGCAGAGAUUUGAAAACCUUUCGUAACGCUUGGCAAAAGAAGGAAUAGAGCUGCCGCCAGAGAGCAAGAUAAAGCCCCCACAUCGAGAGCUAAAUAAACAUACAGAAGAUUCUCAUAAGUGCUGUUAAAUUCAUGGCGACGAUCACUUGAGUUAUUGUUAUCCCUUAAUUGUGGCAAUUGUAUAACACCCGCAAAGGUCACUCCAGCAACAAGCACUGCUACCACUAGAACAUUCCCUAUCUCGCUCCUUGUUUCCUCUUUUAGUUUUGACACGGGUAGUCCAGUCCAGGGGAAAAGCUCCUUGAGGGAUUUCUUAGGGCAGGCAUUGAAGCAUAAGAUCGAAAAUGUCAUCACCUGCAUAUAUAUAGAAUUUUCCUCAAUUGCAUCCAAAAGCAUUGACCUUCAAAUGGGUUCUUGGCACUUCCUCAAUUGUUUAAUGGGUUCUUGGCACUUCCUCAAUUGCAUCCAAAAGCAUUGACCUUCAAAUGGCUUUCCCAGAACAAGUAAUUUACUGGAAUGUUUUAGAAUUUUUUAAUAUAAUGGCAUACAAGUUCAAUCAAUUGGGCUUGAACUAGAAGUUUAAAAGAUUAGGGAUGGCAAGGGAAAAAGAAGGAAAGCAAUAAUACCAAGUGAAAAUACCCAUCCACUAUUUCGUCCUUUGGUGAUGGCUCUUUUUUAUCCAUCUUAUUUGUAUCAACUUCUUUUCCCUGUCAAAAAAAAAAAAACAUAUUAUUUGUUAAAAUGCAGUGCUCUCUCUGUGUGCUAUGGAUAUAUAUUGAAGAUAUUUGAUUUCCUGCUGCGAAAUACUUUUAAUCUUUUUAUUUUUAUAAAUAAUUUAAAUUCCAUAGGAUAAAAAAUAAUUUAAAUUGAUUUGAAAAAAAAAAGAAAAAAGGUAUCUAUAUUUUUUUAAAACAAAACCAUUUUCCUUAUUAAUUAUACGUUCCAUUUUUUUUUACUAAUGUUUUUAUAAAAAAAUUUUGUUUUUUUUUUAACAACAACCUAUCAUAAUCUAUAAAUAAGUUUUAAUUAAAAAAUAAAAUAAUAAUGGAUUGAUGAUUUUCUUGAAAAAAAAAAUUUAGCAAUGUUUUUAUUGCAUAAAAACUAAAAGCAAUUAAAAUAAAUAUGGACAAAAAUUUUCAUGAUUUUAUUGCAAUAAAGAUAAAAAAGAUAUAUAUCUAUUUGAUAAAAAAAGCUUUUUUUUAUUAAUCCAUCCUCUUUUUUUUUUGGGGUAGUAUUUUAUAAUUUUUUAUUAAUCCAUCCUCUUUUUUUUUGGGGUAGUAUUUUAUAAAAAAUAUUGUUUCUUAAAUAAAAAACUUAUCAUAAUCUUAACGUAAAUACCUUGAUCUCGUGCGCAGGGGUACUGUUCUUUGAAUCAAUCGGCUUUCGUUCCUCGGCAGGCUGGCAACAAAGUGGAAGCCCAGAUACCAAAAUAUUAAAUCAGUAAUACUCCUAAAAUAUAUAGACUUUUGUAGCUCGAUAAAUGAUGAUCAAAUUAGUAGCUUACCAUUUCAUCUGUUUUUAUGUAUAAUCCACGUGGCAACCUCCCUCUCUCUCACACACAGCUACAGUAACUUUAGCUUUCCCUUUCGUCCCCGAUCCCCUUCUCACCAAUCCCAUCAGGCGACCACAACCAACUUCAUCAACAGCAGCCCCAGUCAUCAUCCUCAUCUAAAGCACUAUCGACUGCCUGUAUCGGCCAGCCUUCUUUGCUACAAUAGUUCCUACCAUCAAUGGGGAUUCUAGAAACAAGCAAACCUCUCAACACCAGCAUCGUGAGCAGCAGCCUUGAGUGACGGAUUCACUUUUCUUCAUCUACACACGACCACAAGUUUCAUCACAGCAUCCACGCUACAGCUUCACAGUCCCGCCGAAGUCAACCAGAAGACCCAUCCUUUUAGCAAAUCCACACUUUUCUUGCACUCUCAACACCACAUCAACACCCAUCUUCCCGAUCUCUCAUCUCCUUUAGCACUGAGAGAACCGAACGGUGGAGCAGAGAACACAGACAGCAGAGGAGCCAGCAUCACCAUCGAUUUCCUUUCUCCAGAAGCAGGGGUCUACCGCCACAUCAACACCCAUCUUCCCGAUCUCUUCAUCCCUUUUAGCUCUGAAGCUUCCUCCAGCAGUGGCCAACACACGGCAGCCCCUACGGACACCUCAUUUACUUCUGGUGCUCGACCCAAUUCUGAAAACCAUGGAUUGCACUCGCCCCAUCUCCUCUUGAAAUGCUUUUCAUGAUCCAAUAAUGCUACAGCGGCUUCAGAUGGAUCCACCUCAUAGAAUACUGGCAAGUCUCUCUCUUUCUGUACUGCUACUUCAAGCUUGAAUUGCUUUGCUCGUUGGCUAGACGAUGAUGUUUGGUUUUCUUUGAGAGUUUGGUUUUCUCUGCUUCUAAGUUACAGCAGCUAGUCCUAAUCAUUGAUGUUUAUGCGUGUCACUGGCUAUAUGAGAAUCCAUUAUGUUUUGAUGAGUUUAUAUUCGGGAACAAAUAUUGGGCCAUUAACCUUUUCAAGCACUGAUGGAGUAGGGUGCAGUUAAAACACGCCCUAGCUGUUUGAUAGAAUGCCAUUGACCAGCGAAAGCUAAACAAUAAUGUUGUAAGCAUAGAAACAAACAAUCAAAAAUCCCUAAAAAACUCAGAAUGCUCCCCUCCAAAAACCUCCCCUGCUACCUAGGUCUUAGAACCUGCUUCAACCUUCCCCUUACAAUUCACCCCACACUGUAAAUGCCCCUAUUAAACAUACACAACACCACCCUUCAUCCGCCUAGCAACCUAUGUAUUACACAACAACAGCCAAACAACAAACACUUACCUAAAACAGCUUUCACUCCCUCUGUCUCUACUAAGAUUUAUUUUGAAUGUUUCCCGUCUUGGCUCGAUUACCAAGAUCUCAAAAAGACUUUUUCAAAGAUUAGUCUUGUCACCAACCUCUUUGUUUCCAGGAAAAAAACAAAACGAGGGAGACGGUUUGGUUUUGUAUCUUUCUUCUCCCAUUUAGAAGAUACAGACCUUUGUGAUAGAUUGAACCUUGUAUGGUUCGACUCUUUCAAAAUUCGUGCAAACCUAGCAAGAUUUCAACACCUACAGAUUCCAAGGAAAAGACAGUCCCCUCCACAAAGCCAGAAAUCAAAAUCCCACCCAAACUAGCCCUUAGAGACAACAGGACCUUUGUUGAAGCUCUUUUGGUCCAACAACCAUCAAAGAAGACUGUGAUGUAUGAGUCUACUCAGGAUGACAAGGAAUGGCUGUUGAGAAGUCUAGUCGGUUCUAUAGCCACAGAAGUGGACUAUGCAAAACUGGAGCAUAUGGUUUUGAAAACUGUCAAGAAGGCAAUUGGAUUUCGUUUCCUAGGAGCAAGCCAAGCAGUUAUCACCUUCACAGACAGAGAGACUAUGGAGAAGAGUUAACAAACAGUAGCUCUGCCUUGGCAAACUACUUCUCUAGUAUCAAACCAUGGAAGAGGGAAGUAAAAGCAGUGGAUAGAUUUGUUUGGGUGUCUAUUAUGGGACUUCCUCUAAUUGGCUGGAACCGAAGAUGUAUUGAAUCAAUGGUUGAAGAUGCAGGCAAGAUGAUUGGUUACGAUAUUACAAGUGUGAGUCAAGGUUCACUUAUGGGAGUCAAGGUUCUUUUGUGCACAACCUCUUUCACGAUUUUAAACAAACAGAUUUCACUGAUUCUAGACGGAGAGGAAUUUGAUAUAUCAGUCAUGGAAAUGAAGCCAGGUUUUAGCCCCCUGCUUACCACAAUUAAAUACUCAAUGGAUACAUCAGGCACUGAAGAAUCAGAUGAAGAGUCAUGCAGUAAAAUCACACCUCCAGAUGAGUUUCCGCUAGCCAGUAUAAAUGAACCAGAAGUUGACCGAACCUCAACAGAGCAACAGGAUAAGGACAUGCAAAAUGACCCCUCUCUCAUUCUCUGCACAAGAUACACUGAAUCACUCAACAACCUAGACCAAACUGACACAACAUACAAAACCUUCUGCCUCUUUCCUGAAACUAAGGAAACACACAAGCUACAAACAAAAAACCAGCAACUGCACAUCGCCUCUCACCAAUUGCCCUCUAUAGAACCAUGCUAUGACACCAUUAAGGAAAAAAUUCAAGUGGUAGAAACCAGCUACAGCAACUCAGAUGACUCAGCAUCAAUAUCCUUUUCGAGAGUAGCCCUCGAUAAAAAACAAACACAAACUAAAGCCUCCUCUGUCCAAGUUACAAGGCCUACCCCAAAACUAACCAGACCCAUGAUACUAGCACAGAGCCGGAGCCACAAUACACAUCAGCAAUCUUUCUCUGCCUUCAUACGUGACCUAGCAGAACCACAAGAAGUAGUGGAAAUGGAGUUGGAAGGAAAGAUGAAAGAUAAGAAGCUUAGAAGAGCUAGAAGGGUUGCGCCUAAAUCUUCUUUCAACAAAAAGAAGAAUGUGUUGAAAGUUAAAUCAUUUGCAGCUCAUAUACCUAAUGGAGCACCCAACCUUUUUGCAAUGAAGGUAACCAGCACCCAAAACAACACACCUCUACAAGACACCACACCAUCCCCUGUUAUUAAGUCAUUCGGCAUUGGAAAGAACCAUAACUAUGCCUCCACGGAUGAUGAAACCAGUGUCAUGCAUCUCCAUUUACCACCCCUGUUGAACCCUCAAAGCAACCCACAAACAUUUUCAGAUGCAACCAAUGAAAACACAAACGAGAAAAGCAGCAAAACAAGAAAACUGAAGUUGUUGCAAGCCAAUGGUAGUGUUGCUAACACUAUGGAGGAUUGUGAUUCUUCCGACUCCUUAAACUCAGGAAUCCAACAAGGAAAUAUUCGGUUUCAGAUCACUUGUACGAAGCAUCAAGACAAUGGGUUUGACAGUGAAAAGGAGACUCAAGAAAUGAUACAAGAUGCCGUGGCUCUAGGUUUGGGAAACCCGCAAGAACUAAACGGGUUCAAAGAAGGAAUAAUGAGAAAUAUUGAUAGAGAAGUUGAUGAGUGGACAUCAGUUAACCAGUUGUAAGUUCUCUAUCUUGAUAAGUCUAGCCUGCCUUGGUUUUUGCUCUUUUUAUGAAUAUCUUUGCUUGGAACAGCUGUGGUUUAGGCAUGUCACACAAGCAAAAUUCAAUCCGGAAUAGGCUUAUAAAAAUAAUAUUGGCAUCUGUUUUCUUUUAGAAACAAAGAAAAACUGUUGUGACUCCUUCAUUAGAAAUCUGUGGAAUAUUGCAACUGUCAAAUGGGCUUUCUAGAAUCUAUAGGGAAAUCAGGAGGGAUUAUAGCAAUGUGGGAUAGCUCUGUCUUUGAAGUUAGCUCGGUAGAAUUUGGGGGGCAGUGGAUCAGCCUAUGCGGCACAUAUUCCUUCUUCCUUUACUUGUAUGAUAGUUGGUGUAUAUGCUGCAUCUUCAGUGAAGGAUCGUGCUGAUAUGUGGGAAGAAAUCACCACUCUUAAGUUUGCUUUUGAACUUUGGUGGUGCUAGGCGACUUCAACGAAACUCUACACGCUCAUGAGAGAAGUAGUGGUCACCUCAAUUCAUCAGGUUCAACUUCAUUCCACAAAUUCAUAUCAGACUGUGAACUGGUUGAAUUCAAUUUGCAAGGGCAUCGGUUCACUUGGUUUAGGGGUGGUUCUAUGAGCCGCAUUGACAGAGCUUUCGCUUCUCCGGAUUUUCAGCUACAGUUCCCGUCUCUAUCUCUCUGCCGCUACCCUAGAGGGAUGUCCGAUCACUGUCAGCUGCUUCUCCAAAGCCCGGAGGUAGACUGGGGGUGGAAGCCGUUUCGUUUCAUAAAUUGCUGGCUGUCGCACCCUCUUUCUUAACAGAUUUUGAGGCCCUCUGGUCUGAAAGCUGCAAGGAAUUUCCAGGUGAGUUUAGUUUGAUUAAGAAGCUGGGGAACAUGGGAAAAAAGCUGAGACAAUGGAAUAAAUCCACUUUCGGGGAUCAAAAUCUAAAACUUGCAGACAUCCAGAACUCCAUCACAACUUGAAACUUAAGCGAAGUGCGUCCCUUGUCUGAGACCGAAAAACAAAGCUCCAGGGGCUGAAUUCUGAGCAAUGGGAGGUUAACAGAAGGGUGGAAGAUAUGUGGAGGCAAAAUCUCGUCAAAACUGGUGUAAAAUGGGGGAUAAGAACACUCUUUUUUUCACAUAUCAGCAAGUCUAAGGAAGGGCCGCAACUACAUUAGUAAGAUUGAACAUAAUGGCAGUCAUCUAGUCUCCUCAAAUGAUAUAAAAGAAGGCGCUGUCAACUUCUUCUCAUCCUUGUUUCGCAAACCAACAUGUAAAAGAAUUGAAAUGGGAGGCUCGGGGUUCUCUAAAAUUUCAGAAGCCAAAUCAAUUUGGCUAGAAAGACCACCUUCAAUGGAAGAAGUGAAGCAAGCUGUGUGGGACUGUGAUGGUUCCAAAGCCCCUGGCCCCGAUGGUUUCACCUUUUGUUUCUAUAAAAAGGUAUGGAAUAUCAUCAGCUCAGAGGUUUUUAUGCUGGUUAAAAGUUUUUUCAGAACUGGUAAACUUCCAAAGGGUAUCAACUCUUCUUUUGUAACUCUGAUUCCGAAAUCAAAGGGCCGAGCAGAUUCUCCCAUUUUCGUCCGAUAAGCCUGAUUCACGGGCUAUACAAAAUAGUGGCAAAGCUACUGUCCACUAGGCUUCGACAUGUCAUGACAGAUGUGAUCAGUGUUAACCAGUCUGCAUUUAUUGCGGCGUCAGAUUCUAGACGGGUUCAUGAUAGCAAAUGAGGUUGUCCAUGGUGUGCGCAGCAAGAAGAAGCAUGGCCUCUUACUGAAGGUAGAUUUCCAUAAAGCCUUUGACUCAAUUUUAUGGGAACAUAUUGACACAAGUAUGGGAUACAUGGGUUUUGGCUCACACUGGAGGAAGCUGAUAUUCGAAUGCUUAUCCACUUCAAAAUUAGCCAUCUUGAUAAACGGUUCUCCUAGUAGAGAAUUUAGUUUGGAGAGGGGUCUCAGGCAAGGGGACCCACUCUCUCCAUUCCUAUUUGACAUCGCAGUUCAGGAUUGACAGUUUUAUUCAAUAGGGCAUCAGCUUCAGGUUACUUCAAAGGCUUACAGACUACCCCAGGACAUUACUUAACUCAUUUGCAAUAUGCCGAUGACUCUCUGAUUUUCUUGCCAAAUGAUUUUCCCUCUCUUCUACAUGCCAAGAGGAUUCUACGUUGGUUUGAGAUCAUUUCCGGACUGAAAGUUAACUUCUAUAAAAGCUCACUAAUAGGUAUCAACUUGGACAACGACUACACCUCUAGCCUGGCGAACUCAGUUUUCUGUCGUAGUGAUACUUUCCCGGUUAGGUACCUUGGACUACCUCUUGGAGCCAAUCCCAGCAGACUCUCUACUUGGAAACCAGUGUUGUCCACUAUCAGAGCAAAGCUACUCACAUGGAAAGGGAAUUUUUUGAGCAUGGCGGGAAGGUUAUGUCUAAUUAAAUCAGUCUUGAGCUCUCUUCCUCUGUUUUACAUGUCAGUUUUUGCUAUGCCAAAGGGUGUUACUAAAGCCAUCUCUUCUCUAACCCGGUCUUUCCUUUGGAAAGGAAGCUCAACUUCUCAUGGCCUUUUUAAGGUGGCUUGGCACAAGGUAAUAAAGGAUAAAUCUUCUGGUGGUCUCGGGCUGGGAUCCAUCCACAACAAAAAUCUGGCUUUGCUUUUAAAUGGCUAUGGAAUCUAGACAAUGGAGUGGCAGGAGGCUGGCAAGAACACAUUCUUCUAAAAUACCGACCUCACUUUAUAAAUGGUAUCCCUGAGUUUGCAGGUUCUUUAUCUCCAACUUGGCAUGGCAUUGUUUCGGCAAUCUUCUCAACACAAAACAUAGCCAAUCUUUUACAUGCAAAUGUCGGGUUCAAGGUGGGUGACGGGAGGAACAUACGGUUUUGGACUGACUCUUGGCUCGGCUCUGCAACCACUCUCCAGCUCUUAUUCCCCAAACUUUAUAACCUCUCCUUGCAGCAAAACACCAGCCUUGCAGAUAUAUACAAUUUGACAGAUGCAUCUUUAAACCUAUCCUGGAGAAGAACCCUUCGGCCUCGUGAGAUCUGCCAGAGGGAGAGCUUGAUCGCAGAGGUGCAGCGUGGUCUCCUUUUCUCAGAUGGUGCAGACUGCAAGUUAUGGAAAUUCCACAGCUCUGGCAUAUACUCAGCUCAAUCAGGUCGCCUCUUCUUUGAUAGUCUAUCGGCCACUAAAAAUAAUCACUCCCCUACUCUGCUAUGGAAUGGUUAUGCCCCCCCAAAAGUGGAUGUGUUCAUUUGGCUUCUUCUUCAUGGAGGUUUGAGUACAAGAAGUUUUUUAGCUGAGAGGAGAAUCAUUAAUUAUGAGGAAUCUCACUGCCCAUUCUGCUGCAAGGAAACCGAGACAAUUAAUCAUCUUUUCCAUUGGUGUCCUAUAACAUGGUCUCUUUGGGGUCGUUUCUUAAAUGGUUCGGGUGCUCAGGUUGUCUGCACAAAGACCCAAAUCAAAAUCUACAGGAAUGGUCCGGAUUGAUUAAUGGAAAUUUUCAGCGACGUGCUAUUACCCUCCUCUGUAAAGGUCUGUAUUGGUCAAUUUGGAUAGCGCGCAACCGCUUAAUCUUCGAAUCCAAGGCUCCUGAUUGGGAUAUGAUUUUUGAUCUCACUUUUCACCGUUUGGCUUUCUGGUUGAAGUCCUCAGUUACAAAUUUCAGCUAUACAGGUUCAGAUCUUUUUAGAAAUCCUGAAUGUAUUAUGAACUGGACUAACUAAUUAAGUCCCUCUUCACUUUGGUCUUUUCUUUCUUUAUAUUCCCAUUGUAUUCUAUCUUUCGUUCAGCCCCACUUACUUGAUGGGCCUGUUUAUUUAAUAUAUAAUUAUCUCGUUUACUAUAAAAAAAAAAAAGAAAUUCCUUUCCAGAUCUUUUGGAAAAUUCUUCAGUCAAGUACUCAUAUGGUGUCCAAUUUCUAUUGUUAACUAUGAAAUGUUCAACGCGAUUGUCACGCACAAGAAGAAAUGUAGCCGUGCCUUGGCCAUAAACUGCCGCCAAGUGCAAAGGUGUAUUUCCAUCCUCAUCUAUCGCAUUUACCAGCGGUGCGACGAGCUUCUGAUCCUGCUUGAGUAUGUACCUAACCACACUGCUAUUUCCAUAUUUGGCCGCUACAUGAAGAAUGUUGUGCCCUUUCUUAUUGAGGAUAUGGGAAUAUAUCAAGAAAUUCCUUCACUACAUCAACAGAGUGACUUUUGCAUGCUACAUGGAUAGGAAUAGGAUAGUUGCCUUCAAGUUUUGUUUCAUAAGCACCAUCGUGAAACUUCUUUAAGAGGAAUCGAACUCCUUCCAGAAAACCUAUGGAUGAUGCAUAAUGCAGUGAAUUUCCCAACUCUUCCUCGGUGAGAGGUAAUAGCUCUGGCUUUUCCUUUUCAAUUUUCUCCAAAAUAUCUGAAAAUCAAAAGAAAAUGUUUCGAACGAAUAUAAAGAUGAUAGCUUUGCAACAAUUUUUUGUAUGUAAUUCAUUUUCUAGUGGGUAAUGACAUUGUGAUCACCUCUGUUACGUUGCUUGAUGGCAGCAUGAACAGGGGACUUUCCUUCUGGUGGGGAAUCACCAUCUUUUCUAUUUUUAGGAAUUGAAGCUCCCAAAUUCAAGAGAUCAUCAAGUAUCUCGUUGUUAUUGCCAUUCUCAACAGCCAGAUAUAAAGGAGACUUGCCAUUAUUGUUGCUGUAAUAGGCCACUUCUGGAUCUCUGGAAACUAGGAAACUGGCAACUUCUUUGUUGCCCUUGAUCACUGCAUCAUGCAAAGGAGUGUUUCCCUUUGUAUUUGUCUUCCUCAUCAAGAUCGGAUUCGAUUCCGCAAGAGAUUUAAUUGUAUGACUGGCCUUUCCUUCUCUGACAGCAAGAUGAAGGAUUGUGUCCUUCUGGCUGUUUUGGAUGGUGAUUAGAGAAGGAAACGUUCCAACCAGAUAAGCUAUAAUAUUGUCACUUCCAUAGCUUACAGCUACGUGAAGCAGUGUAUUCCCGCAGGGAGUCACUAGCUUCUCCGCUGAACGUUGCUGGACACGUCUUUUCAAGGCCUCAGGAUUGUCCUGCUUCACACAAUCAUGUAACUGACUAUCUAUCAUUUCAUUUUCCAAGUGAUCUCUCGGAAUCGAGAUUUCAUCUAUGUUUAUCUCAACGGCGCUAGACAUAGCAAAAGAAAAUAUUAGGUUACUUGAAUCAGCGAUACCUAUCACUUAUCAGACAGCACGACUUCUAAUUCAAAUCGGCUAGACUGCAUGUCAAUGGAAUCUUAAGUACUGUGAAUGGAAAUUUAGCUUUAUGAUUGUUUUGAUUUGUUUUGUACAAGGUAAUUUUAAUUUCAUGAUUAAAGUUAUGUGUAUAGCAAAUUAAUCUAGUUUAAAUCAUGUUUUUAUUUUUUAAUUUUUUUUUUCAUGAAGUUAUAUUGGUUUGAAGACUUGGGUCAUGGAUUUGAUAAAUUGACUUGGUUUUUUUUUUUUUAACUUCUUUUUCUAAUUAUAUCCUUUAAUAUUGGUUUUAUUGGGGAUUGAAAUUCAUCAUUUAUUUUUAUUUACUUUACAUUAUAUUAUCUUGGUUUUAUGACCCGAGUGAGUUUGGCUGGUUAACUAGGAUUACUUUUUUAGAUCUUUUUUUAAUUGAUUUUUUUUCAAUAUCAUCCUUUAACAUUGAGUUAAUUGGAAAGUAGACUUUAUAAUUUAUUUUGAUUUACUUUCUAUUGGGUUAUCAUAAUCUCAUAAUAUAAGUUGCAAAUUUGACAUGUUAACUCAAGUUAACUCAAGUCAAUCCAAUAUGUUGUUAUCUUAAUAUUAAAAAAAAAAUUAUCAUCUUGAAUUGUUUUAGUCAUACUAUGUUCUUACAUGUCUUAUGAAUUGUUUUUAGAUCCACAAAGUCAUUCAAGUAUAUCGGGUCAACACUUACAUGGUUUUAAUUUUUUAUUUUAUAAAUAUGUAAAAAUAACAUUAUUUUGGUCAUACUUUUUUUAAAAAAAUUCAAUGGGUUUUCAGCAGGGUUUUUAAAAAAAUUAAAAAGAAUUUAACAAAAAAAUUAGGUAGUACAAAUUCUAAAUAAAAAAUAAAUAUCACGGUUAAUUAAAAACAUUGAAUAAUUUUUAAUAAAUUUCCUUUUAUAAAAAAUCCCUAAAAAUCUAAUAUGUUUGGCAUUGCCUUUUAAAUGGCAUUGGAUAAAUUUUAAUGUUUUUAUUUAAAAUUAAUUUUUUUAUGUUUUUAGAUUGUUUUUAUGUACUAAUAUAAAAAAUAAUUUUUAAAUAAAAAUAAAAAAUUAUUAGUUUUAAUAUAUUUUCAGUAAAAAAACACAAUUUUUUUUUAUUCUAACCACAAUUUAAAACGCUACAUAGCAAAAUUGAAAACUUAUUACAAGCUGGGGUAUGAAAAGGACAUCUGAAAUAAAAUAAAUACAGAAAGCCGUAAUCUGAUCGCAUUAAUUCCCAUAAUUUAUUACACCUUGCCAGUUGUCCUUUCUCAUAACUUUCUAAUUCACUCAUUAAGCUGAGACAGAAAAAAUGCACUGAUCGGAGUGAUUUUAUAAGGGAUGAAAGAGGUUUAAGUUGUGUUUUUAAAAAAUUUAAAAGUUUUGUUUUUUUUUGUUAAAAUUAAGUGUGGUUUGUAUUUUUUAUAUCAUUUUAAUGUGCUGAUAUCAAAAAUAAUUAAAAAAAAAUAAAAUAAAAUCAUUGGCAUGCAUUUCGAUAUAAAAAGUUAUUUGAAAAGCAAUCACUACCACGCUCCCAAACACUCGACAGAUUCUGUGAUAUGCAAGAGGUGUGUCUUCUUUAAGAAGACCAUGUGUUUGAAAUUAAUACCUUUUGGAACAGAUAUGGGAAUUGAUACAGAAAAAACCUGGAUUACUCGAUUAGUUUAAAUUAAUUAUUUAAAUUUUUUUUUAGAAUUGACCUAAUCAACUAGCUAGCCUAGUAAGGUAUAGUAGGGUUAGGUCAACUAGAUUACGAGUAAAUUAUAUUUCACUAAGUCAAUUUCUUUUUUGUUUUAAUUUAAAACCUCGGCCAAGCCACACAUCGGUGAAUGUUUAAGCCACACUUCCGGCGUUAACGUUCCAAGUCAACCCAUUAUACUAGGCUAGGUUUAACAAGAAUGUUUAAGACAUUUUAUUUAACAAUAAAAUAAGUAAUCCAAUAUUUCUAACAUCCGAUUCAACAGACUCAAUGUCUUUCCAAUAUGUUUGAAGGCUUAAACACCGAUGUCAAGGCAGUUUUUUCCUGUCUACCAGCCUUCGGACCCCUGACCUAGUUGUGACAAGGCAUAAGAGCUGUGCAAAGAGCUUGCCAUGCUCUCUGCUUAAACCUCUUGAGAUUUUGAGAUAUUAGUCUGGAAAUUUCUUGAUUCCCUCAUAAACAAGAAGGAAAAUCCCAUGACUUUUCAUCUUCCUGCCAUUUCAUGACCAUACUUUGUAUUCGUAGAAGUUAAAACACUUUUACAUUUUCUUAAUUAAAAGAUUCAAAGAAAGUAAGUUUAAUAUAAAAAAAAAAAAAAACAUUGGUAGAAGACUGGAGCAUGCAGCUAGCCUAGACAGAAAAUUAAUUGAUGUACAAUCAUAGUCUUAAUUAAUACUCAGACCCACCUGUACAGAUUCGGGUUGACGAAAAAAUAAUAUAGUUGACCUAGUUAAAAUCCGAAUAUCAAAUAUUUUUUUAAAUAAAAUAAUACUGUUUUAAUUUUUAUUUUUCUAAAUCUUCUUUAGUAGCCUCGUUAUUCAAAUAUUUCCUCAAGUUUGACACCGGGUUGAUUUUUAAAACAUGUGUACAAUUGCUACCCCACUAUCAGGUCAUUAAAGGGUUCCCCUAGAGUACUACUGUUAUUUCACUUAUUUCUGAAAAAGACUCCAUGCAUGCAUGCGUUCAUAUAUUUACAACUUUAAUUGUACAAGUUAGACCGUACGUAUUCAGUUAUUGGCAUCACCUACUGCUCUCCACCUUCCAUGUCCUCUCCACUUGAUGAUGAGGCCUUGCUGUCCAUCCUCCUAAUAAAAGUUGCCCAUCCGUAAAUUUAUUACACACCCUGCACAAUUCCCUUUUUUUGUCUGUUUACUGUGUUAGAAAAUAGUAUGAAAUCAUUCUUGUGAUUUUACCUAAUAAUCAUGAUUUUAAAACUCACCUCACCACCUCCAAUUUAACUAAAAUAAAAUUAAAUAUAAAGUAAUGUUGAGUUUCUGCAGAUUUUGUUAUAUGAAACUAUGACAGAAUAGAUUAAUUGAAGAAGUCGGUGUUGACGCUGAAGAUGCAAGAAAAGCACUAUUAUGAGGCUUAAUCUGCAGUGGACAAGGACUCUCCUUUGUAACCGGCUUGAUGGCCCCCUGUAUUCCAUGUCUUCUUUGUGAACGCAUCUUUGUGAACGCAGGUUUGGAAUCCAGGAAAGUCAUCACCAGAAUCCCCCGUUUUCCGUCAGUGCCUCACUCCUUAUAUAUCUCUUAAAGGACAACUGGCCAGGUGUAAUAAAUAGUUUACUAUUUUCUAACACAGUAAACUGCAGAAUUCCAAACCCAAAACCAUUAACUUAUUCCCUUUUUUUAUAUGGUGCAUACAAGAAAGAACAUUGAACAUCCAUCUCUCUUUGAGGACUCUGGCUCUCUACAAUUUCCUUCUUCCUUUUUCUAGAUGAACAACACUGCUCUCUACAAUUUCCCACUCCAGAUUUCUCAUAAAAAAGGUUAAAAAACAGAAUAAGCAACGUGUAAAAUUAGAGGUUAAAGCAUGUUGUUGCAAGUAGCUUCAACGCAUCCAAAACUUAUUUAAUUAACACCAUAUAAAGUUAGAGCAAAGGGGAAAAAAAAAACUCCUAGAAAACACUGCUAUUUCCACUAGAAAACAGUUCUCUCACUUGAAAACUUGAAAUUAUUGGUUGUACUGUGGAAGCAUUACUGACCCCGAAAAACAUGCAUGAAGGCAAUUAGAUGUAAAACUCCUGGGACCCGAAAUAGUAGAAAUGACUAUUGACGAGGACAAUAAGAUAAAAAAUAAAGAAAGUUUGAGAUAAAUAGAAAAGUUAGGUGGACAAUCAAAUAAAAUCUUUGAAAUUUCAAACAAGAAAUAAAGUGUUUUUGAAGGUGACACAUUAGUAUCAUUUAGUUGGAAAUGCAAGAAAAACUUAUUUUUUAGAAAAAAUAUAUAGUUUAACUAAUCAAGUUCUAAAUUUAUUUUAUAGAAAUUAUUAGUUUGAAUUUUACAAACUUUAAAUUUAUUGAAAGCUUACAUAAUUAUUAAUUUUAAAAUAUUUAAAAUUAAUCAAAAUAUACACAAACAAGUCUAAACAUUCACAUUAAUAAAACUUUAAUCAUAAAAUAUCUGAUGAGGUAGCAUAAAAUUGUUUGAAUAAUAAUGUAUGGUAUCUCCUCGAGGCCCUGUCAAAAUGAACAUUGAAUUGUAAAUUAUUCAUCAACUGUUAUUUCCAAAAGAAAACAGUUCUCUCACUUGAAAUUAUUGGCUGUACUGUGGAAGCAUUAUUGACCCUAGAAACAUGCAUGGAGACAAUUAGAUGAUGUAAGACUCCUGGGACCCGAAAUAGUAGAGAUGACGAUUGACGAGGACAAUCAGAUAAAAAUUAAAGAAAGUUUGAGAUAAAUAGAAAAGUUACGUGGACAAUCAGACAAUCAAAUAAAAUCUUUUAAAUUUCAAACAAGAAAUAAAGUGUUUUUUUAUGAAGGUGUCACAUUAAAAGGGUACCAUUCAGUUUGGAUUGAAAGAAAAACGUGAUACAAUGAUCCUUUUGAAAUUAUAAAAAGGAUAUGGCUAGUUGCUUAUUGAUUGGAGCUACAUAUAUAUUUUGAUAACAUUCACAAUAUAUUUCAUCUGUCUUUAUUGUAAAAAGUAAAGAUGAAUUUCUCACAAGUGUUAUUACCGGUUGAGGUUACCUAUUUUUGGAUUCCUCGAAAAAAAAUCGAAAGGAAUAAAAAUAAAAAAAAUGAGAAAAUGAUGCUGGAACGCUCAUAAAAUAACUAGGAAUUGGUUGAGAAGGUUCAGAAAUAUAAAAAUUAAAAUUUGACAUUAUAUUUUUUUUUACUGAUAAGAGCCUUAUUGACAAAGAAAAUUCAAGUUCAGAAAGAAAAAUCCAAAAUAAAAUGUUUAUAGACUCAAUUAAAUUUUAUCCAAGGUUUAAUUGAAUUUAUGGAAGGUAUGAUUGCAAGAAAAUUGAUUUUUUAAAGUCAAUUAUGGCUUAUAUUGGAAGUAAUUAAAGUUAUGAGGUCCAAUUAUAAUUUUGAAGAGUUGAUUUGGUCAAAUCAGGGGCUUAAUUGCAUAAUUAUUGAAGUUUGGUGGUCAAUUAGGACUUGAUUGAAGCAAUCUGAAACAAAAGGACCAAACCGGAAAAGAUACUAAAAUCAAGGGAUCCAAUUACAAUUUAUCCGGAGGGCUUGAUUACAAAAUUGUAAGAACAUCCAAGGACCAAAUCAGAAAUAUCCAUUUUGAUAGGAAGACGGCGCCGUUUCAGAGCACAAUUUCAUCACCUUUCUUCACAGCCGUUUCAGCAGACAGUGGAGCCAUUUCAGCAACAAAAACAACAGAUUGCUUCAAUUAUAGAGAAUGUUUCAUGGCUACCAUUCCUCUACAUGCCGUUACCAAGCCAAACGUUGCACCACAGGGCAUUCUUUGGCUUAUAAAAGCCAGAGAAAGACGAUGAAAGAGGGGAGGGAGGACAGCGGACAGAAAAGAAAGGAAAGGGGGGAGAGAAAAGGAACGAGAGAGGAGAAGAAGAGAAAACAGAGGGUGGGAAAUAUUUUGAAGAGAACGAAAGAAACAGAGAGACGGGGAAAGAAAGUUACAGAGGAAGAAAGAAGGAAAAAGGAGAACCACCGCUGGUCUUCCUCUCCACCGCUGCCACAACGCCGCCACUGAGAAGGGAGUAUCGAUCAACAGAAAAAAAGAAAACAGAGGCUCAUGCCUCUGUACAGAGAGGAGAAGAGCCACCAUCGCCCCCCACAGCAACUCCACCGGCCAGCAACCUCCACCACACCGUCUGAAAGCCACCAGCAGCUCCACCCACACCAGUGACCAAAAGGAUAAGAACCAAACAGAAGUAGACGAGGAAGGCAAAAAAAAAAAAAGAGGCUGGUGUCUCUGCACGGGGAAGAAGAAGAAAAGCUGCAACAAACACUGCCCGCCACUGUCAUAACCACCGUGAACCAUCGUCGGCUUCCUCUCCACUGCCACCAACAUCACUGUGAGCGUCAGCAGGUCAGCCUUCCUCCCCUUCCCCAUUUCCUUCUUUUCUUCACUGCACCGUCUCCACUGUUCUACAUGAACAGUGGAGAGUGAAUUAAUUCAAAAUUAAUAUAAUAUUAAAGGAUAAAUUUGAAUAAAAAAAAUCUAUAAAAAAAUUAAUCAAAAGAUAGAAAAAAAAAUUAUCUCCUUCACUAUUGAUAUUUACAUGAACAAUAUUUAUAUUUACAUAAAGAAAGUUCUUUUAGUAGAGUUGCUAGAGUAGAUAGUGAAUACAUUAAUUCAAAAAAUUAAAAUAACACAUUAAAAUAAGCAUAAACAGUAAAAAAAUUGUUUCGGGGUUUAAUCACAAAAAAUUUCAUUAUUGAAAGGAGGGAGAAAUCAUUUGGGAAGCAGCUGCUCAGCCCAUAGAAUCACACAAACAAGCCCCCAAGACAUCUAAGCAUUCAAGCUAAAGCUAAAUAAAAGAGCAGGAAAACUGAAACCCUAUUAUUCAUUGGGCUACAACAUGCUCGACCUCUCCUACUUGUACUGGAAGGAGAAAUUACUGAUAUAGUGAUAUUGGUGUCAAUUUCAAGCUGUAAUACAAACUAGUCAGAUUCAGAAUCCAAGUACAUUCUAUAAGCAUUUCUGUCUGAAGAGUAAUAACCUUCUACCAAACUAUCAACUUGAAAACCAAGUUUCUUGUAUAGAGUCAUAGCUGCAGUCCUCAGGGGAUCAACGUGCAGUGAUAUACGUUGAACCUUUCUCUCUUUGCAUUUCUCAAUUGCUGCUUUAAGCAAUGCCUCUCCAUGACCUUGCCUUCUAUAGUUCUCCUUCACUGUUUUAUACUUGCCAUUUACAAAGAAAAACACCCAUGUAAGAAAUCAAGUCCUGGCCAAUCAGAUAACAAGAAAAAGAAAUUAUACUAAAUGGAUUUUAGUGGGUUUUGCCUAAUCAAUCCCUCUAUUCAGAGAAAAGAAAACCAUGCCUCUUUGAGUACUUUCAUCAAACAGGUUAUGGGUUUGUUAAACAGCAAAAAGAGAAAAAUACAACCCGAAAACAAUGAGGAGAGAGGAAGAAAUAAGUAAUGGGUAUUGAAACCUGCAAGUUUUGUGAUAGAAGCACACAAAGAAGAGGGCCAGGAAUACAUGACAUAGCCAGCAACUUCUCCAUUUAGUUCUGUAUAUAGAAGCCCUGAAUUCUUCUUUCUAAGCUCUUCAUCAAAUGAUCUAGCAAGUGAUUCAUGUUUCGGGAAGAUCUUUCUUUCUAUCUUCACAAUCUCUCCCACAACGUUGGCCCAGUUGGUUGACUUUUUUUGCAACUCCACUAUGACCUCACUCCCCAUGCUUCAGGUGAUAUUUUGCUCUUGGGUUCCGCUGGGACAAAUUGUUGUCUCGGUUUUAACUUAAAAUAAUCGUUUAAUUUAAAACCUAGCACAAAUCAGACCUCUUGAUUAACAUGCUCGAUAUUGCCAAAUUUAAUAACAAUGCUUUAAAUAAAAAUGUGGAUAUGAUAGCAGGUCGUAUGCAUUGCAUAGGUGGCCUGCUAUGUGACAUGACAUGGACUUUGUUAAAUUUUUUCAAACAUAAAAAAAAAAAAAAAACCUCAAGCAAUGAUAAUAUUUUAAAAAAAAGUAAGAGAAAUUUAGGAUUUGAAUAGAUUUAAUAAACUUGUUUGAUUUAAUAAUAUGAUUAUAUAAAAAAAAGCUAGUGACAAUUAAAAAAACAAAGAAAACAAAAAAUAAUGACUAAUAAAAAAAAUUAAUGCUUGCAAAUAUUAAAAAAAUACUCUUUAAAUAUUCUUAAAAAGUCUCAAUAAUCUUAUUCAAUAACAAAAUAAAAAUUAAAAGAGAAUGAAACAACCUCAUAAAAAAAAAAAAAACUCAAUUACUAGCAAAUCAGAUAUUGAAUUAGAAAAAAAUCAAUUUUAAACAGGAUAAAAAUCUUGACUCUAGUUAGCAUAACAAACUCAUAGCCUACUUGUGAGGUCAAAAUAACCACAUAUAAAUUUUUUUGAAUAAAACAAGUUAACUCUCAAGCAAACUAAAUAAUAAAAGACGAAACUGAACAUUAAUCAAUAAAAAAUGUCAAGAAAAACCCAAAUAAACUUGGAUUAACUCGACUAACUUAUGGCUCGAGAUAUGAGAUUUGGAUAACCCAUAGAAAAAAAAAUGACAAUAAUCACGAAGCUAAAGGCCUAAUAACUUAAUGUCGAAUGAUGAAAUUGAAAACAAUAUUAUUUUUUUAAAAAAAAGAACCUAAAAAACAUCAAAGUCAAAUUAAGCUAAUUUUCAAAACCCGUGACCCGGGUCAAGAGACUAGGUUACCCCGAUAAUACAAACCUAAAAAAAUCAUAAAGUAAAAUUUCCAAUCAUCCAAAAUUAAAAAAUAAAAACAAAUAGAAAUCAAAAGAAUGAGGACCAAAUCUGGUAUAAAUAUUAAAUGAAAUAAAACAAUGAAUUUGAGUGCAUUAAUUUCUUCGUUGAAAGCAAUAGGAUCAACUUAUUUUGAGUGCAUUAAUUUCUUGUUUUUCAAUGGAUGUGCUGCAUCUUGUUGUCGAUUGUUAGUCCUCUUAUUGUGUUUGGCGUACUAUUGAGUAAGCUCUCGCUUCCCCAUCUAAUUCUUGCAUUAUACAACUUCUUGGUCCUUUCAAAAUCUUUGGCAAGGUGAUGCUUCGGUUGCUAUAUAUAUGCAGAAGGAAAUAUCAUUAUUUGAUGAGUUAGCUGCUACUAGUCGACCAAUCUCUCUUGAAGAUUUCAAUUUAUAUGUGGUUCGUGGUCUUUGUUGCUACCCAAUUUUUGAUCCAUGUUUUUGAUAAAUUUUUAAAAAAAACCAAAAAUAGCAAAAAAAAAAAAACAAUGAAAACCCAAAAAAAUGCAUUUUUGAUAUAUUUGCAUUAUUUUUAGCAUUUUCAACGUCAUCUUAGAAAUAUUUUAACGCGUUAAUUUUACAAUCAUUGAUUUUCCUUGUUGAGUCGACGUUGAUAUUGCUCGCUUUCAAAAAUACAAAAAAAUAAGAAAAAAAUUCAAAAUUGACAAAAAAAUAAAGAAGUUGAGGGACCAAUGUGUUUUGGAGACCAAGCCACUUUGCCUAUAAAUAGAGGUCACAACACACAUAAAAAGUGGAAAAAAUUGUCAAGGGGGUAAUUUUGCACAUUUGAAAGCAAAAAAAAAAAAAAACCCCUAAUCCUAAACCCAUUUAAUCUUUCGCCCGCACCCCUUUCUAACAAAAAUCUAGAGAAACUAUUCUCCCCAUGGAUCAGAGUUGUCGCCUCCCUCUUUUGAAGCCAAAGACAAACCAGAAGAUCAAGGCAGCCACCCUUGAUCUCCCUCAUUCCUCUCUCAGCUAGCCAAACAUAUCUUCACCCCCUUUUGCUCUCCCUUCACUCUCUCGGCUACACACAGACCAGCCUUUCCCUCUGCAGCCAGACAACGACAGCAAAAGCCAACCAUUGCUGCCACCAACAGGAGUGAAGACCAUCCAGCAGCGACGGCCUGCUCCCCGAGCAACAACGUCUCAUUCCCCGCUAGCAGCAUCACAGACACGACCAGACUUGCUGCUACCCACUGACACAUGAGACCAGCCCCACAUCGGCUCCUUUCUUCCUCAGGCCAAACACAACGGCAGCCCCCACUGUCUUCUCUCAAUCCCACCGGGACAACAACACCAUAGCAACACCCUAGUGCCACCAUCAGCUCGAGUAUCGCCGAGGCCACCACUAGCAAUCCAAGCACGGCGUAACCGAGCCCGCCAACUAGAUCACCACUUCCAUCUCCGCUGGUCAGACCUGACAAAAUCCUAGCACUUGGCGAUCCCCUUGGUCUUGCCGCCACCUAAAACAAAGAAGAAUGGGAAAGAGAAAGAAAAGAGCAGAUAUGUAGAUAUAAGCAGAUCCAAAACAGAGAAGAAGAGAAAGAAAAACAGAUCUGUGAACAAGAAACAAAAACUAAAAUCAACUGCUUGCUGUGUUUUUUGGUGUUUUGCAGGUCAUCACCGACGAGGAAGGGAAGAGGGGAGGAAGUCGUUCUAGAUCGACCCCUCCCUUGGUUUUUUUCUUGCGGUGGCGCGUGAACCCACCGCUGCCAGUGGCGGUGGUGUGUGGAGAAGACGCGCCGCCACUGUUCCUGCGUUCCCAGAAGUCCUUCUCAACAAUUCCUGAAGUUUUUGGGACUUAUUGUGUAAUUUUUGAAUUGUAUUUGGUAUAUUUAAAUUUUUUGUUAUUUUGGAACAUGUAAAAAUGAUGUAUGUAAGUGUGAGUGUGUGAGUAAACAUACUAAAAGGUGAUGAAUGUGUGUUUGUAUUUUUUUAUGUAUGUUUUCUUUUAAUGUUAAAAUUUUAAAAAAAGAACAAAAAAAUAAAAAGAAGAAAAAAGAAUUAAGUGUUUUAAUUUGUAUAUAGUCAAGUAUUUUAAGGACAAAUAAAAUCAUGUUGUACUUCCCGUGAAAAUGUAAGAACACGUUUCUACAUAUAUUUUUGGAUUUAAUAAUUGAUUUAUUAAAGCCUUAAGAAUUUGAUUAAUAUUUAAAAUUUUCAAAUCACAUCAAACCGCAAAGCAGCUUACCUAAGGUAGGGUGAGCUAGGGGUGCUAAUUAAUACCUUCCUUAGCCAUAAUCAGUCUCUUACCUAUAAAUCUCUGACAAAGAUAAGUACAUCCGGGUUUCCUAAUAACUCUCAAUCAAAUACUAGGCGGCGACUCCCAAAUCAAGCAAAUGAGAUGAAAAUCGCCAACAAACACUGAGCGGAUGACAUGCGACAGUCUUCGUGGUGAGUUCAAAGAUUUGGUAACCAGCCUUAUGACCAAGACAAAACCUCUUUCGUAUGCAGAUCUCCAUAGCCAUCUUCUUACUCAUGAGUUCCUUCAUAAGACCUCCCUUCAAUCCAUGGAUGUCAAUCCUUCUUUGUUGCCAAGCCACCUCUACCACCCUCAGCGAAUGUUGCCCAAUAUCAAUCUUCUGCCACCUAUAACAACAAUCCCAAUCCUCUUCCACCUAUAACAACAAUCCCAAUUUCGGCCAUAAGAGAGGACAUUUUCAUAAUAACCACCAACACAAGUCUGAUUUUCAUGGCUUUCAGAGGUCUACUAACAAUGACUAGAAGCAGGGCAAUUGACAACAAAACAAAAGGAAUACCGGUCCUUCACAGUUGUCCCCUAACUGAUCCUUUGAGAAUCAUGUCAAAUGCCAGCUCUACUUCUCCUUUGGCCACACAACCCCUUAAUGCUCUUAGCUUUGUAGCCAUGGACAACAGUCGACUGCCAAUCUUGUUCUUGGUAAUGGCUCUUCUCCUAACAUUGUGGAUUGGUUCCCGGACACUAGAGUGAAUCAACACAUUACAUCUGAUCUUGCGACUUUGAUUGGGUUUGAACCCUAUCUUAGUAAUGAUCAUUUACAUAUUAGUGAUGAUAAAAGGCAUUUUCAUAUCCAAUAUUAGACAUACCAUGUUACAUACCCCAAAAUACACUUUUGCCUUAUCUAUUGGUCUUCAUGUGCCUCAUAUUACAAAACCUUUAUUUUAUGUUCAUAAACUUUAUCGUGAUUAUAAUGUCUAUUUUGAAUUUCAUGCUUCUAUGUUUUAUAUAAAAGAUCUCACCACCAAGGCAAUACUUCUUUUGGGUCAGAGUAACAAUGGUUUCUAUGUUCUAUUUGAGUCUUCUACCAUGCAAUCCCUCAGGCUUACUGGUCUUCUUGCAUCUCUACAUUUGCUGAUAUCUCGCAUCGUCAAUUGGGUCAUCUUACUUCCGUGUUUUUAAUUUUUUAGUUUCCAAAAAUAAAAUAGCUUGUACCUCUAGAUGUUCUCUUGUUCAAUGUCAAGCUUAUCUGUUAGGCAAGUUUCUUUCAUGAAAAAUUAAAUAUGUUCAAACUGAUUGAGGUGAUGAAUAUCACAAGUUAAAAAGUUUCUUUCAAACUAUCAGUAUUCAUCACCAUUUAAUUUGUCCUCAUUCUCAUGAGCAAAAUGGCACUUGUGAACGUUACCACUGACAUAUUGUCAAAACUGGCCUUACCCUCUUAGGAUAAUGUAAUGUCCUAUUAUGGUUUUGGAAUUAUAUGUUUGAAUCAUUGGUGUAUCUUAUCAAUCGUAUACCUAUUCUUGUUCUUCAAAAUCAAUCCCCAUUUAAGUGUCUAUUUAAUCGUACUCCUGAUUAUGAUUUCUUGAGUACCUUUAGGUGUCUUUGCUUUGACGAAAACCGAGUAUUUUAAUACCGGGUUUGUAUCUUUAUGGUAUAAAAAUACAAAUUAAUAUUAAGCAAAAUUUAGUAGAAAAAAACAGGUAGGUUCUCUAUACCUAUACUUUCUUAAAUUACAAUAAUUUUGGUAAUCUGUUCAAUUCUUGGAUUUUAUAUCUAUGGGUGAAGCCAUGAAGAGAAAAAAAUAAGGUGAAAUAAGUGAGAAAUGAAAUUAGACUUGAUUAAUUGAUUUGAUAAAAAACAUGAGCUAUAUUAAUGGACUUUAUUGAUGAUCGCUUCUUGAAUUUGAUUAGCCGGUCUCGAGCAUGAGAGGCUAAUGAUGUUAGUAAAGUUUACUAACAUUGGCAUGAUCAUUCCAUAAAAUAAGAGAUACUGAACUUGAUUAACUAUUUAGGUUAAGAAUAGUUAAUGAUAUUAAUAGGUGACAUUGAUAUCGACAAUCAUAUGAAACUUGAUUAGCUGAUGUGGAAGCUAAUGAUGUCAAGAAUCUUUGACAUCAACAUUCCAAUAAAUACUCCAAGGUGUUAUGGAAAAUUGAUUAACUAUUUUAGGUUGGAAAUAGUUAAUGACAUUAAUUGGUCGCGUUGAUGUCGGCAUUUACAAUGAACUUGAUUAGUUGGUUCCGGUAAGGGUGACUAAUGAAACUAAUGAGAUUCAUUAGUGUCGGUAUUACCUUCCAAGUUUUGGGAAUUAAUGUUAUGAUGAUAUUAUCAAUGAAGAAUGAUUGAGGGUGUUAAUGAAAUGGGGAUUGAUAUUUUGAAAGAAUUAGUUCUCCGGCCUUAAAAAUAAGAAUGUUGUUGAAAUUUGUGGAAUGUAAAAAAGAGGAAGGAAAUGUUUAGUGAUUCUCGGAACAAUAAAUUCAGAAAUAUUAGAUGGAAAUUAUGUAAACCCUCAUAAUUAAAAAAAAACAUAGGAUCGAAGUAAUGACUCUUGAUGAGUAAUAGAGAUUUUGUAUGAAAUAAAUGAAUAAAUAGUAGGAAUGAUAAUAAAUGUGUCAUGUGAGAGAGAUAAUAAUCUCCAUAAAUAAAUUUAAAGGGAUUGUUGAAUUCGAAAUGAGAGUCAUGAUUUUUAGUUUAAAACUCGUAAUGUUGGUGAAACCAGUGACGAGUUUCAUUGGAUAAAAGAAUAAGAAAAAACGAGAAGAUAUGUAAACCCUGAUAAAAAAAAAAACUUAUUUCGACAAAUUAGUGAUAAAUGUUGUAAUAUUGAAUUUAUUGAGCAUAAAUUAAGGGGAAAUGUCAUGAUAAUCUAAGUAAAUAAAGUAAUGGAUGAAAUUCAGAGUUUAGCGUAAAAGAAACUGAUUGUCUAGUUUUAUGGUAUCAAUAAUAUAUCUCAAUCCAAUCGUUGGAUCGGGCUGAAAUUGUAUAAGGAAUCUUUAGAAUUAUUGGUUUAUCUUAGGUUAAAAUUUUAUGUCAAUUGGAGUUUAGGAAGGCUUUAUGAGAGUACUCAAAAUCGGGUAAAUUGAAGAAGAUGACACGAGGGACAUUAAUAAGGGCAUUUUGGUAAUUUUAUAUAAAACAAUAUCCCCCUCUCCUUUUUUAAACACAUCUCAUGUUCUUUGCAAAAGGAGAAAAUAGGAGGGAGACCAUUUUUCUCCCAUUUUCUUCAUCUCCUCUCCAUUUCUUCAAGUUAAAUAAAAAGGGAGUGUUCUUCGGAGGAUUAUAUCCAAGAAAACAAAUCAAGUGACCAUACUUAAAGAGUUAUAAAGCUUGGGAAAAACAAUAAUAAUAAUAAUAAUAACACUCCCCGAUUGAUGUGUUAUAUGAGAGAGAUAAUAAUCUACAUAAUAAUAAUAAUAAUAGUAAUAGUAGUAAUAAUAAUAAUAAUAAUAAUAAUAAUAAUAAUUCUUAUCCUUGAAUUGUCAUAUCCACUCGUCUGAGGGUGAUAAGGGUGGCAACUUUGUUUGUGAUUCCGUAUUUCUUCAUUAAAGAUUCAAAUGGCUUGUUGCAGAAAUGUGUUCCACCAUCACUUAUCAUGGCUCGAGGGAUUCCGAAUCGACUUAAAAUGUUUUCUUUCAAAAAUUUUAUCACUAUUUUGUGAUCAUUGGUUCUACUUGGAAUUGCCUCUAUCCAUUUUGAAACAUAAUCUACUGCGACCAAUAUACAAGAAACCAAAUGAUGGAGGAAAUGGACCCAUAAAAUCUAUACCCCAACAAUCAAAGAUCUCAAUGACAAGAAUAGGAUUUAAAGGCAUCAUGUGACGAAAUAGAUCCCAACUUUUGACAAUUUUCACAAGUCUUGCAGAAUGCAUGUGAGUCUUUGAACAUGGUGGGCCAGUAAAAUCCACUUUGUAAGAUUUUUGCAGUUGUCUUUCUUGAUGAGAAAUGACCCCCACAUGCCUCAGAAUGACAAAAUUUAAUGACACUACUUACCUCAUUGUCAGGAAUGCAUCUUCGAAAUAUUUGAUCAGGACAAUAUUUGAAUAAAUAAGGGUCAUCCCAAUAAAAGUGCUUCACUUCGUUCAAGAACUUUCUUUUGUCUUGGGUACUCCAAUGAGCUGGCAAUUGUCCUGAAACAAGAAAAUUAACAAUAUUAGCAAACCAAGGCAUCGUAGAGACAGAAAAUAAAGAUUCAUCAGGAAAGUAGUCAUCGAUUGGUGUGAUGUCAGAUCUCGAAUCGGUUGUCAAUCUUGACAAAUGAUGCGACAACAUUUUCGGUGCCUUUCUUGUCUUUGAUUGUGAUAUCAAAUUCUUGAAGUAACAAAAUCCACCGCACCAAUCUAGCCUUAGAAUCUUUCUUAGAGAGAAGAUAUUUCAAUGCUGCAUGAUCACUAAAAACAACAACAGGUGAGCCAACAAGAUAAGAUCUGAACUUGUCACAUGCAAAUACUACUGCAAGUAAUUCUUUUUCAGUGGUAGUGUAAUUCAUUUGAGCACUAUUUAAAGUUUUACUUGCAUAGUAAAUCACAUAAGGUUUCUUAUCUUUUCUUUGUCCCAAGACAGCACCCACGGCAUAAUCACUAGCGUCACACAUUAUUUCAAAAGGUAGUGACCAAUCAGGAGGUUGAAUGACAGGAGCAGAAGUAAGCAAGCUUUUAAGUUUAACAAAGGCUUUUUCACAAUGUUCAGUCCAUUCAAAAACAUUUUCCUUUGUUAGAAGGUUACACAAUGGUUUAGAUAUUACACUAAAAUCUUUGAUGAACCUUCUGUAAAAACCAGCAUGUCCUAAGAAUGAUCUAACAUCUUUAACAGAUUUUGGUGUUGGUAAGUUGGCAAUUAACUCGAUUUUAGAUUUGUCAACCUCAAUUCCUUCGAUGAAACAAUGUGACCAAGUACAAUGCCGUUUGUUACCAUAAAGUGACAUUUUUCCCAAUUCAGUACAAGAUUCUUCUCUUCACACCUGUUCAAAACCUUUUCAAGUUAGUUAACAAUCAUCAAAUGAAUCACCAAAAACAGAAAAAUCAUCCAUAAAAAUCUCAAGAAAACGUUCAACCAUAUCACUGAAUAUGCUAAGCAUGCAUCUUUGAAACGUGGCUGGUGCAUUACAUACCCAAAAGGCAUUCUUCGAUAUGCAAAAGUACCAAAUGGACAUGUGAAAGUAGUCUUCUCUUGAUCUUCCAAUGCAAUUUCAAUUUGAUUGUAACCUGAAUAGCCAUCUAGGAAACAAUAAAAUUCAUGACCUGCAACUCUUUCUAGGAUUUGAUCCAUGAAAGGUAAAGGGAAAUGAUCUUUUCUAGUCAUUGAAUUAAGUUUCCUAUAGUCAAUGCACAUGCGCCAACCAGUAAUAGUCCUAGUUGGAAUUAACUCAUUUUUCUCAUUUGUUAUCACAGUGACUCCAGACUUUUUGGGUACAACUUGGGUAGGACUUACCCAUUUGCUGUCAGAAAUAGGAUAAAUGAUUCCAUUAUCUAGAAGCUUAAUGACUUCAUUUUUCACUACUUCUUUCAUAUUAGGAUUAAGUCUUCGUUGCAUUUCUCUAGAUGGUUUAGCAUUUUCCUCCAAAUAAAUCUUGUGUGUGCAAAUCAAAGGACUAAUUCCUUUUAUAUCAGCUAUAGUCCAUCCUAAUGCGUUUUUGUGCAUUUUCAGAGUCUGUAAUGACUUACCUUCUUGAUAUGCAUUAAGUUUGGAAGAGAUUAUUACUGGAAAAGUUUCAUUUUCUCCCAAAAAUAAGUAUUUGAGAUUGACUGGUAACGGCUUCAAAUCAGGUUUUGGUGGUUGAACACUUGAAGGUAUGGACUCAAUUGAUUGUGGUGGCAAUUCUUCAAUUUGUGGUCUCCAAUUACAUGCCUUUGCUUCUUCCUGAAAAUAAACCAUUUGCAACUCGUCAGGUUCAUCAAUCUCAGUUUCACUAGAAGUGGUUUGAAAUUGAUCAUGAACUAAUUUUUCAAUAAAGUCCACUUCCUGUAAAUCAUUAUCAUCUCCAGGUUGCUUGCAAAUGUUGAAAAUAUUCAUCUCCAAUGUCAUGUUUCCAAAUGAUAGCUUCAUCAGUCCAUUCCUACAAUUAAUCAAUGCAUUAGAAGUUGCAAGAAAUGGACGUCCUAAAAUAACAGGAAUUGAAUUACAUGCUUCAACAGGUUGUGUAUCCAAGACAAUAAAAUCUACAGGGUAAAUGAAUUUAUCAACUUGUACUAACACAUCCUCAACUAUUCCUCUAGGCACUUUUACAGAUCUAUCAGCAAGUAAAAGAGUUACAGAAGUUGGUUUUAACUCACCUAGAUUGAGACUUUGAAAAACCGAAUAUGGAAGUAAAUUCACACUAGCUCCAAGAUCAAGUAAAGCUCUUUCAAUUUUAUGUUCUCCAAUAAAGCAAGAAAUUGUAGGACAACCAGGGUCUUUAUAUUUCAAAGCAUUAUUGUUCUGAAGAAUAGCACUUACUUGUUCGGCUAAAAAUGCUUUCUUUUUCACAUUCAGUUUUCUCUUCACAGUGCAUAGAUCUUUCAAAAAUUUAGCAUAGGAAGGUACCUGUUUAAUAGCAUCCAACAAAGGUAUAUUGAUCCUUACCUGUUUAAAAGUUUCAAGGAUUUCAAAAUUGUGAUUGACUUUCCUUUGUUUGGUCAUGGCAUGAGGAAAUAGAAGUGCUGGCGGUGAAUCAAUUUUUUCUUUACAAUGUUCAGAUUCAACCCCUUCCUUACCCUUAGAGAUUGACUCAUCAUCUUUCUCACAAGGUUCAAGAGUGGGUUUUUCAAUAACCUUACCACUGCGAAGAGUGAUGACUGAUUUGACUUGAUCCAUGUGUUGGCUUUCGGAACUACUUGCAUUUGCAUUGUAUUGCCCCUUUGGAUUUUGCUGUGGUUGAGAUGGAAACUUACCUUUCUCUUGAAAACUGAGAGCAGAUGUGAAUUUUGCAAGAGCAUCUUUAAAAUUUGUCAUGCUUUGAGUAAGUUGAGUGUUGAUUGUCUCUUGCUUUUCAAUGAAUGCAUGUAAUGUUUCCUCAAGAUUUCUUCUAGGAGGGGGAGCAUAAGGAGGUGCAUAUCCAUGAGAAUUUUGAAAAUUAUGGUGUGCUUGAAACGGUGGCUGUGAAGUUUGUGCAUUAUUGUUAUCACUCUUCCAACUGAAAUUUGGGUGAUUUCUCCAACCAGGAUUGUAUGUUUGCGAGUAUGGGUUAUGAUUGGGCCUUUGGAAACUGUUUAAAGCAUGGGCUUGUUCAUGGAGGCAUUCCUUGAAAGAAGGCAAAGUUGGACAGUCAUUGGUUGCAUGUUCAUUUGUUUCACAGAUUUGACACACAAUGUCUUGAACAGAUUUUAAUUGACCACUCUUUUUCAAUUCUAGUGCCUCGACUUUUCUAGCUAAAGAUGUAAACUUGGCUUGGAGGUCAUGAUCUUCCCUAAGGUUAUACAUACCUCCACUAGAUGUAUGAGGUUGUUUUACUUGGUGCCUCAUAAGUACCUUAGUGUCCCAAUUUUGCGCAUUUUCAGCUAGCAAGUCUAGGUACUCCAUUGCUUCAUUAGGGUCUUUAUCUUCAAAAGUUCCAUUGCACAUCAAUUCAACCAUUUGCCUAUCUUUAGGUGUUAAUCCUUCAUAAAAUUGUGAAACCAAUCUCCAUGUUUCAAAACCAUGAUGAGGGCAAGUAUUAAGCAAGUCUCGAUACCUAUCCCAACAUUGGUAAAAUGUUUCUCCUGGUUUUUGAGUGAAAGUGGUGAUUUGUCUUUUGAAAGAGUUGGUUCUGUGAGAUGGAAAAAACUUCUUUAAAAAUUGUUGUUGCAUUUCAUCCCAAGCACGAAUGGAUCCUGACCUAAGAUUUUGUAGCCAUGUUUUAGCUUUAUCUUUUAAUGAAAAAGGAAAAAGCUUUAAUCUAAUGGUUCAUGCUACAAUUUAAGUCAUUAUAGUGUUACAAACUUCUUCAAAUUCUCUCAAAUGCAAGUAUGGAUUUUCUAGAUCUAAGCCAUGAAAAGAGGUAAAAGUUGAAUAAUGCCUGGCUUAAAAUUAAAAUGAGAUGCAUCAGGAGGGAAAACUAUGCAUGAGGGUGCACUUGUUCUUGUGGGAUUCAUGUGGUCUCUAAGUGUCCUAACACGGUUAUUCUCAUUAUUCUCAUUAUGAAGUGAUUGGUUAUCUUCUUCGGCCAUAUUUUCUGAAAAUGAUGAGGAUACCCUAAAAGUCUACCACUUAAUGUACGUGACCAAACACUCAUGCACGUGUAGAAAGAGAAUAAAAGGAAGAAGAAAACAAAAGAAAAAAAAACAAACAAAAGAAACAAAGUUAGAUACAAGAAAAGUGAAAAGAAAAAAAAAAUACUAAAUUUGUAAGAAUUUACCUCCCCGGCAACGGCGCCAAAAACUUGACACGACCAAAAGAUUGAUGUCUUCUCCCAAGUGCAGGAGUGUCGAAGUAAUAAAUAACCCGGCAAGACCGGGGUCGAACCACAGAGAGGUUAAUUGUAUAAAUUAUAAAUAACAAGACAACAACAAAAUAAUAAUAACAAAAUAACAACAAACAACAACAACAACAACAACACAACAAUAAUAAUAAUAAUAAUAAUAAUAAUAAUAAUAAUAAUAUAAUAUAUAUAAUAAUAUAAUAAUAAUAAUAAUAAUAAUAAUAAUACUCAGUACGUGGCGUUGUUAUACCUGAGAAUGAUCUAAAAGAUCGGGUCACAGGUUUCCAGCCUAUAUACUGAGUUUAUGAAAAGAUCAAAGAGAUAUAUUAUAUAAUAUAAACAGAUUUCUGAUGCGAAUGAACAAGGCAAGACCAACAAUAUCAGGAUCCUUGAUCAAACACAGAGCAUACUUAACGUACAUAAAAUAUAACAAGAAUGUAAAUUAAUAAUAAUAAUAAUAUAAUAAUAUAAUAAUAACAAUAAAAAGGAGGAGGAAGAAAUUAAUGAGAACUUUGAGAUGGAAGAUUAAUGUAAGGAUUAAACAAUGAUAAAGACAAAUGUCAAGGUUAGAGGAUCCACCAAUGGUAUUUCAAACAAGUAUAGUAUAAACUCUUAUUACUCAAUUUGGAAACCACACACGAAGGAGGUUCCAGUCGGAUGAUUUGUCAUUAAUAGCUCAUUAUAAAUUAUUAACAUGAUCAUAUUAAUUAUCUUACAUAACACCAAACUUUUAAAUAUUGUCAGGAAUUCAUGAUGUUAACUGAUGUUAACAACAAAUCAAGUACCUUUCAUAGCCCAGGUGUAGGUAAUACCAUACGGUUGGGCUAUGAGAGUGCCAAGCAUUUGUUGUACCAAGUAUUAUACAACACAAAUUUAGAUUAACCAUUUAACAAGCAAGGUAUUAAGAAUUAGUAAGAUAAAAAGAUAAGACAUGUUAAUAUUAAACAUUAAGGUCCAUAUUGAGUUUACACCAUACUUGUUCUUACACCAUUAGUGUAACCUUUUCACCUUGACAUAAUAAACUUAGCUAAACAUAAUGAAGAAGAAAAACAUAAAUAAAAAAAACAAGAACAUAAAUAAAAUACAAGUUAACUAAGGAAAGGAAAGGAAAUGAAAAGCAUAAACAAGAAAUUAAUGAAAGCAAAACUUAAGAAUUACAAAAAAUAUAAAGAGAGAAAUAAAGAGCAUGAACUUGAUCUGAACAACCAAGCCCCUAAAUACAUGGCAAAUGCCUCCUUUUAUAGGCCAAAAUUCGGAAUUAUUGAUUUGAUGACUAAUUGUUGAGUGGGUGGCCACUUUUGACUUGGUGAAAAUCCUUAUCUUCUUGUCUUAAUAAAACAAAUGCUAGCAUCAGAACUGGGUCCAGAUGUCCAAAUGAAAGUUCUGAAAUUCUCUUAGCUUUCCAGAAAAAAAAGAUGAGGUCAUUUGGACUUCUAGAACUCAAGAUAUGGGCUGAACACUGAAUAGUGUUUGGGCUGCAGGACAGAUUCGGACUUCUCCGUUGUUGCUAUAAUUUGGACUUGAAAAGGCCUUCUUAGAUCUUGAUGUCCAAAUGAAAGUUGUAGGCCUAUGUCUUAUCAAAUCUCUGUAAAACAUUUCAGAUCAUUUGGAUAUCUAGAACUCGAGAUAUGCUGAACACUGAACAGUUGUUGGGACUGCAGAACAUCUUCUUUUCUAAGCUUCACCCUUCUUUAUCUUCAAAAUUUCAGUAGUUAAAUUCAUCAAUCAAUCCUUAGAUUUAUGUGAUAUACCUGCAUUUAAGAUGAACAUUUACCAUAUAUUAGGGUAUUUUAUAGUAUUAGACUUGUUAUUAUAUAACAUGCUUUAGUUAAGGAGUUAUUGAUACUUUAAGUGCAAAAUGAUGAUAUAAACCCUUGAUAAACAUGCACUUUUAAGUACUAAUCAAUUAUAUCCAAGAAAACAAAUCAAGUGACCAUACUUAAAGAGUUAUAAAGCUUGGGAAAAACAAAGAGUAGGAGCUGGAACUUGAAAGAGGAAGACAUGAGUUUUGUAGAUUUUUGCAAGAAUUCAUUGAAAUAAGUUAAGGUAGCAAAGGUAAGCAACAUACCCUUUAGUAAUUUUGUUUUUCUCUCUUGUUCUUGCAUGAGAAGAAGAAAACCUCCAAGUUUAAAAUUAUAGGGUUCAUGUAAAUAUUUUGGGGGAAUAAUUGUUCUUGUGAAUUUCGAGAUUAAUUGCAUGAUAAUGGCUUGAAUUGCAGAAAAAUAUAGAAGGAAUAAGUUGAUUUGAAACUAUAGGUUUUGGGAUGGCAACAGGGCAGGAACUUCGGCAGCCAUAUCUUGGCUUUCCACUGUUGGCUUAGGUUGUGUUUUGGUUAUGUUAUUAUGCUCAAUGUCACCUACAUUCUGAUCGGAGGGAUUGUCAAUAAUAGACUUUGUUUGAGGGUUGCCGGAGGAACAUUUCUGGAAAAUCACCCUUCAAGACAGCCUCGUUUGUUGGCUGUUAUAUCAUCUUUUCACCGUUGGAUUGGUCUGGCUUUUUGAUAUGUUGUUCGUCUAGAUGUUGUAUAAAUUCUGAACGGUUACGAUCGGAAACAAACACUCAUCUGAGUGAUCACGACAUAAACUAGUAUAGUACUCUCAUCUGAGUGAUUAUAUGUUCUCUUUUGGCUUCCAUGGUUCAAAGUUUGACACAUUAUUAUUUAUAUUGUCUGAUGAUGUUGAUCUCUUUUACCUUCUAGUUUAUGUCGAUAAUAUCUUGCUUAUAGGCAACAACUUCGUUCUGCUUCAAAAACUAAUAUAGUUACUGAGUUUAGAGUUUAAGCUUUGAGAUUUAGGAGCUAUUCAUUAUUUUUUGGGAAUUAAGGUUUAAUCCACUAGUAUGAGUCUAUUCUACGAUAGGAUAAGUAUAUUCUUGACAUACUUACUCGAGCUGGAAUGACAUCAUUUAAACCUGUUGAUACUCCUAUUUCUACCUCUAAAGUUACAAUGAUGCUCGAUUGCUUAUUUUGUGAUCCUACAUGGUUUUGUCAAAUCAUUGGGCUCUUCAAUAUCUCACUUUUACGAGACCAAACAUUUGUUUUACUGUUAACAAAGUCUGUUAGUUUAUGGAUGCUCCUACAAAUUCCCAUUGGGUUGUUGUUAAACACAUUCUGCAUUAUCUUCGGGGUAUGGUUUCUCAUGGCUUACAUAUCACUCAUAGUUACUCCGUUGCUUUAUGUCGCACGUCGAAAAAAAUCCUCGCGCGGCAUCGGGCUGGCGAUUUUUCGUUGUUGCGUAGUGUUUGCUUGAAUUUGGUUCAUUGGAGUCGCCACCUAGUAAUUAGUUGCGGGCUACUAGGAAACCGGAUGUACUGGUCUUGUCAGAGAUUCGCGGGUAAGGGACUGGUUGUGGUUAGGGAAGGUAUUAGCACCCCUAACGCACCCUACCUGAGGUAAGCUGCUUCGCGAAUUUGAUGUGUUAAAGAAGUUUUAAUAAUUGUCUUUUCAUCGGAAUUUAGAAAUAUCACUUACGUAUAAGUUAAUAAUUCUUAACCGUGAUCCAAUCAAAAUAUUAAAUUCUUCUUUAAUAUCUGCAAUUUUAUCAUUAAAAAAAAUAUAUAAAAAAAUAAAACAAAUACAAACACCCACAUUCACUUUUACUAUUUUUUGUUUCUUUUCUUUUCUUUUCUUUUCUUUUUUCUUUUUUUCUUUGAUAUUUCCACAUUUACAACAUACAAAUAAAAAUUCAAAUUAAACAAAUAUUACAUCAAACAAAUAAAAAAAAUACAAAAUAAACCCUAAAAAAUCUUAAAGCUUCUAGAACAUGCAGGAACAGUGCACGGGAACAGUGCUGGGAAGACAUCUGAGGGCAAAAAAUAGUGGCGGCGCGUGGGUUCACGCGCCGCCGAUGAAGGCCGAAAGCCAGUGGAUCGGGAGCGCCUUCUUCUUCCCUGUCUUCCUCCACCGGCGGUGAGGGUCAUCGUCGCCUGCAACAAGGACAAAAAACACACAACAAGCAGUCGGUUUUAAUUUUUUUCUUUCCGUUACAGAUCUGCUUCUCCUCUCCAUCUUCGACUUCACGGCGGGCCAAUUUGUUGUGGGUUUCGUCUUCUCCUCUACUUUGGAUGGCCGACGGUUGUAGGGGGAGCUGUCGGUGGUCGGUUGAAGGAGGAGAUCAGUGGUUGCUUGAUGCUGUGGUCGGGUCUGUUCGUUGACCCGGAGAGGGAGAAAGGGGUAGUGGCCAGCUGUUGUGGUGGCCGUCGCUGCUGUGGAGGUCGAUGGGUCGACUGUUGCCUGGUGGCUGAGGGAAGGGAGGCCUGAUCCGGUCGGCGAUCGGAGAAGAAGAGUUAAAGGACAGAUCGGGGGAAAAGGAGAAGUGAUGUCUAUCUUGUCUGCAGAAGAGAUAGGGGCGAAAAGAUGAGAGGUCCGGUGAGGUGGGGUGAGGGGCUGCUGUGUUUUGAUGGCUCCCGGAUUCUGUCCAAAGGAAAACAAAAUGUGGGGGUUGUCCGGUGGAAGAUUGAGGGGCCGGUUGAGAGGGAAGAAGAGCUUCAAACCGGCUGGGGGCUGCUGUUUUGGCCGGUUCAGGGAGAAGAGAAAAAAAAUUCAAAAGGUGAGGGGCUGGCUUGGGUGAGCGGCUGCGGGGAGAAAAAAAAAUCUUUUAGGUUUAGGUUUUUUUGUUCUUGUGUUGUCUCUCCCUCCAAUCUCAAAAUUGCCCCCCCCUUUUGUGUGAGUUAAAGACCAGUAUUUAUAGGCAAAAAUGUUGCUAGGUUUUUCAACUUGGUCCCUCAACUUCUUUCUUUUUGUAAAUUUUGAUUUUUCUUAUUUUUUUGUAUUUUUUGAAAACGAGCAAUACCAACGUCGACUCGAUGAGGAAAAUCAAUGAUUUAAAAACUGACGCGUGAAAAGUCGAACGCGUUUGAAAAUCUUUUAAAAAUUUAAAUUCUUUUUUUAGACGACGUUGAAAAUGCUAAAAUGACGAAAAUAUAUUAGAAAACAUAUUUUUUUGGAUUUUCUUUGUUUUUUUGCUAUUUUUGGAUUUUUCAAAAAUUUUAUAAAAACAUGGGUAAAAAAAUGGGUAGCAACAGAUGCCCCCUCUUUACAAUGCUUACGAAGCAAAAACUCCUCAAAAUUUUGCAUAGUAAGCUUUGUAAAGAAAACAAAAGGAAAAUGAUUUCAUUAUCUUGGGCGACCUGUCCACACACUCACACUGAUCUAUUUUCACGGGCGACCUGCCCACACAUACUCAAAGUGGUCUAUUUUCAUGGGCGACCGGUCCACACUCACACUGGUCUAUUUUCACGGGCGACCUGCCCACCCAUACUCACUGUGGUCUAUUUUCACGGGCGACCUGCCCACCCAUACUCACUCUGGUCUAUUUUCACGGGCGACCGACCCAUACUCUCACACUGGUCUAUUUUCACGGGCGACCUGCCCACCCAUACUCACUCUGGUCUAUUUUCACGGGCGACCGGCCCACACUUUCACACUGGUCUACUUUCACAGGCGACCUGCCCUUUUAAUUGGGUUUACCUGAGAUCCCAUCUGGCGACCUCAUUCAACUGGAACAAAAAUAUUGUGUAACUCGGUUAACCUGAAAUCCCAUCUGGCGAUUCCCUUUAACCAAAGCUACAUGAGAUCCCAUCUGGCGACCUCAUUCAAUUGGAAUGAAAUAUGCGUAACUCGGUUAACCUGAAAUCCCAUCUGGCGAUUCCCUUUAACCAAAGCUACAUGAGAUCCCAUCUGGCGACCUCAUUCAACUGGAACUAAAUUGUGUGUAACUUGGUUAACCUGAAAUCCCAUCUAGGGAUUCCCUUUAACCAAAGCUACCUGAGAUCCCAUCUGGCGACCUCAUUCAACUGGAACGAAAAUAUUGUGUAACUCGGUUAACCUGAAAUCCCAUCUGGCGAUUCCCUUUAACCAAAGCUACAUGAGACCCCAUCUGGCGACCUCAUUCAACUGGAACAAAAAUAUUGUGUAACUCGGUUAACCCGAAAUCCCAUCUGGCGAUUCCCUUUAACCAAAGCUACAUGAGAUCCCAUCUGGCGACCUCAUUCAACUGGAAUGAGAAUAUGUGUAACUCGGUUAACCUGAAAUCCCAUCUGGCGAUUCCCUUUAACCAAAGCUACAUGAGAUCCCAUCUGGCGACCUCAUUCAACUAGAACUAAACUGUGUGUAACUCGGUUAACCUGAAAUCCCAUCUGGCGAUUCCCUUUAACCAAAGCUACAUGAGAUCCCAUCUGGCGACCUCAUUUAACCAAAACAAAAGAAAGUGUAAAAAACGGUCUCAUUGUAUGGGUGACCUACCCAGAUGGAAAAAUAUGAAGUGGGUCUCAUUGUAAUGGGUGACCUACCCAGUGGAAAAAUAUGAAGUGGUCUCAUUUGUAUGGGUGACCUACCCAAAUGAAAAAUGUGAAGUGCGGUCUCAUUGUAAUGGGUGACCUACCCAAAUGGAAAAAUAUGAAGUGGGUCUCAUUGUAAUGGGUGACCUACCCAGAUGGAAAAAAUAUGAUGAAGUGCGGUCUCAUUGUAUGGGUGACCUACCCAGAUGGAAAAAAUGUGAACGUCUUAUUAUGAUGGGCGACCUACCCAGAUGGAAAAAUGUGAUAUGACAAGUGUGAAAAAUAGGACUUACCUGGCGAAGUCCUGAGGGGAUGACAGAAGAAGGGCUGGAAAACUUGGUGCUUCCUGAUAAUUCCCGAUCAUAGGGUUUGAAAACUCGGUGUUUCCUGACUGCAAGGGUUGAAAACUCGAGGCUUCCCGAUUGCAAGGUUGAUCUAUUCAUUUCUUUGGGAUUUUCCUAAUGGUAGGGUUCAUCCCAUCGUCCUUUUAUUCCAUGAUCAAAACCGAUUCUUUAUUAUCAUCACCACAAUGCUUCUUUCUCUUUCCACCAUCUUGCUGGACCUCAUUAAGGAUUUUCCUGUAACAAUUCAAAAAUAUGUGCAAAUGUUUUUUUUUUUUUUUUUUGAGGUUAGAUGAUAUGCAUGCAUCCUUACCUGAUUUGAAAUAUAGGUCCCCCCCCUCUUUGAUGCUCCAUCGUCAUAGGGUGCCCUUGUUUGUAUCCCAAAGCUUUCUUUGUUCUUCCGAUGCAUUGGCUCAUUCAUGUAGCCAUCCACUCAGCUGUAAAUGCAGUGCCCAUCCCGGGUUGUCUUCGACAAUUACUGCUUGCAUCGUUCAUCAAGCUUGACCCUGCCCCCAAGUGUGGUACUGCUUGAUUCAUCAUGAAGGAUUUUCUCUCCUGGCUUCUUCUGAGAAUUAUCCUUUGAUUGAUUGUGUGCAUCAUGCCAACACCCAUCAAGAUUGUUAAUCAGUCAUGAACUUGCCUUCGGUUGAAACACCAUUCAAGUAUGUAUGGUCACCAGCCUUCAUGGAACUGUCAAGUCAUCCAGACAUGAAUCUCAUGCUUUGCAGUAAACAACUCAUCAUUAAGCGCGAUGUAUUUCUCUAUGGAUUCCUCUUAGCUUGUCAAAUCAGAUCGUGAAAAUAACUGUUUUGGCAUCAUCAAUGAUGUUCAUGUUAUCACCCAUAUUCAUGCGGUGAAGUGCGCAUUUGAGCUUCAGAAUAGAUGGUCUCAUAGUCAAUCUUAGUGGUAUGCAUAUGUUCGAUGUUCAUCCAAAUGCACUCACCCGAUAACAUCUGUCCGGAGUCAUAGCCAUGUUUUACAGGGUAACCUAAGAUGAAGAUAUGAAAAUAUCUUUCUAGUGCAGCGUUGCUCAUCAAUUGCUGCUGAAGUGCACUAGAUCAUGGAUUGUCUUUGAACAACAUUGGCCCCAGUAUGAUCUGAAGGUUCAUUCAUCGGUUUAUACUCAAGAAGGUUUUUCUUUGUCAUUGUCAGAUGCUAAACAUAACUUUGAUGAACUUUGACGACUCAUCAUCAUUGUUUGUUUUUCUUCUAAGGGUCCACUGUAUUGCCCCCAGGUGAUCAACAUUUCAAGGAGUGUCGAGAAAUGUUGAUGUCAUUUUUGUCAAGGAUUUUGCAAACUCAAUUGAUGUUCUUGUUUGAAAAUCUUUCUUGUUCUGGAAUCAAAUCUCAAUUUCAACGAUCAUGUCUAUUCAAGUCUAAUUGUUGAAAUGAAAUCAGAGAGAUAUCAGUUUUUUGAAAAGUUAUUUUUGAAAUUCAAGCUUCUUUGGUCAAAGACCCAACACACUAUUCAAUGCAGUCCUUUGAUUGUCUUGUAUUUUGAAAACAGAAAUGACCCGUUGUAAGAUUUAAAAUGACUUUUCAUGGUUCUUUGUGUCCACUUUAAACUCUGAUUUUGGGUAUAUCUUUUGAUGGUCUGUGAUGAGGUGACAUUUUUGUGAAUUUCAAAAAACAAAGUCAGGCUUUAUCAAGAAAGGUUGUUUCUUUUCUUAGCAUUUAUUUUAUCAGCAUGCAUAAUAACCAGUAGCUUAAUUCAUGAAGUCACGACCUUAUGGAAAAACUCUUCAAGUUUUGAGAGCGCCAUUUAUCGGUUCAAUUGCUUGCUUGAUUAAAAAGGGCUUUUAAAAGCACGUAAUGCAGGCUAUGGUUCAUGGCUAUGAAAGAAAGGAAUUUCAAAGGCUCAAAAGGUGUUUGAGGGUUUCAAAGACCUAGGAUCAACAUCAAUAUUCAUCAACUCUUUUCUAUUGUUGUCUUUGUAGAGGAAACGACUAUAACCUUGUUAACCUCAAAGUUCAGACUUUUCUUAACAUAAGUCAUAAUGCAAAUCCACUUUCUUGAUGAAUAACCAACCUUAAUCAUCUGAUAACAUCGUAGGCUUUAUAAUGGAUACCAAAAGUCAACGCACGUUUAUAGCUUAGUCUUUUUUUUUUUGAUUGAAAUUUCUUUUGCUUUCAUAGACUUGAUAGGCGUUCUCCUUCCUUUAUCUUUGACUUGUAUUUAAGUGAAGGCAAUUUCAACUUCCUUUUUUUUCUCUUUUUUUUUUCAUAGCCUUCCUCAAAAUUUCUUAUAUGCCCCCAGUCUAUGUGUUUUUUUUAGCUCUCUCUCAAUCAUUGGACCUUUUUCUAAGCCUUCCCCUUUAUCCAUUAAUUAUAUCAAUGUCUCCAAAAUAUCUCUCAUUUGCCCCCAGUGUGGGGUGUGAUCCUAGUCAGGGUUUUUUUGAAAGAAAAUAUUUUACCAGGCUCAAAAUGGGACUACAAGGGAUAUAAUCUUUAGAAAGUGAAGGGAUAUCAAAGAUGGCCUUUUCUCAUUUCAAGCAAGGUCGGUUAGAACCGAUAAAUUUUGACCUCAUCCAGUGUAAUGAUUGGGACUUGUAAGAAUCAUGAUUCACGAGUCCAUAACUACCGAAUCCACUACAUGUCAUUAUGCAUACUGUUAAACUUAGCUAUAUGUGUCAGUUUCAGGAGGUAUGAGUUCAAAAUGUUUAGUCACCUCAUGUUAUUUCCAAGCAUAGAGUCAUUUCUGUAAUCAAAACUUUUAAUCUUUCGGAUUGAUUAACCUUUAUCGCAUGUUAGAGUUUAAUCAAAAUAUUUUGUCAGAAUAAAAUGCUAAACAUCUGUUGAUUUCAACACAACAAAAAGACAAAAGCAAGACAUGUUUCGUUGAAGGACGAGAUGUGAUCCCAAAACAAAAUGCAGAAUUCCAUAACAAUAUGAUUGAUAAUUCAUCACCAUUCUUGAAUCAGCUUUUCUGGCAAUAUUUGCGUUUUGCCAAGCACUUUCGAUCAACAUGUCAUUCUGAAGAUGUUCGGGGGGCAUUAUAGCCAAUGACACCCUCCUUCACCGACUCCACUUGUCUCUUGCUCACCAACUUGCAGAGCCAUAAAUGGAUUUUUGUAGAGAGAGCUCUGCCACAUUGAAAUUCAGUGUUUAAUCAUGGUUUUUCAGACCAUCUUGUGCUGCUGAACUGGAAUUGAGCUCAUAAUUGGGGUAGCUUCAAAGAAGACUAAUGCACCAUGUGCAGGAGACCGGUAGUUGUUUGGUUCCAUUAGAUGAUGUGGAGGCGAUGAACAUUUAACAGUGCAACUGGACAAGAACCAGAGUUGUCAUUAGUUGAUGACUGAAGGCAUUGUUGCUGUUGUUCAUGACGGAAAAGGAGAGAUACAGCUUCAAUUGGACGGGAACAAGCAGUGUUCCCACAGAAGACUAUGCAGACACUCUCUUUCCAUUUGAUGCUCAACAUUUGUUCGAGCAGAUCUGAGUCCAGCUACUUCACCCUUGAUGCUCUCAACCUUAAUCUGAUAAUGAGCCUUUAUCUGACAUCUUUCUUUGCUCCCAUCAUCUUUCUUCAAUCACAUGCAGCACAGCUUGUGCGGGGGACCUACCUUUCAACCCGGUACAUGCAUGAUAAAUGUAUGAAUAUGUAAUCUAUAUGACAAACUCGCCCUUCGAGGGGUGACAAUAUGGUCGUAACUCUUGUAUGAUGGAACAAGAAUCGUGAUUUUUUCCCAAACUCUACAAUGAAAAUUUUCGGAGUGACGGCCAAUGUGUCACCCACAAGUCUUGAGUUCAAGAUGCUUCAAGAAGGGUUUGCCCGUAUGCAAAUAAUGAUAGCACAUACAACCUAAGGAUAGGUUCUAAUCAUUAUGUGAACAUGGGUAGGUUUUCAGAGAUUCGCGGGUAAGGGACUGGUUGUGGUUAGGGAAGGUAUUAGCACCCCUAACGCACCCUACCUGAGGUAAGCUGCUUCGCGAAUUUGAUGUGUUAAAGAAGUUUUAAUAAUUGUCUUUUCAUCGGAAUUUAGAAAUAUCACUUACGUAUAAGUUAAUAAUUCUUAACCGUGAUCCAAUCAAAAUAUUAAAUUCUUCUUUAAUAUCUGCAAUUUUAAAGAAGGAGCUGUCGGUGGCCGACGGUUGUAGGGGGAGCUGUCGGUGGUCGGUUGAAGGAGGAGAUCAGUGGUUGCUUGAUGCUGUGGUCGGGUCUGUUCGUUGACCCGGAGAGGGAGAAAGGGGUAGUGGCCAGCUGUUGUGGUGGCCGUCGCUGCUGUGGAGGUCGAUGGGUCGACUGUUGCCUGGUGGCUGAGGGAAGGGAGGCCUGAUCCGGUCGGCGAUCGGAGAAGAAGAGUUAAAGGACAGAUCGGGGGAAAAGGAGAAGUGAUGUCUAUCUUGUCUGCAGAAGAGAUAGGGGCGAAAAGAUGAGAGGUCCGGUGAGGUGGGGUGAGGGGCUGCUGUGUUUUGAUGGCUCCCGGAUUCUGUCCAAAGGAAAACAAAAUGUGGGGGUUGUCCGGUGGAAGAUUGAGGGGCCGGUUGAGAGGGAAGAAGAGCUUCAAACCGGCUGGGGGCUGCUGUUUUGGCCGGUUCAGGGAGAAGAGAAAAAAAAUUCAAAAGGUGAGGGGCUGGCUUGGGUGAGCGGCUGCGGGGAGAAAAAAAAAUCUUUUAGGUUUAGGUUUUUUUGUUCUUGUGUUGUCUCUCCCUCCAAUCUCAAAAUUGCCCCCCCCUUUUGUGUGAGUUAAAGACCAGUAUUUAUAGGCAAAAAUGUUGCUAGGUUUUUCAACUUGGUCCCUCAACUUCUUUCUUUUUGUAAAUUUUGAUUUUUCUUAUUUUUUUGUAUUUUUUGAAAACGAGCAAUACCAACGUCGACUCGAUGAGGAAAAUCAAUGAUUUAAAAACUGACGCGUGAAAAGUCGAACGCGUUUGAAAAUCUUUUAAAAAUUUAAAUUCUUUUUUUAGACGACGUUGAAAAUGCUAAAAUGACGAAAAUAUAUUAAAAAACAUAUUUUUUUGGAUUUUCUUUGUUUUUUUGCUAUUUUUGGAUUUUUCAAAAAUUUUAUAAAAACAUGGGUAAAAAAAUGGGUAGCAACACUUUACAUGAUUUUACGGAUGCAAACUGGGUUGGUAGUAUUGAUGAUUACAAGUCUAUGGAUGGUUACCUUGUUUUUUUGGUCAUAUACUGAUUUCAUAGAAAUCAAGUAAGCAACGCAUGAUUGCUUGUUCUUCUACCGAGGCCAAGUAUAAAGCUUUAAUAGAUGGCAUUGUUGAGGUUAUAUGACUUUUGUAUUUAUUAUUAGAUCUGCAGAUUACUCCUAGUUCUGCUUAGACACUUUGAAAUGAUAAUCUCGAUGCUACUUAUUUGCCUACUAAUCCUAUCUUUCAUGCUCGUACUAAACAUGUUGAGGUUGAUUAUUAUUUUGUAUCUGAUAGGGUUGCCAAGAAGGAAAUUCAGAUUCAUUUUAUCUCUUCUGAGGAUCAACUUGUAAAUGUUUUUACUAAGUCACUUCCUACUGCUUCUUUUACUGCUUUUCGAUUCAAUCUUUGAGUCGAUUCUUCACCCUCAUCUUGAGGGGGCAUAUUAUAGGAUGUAUAUAUCAAUGAAAUAUUAAUAGGCUUAAUCACUAUUGUAUAAGGUUGGCUAACUAAUAAGUUAAUACAUAAUUCCAUUCAAAACAUGAACGCGAUCUUCGCAUUACACUUUGGCUAUUUGUUUUUCAUUUUUUUUUCUUUUAAUUUAAGAACUUAAAUAGCAUAUCAUUAAAAAAAAAAUUAAAUUAAAUUUGCUUUAAUGGAGUCAUUUUAAAUUUGCUUUAACUCAACUUAUUGACAAUUUUCUCUUAAAAUUUAUUCAUUUAUGAUAACAUAUUGAUAGAACACAUUCAAUUCAUUAUUUCAACUGAAAACUCAAAAGAUAUUACAAGUUCAAAUUAUUAUUACAACAUCUAGACACACAAUAUUCGAAGAUGCUUUUUCAUCCCAAACCUUUUUUUUUUUAAAAGGCGAUCCCACAAAAUCAUGACAUCUGUUGAUGAAGAUCAACCUGGAUAGUUACUUGGGCUUUGUCCAGAGAUCACGAAGACUAUCAGUCAGGCACCUCCAAUUGUAGACAAACAUGAACGAGAUGUAGUAGACAUAAUGCGAGAGAUUUCCUUCAAUAAUUUGAUUGACGGAUGGUUGAAGAAUCCAUAGAAUAUAUAGCAAUGUUUGAGCAAGGAAAAACACGAUCCCCACCACCAUAAGUGCUAUGGUCAUAGAACUCCAUGAAGCGGAUCCACCCCAUAAUGCUAUGGUCACAGCAAAAAAGAAUGACAAGCACAUCAUGUAAAUAGACCCACCCACCAUUAACGAUGAAAACCUCACUGCAAAUGGUGCAAACUUGACAUCAUUCAAGUGUGUCCAAAGAAGGAUUAUAGCUGCCACCACAGAGGAAUUUAAAGCCCACACAUCAAGACAUAAAUAACCAUCCAAAAGAGAUUGAACAGUAGAACUGUCCAAGGCAGUGCUGUUAUUUUUAUCCUUUUGUUGUGGGAUCUGUAUAGCACCCGCAAAGGUUACACCAGCAACAAGCACCGCUACAACAAGAAGAUUCUGUAUCCUGAUCCUUGUUUCCUGUUUCCUUGGCGGCUUGCCUUGAGUACUAGUGAAACGCUCAUCAUAUCGGGAUUUCUUAGGGUGGGCAUGGAAGAAUAAGAUAGAUAAUGUUGUCAUCUGCAUAGCAAGGGGAAAAUAACUUCAUAAUAAUGAGUUUCUGGCACUUCCUCAAUCGCAUGCAAAAGCGUUGGCCUUGAAAUCUUUUUUUUUUUAAGAACAAGCACGAUUCUGGAAUAAUUUCUGAAUUUUGAAAAUAAUUGUAUAGAAUAUAUAUUAAUCGGCCUUCAAGUAGAUGUUCAAAAGAAUAGGGAUGACUAGAAAAAAUAUAGGAAAGAAGAUGUGUAAUAUUACCGUUCCAUAAUAAUCAAGCAGCUUGUAGUCCUCUGAAUCAACUGCUUUGUCCUGUAAAAAAACAUAAUUUUAAGUUAAUGAAUAGAGCUACCUGUUUUUUCUUUCUUUCCUUCUUUCCUUUUGUGCUAUGGCUAGCCAACAAUAUAAGCCACUGAAACUGAUGAUCAGCCCAUGUUUGGAAAGUAGUUCUUUGAGCUUAGAAGAGAUAAUUAACCUCGAUCUGAGGAAUGAAGACAGAAAUCAUGAAGCAACUCAGAGCAGAUAAUUGUACAAAUUACAUGACAUGAGCUCUUCUGACAAAAGAUGAUUGAGUAUAUCAAAGAACCACUCAACCCAAAAGCUUCAACAGCUAAUUGAGGUUUAAGGAUACGAUUUUAGUCCUGAAUUUCAGCCAGCUUUUAAGAGUGCUAAGUUAUAUACUCUGUUUCCAUUUUUUCAUGACAUCAUCCUUUAUUAUGUAAAAUAUGAUAUCCUUUAGUGAAAUGGAAUCCUUGUCUACUUAAAAUGUAAGAACAUUGUUUUUCAAUUGAACUCUCAUACCUGGAUCUCGUCCGCAGGAAUACUGUUCUUUGAAUCAAACUGCUCUCGUUCCUUAGCAAGCUGGCAACAAAGAGGAAGCCCAGAAACCAAAAUAUUAAAUAAAUAAUACUCUUAAAAUAUGUAGUUUUGUAGCCUCGAUAAAUGAUGAUGAAAUAGCAUACCAUUUCAUCUGUUUUUUCAUAUUGGUCUACAGCCGUUUUAGAUUGUUGUUUCGCUACAUCAUAUGGUGUAAAAUUUUCAUUGUUAACAAUUAAAUUUUCAACGCGUUUGUCACGCACAAGAGCAAAUGCAGCUAUGGAUUGACCAUGUCGUGCUGCCAAAUGCAAAGGUGUAUUCCCAUCCUCAUCCAUCUCAUUUAGCAGUGGUUCUACGAUCUUCUGAUCGUUUCCGAGUAUGUACCUUACCACAUUGCCCUGUCCAUUUUCAGCCGCUACAUGAAGAAUAUUCUGCCCUUUUUUAUUGAGGAAUUCUUUUGGAAAUGGGGUAAUCUUCAGAAAUUCCUUGACUACAUCAACAGAGUCAUUUUUGCAUGCUAGAUGGAUAGGAUAGUUGCCUUCAUGAUUUCUUUUAUAAGCACCAUUGAGAAACUUUUGUAAAAGGAAUUGAACUCCCUCCUGAAAACCUCUGGAUGAUGCAUAAUGCAGUGAAUUUCCCAACUCUUCGUCAGUGAGAAAUAAUAGCUCUGGCUUUGCUAUUGCAAUUUUCUCCAAUAGAUCUGAAAAUCAAAAGCAAAUGUUUCAAAUGAAUAUAAAGAUGAUAGGUUUUCAACAAUUGUUUGUACGUAAAUCAUUUUCUAGUGAGUAUAGACAUUGUGAUCACCUAUGUUACAUUGCUCGAUGGCAGCAUGAACAGGGGACUUUCGUUUUGGUAGGGCAUCACCAUCUUCUCUUGUUAUAGGAAUCGAAGCUCCCAAAUUCAAGAGAUCAUCAAGUAUCUCUGGAGACCUAUUGAAAUUCUCAACAGCCAGAUAUAAAGGAGACCUGCCAUUCUUGUUGCUGUAAUAGGCCACUUCAGGAUCUCUGGCAACUAGGAAUUUGGCAACUUGUUCGUUACCCUUGAUGACUGCGUCGUGCAAAGGAGUGUUUCGCUUUCCAUUUGCCAUCCUCAUCAAGCUCGGAUUCAAUUCCACGAGAGAAUUAAUUGUAUGAAUAGCCUUUCCUUCUCUGGCAGCAAGAUGAAGGACUGUGUCGUUCUGGCUGUUUGCCAUGGUGAUCAGAGAAGGAAACUCUUUAACAAGAUAAGCUAUAAUAUUGUCACUUCCAUAGCUUACAGCUACGUGAAGCAGUGUAUUCCCGCAGGGUGUCACUAGCUUCUCCGCUGAACGUUGCUGGACAAGCCUUCUAAAUUCCUCAGUAUUAACGUUGCUGGGCAAGCCUUCUAAAUUUCUCACACACUCAUGCAACUGACUAUCUAUCAUUUCAUUUUCCAAGUGAUCUCUCGGAAUCGAGAUUUCAUCUAUGUUUAUCUCAACGGCGCUAGACAUAGCAAAAGAAAAUAUUGGGUUACUUGAAUCAGCUAGACGUAUCACUUAUCAGACAGCACGACUUCUAAUUCAAAUAGGCUAGACUGCAUGUCAAUGGAAUCUGAAGUACCGUGAAUGGAAAUUUAGCUUUAUGAUUGUUUUGAUUUGUUUUUAUAGGGUUAUUUUAGUUUUAUGAUUAAAGUUAUGGAUUUGGCAAGUUAAUCUAGUUUAAAUUAUGUUAUUUUUUUUAUUAUCUUUUUAUAAGGUUAUGUUGGUUUGAAGACUCGGGUCAUGGAUUUGAUAAAUUGACUUGGUUUGUUUGUUUGUUUUUUUUUUUUACUUGACUUCUUUUUCUAAUCAUGUCCUUCAACAUUGGGUUUAUUGGGGAUUGAAAUUCAUAAUUUAUUUUUAUUUGCUUUCCAUUAGAUUAUCUCGGUUUUAUGACCCGAGUGAGUUUGACUGGUUAACUAGGAUUACUUUUUUAGGUCUUUUUUUAAUUGAUUUUUUUUCAAUAUCAUCCAUUAACAUUGGGUUAAUUGGAAAGUAGACUUCAUAAUUUAUUUUGAUUUGCUUUCUAUUGGGUUGUCAUAAUCUCCGAAUACAAGUUGCAAAUUUGACAUGUUAACCCAAGUUGACUUAAGUCAAUCCAAUAUGUUGUUAUCUUAAUAUUAAAAAAAAAUUAUCAUCUUGAAUUUUUUUAAUCAAACUAUGUUCUUACAUAUAUGUCUUAUGGGUUGUUUUUAGAUCCACAAAGUCAUUAAAGUGCGUAGGGUCAACACUUACAUGGUAUUAAUUUUUUAUUUUACAAAUAUGUAAAAAUAACAUUAUUUUGGUCAAACUUAAAAAAAAACAAAAUUCAAUGGGUUUUCAGAAGGUUUUUUUUUUAAAAAAUUAAAAAAAAUUAAAAAAUAAUAAUUAGGUCGUACAAAUUUUAAAUAAAAAAUAAAUAUCAUGGUUAAUUAAGAACAUUGAAUAAUUUUUAAUAAAUACCCUUUUAUGAAAUAUCCCUAAAAGUCUAAUAUGUUUGGCAUUGCUUUUUAAUCGGGGAUGGAUAAAUUUUAAUUUUUUUUAUUUAAAAUUAAUUUUUUUAUGUUUUCAAAUCGUUUUGAUGUACUAAUAUAAAAAAUAAUUUUUAAAUAAAAUAUAAUUAUUAAUUUUAAUAUACUUUCAGAUAAAAAACAUAUAUUUUUUUUAUUCUAACCCCAACUUAAAACGCUACGUAGCAAAAUUGAAAACUUAUUACAACCUGGGAUAUGAAAAGGACAUCUGAAAUAAAAUAAAUACAGAAAGAUGUAAUCUGAUGGCAUUAAUUCCCAUAAUUUAUUACACCUGGCCAGUUGUCCUUUCUCAUAACUUUCUAAUUCACUCAUUAAGCUGAGACAGAAAAAAUGCACUGAUCAGAGUGAUUCUCUAGAGGAUGAAAGGGAAAUUAAUCUUAAUUUAAUUUCUUGCAUCUCAUUCAACAACUUCACAGGCACGGCUGUCUAUAUCCACAUCCCAUGAGCGGAAUCGAAAAGGCAUCAACCAGACCUAACCAUAACUAGGCAUGUGAAGAAGAUCGUUUCACUGCAUGGGUGCUUUGGGAGGUUUAGUUUGACAGAUUCUGUGAUAUGCAAGAGGUGUGUCUUCUUUAAGAAGAAACCAUGUGUUUGAAAUUAAUACUUUUUGGAACAGAUUUGGGAAUUGAUACAGAAAAAACCUGGAUUACUCGAUUAGUUUAAAUUAAUUAUUUAAAUUUUCUUUUAGAAUUGACCUAAUGAACUAGCUAGCCUAGUAAGGUAUAGUCGGGUAAGGUCAACUAGAUUACGAGUAAAUUAUAUUUCACUAAGUCAAUUUCUUUUUUGUUUUAAUUUAAAACCUCGGCCAAGCCACACUUCCGGCGUUAACGUUCCAAGUCAACCCAUUAUACUAGGCUAGGUUUAACAAGAAUGUUUAAGACAUUUUAUUUAACAAUAAAAUAAGUAAUCCAAUAUUUCUAACAUCCGAUUCAACAGACUCAAUGUCUUUCCAAUAUGUUUGAAGGCUUAAACACCGAUGUCAAGGCAGUUUUUCCUAUCUACCAGCCUUCGGACCCCUGACCUAGUUGUGACAAGGCAUAAGAGCUGUGCAAAGAGCUUGCCAUGCUCUCUGCUUAAACCUCUUGAGAUUUUGAGAUAUUAGUCUGGAAAUUUCUUGAUUCCCUCAUAAACAAGAAGGAAAAUCCCAUGAGUUUUCAUCUUCCUGCCAUUUCAUGACCAUACUUUGUAUUCGUAGAAGUUAAACACUUUUACAUUUUCUUAAUUAAAAGAUUCAAAGAAAGUAAGUUUUAAAAAAAAAAAAAAAAACAUUGGUAGAAGACUGGAGCAUGCAGCUAGCCUAGACAGAAAAUUAAUUGAUGUACAAUCAUAGUCUUAAUUAAUACCCAGACCCACCUGUACAGAUUCGGGUUGACGAAAAAAUAUAUAGUUGACCUAGUUAAAAUCCGAAUAUCAAAUAUUUUUUUAAAUAAAAUAAUACUGUUUUAAUUUUUAUUUUUCUAAAUCUUCUUUAGUAGCCUCGUUAUUUAAAUAUUUCCUAAAGUUUGACACCGGGUUGAUUUUUAAAACAUGUGUACAAUUGCUACCCCGCUAUCAGGUCAUUAAAGGGUUCACCUAGAGCACUCCGGUUAUUUCACUUAUUUCUGAAAAAGACUCCAUGCAUGCAUGCAUUCAUAUAUUUACAAUUUUAAUUGUACAAGUUAGACCGUACGUAUUCAGUUAUUGGCAUCACCUACUGCUCUCCACCUUCCAUGUCCUCUCCACUUGAUGAUGAGGCCUUGCUGUCCAUCCUCCUAAUAAAAGUUGCCCAUCCGUAAAUUUAUUACACACCCUGCACAAUUCCCUUUUUUUGUCUGUUUACUGUGUUAGAAAAUAGUAUGAAAUCAUUCUUGUGAUUUUACCUAAUAAUCAUGAUUUUAAAACUCACCUCACCACCUCCAAUUUAACUAAAAUAAAAUUAAAUAUAAAGUAAUGUUGAGUUUCUGCAGAUUUUGUUAUAUGAAACGAUGACAGAAUGGAUUAAUUGAAGAAGUCGGUGUUGACGCUGAAGAUGCAAGAAAAGCACUAUUAUGAGGCUUAAUCUGCAGUGGACAAGGUGCUCUCCUUUGUAACCGGCUUGAUGGCCCCCUGUAUUCCAUCUCUUCCUUGUGAACGCAGGUUUGAAUCCAGGAAAGUCAUCACCAGAAUCCCCCGUUUUCCGUCAGUGCCUCACUUCUUAUAUAUCUCUUGAAGGACAACUGGUCAGGUGUAAUAAAUAGUUUACUAUUUUCUAACACAGUAAACUGCAGAAUUCCAAACCCAAAACCAUUAACUUAUUCCCUUUUUUUAUAUGGUGCAUACAAGAAAGAACAUUGAACAUCCAUCUCUCUUUGAGGACUCUGGCUCUCUACAAUUUCCUUCUUCCUUUUUCUAGAUGAACAACACUGCUCUCUACAAUUUCCCACUCCAGAUUUCUCAUAAAAAAGGUUAAAAAACAGAAUAAGCAACAGGUAAAAUUAAAGGUUAAAGCAUGUUUUUAUAAGUAGCUUCAACGCAUCCAAAACUUAUUUAAUUAACACCAUAUAAACUCAGAGCAAAGGGGAAAAAAAAAAGACCAUGCUGAAGUCAGAGGUGGGAUAUCCCAUCAAUACAUGCAUUUUGGUAAAAAUUUAGGAAAGCAGUGGAAUAUUUAUGAUUUGUUAUGGGUAUGUAAAAUUUGACAAAAAGCUAAUGUAAUGACAACUGAGAAUAAUAGAAGACUUUGUUAAACUAAUUGAGAUCAAACACAAAAAGGAGGCUACAAUUCUGAAUAAACUAUAUAUUAUGAAUGCAUAGUCUUAACCUAAUUACAAAUAAAGUAUAUAUAGGUUAAACUGAAAGUACUAUUCUACCCUUAAUAAAUAAGACAACAUAAAUAUUAUUUAACAUCUCCCCUCAAACUCACGAUGCGGCAGCUACAAGCAUCGAGAGUUUGCCGACUAGAAAACGAAAACGAGAUAUGGAAUGCGCCUUGGUAAAGAAAUCUGCAAUCUGCAAUGAAGAAGGAACAAAAGGCAAAGUAAUGGUUCCAUGCUUGAGAUGAUGACGAGUAAGAUGACAAUCGAUUUCAAUGUGCUUAGUCCGCUCAUGAAAAACCGAGUUGUGAGCAAUCUGAAUAGAACUCUGGUUGUCACAAUACAUAGGAGUAGGAUGGGAAAAGGAAACUCCCAUAUCAGCAAGUAACCAACGUAACCAAAUAAUCUCUUUGGUAGUAGAUGCCAUGGCACGAUAUUCUGCUUCGGUGGAUGAUUGAGAAACAAUAGAUUGUUUCUUGCUCUUCCAAGAAAUAAGAGAAUCACCUAAAAAGAUACAAAACCCGGUAACAGACUUGCGAUCUGUGGGAUCACUACCAUGAUCAGCAUCAGAGUAUGCACGCAACUCCAAGGAAGAGGUGGAUGAAAGUAAAAGACUUUGAAAAACUGUACCCCGAAGAUAUCGCAAAAUACGAAGAACAGCUGCCCAAUGAACAGUAGUAGGAGAAGCAACAAACUGACUAACAACAUGAACAGCAUAUGCAAUAUCUGGACGAGUAAUGGUGAGAUAUACCAAACUCCCAACAAUAGUGCGGUAUAAAGUAGGAUCUAUCAAAGGUAAACCAUCAGAAGAAGAGUACCUUGCGUUAACCUCAAUAGGAGUAUCCACAGUCUUGUUAUCAGUAAGUCUAGCCCGCUCAAGAAUAUCUGCAACAUAUUUCGACUGAGAAAGAAGGUAACCUCUAGGUGAGUAUGCUACCUCAAUACCCAGGAAAUAUCGAAGAUAACCCAAAUCCUUCAUCUCAAAUCGUCUAGCCAACUCUGUCUUCAAAACUGAAAUACCAUCAAUGUCAUCACCAGUAAUAAUCAUGUCAUCAACAUAUAAAGACAGAAUGAUACGACCUGCAUCAGUGCACUUAAUAAAAAGAGCAGAAUCAUGACUGCUAGAAACAAAGCCAAGUGACGAGAUCACAAUAGAGAAUUUCUCAAACCAAGCACGGGGUGCUUGUUUGAGACCAUAUAAUGCUUUCUUAAGCUUACAAACAUAUCCAGAGUCAUGUGAAAUACCAGGAGGGGGUGCCAUAUAAACUUCUUCUUGAAGAUCUCCAUUCAAGAAGGCAUUUUUAACAUCAAGUUGAGAAAUAUGCCAUUGACGAAUCGAAGCUACAAUAAGAGUACGAAUAGUAGUCAUUUUUGCAACCGGAGCAAAUGUCUCCUCAUAGUCCAUACCAUACUGUUGAGAGUAUCCUUUGGCAACCAACCUAGCUUUAUAUCGCUCAAUAGACCCAUCAGAAUUAGUCUUGAUCUUAUACACCCAACGACAACCAACAACACUCUUACCAGGAGGUAGAGGAACCAGAUCCCAAGUAUCUGUCUUAUGCAAUGCAGAAAGUUCCUCAUCCAUAGCUUGCUGCCAAAGCGGAUCAAGAAUUGCCUCUUUAUAGGAAGAGGGCUCAACAAGACAAUGAAUAGAGGCUAAAAAGGAAGUAAAUGAUGAAGAAUAACAAGAAUAAGCAAAAUCUGGUAGUUUUGUGGACUUACGAAUACGGAUGGACUGACGUGGAGGUGGAUCCACAAUCUCAGAUGAAGCUUGAGGGGCUGUAGAUGAGAAUGGAGCUUCAGGUGUGCCAGAGAGUAAAGUACCAGUACCUGCAGAGUUAUGAGUACAAAUUGAUCGAACAUGGGGAGAGCUAUCAUUACCAGAAUCCUCAGAAAAUGGAUCUAUACUAAUAAGAUCAGAUUUAGUCAGGUUAUGAGUAGUGGAUGGAAUAGAAAAGAAAGGUAUAUGCUCAAGGAAGACAACAUGACGAGACACAUAAAGUUUCUGAGUUAUUGGAUCAAAACAACGAUAACCCUUUUUACCUUCACCAUAGCCCAAAAAGACACAAAUAGCGGAUCGAGAGGAUAGCUUACUUCGUUCUACAUGAGGACGAAGAACGAAACAAGUACAACCAAAGACUCUAAAUGAGGAAUAAUCAGGGACAUACCCAUAUAACUUUUCAAAAGGAGAUAGACCCGAACUAUGAGAAGAUGGAAUUGUAUUAAUCAAGCUUACAGCAGUAAGAACAGCUUCUCCCCAAAACUCACUAGGAACAAAAGCAGACAACAAGAGAGAACGAGCAGUUUCGACAAUGUGCCUAUGUUUUCUUUCAGCAACACCAUUUUGCUCAGGAGUAUCUGUACAUGAAGUUUGGUGGAUGGUUCCAUCUAGGGCAAGCAAUUGGCAAAAUUUAUUAGAAGUGUAUUCCCCACCUAAAUCACACCUAAAGCAUUUGAUCACAGUAGAAUAUUGAGUUUUGAUAAGAGCUCGAAAAGCUGCAUAUAUCUCAAAGAAUUCAGAACGAUGUUUCAUUAAAUAAACCCAACAAUAACGAGUAUGAUCAUCAAUAAAAGAGACAUAAUAUCGAGACCCUCCUUUUGUGGCAACAGGAGAAGGUCCCCAUACAUCAGAAUGAAUCAAAUCAAAUGGUGAAGAAGAAACAAAAUACUUCGAUUAAAAGGUAAGGCGGAAAAUUUUGCCAAUUUACAUCCACUACAAUCAGAAAUGUCACAAGUUUUCAAAUUUCCUAAAGCUCCUGUGGAUGCCAAAAAUCUCAAACGAGAAGACGAAACAUGACCUAGACGAGAAUGCCAUAAAUAAAAACUAGAAGAUGAAAUACUCAAACGAAAGGAAGACAAAUCAAUUGUAGGAGUAGCAGCAGCAGCAGCAGCAGCAGCAGCAACAGCAACUGGCACUUUUAACUCAUCCAAAAUAUAUAGUCCAUUCUCCCUACGGCCUGUCCCAAUCAGCUUCUGAGACUGCAGAUCCUGUAUACAACAAAAGGAACCAGAAAACAUGACUAAAUAAUCACCAGAAUCACAUAUUUGACCAACAGACGCAAGAUUCAAUUUGAGUUGUGGAAUAAGAUAAACAUUAGGGAGAGACAUGUGAGGUGUGACAACAGAACCAACACCUGCUAAUGGCAUUUGAGUGCCAUCAGCAGUCAUAACAGGAAUGGAGGACAAAGGUGAUACAGAGGUAAAAGAUGAGGAAUCUGGAGACAUAUGAUGAGAAGCACCAGAAUCCAAGACCCAUUCAGAAUGUGACAUACCUGAGGAACUAUGAGGCAACUGACCUAUGGAAGAAGAAGCGGACAUUGCUUGUGGCUGCAAGGAGAGAAACUUCUGAAAUUGCUCAGCCAAAAUAUUAGGAUCGGUAAUAGAACUCGAGGAAGCUACUGCUGCAGUAUUGUGGUGUUGUGGUUUAUAACCCUGAGGUGGUCUAUGAGCAUUAGAUUGUGACUGAUUGCCAGGCUUCCAAGCUUGAUUCUGAUGUCUCAACUUAGGACACUGAGCCUUCCAAUGACCUUUCUGCUUACAGAAGCUGCACUCAUCGAAGCCAACCCUUGUGUGAGACUUAUUCUGAUGAUUAGAGAAUGACCUAGAAGGUACUGCUAGUACAGAAGGAUUUGAAGCAGAAAGAAUUCCUUUUUCAGAAUAAGACUGAAAACGUAUUUCUUCAGCCAAUAACUCACUGACAACAGAGUCAACAGAAGGCAGUGGAGAACGAUGCAGAAUUGAACCUCUAAGUCCUUCGAAAUCACUGCGAAGUGCUGUUAAAAACUGUACCAAUCUUUGCUGCUCUCUACGCUCAAUAUAGGCACCACAUGCCUUUAAUUCUGUCGAUUCUGUAAGAGCCAAUUGAUCCCAAAGAUCUGUCAUAGCAGAAUAAAACUCUUGAAUACUCAUAUUCUUCUGAUGAAGAGCUCGUAUGUCAUUCUCUAAUUGAUACUGUUUUGCAAAAUUUGAUUGUGUGAAUAACCUUUGCAGAUGAUCCCAAACCUCUUUUGCUGUCUCAUAUUUCGCCAACUGCGUACCUAUUGAAUGCUCAACAGAAUUGUUGAUCCAAGUAAUGAUCUUUGCAUUAUUUGCUUCCCAUGUAUCUAUCAAACCAGCAUCCCCCUCCUCAAUAUUCUUAGGUAUCACAUAAGUUCCACUAACAUACCCCCACAUCUUCUUACCCUUAAGGAAAUUUCUCAUUACAUAACUCCAAUAUGAAUAGUUCUUCCCAUCCAACCUCACACUCACAGACUGAAGCGAAUCAUCUCUUUCAGUAGCCAUAAUCAACAAUCACAGAUAACCAGAAUGCAAAGCAGCAAAUACAAGCGGAAGACAAAAUACUCAAUUGCAGAAACUAAACAAAUAUCUUCUCGAAAUUAUACGAUUACUCCCAAAACACAAAACAAAUUUGCAAAAACUGAACGCAGAUACCAAAUUGCAGAAGCUGAAGGGAAGACGAAAUACCAAAAUAAUUGCAGAAACUGUCGAAAUACCAAAAUAAUUGCAGAGACUGUCGAAAUACCUAAUUUUGCAGAAGCGGAAGACAAAAUAUCACUCCAAAAAAAAUUGGAUCCGCGAAGCUGUAUUUGGGAUUAAGCUUCGUUCCAUAAAACCAGCUCUGAUACCAUGUUAAACUAAUUGAGAUCAAACACAAAAAGGAGGCUACAAUUCUGAAUAAACUGUAUAUUAUGAAUGCAUAGUCUUAACCUAAUUACAAAUAAAGUAUAUAUAGGUUAAACUGAAAGUACUAUUCUACCCUUAAUAAAUAAGACAACAUAAAUAUUAUUUAACAGACUUAACAUAUUAGUUAGUUAACUUGUCUGUUUAUAUAUAUAUAUAGUAUAAUAUUCAAUAAUAAAAGUAAAGAUUACAAUCCUAGAGUAACUUAUAAUAUUUUCUAUAGACACACAUUCCAUAACAAGGACGUAGUUACAGGUAAAUGACCCUACCAGCAUGCAUGAUUUAUGGCAGAGGUGGGAUAUACAAAGCGAUAAGAGUCAGAAAGCAACCCUUCAGGUAGGGCUCGGGUGGAGAAAGUCUCGAUACCUAAGGGAUCCACAUCAAACAGACGGGCACAUGGGAGCAUUACGGAGGACAUCCCAUCAAUCAAUACUAAUAAUUACUUUCACAAUGUGUUUUGCCAUUCCAUUUCAGUAGUAACUUAUAUCCAAUUACAAUAAACACUAAUAAAAGAAAAGGAACAUUUUAAACUUGAAGAAGAAGUAUAAAUGUAAUUGCAGGGAAGAAGUAAAAAGAAGUCCUACAAAAUAACAACAUAAAUGUGAAUUACCGCAGCACUUGCAGCCUUCUCUCCAAAUCCCUCAUGCAGGGGGUAUCUAUAAUGCUUGCUUCAAUUUUUGAACACGGAUUCAGAGUUUCAGCUACAGUUAAUAAUCAAAAGAAAGGAAAAGGUUAAUUGAUUGUUGAUUGUCGCACGUGUAUGGCAUUGUGACGAUUAUCUUUCUGGAUUGAGAAUGGUCUAGAAGAAAAGAUAACAAAUUAUUGUUCUUUAUCAAUAAAUAGAGAAAAUGAAAGUUGUCAUUUAGUAUUUUAGUUACUAUAAAACCUAACUAGUCCCUAUUAUAGAAAAUAUUAUAACAUAGGAAAUAUUAUGUUUCCUCUUGUAUAGUUUUAUUCUGUGUAAUAGGUUACACCAUAACAUAUAUACAAUGCCCUACUUAUAUAAAUAGUAGAGGAACUGCUCUGAUUAAGGCACUCACCAAAUUAUUACAUAUCUUUACUUUAACUUGGUAUCAUAGCCUCUCUAUCUUAAAUAGGUUUUUUUUCUUCUACUCUGUUGUAGAUUCUUCUCCCUACCGUGAUCCCUGCUCUUUUAUUUUCUACUGCAGAUCCAUCUCUCUACUGCUUGCUAUUCACCCUCUGCUACAGCCUCAAUGUCAACAUCGUUUCUCCAUCUGGGUACUUUGCUCAGUCCCUGCCCGAUCUGGACUUGUGCGUGGAUCUCUCCACAUAUUCUCUUCCACAAUAGACCUUCAUUGAUCUGCCUUCUGCUCUGCCACCCAUUUGGCAGUUUCCCAUGGUGAUGCAUCAUAGACAGCAGAAGAUUGCCAACAUUAGCUCUGCUUCUGCUCCCUUCGCUAGUUUCAGCUCCACAGGUAAUGUUCCCCUCUUCUUUUGAGCCUCUAAGUUUCAAGGAAGUUGUCCAGUACUUGUGUUGGCAUACUGCCAUGAAGGAUGAAAUUGCAGCCUUACAUGCCAAUGUCAUUUGGUCAAUGGUGCCGUUUGAUCCAUCUAUGAACAUUGUUGGUUGUUGAUAGGUGUAUAAAAUCAAGCGUCGAGUUGAUGGGGCCAUUGAUUGUUACAAGGCUCGCUUGGUUGCGCGAGGGUUCACUCAACAGGAAGGUAUAGAUUAUUCAGAAAUAUCCAGUCUUGUUGUUAAACCGAUUACUGUUAGGCUAGUCCUCAUGAUUGUAGUCUUAAAAGGAUGGCAGAUUCUGAAACUUGAUGUUCAUAAUGCUUUCCUCAAUGGCUCAUUCCGCGAGGUUGUUUACAUGCAACAACCCUCAGUUUUUGUCGACUCUACUUUGCCCACUCAUGUCUGUCGCCUUCACAAAUCUCUUUAUGGCUUAAAAAAAGCAUCGCGGCCCUGGUACAUGCAAGUGAGUGAUUUCCUCCUGACUAUUGGUUUUCGGGCUUCAAAGGUUGAUACCUCCUUGUUUAUUCUAAAUGUGAAUCAUGCUAUCUGUUACUUACUUGUCUAUGUGGAUGGUAUCUUACUUAUCGGUAAUAAAUCUCAAUUGAUUCAUCGCCUCAUUACUUUUGUGAUUUGGGUCAUGCAUAUUAUUUUUUGGGGAUUGAAGUUGCUCCCAACAAUGUGGGUCUUACGCUUAGUCAACACAAGUAUGUUUUUGUUAUUCUGAGUCAUGUGUGUAUGUCAUUGUGUAAACCUGUUGAUACACCAGCUUGUGUUUCCAAACUUGAUCUGUAGCAUACUGAGUUGUUUUUGGAUCCCACUCGCUUCCACCAAAUUAUUGGUGUUCUUCAGUAUCUCAUAUUUACUUGACUAGACAUCUGAUAUGCUAUAAAUAAGGUAUAUCAGUUUAUGCAUGCUCCUACUGAAGGUCAUUGGGCCGCUGUUAAGCGUAUCAUGCGAUACUUGAAAGGUAAUCCACCUUUGGUCUCCACCUUUCUCGCGACUCUACUUUAACUCUUCAUGGUUUUAUUGAUGCUGAUUAGGCCCACAGUAUUGGUGAUUGAAAAUCCACGGGUAGUGUCGCACCCUCGCGGUGGAGCGCGGCGUCGCGGCGACCAUUCGAUUGAAUUUCGGGUUAUUUUUGUUUUAUUGUGAAUAUAGGAGUCGCCACCUAGUAUUUUGGUCACUAGGAACCCUAACUGGUCUUUUAGAGAUUCUAAGGUGAGGGACUGGUUGCGUAAAGGGAAGGUAUUAGCACCCCUAGUACGCCCUACCUAAGGUAAGCUGCUUGGUGUUUUGUUUGUGCUAUAAUUGAUAUGGUGUUGGUGUUUUCUAAUCCCAUCCAUUUUUCUAGAUUUGAUUCAAACUAAAUUUAUUAAGAUAGAAAUCCAAGGAGAUUCCAUGUGCUUCGAAAGCUCAUUUUCCCUUAGUAUUUCAAAAGUUUGUGACUCGUAAAUCGCAAGGAGGAGGGACAAAAACCUUAGAAAUCUAGGGCGCUAAAAAAAACCUAUAUAUAUAUAUUUUAGUGUUUUAUACUCUCACGGCUCGUAAACCGUGGAGUAAACAAAUUUAAAAUGUCAUCGAUUAUAAUCAAGGCUUCUUUCAAAGAUGUGUGCAGAUUUAUUACUCGCAAUAAUAUUUUGGAUAUUCGUCCUUUGAGGAUUUCUUUAUCCAAAAAUUAACGGUGAAUAAUAGAUGAAUUCUCCCCAAAAAUAGGAUUUUUAUUUUUUUUUGAAAUAUUGGCCAAUACCUUUUGGAGUUUUACAAACAUGUUGUAAAAUCCAGAAAUACAAGAAAAUAAUUUUUUGUUGUGUUUACGAAAUCCAUGCGAAAACACCUUUUUCGAAACUUCAAAUAUUUUUUUUUAUAUAUAUAAAAAAAAAUUCAAAACAUGUUAGGGUAUUGGCCGUAUGCAACACACAAGAAAAAAAAACAUUUUUUUCUUAAAAAAACAUGAAUAACAUGAUUAAACAAACAUCACAAAAAUAUUCACCUAUUCCAAAAUUCGCAAGAAGCUUAAAACAAUUUAUCUCAAAUAAACAAGGUUCGGCACACCAAUUUAAAAAACACAAGUCAGUGUGCACAAAACAUAAAAAAAAAAAAAAAACAAAGUCCUCAAGCUAAACAAAAUUACAACAUGAACCAUGACCCCUCCCUGCAAACUCAAAAACAAAAGAAAAGAAAAGAAAGAAAGAAAAAGGUGUGAACCCAGAAUCGGCAUUAACUGAAGAAAGGGACCCUCCCUCACGUUUUUUUCAACUCUCUCUUCUGCACCUAAUUAAACACUUGUUUCUAAUUAGCGUUCCAUUGCAAGAGAACGCUUAAGCGAUGGGAGAAAGGGAUGUUUAAAGCUUACAGUUUCUCAUCACUAGGGAGUAAAACACAAAAAACGCAGCUCUAACAGUGAUAAUAAACUAAACUCAAAGACAUGGGAUGGACAGUAGGCAAGCAAGCCACUUUGUUGCUAAGAUGAAAAUAAACGUCCCCAAAACAAAAGCAGAAAUAGAAAACAAAAACCAAACAAAGCUUUAAAUAUGUCAAAGAUGAAGGAAGUCGAGACUCAUACUUGCAGAUCCUGCACGUUUCAACUACAGAAGAUGAGACACAACCCGAUAGAAAAGCUCCUGCCUUUUGCCUCAGAAAAACCAAAGAAAGACUUCCUCUUUUAUUCUAUUGGCUUUUCUGGUUUUACUGUCGCCUACCUCCCUAUUCUCCUUUCUUUCUUUUUUUCUUUCACAGUGACGAAAGGAUCAAUGAUGCGAACCUCGUGAUCUCGUGGUCACGCAACCCACAAUCAAGAUUGAGAUUUGAUCCCGGAAAGCCGAAAUAGGUCUGAUAUGAGUGCGACACAAUGGAAACCUGCCCCAAGGCACCAACACUAUUGGAAUGAGUAGAAUGACGCCACGAAGCCAAUUAAUCUUCGAUAAGUCAGAUUCAGUUCGUUCAAGAACUGAAGAAUGCAAGAAUCACUCUCACACGUUAAAACUGAAAAAUUUAGAAUAAUAAUCAUCAAAGCUGCCGAAAUUUUUGGCCUACAUGAGUUUAAAUAGUUCUUGAAAAGUUAACCCUAAUGGACCCUUUAUGUGAACUUAUAUGAGGUCCACUCAAAACUAGCCCAAAACCCUAAAAUGAAAAGCCCAUAACUUAAUCCAAACAAGCCUUGGAUCCUAGCUUAAAACAAAGUAUGAAUUAAGCCCAAACAAGCCUUGGGCUGUAGCUAACAAAAUAAAAUAAAGCCCUUAUCUCAUGGCCCAAAUAAGGUUGUAUUGGACCCCUCUUGCACAUGGAUAAGAUGUACUAGGAUCUCCUCUUGAUACUCCAAUGGACCUUCCAAUUCUGACUUGGUGAAAACCUUCAAAACCAAUGCAUUCAAUGCGUCUUUCAAUGUCUUUGUCUUGGACCGAGUCAUUGGUCCAUUUGGAACAUGUAAUGGGUCCUUGCUGGUGUUUCUAGGCUGGUCCGCAUCAUCCCCUCUCUCCUCAAAAGGAUUCGACCUCGAAUCAAAAUCUGUGUCAAACAAAGUAAGAUCAACAACAUUAAAGGUAGCACUAACACUAUACUCACCUGGAAGGUUAAUUUUGUAUGCAUUUGCACCCAUACCCAAUCACCGGGUUGGAAAACAACCAGUUUACGUCCCUUAUUUGUUUUAGAAGCGUAAAGUCUGUUCUUUUUCUCUAUUUGUAGUCGAACUCCCUCAUGGAGUUCUCUCACCAUCUUUGCCUUCUUUUCACCAUCUAAACUUACCCUUUCUUCAAAAGGUAAAGGAAUUAAGUCCAUAGGAGUUAGUGGAUUAAAACCAUAAACAAUUUCAAAAGGAGAAAAAGUAGUAGUUGAAUGCAUAGUUCUAUUAUAAGCAAACUCAACAAAAAGGCAAACAUUCUUCCCAACUUUUCAAAUUCUUUUGAAUUACAGCACGUAAAAGUUGGGAUAAUGUUCUAUUCACUACCUCAGUUUGUCCAUAUGUUUGAGGAUGGCAUGUUGUCGAAAAUUAGAGUUUAGUUCCCAACUUUCCCUAUAAGGUCUUCCAAAAGUAACUAAGGAACUUAACAUCACGAUCUGACACUAUACUCUUAGGAAUGCCAUGCAAACGUACAAUCUCUCUAAAGAACAAGUCUGCGAUAUGAGAUGCAUCAUCUGUUUUAUGGCAUGCAAUGAAAUGCGCCAUUUUAGAAAACCUAUCAACCACAACAAAGAUAGAGUCUCUACCUUUCUUUGACCUAGGUAAACCUAAAACAAAGUCCAUAGAGAUAUCUACCCAAGGUUCAGUAGGCACAGGUAGUGGUGUAUAUAGUCCAUGCGGUUGUACUCUAGAUUUUGCCUUUCUACAAGCAAUGCACUGUUCACAAAUUCGUUGCACAUCUCUUUUCAUCUUUGGCCAAUAGAAAUGCUCAUGCAAUACAUCCAAGGUUUUCGCAACCCCAAAGUGACCCAUUAAACCACCCCCAUGUGCUUCACGAACAAGCAAUUCACGCAAAGAACUAGCAGGAACACACAAUCUAUUCUCUUUGAACAAAUAACCAUCCAUCAAAUAAAACUUACCGAAAGCCGAAUGUCCACAUGCAUUAUAAAUCUCAGCAAAGUCAGAAUCAUUAUCAUACAAUUCCUUCACAUAUUCAAAACCUAACAAUCUAGUAUUCAUGGUGUGUAAAAGAACAUACCUGCGCGAGAGUGCAUCAGCUACGAUGUUCUCUUUCCCUUGCUUAUACUUGAUUACGUAAGGAAAGUUUCAAUGAAUUCAACCCAUUUUGCAUGCCUCCUAUUCAACUUACCUUGUCCUUUCAGAUGUUUCAAGGACUCAUGAUCCGAAUGGAUUACGAACUCUUUUGGCCACAAGUAAUGCUGCCAUGUCUCAAGUGCUCUUACCAAUGCAUAGAGUUCUUUGUCGUAAGUGGAUAGUUCAAGGUCGCUCCACUUAACUUCUCACUGAAAUACGCAAUAGGUCUCCGAUCCUGCAUCAAAACAGCAUAUUCCUAUUCCAGACGCAUCACAUUCUAUUUCAAAUGCUUUCGUAAAGUCAGGUAAACCCAAAACAGGUGCAGAACAUAAUUUCUCUUUCAAAAGAACAAAUGCCAAUUCUUGUUCCUCCCCCCAUUUAAACCCAACUGAUUUUUUAACAACUUCAUUAAAGGGGCAGCUAUUGUACUGAAAUCUUUCACAAAACGCCUGUAAAAACUAGCUAACCCAUGAAAACUCCUUACCUCACUUACCGAUUUGGGUGUAGGCCAAUCCCGGAUGGCCUUAACUUUCUCCUCAUCCAUCUCGAUACCCUGUGCAGUUACAACAUAGCCAAGAAACACAAUUUUUCCAUGCAAAAGGCACACUUUGUAAAUUAGCAUACAAUUUCUCACUACGCAACACACUAAGUACAUUACGCAAAUGAUCAAGAUGCUCAGUUAAGUUCUUGCUAUAUAUCAAAAUGUCAUCAAAAUACACAACCACAAACUUACCUAUGAAUGCACGCAACACAUGAUUCAUUAAACGCAUAAACGUACUAGGUGCAUUUGUAAGUCCAAACGGCAUUACUAACCAUUCAUACAAACCAUGCUUAGUCUUAAAUGUUGUUUUCCACUCAUCACCUUCUUUCAUCCUAAUUUGAUGGUACCCACUUUUCAAGUCAAUUUUAGAGAAAUACAGGAUCCAUGUAACUCAUCUAACAUGUCAUCAAGCCUAGGAAUGGGAUGUCUAUACUUUACCGUUAUGUUGUUGAUGGCCGCAAUCAACACACAUCCUCCAUGUUCCAUCCUUCUUUGGCACAAGUAGCACGGGUACAGCACACGGGCUCAUACUCUCACGAAUGUAGCCCUUUUCCAUCAGCUCAUCAACUUGCCUUUGAAGCUCCUUCGUCUCCUCGGGAUUGCUUCUAUAAGCUGGUCGGUUAGGAAUUGAAGCUCCGGGUACGAAAUCAAUCUGAUGCUCUAUCCCCCUCAAUGGUGGUAAUCCGCUAGGAGUAUCGUCGGGGAACACAUCAUCAAAUCCCUGCAACAAAGAAAUAGCAACACUAGGCACAAUAUGAUCAAGAUCAUUAGUAUUAAAGUAAGCCUCUUUGUACACAAGUAAUCAUUGGCUUGUUAGUGAAAAAUGCAGAUCUGACCUCACCCUCUCUAGCAUAAAAAUUGGGUUGUUUCUUUAGUUUUUCCACACAAUUCUCAUCACACUUGCUGACUUUCUUCACUCCUCUUGUCUUACCUCCACUCUCGGCCAGAUUUGGGUGUUUUUGAGUUGUGGUCGAAUGGUUUGAUUUGUUUGGAGUGUUGGCCGAAUAUUUGCUUGUGUUUGGAUGGGUGGCCGAAUGGGUUGUAGUGGUUUGGGUUCUAGCCGAAUCUGAUGGUCUUCUCUCCCCUUGUUCCUCACCUUGAUUUUCUCUCCCCAUCGCCUCAUGCUCACUUUUUAGCUUUAUUUGAUCAUCAUACACCUGUUUGGGUGUAAGAGGUACAAGAGUGAUGGUUUUACCAUCUUUUACAAUGGUAUACCUAUUUUUAACCCCAUCAUGAAUUGCCUUCCUAUCAUAUUGCCAUGGUCUCCCCAACAAGAUGUGACUUGCUUGCAUUGGUACCACGUCGCACAGAACUUCAUCAACAUAUUUCCCAAUCGAAAAUGGAACCACAACCUGUUUAGUCACUUUCACUUCACCACUAUCAUUCAGCCAUUGCAAUCUAUAUGGUUUAGCAUGCUUAGCAGUACACAAAUUCAGUUUACUAACAAGGGUGGCACUGCAAACAUUAACACAGCUUCCACUAUCUAUAAUUAAACCACACACCUUUCUUUGUACGUAACAACGCGUAUGGAAGAUGUUCUCCCUUUGUUCAUUAGUAUCAUCUUCUUUGACCUGAACCUGAAGUGUUCGCCUUAUAACCAAGGACUCCUCAACCGGUAAUGCUAACUCAUCCCCAUCACUAUCCUCCAAUGGUGGCAUGCCUUCACAAUCAGAACUGUCACUUUCAGAUUCCACAUCACCAUUAUCUCUAAUCAUCAUGAUUCUCUUGUUUGGACACUCUGAAGCAUAAUGUCCAUGUCCCUGACACCUGAAACAUUUAACAUCACGAGUACGUUUAGGUUGAGUUUCAGAUUUACCUUUGGCAUCAGUAGGGACAUCAACUUUAGCCUUUGGUGGUUCAGUUCUAGAACCAAAGGAUCUUGGCCGGAUAGUACCCUCUCUCUUUAGAUUCGGCUUCCAAAAUGAUGACGAACCCGAAUUAAACGCUGGCCGAGCAUGCCCUUCCUAAGUUGUCUCUCCACCUUCGUCGCCAUGUGAACCAUGUCCUCUAGCUCCACAUAGUGUGUAGCUCAACCACAUUAGCAAUUCCCGAUUCAACCCAUUAAGAAUCUAGCCAUGGUGGCUUCUCUAUCCUCAACAACAUUAGCCCGAAUCAUUGCUAUCUCCAUCUCUUUGUGAUAUUCAUCUACUGUCUUAUAACCUUGAUUCAGACCUUGGAGCUUCAGAUAUAAGUCUCUGUAAUAGUGGUUUGGCACAAAUCGUCUCCUCAUUAAGACUUUCAUCUCCCCCCAAGUCUGAACGGGUCGCUCGCCAUUCCUCCUCCUACUGAUCACAAUCUGAUCCCACCAAAUAAUGCAUACUCCGUAAACUCAAUUAUCACCAAUUUCACCUUUUUUUGUUCAGAAUAGCUAUGGCAAUCAAAAAUCCAAUCCACCUUUUUCUCCCACUCCAAAUAAGCCUCGGAUCGUUUUUACCUUGAAAGCUAGGAAUUUUCAGUUUAAUGGUGUCCAAGUCCCCAUCCAUAUCUUCAUAAGUGCUCAUGCCACGAAAAUUCACAUUCCUCCUAGCCCUGUUCGGUCCAGACCUGAUUCCUUGGCCAGCUGAUGCAAAAUCAUAGUCAUCUUCACCCCAUCUGCGUUUUCAUCAACAAACUCUUCAAAAUCAGAUCUGACAUUCCGUGGCCAUACGGACCGUAUUUCCCCGGCGAUCAGCCCCACUAUUCUGUUGCUUUAUCGAAUUCACCUCAUCUUUCAGAUCCUUGUACGUCCUAGACAACAGCUCAAGUUGCUGGCCUAUGGAUCGCAAUUGGAAAGCUACGUCAACGUUUUGUGUCGCUGAUUCGUUGUUUUCAGACAUUCUUUGAAUCUAAAAUUUGGUAGUAGCACAAAUAUAUCCUCACACCUCUCGUGUAUCACACAAAAUAAAAUCAAGGCUUUUCACUCUAUUAAGCUCUCUACGCCUUUUACCUCACAACUUGCUUUCUUUUGGUUCUUUAGGAACUGAAAUCAACAAAUCAAAGUCAAUAGCUUUCGCGGCGCACUCUAAUUAUAAUUUUCAGACUCAAGAAGCAAAAAAUAUACUGAAAACAAAGCAAAACGAAACUACGAUUACGAUUUUGCGAGUAGCAAUGCAAAUUCGUGCGAAUUGUGGACGAAACGAAGACACGAAAUAAAACAAAAGCGAAUAUUAGCGAAAACAAUUACUUGACUCCUAGAUAACCCAAAUAUAAUAGAAAUAAAAAGAUUAAGACAAACCUAAACAGUAUAGAUCAUGUUCUCAAACUUGACGCAAAUCUAUCCUAUUACGCAAUUUUUACGUAACAGAAUUGAAACCCAGACCAAACGAUCUCGAAAUGACCUCAAAUUCAAUAUUUAGUAAUAUAAUACUAUGAAAACACUAAUACUCAAUUUAUAGGUCGUUCUCUUAUGUCUAGGUACCCAAACCCCUUGUAUGAUCAGUUUGCGGCAGAAUUGAACCUCCAAUUAAAACCUCCAGAAACCGAUAUCAAAAUAAUCCCAAAUUUAAUAUGUGGUGCAAUCGCAUACCCAAUACUCAGAAUAUGAAGUUUCAAUAGAUUCCAAGGUGUUUUACCUAGGGUUCACUAAGAGUAGUGUUUUGCGGCAGAAUUGAAACUCGAAUUAAAACCUCAAGCAAAUAAUAUCAGAAUAAGCCCAACUUUGAUAUAUCAUGCGAUCCCACCCCCAAUAGACUGAAUAUGAAGUUUAAAUUGAUUCCGAGGUGGUUUGCUUAUGGUUCACCAAGAUUUGUGUUUCUGCGGCAAAAAUUGAAUGAUCCUUCAAAUUUCAACUAAUCACUUUUCUCUAUUUCUUUCUGAUUUUUUUUUCUUUUUAACAAACUGAUAUGAUUAGAGACAGUAACAAGAUGAAAUAUAAACUUUUUUUUUUUGCUUAGAUGACACAGACACGAAGAACAAGAGGAUGGACGCAAACACUGAAAAACUUAAGGGACACUAAAAAAAAACGAAAAUAACAGAAUGAUAUGACCUUGUUUCGGAGCCUAGCUCCGAUACCAACUGAUGCGAACCUCGUGAUCACGUGGCCACGCAACCCACAAUCAAGAUUGAGAUCUGAUCCCGGAAAGCCGAAAUAGAUCUGAUAUGAGUGCGACACAAUGGAAACCUGCCCCAAGGCACCAACACUAUUGGAAUGAGUAGAAUGACGCCACGAAGCCAGUUAAUCUUCGAUAAGUCAGAUUCAGUUCGUUCAAGAACUGAAGAAUGCAAGAAUCACUCUCACACGUUAAAACUGAAAAAUUCAGAAUAAUAUUCAUCAAAGCUGCCGAAAUUUUGGCUACAUGAGUUUAAAUAGUUCUUGAAAAGUUAACCCUAAUGGACCCUUUAUGUGGACUUAUAUGAGGUCCACUCAAAACUAGCCCAAAACCCUAAAAUGAAAAGCCCAUAACUUAAUCCAAAAAAGCCUUGGAUCCUAGCUUAAAACAAAGUAUGAAUUAAGCCCAAACAAGCCUUGGGCUGUAGCUAACAAAAUAAAAUAAAGCCCUUAUCUCAUGGCCCAAAUAAGGUUGUAUUGGACCCCUCUUGCACAUGGAUAAGAUGUACUAGGAUCUCCUCUUAAUACUCCAAUGGACCUUCCAAUUCUGACUUGGUGGAAACCUUCAAAACCAAUGCAUUCAAUGCGUCUUUCAAUGUCUUUGUCUUGGACCGAGUCAUUGGUCCAUUUGGAACAUGUAAUGGGUCCUUGCUGGUGUUUCUAGGCUGGUCCGCACCAGACUUCCUCUUUUAUUCUAUUGGCUUUUCUGGUUUUACUGUCGCCUGCCUCCCUAUUCUCCUUUCUUUCUUUUUUUCUUUCACAGUGACGAAAGGAUUAAAGAAAAACAAACUCUCUAUGUUCCCCUGUUAUCUAUGUUUUUUCAAUCCCUGCCUCUCUUGCAUUUUUCCUUUAUUUUUCUGCUCUCUUUCUGCUAUUUUUUUGCUCUCUUUUUGGCCCCCUCCGUUAGGUCAUUAGAGGGGCUUAUAUAUAGUCUAAAAUGUCUCCAUUUAGGAAGGAUUCAAUGCACUAAUCCUAGGGCAUAAAUCCCUACUGAUUUGUAGUAAAAAAAACGCAAAAAAAUCCCUAGCAUAUUCUUAUUUUAUGCUAGUUCUUUACGUCUGAUUUCUUUCCAGUUUUAGAGGAAGGUGUGGCUAUUUUCUCUCCUUCCAUAGGGUCAGCUGCUCCCUUUGAAAUGAGGCAAGAAAAAACAUGGUUGCAGCUCCAAAAUUCAAGCAUGAUGAUAAAGGAAAAACAACAAGAAUUUGCAGCAAAAAAAAAGAAAGAAAUCAGAUGGAGGGUGCAGCUGCAAAGUCUCAUUUUCCUUAUUUCGGUGUGGAAAAAAUCUUGUCAUUUAUGAUGAUCCAGCCCCCUCUCCAGCUUUCCAUAUCCUUUUUCAAUUCAAUCCCUCAUUUUAACAAUUUUCGAUUCAGUCCUUGGUAAAAAACAAAUCCUUCGAAUCAACCUCGCGAACUUGGGCUAUAUCCUUUCUACGGCAGAAUUUGCUACCUUCACGUUAGAUAUUCAAAUGGGAAUAUCUUGAGCUUCUGAUAUCAAAAUCAAGUAAUUCAAAAACCAAAAUUCAUCUACGCGUCUAGGACUACAACUUUGAUGAAGGAGUCAAAGUGAGAUAAAAUCAUUUUAUAGAAAGAAACUGGCAGUAAUCUAGUUGGUCAAAAGGGAUCUCCAGGUCUAACUAAAAAAUUGACGAAUACCGAGCAUCCUAAUAUGACUGAAAGUAUGAACUAAGAACAAAAAUCACAAAAACUAGGCCAAAAAUAGAGUUUUUUUAGUGCAGACUUAGGUCAAUAUCUUUCUCGCGGCAGAAUUCUCUACCUUCACGUUAGAUAUUCAAACGGGAAUACCUUAAGCUUCUGUUAUCGAAAUCAAGCGAUCCAAAAGCCCAAAUUCAUCUAUGCAUCUAGGACUACAACUUUGAUGAAGGAGUCGAAGUGAAAUAAAAUCAUUUUAUAGAACAGAAUCUGGCAGUAAUCUAGUUGGUCAAAAAGGUUCGUUAUCUGACAAUGCUAAGCAUCCAAAUCUGACUAAGAAUCUGCUCUAAGAACAAUGAUCCCUAGGACUUAAUAAAGGUGUACGUCAAUUUUUCAACAUGUAAUAAGUGACAGAAUAUACCUAGGAUGGUCAUAUAUCGUACGAAACCAAGUCAAAAUCAGAGCCUAAAUUGGAACAAAAAAUUGCGACAACAGCAGAACCAUUUUUUAGUGCAAAUUCUAAAGGAUUUAUUCAACCUUAAAAACAAGAUAAUGAAGGAAUGAAUUUAGCAUUCUGAAGACUCCUGAUCAACCUAAGAAAACCUGAUGAUUUUGGUAGUAAAAGGGAAGGCUAAAAAAAGAGAGCAGAAAAUAGCUCACACUAGGUUUUUUUGGAAAAAAAUAAUAUUUCUUAUGUGCUUUUGUCAAUCUUCUGGCGAACAUGAGCUAAACUCCUACACUCUAUUCAAAAGAGGUAUACACUAUCUCUAGCAUGUGGGGGUCCAAAAAUGAGUAACAACAGGUGGAUACAUUGUAUUUCUUGGCAUCACUCCCAUUUCAUGGAAAUCUGGCAAUCAAUGCAUUGUUGCUCGCUCCUCCACUAAAGCAAAGUAUAAGGCCUUAGCUGAUGCUACUGUUGAGGUUGUUUAGCUUCGUUAUCUUUUGUUAGAUUUAUGUUCCUCUCCUAGUUCUGCUACCACUAUCUAGUGUGAUAAUUUGGGUGCUACUUAUCUAUCAGUUAAUCUAAUCUUUCAUGCUAGUACGAAGCAUGUUGAGGUCGAUUAUCACUUUGUUCGUGAUCGAGAGGCUAAGAAGGAGAUUUAGAUUUGAUUCAUCUCCUCCAAAGAUUAAUUAGUCGAUGUUCUUACAAAGUCACUUGCUUCCUCUUCUUUUACUUCUCAACGUUCCAAGCUUCACGUAGAUAACUCACCUUCAGCUUGAGGGGGUGUAUUUUAGGAAAUAUUAUAAAAUUAGAAAUAUUAUGUUUCCUCUUGUAUAGUUUUAUCUUGUGUAAUAGGUUACACCAUAACAUAUUUAUAAUGUCCUACUUAUAUAAAUAGUAUAGGAGCUGCCCUGAUUGCAAAAAUAAAAGGUAUUAGCACCCUUAAUAUAUCUUACCUAAGGCAAACCAUGUUUUUUAUUUGUCUGAUAUAAACUAAGGUAUUGUCGUGUUUUCUAAUCAUUGAUCUGUUUAAAAGUAAAGAAAAAUCAUUCUCAAUAAAGAGAUCUUCAUCUUAUUAGGGCAAAAACUUAACAAUUCUAAUGCUGAAACAUGAAAAAGAAAGAAAAUUGUCUUUUCAUUUAAUUUUAGAAAUAUAUCUUAUGUAUAAUCUUAUAAUUCCAGAUAUUAAAAAAAAUGUGUUUCUUCCGAUCACAAUUUUAUUUUCCAAGUGUUAAAGAAUAAUAUAAAUCAUAACCUAGGACCUCACCUAACAGCUUAAGCUAUUAGGUUGAGAUGGUUCUUUGACAUGAUAUCAGAGCAAACAAAUCGUCCAGUAGCCUUCUAUCAUCUAGCAGCCUUCUAUCAUCCCGCAGUCUUCUUUCAAAUUUCUCCCUCACAUCUAAUUCUCUUCUUCUAGCAACUUUUUUCCUUUAUUUCAUCCACAAUACUGCUAAACUUCUUUCUCCUAUGGACAAUCAAGAACUUCAUCAUUUUGUUGUCGUUGCAUCAGCACUUCAAUCUUCUUUCUCCAUUAUGGCGCUAAUAGCCACCUAAGGUGUAUCCACUCCUAUUGCUGCCAUCAUAUCUCUUCCUAACACGUAACAGGUAAUGUCUUUAAAACUCUCCAACACUAAUUUUAUGUAUUGGAUGAUGCAGAUGAAACCGUUCCUUUGGGCCAAGGCAUGUACUCUUUUGUUAAUGCCACAUCAUUAUGUCCUCCUUCUCAUCUGAAAUCUGUUGCAGCAUCUUCACCUGAUGGUUAUCAACACUGGCCGAUAUUUGCUGAAGCUGGAAUUUAGACAAAUCAAUACAUAGAUUAAUUCUAUAAGGGGAAUCAGAAGAAGAACCUGAUAGGGAGCUUAAUAUAUGUGCAGGAUGUGAGGGAGAACUAGCUGGAGAAUCUACAGAGUGACCGCCACAACAGGGGAACCAGCAGGGGAAAAACCAAGGGAGCUGGCAGGAGCGAUGGAUAAUGCAUGCGAGGGUGGUGAAUCUGAAGUUGUACCUGAAGCAUGAUUAUGAUAAUAACAUGCAAAUAAUGGUAAGGGAGCCAAUGAGAUGUAGGGGGUGUGGGGGGCAGCGGUGAAAAAGCUGAAGAUGGUGGCUCUGGAUGGUGUAAAGUAACCGGUAUAGUGGCAGCAUAAGGAUUUGUAGGUGGGACUGUAAUCUGUUCAGGUUUACCAAGAAGAAAAACAUGUUCAUGAAACUGGAUAUCACAAGCAAGAGAAAUACUUUUGCAUGACAAGUCAAGACAUCGAUAACCUAAAUGAGAGUUACUAUAUCCUAGAAAAACACAAGUAGAUAAACGAAAAUCUAACUUAUGAGCAUUGUAUGGACAGAGGAAUGGAAAACAAAGACACCCAAACAUACGAAGAAAAGCAUAAUCAAGAGAUGAUUUUAAAAGACAUUCGAAAGGACUCUUAUAAUUAAGAACCGGAGUUGGCAUGCGAUUAAUCAAGUAAACAGAACUUUCAAAAGUAUAACUCCAAUAUUUAAGGGGAGCAUGACAUUGCCCAAAAAGAGUAAGCCCAAUUUUGACAAUAUGUCUAUGACGACGUUCAACCAUGCCAUUUUGUUCGUGGGUGUUUAGAUUGAUCACACGGUGAUGAAUACCAAUUGUUUUAAAAUACGUAUUAAGUUUUCAGUAUUCACCAUCCCAAUUUGUUUGAAUAGAUUUUAUUCUUAAAGAAAAUUGGUGCUCAACAAGCGCCUGAAACUGAUGAAAAAUAUUAAAAACAUCAAACUUAUCAAUUAUCGAAUAAAACCAGAUAAAUUUUGUAUGAGCAUUCAUAAAAAUAAAAAAAUAUAGAAAACCAUCUGAUGACAACAUAGGAAAGGGACCCAGACAUCACUAAAAAUUAAAUCAAGAGGAGCUAGAGUUUGAUGACCCGUAGUUUUUAGAGUCAGACGACACGACUUACUAAGAGGUCAUACAGGACAAUUAAAAUUAAAUUGUUGACUUACAUGACAUCUUUUUAUUUUUCACCAAAAAAUGCAAAAUGCAUGGACUGGGAUGCCCAAGUCGAAGAUGCCAGAUAUUAGUGGAAGUAAAGAGGCAUGUAGAUGAGAAAGCCUAAGACAACGACAUUACAGACAACUCAGUCCAAACAUUUAGACCAUCUCUUCUCUGACCGGAAAGAAGCACUUCCUUUGUCAUAAGGUCCUUAACAUAAAAUAGACAAGAAUGAAAUUCAAAACACAUGUUAUUCUUAAGGUAAAUUUUUUUAACAAAUAGCAGAGGUUUUUUAAUGGCAGGAACAUGUAAAAUAUUGGAUAAAGUAAAUGUGCGUUUUGGUGAAUGAAUUUUAGAGUGAGCAAUAUUGGAAAUAGUAAGGCCCUUACCAUCACCAACAUGCAGAUGAUCAUUACCAAGGUAAGGUUUUGAACUCGUCAUUCUAGCAAGAUCUGGCGUUACAUGAUGAUUUCCACCCAUAUCAGGAAACCAUAUGAUAGGAGACGUUGUAGGGGCAUUAUUAAAUGCGAGAUUGACAUUGGCUUGGAGAGGAUGAUUAGCCAAUUAAGAGCACUGUUGGCCAAUAUGCCCGUAUUUAUAACACAAUUGACACUUUACAUUGAGAUUAUACCCACCAAAACGGUUACCUUAUUGCUCAAAUUGUCCUAUUGUCCAAGAGGGAGAUCCAGAAAACUGUCCUGAGGAGAAUCAGUGUCCUUGUUGCCUAAAUUGCUGACUUGAGGUAUAACUGAUAUUGCCAUUAUUUCCACAAUAAGCAUUGUUGUGAUUAUUAUUAUUUCUCUAGCCCCCACGAAAAUAGCCUCGUCUAGCAGUAUUGAAGCCAGAGUGAUUCUGCACAAAGAAUGCAAUUGGUUACUGCAUUGGGGUUGGUAACAGAAGUGUUGUUACGGUUGGUUGGAGAACAGCUUUAUGGAGAAAUUCAUAUGUAAGUAGGUUGCUAUGGAGAUCAGUGUAGGAGAUGGGAUCAACCUUAGUAGACAAGAUCUUUAAACUUGUUGCAUAACCCUCAAAACACAUACAGGUUGAAUUCUGCCAAGGAGAUUUGCCUGCCAGCCACAACAAGUUCAUCAAACAAUGCCUUUGCCUUCUACAAGUAGGUGCUGACAGAAUCAUCAUGCUGACAUAACUCUUUAAAGGAACCAUGAAGUUGCAUGAUCAUGGAAUUCGAAGGAGAAGCAAGAGUUGUUUCUAGCGUUCUCCAGAUAUCAUGGGAGGUGUUAUGUAGGUCAAAAAAAAUUAAUUUUAAUUGUCCUGCGUGUCCUACUUGGUCAUUGGUGCCUUGUCAUCCGUCUGUAAAUGUGAUUGGUAAUAGAUGGGUAUACAAUAUUAAACGCCACGCAGAUGGUCGGAUUGACUGAUAUAAAGCAUGGUUUAUUGCCUGCGACUUCUCUCAGCAAUAAGGGAUUGAUUAUUUGGAGAUGUUUAGCCUAGUAGUUAAACCUACAAUGGUUCACCUUGUGCUCACUAUUGUUGUCUCAUAUGGUUGGAAUAUUCACCAGUUGGAUGUUCAUAAUGCUUUCUUGAAUGGCAUUCUUCAAAAGGAGGUAUACAUGGCAUAAUCACCUGGGUUUGUUGAUUCUGCUAUUUCAUCUCAUGUGUGUCGUCUUCACAAAUCUUUGUAUGGCUUGAAACCAGUACCUCAAGCUUGGUACAACCGGUUGAGCGAGUUUCUCCUUUCCAUUGGAUUUCAAGCAUCCAAGGUUGACACUUCCCUGUUUAUUCUCUCUCUUAAUGGUGUCAUGAUUUAUUUGCUUGUGUAUGUGGAUGAUAUUUUACUGUCCAGGAGUAACUCAGCUUUGCUUCAUAGAUUGAUUAUUUUACUGCAAACAUAAUUUAAGCUUUGGAAUUUGGGUUCUAUUCAUUUCUUCUUGGGCAUUGAAGUUAAACCUACAACUAUGGGUAUCUUAUUAAGUCAACACAAGUAUGCACUUGAUAUUAUCCAACAAGCAGGUAUGGCUCCCUCUAAAUUGGUUGAUACAUAUUGUUGGAGCACUGCAAUAACUUACUUCCACUAAACCUGAUAUUUGUUAUGCAGUCAACAAAGUAUGUCAAUUUAUGCAUGCCCCUACUGAAGAUCAUUGGGCUACCGUUAAACGUAUCCUACGUUACCUACAGGCUACAACAACCUAUGGUCUGCACAUUACUCGAGACUCUCUCUUAACUGUUCAUGGUUUCACAGAUGCUGAUUAGGCAGGUAGUAUUGACGAUCGUAAAUCCACAUAUGGGUAUCUUGUGUACCUUGGUUCUACCCCUAUCUCAUGGAAAUCUAGGAAACAACACACUAUUACUAGAUCUUAUAUGGAAGCAGAAUACAAAGCCUUGACUGAUGGUACUACUGAAAUUUUAUGGAUUCGUUCUUUAUUGGCAGAACUUUGGAUUUUCGCUUCGUCCAUGACUACGUUAUGGUGUGAUAACUUGGGGGCCACUGUCUUAUCUACCAAUACAGUGUUCCACUUUUGUACUAAACAUGUUAAAGUUGAUUAUCACUUUAUCCGUGAUCGCGUUGCUAAGAGAGAAAUUCAGGUACAAUUCAUCUCUUCAAAAGAUCAACUUGCUGAUGUUCUUACCAAGCCUCUCUCUCUAGUCUCGUUUGCUUAUUUUCGAUCCAAGCUUUAGGUGGAAUCUCCACCUUCAUCUUGACGGGGUGUAUUAAGAAAAGAGACCACAUAUAUGUAAAUACAUUAUAUAGGGAUAGUUAUCAUGCGUAGUACAUUCCACCAUUGUAUUGUAUACAACCCUAAAGGUAUAAAAACAAAGGGAUGGUUGUUUUAUCAAUCAUUCAUCAUAAUUAUAUAAAAGACUAUCUCUCUAAUCUUGACAUGGUAUUAGAGUCUUGAUGACCAAGCGGUCACGAGUUCGAAUCUCACCAUCUCCAUUUAUUUAAUAAAAAUUAAGCGCAAGGUAAUAUAGGUCCGUGCAAUUUUCAAGCCCAAAGGGCUUUCACUUGAGGGGGUGUGUUUGAAAAUAAUAUAAAUCAUAUCAUGGGACCUCACCUAACAGCUUAAGCUAUUAGGUUGAGAUGAUUCUUUGACAUCAAGAUAACUGGUCUAUCAAGACUAACAAGAACACUCUUAAGAUCGUCAAUUAUUUCUUCAUUAGUUCAACAUCCAAUUUGCUUAAUACUGUUACUUACAAUUUUUCUUUAAGAAGAAAAAAGAAUACAGUGCUUAUAACUGGGAUAGGGGUGCUACCAGAUCUUCAAUUUUCUUCAAUAGAUUUUGUAAGAUUAUCUAAUUGCUUCAAGUAUGACACUUGGAAUAGGAUUUUGAAGUCCAAGUAAGUUCUUAGUGAAAGCUGGAUGCUGUAAAAACAGAACACUACAAAAGACAUUAACCUAACCAACAUGUGUUAACUAGAAUCCCGCUUUUUGAUCGGUCAAUUUCCAAACCAGAUUUACUAACUAUAAUUUUGAGGAUAACAACGUAUUUAAGCUAAGGUAGUGGAAGACUUUAACCAAUGAGGCAGUUUCUGAAAAUUUCUUUUCUAAAUAAAAACUAAAUAUUUUUCAUUAAAAAAUAUAAAAAUGGCUCCGUAAGUGAGAGAAGAUGAAGUCAUGUUAUAUGCAAGCAGCAUAAGAAGAAAGAUGAACAAGGUUUGACCAACCUUGACAGGCAUUCAGUUAAGCUACCAAUUAAUUUUUGCUGGCUAAAAGGUGCAAAUAAACAAUAAAUUGAACUAAAUACUCAACAAUAAACAAGGUCCUGUUGGAAAAAAUGCUCCUCGAAUUAUUAACAAAUACACUGAAAGAACUCGACUGAGCAAUAUUCAUAUAAUAACCUAAUUUAAAAUAGAGAGAUACUAUUAAAAGUUAAGAGGAGAGGAUGGGAGGAAAAGCUGAAUAGAAACAAAAGCAUUUCACACCUUUAAAGUUUGAAAGCUACUGAAGUUUGAAGGAGAUAAUUGAAGGGAGGAGAAUGAGUACAAGCGGUGAGAAAAAAUAUAAUAGAAAGAAGGGGAAAUGUUAUUUAUAUCAAAAAUAUUUAAGAUUAUUUAUAUUUAGUAGGCUACUUUUCCGUCAACUAGACAACAAGAGGAACUUUAGAAGCAUGGUCUUCUUUCACUCAUUGGAUUCACACCAAGAAAAGCUUGAAGCUUUGCAUUUUAAUGGAAGAAAUUGAGCCUAGAGGUGUAAGUAGCUUUUGGGACCUAAUUUCUUGGAAUCACAUCUAUUGCAGACAUUGCUCUUCCUGUUGAUAAUGUUGUUAACUUCACAGAUAAUGGUCCUUUCUGUUGAUAAUUAUAGGUAUAUAAAAAACUGAAUAUUGAUGAUAAUAAAAAAAAAACAAAGAACAAAGAAUUUGGAGCAAAGAACAAAGAAUUUGGAGCAAAAACAAAGAGUAGAAUGUUUUUCAUAGGUUACUACCAUCCCUUAGCUUCUAUUUAUAGAUGAAAUCAAUCACAACAAAAUUAAGAAACGCAACUAACAUAAACUCCUUCAUUUAAAGAGCUAUGUAACUUAUCCUAAAUAAGUUUCAAAUCUAAAGAAGUAAAAAUUGACUAAACAACAUCAAGAUAAUGAUGUUACUAAUAAAUAGACAUUAAUGAAAGAUAACCUACAACUGAUACAUUAAUUUCAGCUUUUGUGCCAUAACUUCAACACUCCUUCUUGGUUCCAAAGUUGCACAUUCCUAUCCUCUCUUUUAGAUCUUCAAAUCUAUCUUUAGCUAAAGGCUUGGUGAACAGGUCUGCUAAUUUCUCUUUUGAAAUGCAGUAUAUCAUCUUUAGUUCCCCUUCUUGCUGGAAUUACUUGAUAGCAUGGAACUUGAUCUUUAUAUGCUUGGUCCUGUCAUGAAAAAUAGAAUUAUUUGAAAUAGCUAUUGCUGAUGUAUUGUCAUAUAACAAUUAUGUGGGACUUCGUUGAUCAAAGUCUAGAUCAUUCAACAUUUUCCUUAGCCAUAUCAAUUGCUUUGUUGCCACAUAUGAUACUAUGUAUUUUGCCUCUGCAGUGGAAUGUGCAACCAAUGAUUGCUUCUUUGAGUUCCAACAGAAAAUGCUUCCUCCAAUAGCAAAGCAAUAACCUAAGGUGCUCAUCAUUUCUUCAUUUCUUCCAGCCCAAUCACUAUUAGAAAAACCAAUUAGUUUAACAGAACUUGAUUUCACAAAAUGCAUACCAAACUCUAAGGUCCCUUUCAGAUAUCUCAAAACUCUUUUGGCUGCAACAAAAUAGACUUCACUUGGACUUUACAAGAACCUAGAGAUGUAAUUGAUAGCAAAAAUAAUGUCUAGACGUGUAGCAGUUAAAUACAACAAGCUACCAACUAAACUUCUGUAGGCUUUUCCAUUAGUUUUGGGAGCUUCAUCCUCCUUCAUUAGCUUUUGUCCCAGUACCAUAGGUGUACUAAUUGGUUUGCAAUUUUUCAUUGCAAAUUUUUUAAUAGCUUCAUUGUAAACCUUUUUUGACAUAGGAAAUAAGCUUGCUCCAACUGAGUUACUUCCAUGCCUGAGAAUUAUGAUAGCAAACCAAGUUCAUUAAUCUCAAACUUAUCCUUCAUGUUGGUUUUAAACUCCUCUACUAGGUGCUCCUUGUCUCCUACAAUCAUUAAAUCAUCUACAUACAAUGAUACGAUUAGAGUAUGUUUGUCAAUAUUUUUUAAGUACAAAGUUACUUCAUUCAUGCUUCUUUCAAAGCCUAAGCUCAAAAGAUACGCAUCCAAUCUAUUGUACCAGGCUCUAGGAGCAUGAUUAAGUCCAUACAAAGCCUUCUUUAGCAAAUAUACUUUGUUUGAUGCUAUCUCUUUUUCAAAGCCACCAGGUUGUUCAACGUAUAUUUCUUCAUUUAGAACACCAUUAAAAAAUGCAGACUUAACAUCCAACUGAAAAAUAUACCAACCAUUUUGUGCUGCUAGAGCAAGCAAGAGCUUUAUUGUAUCAAGCCUAUAUACUGGAGCAAAUGUGUUAGUGAAGUUAAUACCUGACUCUUGUGAAUAACCCUUCACUACAAGUCUUGCUUUGUGCUUGUUGAUACUUCCAUAUGCAUUCAACUUGGUUUUAAAAAUACAUUUCACACCAAUUAUCUUCUUAUAAACGGGUCUAUCAACCAACAUCUAUGUUUCAUUCUUUUCUAUCAUCGUGAGCUCCUCCUUCAUUGCAGCUAUCCAUACUUGUGAGUUGAUAGCUUCUUCAAAAUCUAUUGGCUCUCCUUCAUUUGAGCCAGGUUUGAAUAUUUUUAUCCAUACUUUUUGUCGUAUGUCACCCGCGCGGCGUCGACUUGGCGAUUUUUUGUUUCUUGUUUGCUUUGAAUGGUUCGUUGGGAGUGGCCACCUAGUAUUUAAUUGAGAGCUACUAGGAAACCCGGGUGUACUGGUCUUAUCAGAGAUUCACGGGUAAGGGACUGGUUGUGGUUAGGGAAGGUAUUAGCACCCCUAACGCACUUUACCUGAGGUAAGUUACUUUGUGGUUUUUGAUGUGAUAAAAAAGUUUUAAAAAUUUUGUUCUUUCAUUGGAUAUUAGAAAUACGACUUACGUUUAAGUUCAUAAUCCUUAACCAUGAGCAUAUCAAAAUAUUAAAUUCUACUUUAUUCUUGCAAUUUUAUCAUAAAAAAAAUAUUCAUAAACAAAAUACAAAUCACAUAUUCACUUUCACUAUACUUUUCUUUUUUUCUUUUCUUUUUUUUUUGUUUUUUUUUUUGUACAUCCACAUACAAAUUAUAAAAAAAAAUUCAAAACUAAACAAAAAUUACAUUAAAUAAUUUAAAAUUUACAAAAUAGUCCCUAAAACUCCAGAAAUUGCAGGGAAGGCCUUCUGCAACCGCAGGAACAGUGGCGGCGCGUCUCCCCACGCGCCCCCAUCACUGGCGGCGCGUGGGCUCAUGCGUCGCUGCCACUAAACCCGGCCAAGCAGAGGUCAGUAACAACUUCCUCCCCUCUUCAUGUCCUCGUCGGUGUGACCUGUAAAAACACCAAAAAAAGGCCACAAACAGUUGAUUUUACCUUUUUCUUUCUUUGUUUUUUUUUAUCUGCUUUAGUCCCUUCAUAUCUUUUUCACCGAUGAUCCUUCUUUAGCUUAUCCUUCUUUGGCGGUGGCCGUGGACGUGGUGAUGGACGGAUCUGCCUAUGCCUGAAGGCUUCGGUGUGAAGGAGAAGGAAGUUUUCCUGGGCAGGGGAGCAAACUACGGUGGAGAUGUGAGUGGUUGUCUGGUCGGCGAGUUCAAUUGGAGGAAGUUGAGCAGCGGUUGGCUUCGGUGGGCGCCACCGUAUGGGGACUGUGGGUCUGUGGCCGGCUGCUGUGGUCGGGUCUGUUCGUUGACCCAGAGAGGGAGGGCAAUGGGUCGGCAGAGAGAGGGAGGAUAUGGUCGGGUCUGUGGGGAUGAGGGAGGGAGGGAGAUCAACGGUGGCUGGUUCUUUGGUGGCUAGGAAAGGAGUGGCUGAGAGAGAAGUGAGGGGUUGUUAAGAGAGAACUGGUUGAGGGGAAGGGAAGAAAAAGAUGGGGCUACGGUGUGGAGGGAGGGGCGGCUGUGUUGGGGUUGAGGGAGCUCAGCUCUUGGCUAGCGAGAAGAAAGGAAAUCUGAUAAAGGGGGAAGGGGCGGCGACUUGGAGAAGAGAUAGAUUUAGGGUUUUCCCUUUUUGGUUUUUUUUUUUACUCUCCAAACUGCCCCCUCCCCUUUGUGAAUUUUCUCCCCUCUUGGGAAAUUUUUUUGACUUAUAUUUAUAGGUAAAAUAUUGCUUGGUCCUCAAAAUUGGUCCCUCAACUUUUAUUUUUUGUAAAUUUUGCUUUUUUCUUGUUUUUUUUUAAAACGAGAAAUAUCAACGUCGAUUCAAUUAGAAAAAUCAAUUAUUUUAAAAAUGACACGUGAAAAGUCGAACGUGUUCGAAAAACUUUUGAAAAUUUAAAUUCUUUUUUAAACGACGUUGAAAAUGCUAAAAAUGAUGCGAAUAUAUAUAAAUUUUUUUUUUUUUGGAUUUUCAUAGUUUUUUGCUAUUUUUUAAUUUUUAAAAAAUUUUAUCAAAUAGGUAGGUCAAAAAUUAGGUAACAACACUUUUUUUGUGUCAAACCAAUUUUUAAUAUUUAAAAUCCUUCCCUGAAAUUCUAUAAUCCAAUCAAAGUAUAUUAAGACUUUGUGCGUAAGUCAAAAUACAUAAAUAGGAAAACCCAAAAGAAAAUAUUUAAAAAGAAGAAGAAAAAAGACCCGUGGAUCUAAAGUUUUCUGUUUAAAUUUAUUUCUUAUUUUCUCUCUCCAUAAAUUUUAUUGAUAUUUUAUUUUUUUUAUUAUUUCAUAGCUUUCACAUUUGACGUAAUAUUAUCAUUUCACAUGUGGACAGAUGUUCUGUCAAAAGCAAAUCUUUCAGCACAACAUUUCUUGAAAAUUGUUAUCGUUUUACUAUUAUUUCCAUACAAGUUAUUUCUUUCUUUCUUUUUUCAAGAAAAAUAAGUGCUAUAAAGUAUAAUUUGUAUUUUUAAUAUUUUUACAGCAAAAGGAGUCUAAUAAAUGCAUGCUUCAAAAAAAAAAAAAAACUUCAGAAAUGCGCACACAUUCAAUUGGAAACUCGAAAGUUAUUUCAAAUUCAAAUAAUUAUUACAAUCGACAGACACAAGCGAUCCAAGGUUUUAUUGAUCCCAAAACCUUUUAAAGGUGGGAAAUCCCAAUAAAGCCUGACCUCUGUUGGCGAAGAUCAUCCUGGAUAGUUUUUUGUGCUUAAUUUCUCUUGUAAAUUUUAUAAGGCAGCCACUCGUAAGUGUAGAAAAGAAACAAAAAAUAUAUGUAGUAGAAACAAUGCAAGAGCAUUCGUUGAAGAUUUGAGAUGCCUCCCAACGGAAGAGUCAUAAUGAAAACCACAGCAUAUACCAUCGUAAGGAUCUCCACUAAAUUGGUACUGGUGUUUAACCACGCAUCAUGGGAUCCUAGUAAUGCUAUAUUCACAGCAUCAAUGAAUGCCCCGAACAUCAUGAGAAUAGCCAAACCAACCAUGAAGGCUGAAGAUCCAACCGCAAUGAUUUCAAAAUUGGCAUUAGUAAAGUUUGCCAAAAGAAGGAUUAGAGAUGCCACCAGAGAGAGAGAUAAAGCCCAAACAUCGAAAGCUAAAUAUUGAUGCAGAAGUGCCUCAUAACCAUGAGGACUGAAAAGGUCUGUGAUCUUAUAAUGGGAGGCAGUAAUAGUACUGCUGUGAAAUUCAUGAUGAUGUUCACUUGAGUUAAAGUUACCCCUUAAUUGUGGCAAUUGAAUAGCACCCGCAAAGGUCACACCAGCAACAAGCACUGCUACCACAAGAAGAUUCGCUAUCCUUGUUUUUGUUUCCUUUUUCCUUGGUUGCAUGGGUCGAGUACCAGCAGUGAAAUGGUCACGGAAGGAUAUUUCCCAAGGGAAAGCAUGGAAGUAUAGGAUCGAUAAUGCCAUCAUCUGCACAUCAAGGGAAAAAGACUUGAUGGUUUUAAUAUGUUUUUGGCACUUCUAUUAUUGGAAUUUUCCCUAUUGCCUUUGAAGAUCAUUAAAAAGCGUUAGCAUCCCUUGAAAUUUCUUUUUCGUAACAAGAUAGCAAGAUUCUGGAAUGGUUUCGGAAUUUUGAAUAUUAUCAUAUAGAAGUUAAACUAAUCGGCGUAGAACUAGUUCAGAAACACGCAUCUAGUUGAUCAACACCGCUUUUAGCAAAGGUAUUGUCUUUGCAUUUUAAACCAAGACCCUCAAGAAGCCAUCCUUUUUUCUUUCUUAAAUUCUAUCUUCUCUUAAGCUCUUCUGGAAACCAAAAGACCAAAACUAAAAUGAUAAAAGAUAAAAAGAAGAAAAGAAGAAAGAAGAAAAGAAGUAAUACCCCUCCACGAAAAUCUGGCAGCUUGUAAUCUUUUAGUGAUGCAUUUUUCGUGUCUUGCUUGUUUUGAUCAGCUGGUUUGUCCUGUCUCAAGAAAAACGUUAACAUGUGUUACUUUUUAUUUAUUUAUUUAUUACAGCUAGACAAUAAUAUAAGGGGUAAUAUCAGCUGGUUUGGCCUCAUAUAUCUUGAUUCCCAUAACAUCAUAACAUAUUCCAUUAUUUUCAAAUCUUUUCAUAUCGUUUCUGUACGUAUAUGGAAUGUAUAUCUUUAAUCAAAAUAUUUAAAAUGCAAGCACAGCAAGUAUCAGCAGAUCUCUUAUACCUCGGUCCCUUCCACCCUGUUAUUUGAAUCAGAGUGCCGUCGCUCCUUGGCAAACUGGAAACAAAGAGGAAGCAUAGUUACCAAAUUAUUAACGCAAUUAUAAUACUAAAAAUUGUACUGUUGUAGCUCUUCAUACAGUUUCAUCUGUUCCUUCAUAUCGCUCUAUCGCUAUUGUGGAUUGUUUUCUACCAAGUUCAUAUGGUGUCAAACGGUCGUUGUUAGCAGGAUGAGGAUAAACGCGUUUGUCACGCACAAGAAGAUAUACAGAUGCGGGUCGGCCGUGCUGUGUUGCCAAAUGCAAAGGUGUAUUUCCAUCCUCAUCCAUCGCAUUUAGCAGUGUUUCUACGAUCUUCUGAUCCUGUUCGAGUAUGUACUUAAUCAAAAAGCUAUUUUCAUUUUGGGCCGCUACAUGAAGAAUGUUCUGCCCUUUUUUAUUUAUGAAUUCGUUUGGAUAGGGGAUAACUUUCAGGAAUUCCUUUAACAAAGCAACCGAGCCUCCCUUGCAUGCAAGAUGAAUAGGAUAGUUGCCCUCUUGGUCAGUUUCAUCAGCACCGGCACGAUACUUUUGUAAUAGGAAUUGAACUCCUUCCACAUAGCAUGUAGAUGAUGCAUGAUGGAGUGGAUUUCCAAACUCUUCGUCAUGGAGACGUAAUAACUCUGGCUUUGCUUCUUCGAUUUUCUGCAAUAUACCUGAAAAUAAAAAUAAAUUGUUUUGAAUGAAUUUAAAGAUGAUAGGUUUGCAAGAUUGGUUUGUAUGUAUAUCACUUUUCUGAUGAGAGGAGACAUUGUGAUCACCUAUGUUACGGUUCUCGAUGGCAGCAUGAACAGGGGACUUUCCUUGUGGUAGCAUGCCAAGUGAAUCUCCAUCUUCUCUUUCUCUAGGGAUCGAAGCUUCCAAAUCCAAGAGAUCAUCAAGAAUCCCCUUCAUCUUGCGAUUUUCAACAGCCAGAUAUAAAGGAGACCUGCCAGUCUUGUUUUUGUAAGAGGCCACUUCUCGAUCUCUGGAAAUGAGGAAUUUGGCAACAUCUUUGUUACCAUUGAUCACUGCAACAUGCAAAGGAGUGUUUCCUUCUCUAUUUGUCGUCCUCAGCAAGAAAGCAUUCGAAUUGACAAGGUCUCGAAUUGUAUGACUAACACUUCCCUCUCUGUCCUCUCUGGCAGCAACAUGAAGGAUUGUGUCUUGCUGGUCGUUUCGGCUGGUGAUUAGAGAAGGGAUAUCUUUAGCCAGGUAAGCAGUAAUAUUUUUACUUUUAUACCUUAUGGCUACAUGAAGUAGCGAAUUCCCACAGGGAGUCACUAGCUUCUCCGCUAAAUGUUGCUGGACACGGCUUUUAAAUUCCUCAAUAUUGUCCUGCUUCACACACUCAUAUAACUUGCUAUCAAUCUUUGUAUUUGCCAUGUGAUCUCUCGGAAUCGUGUUUUCAUCAACUAUGUCUAUUUCUACGCUAGACAUAGCGAAAGAAAAUAUUAUUUGACCUGAAUCAGCUAUACAUAUCAGACGGCAGGACUUCUAAUUUAAAUAGACCAGACUGCAUGUCAAUGGAAUCUGAAAUAAUGUGAAUCUUACUCUUUUUUUUUAUUUGCAAGGAUAUAUACUUUGAUUACUCAAAUACUUCACGCAUUUGUUCUGGAAUCCAGGACAUAGCAAGAGAGAGAGACCAGUCUUGGCUAUGGUUAAAGCAGCAUCUUGAAAAGGAAAAGGGGAAAAUAUGUCCCCUAACUCAAAAAAGAUGAGUGUUCCUAGGGAAAAAUUCUUAGCUUAAAUUUAUAACUCAAAAAAGAUGAUUGUCGUUAGGGAAAUUCUUAACUUGAAUAUAUAACUCAUAUACACUGUGCAAGUGGGAGAAUCCAUGGUUUAAUGAACAUGAUGAUGCACAAUGGCAUGAGAUUCCACAUCUUAUACCUUCCGGUGAUUUAACCAAUUAAUUCAAAAGUUUCAAACUCUCAUGUUAAAAUCCAAGAAUACAGUUUUAUAAUUUUUAUUAUUUUAAUGGGAGAUCUCGUGUGCGUUGGACUGCAUUAUAUAUGUAUAUAUAAACGAAUUUUCAACUAUUGAUUUGGACAGUCGAUUUAAAGUAUUGUAAUAGCUUAAGAUGUUUAUUGAAUAAGAUGAAUCUACAAGUCUUGGCUUACCCAGCAUGAACAUUUUCUUUUUAGUUACAUACCUAAUAUGAAUUUAAUUUUGUAGUAAAAGAAUGGAACUGAUGGUAAAAAAAAAAAAAAAAAAAAAACCUAAUUUAAUAUUGUCACUUCCAUAGCUUACAGCUACAUGAAGUAAUGAAUUCCCACAGGGAGUCACUAGCUUCUCCGCUAAAUGUUGCUGGACACGGCUUUUAAAUUCCUCAAUAUUGUCCUGCUUCACGUACUCAUAUAACUUACUAUCUAUCUUUUUAUUUGCCAUGUCAUCUCUCGGAAUCGAGUUUUCAACUAUGUUUAUUGCUACGCUAGACAUAGCGAAAGAAAAUGUUAUUUUACCUGAAUCAGCUAUACAUAUCAGACAGCUGGACUUCUAAUUUAAAUAGACCAGACUGCAUUAUAAUGGAAUCUGAAAUAAUGUGAAUCUUACUUCUUUCUUUAUUUGCAAGGAUAUAUACUUUGAAUACUCAAAUACUUCACACAUUUGUUCCGGAAUCCAGGACAUAGCAAGAGAGAGAGACCAGUCUUGGCUAUGGUUAAAGCAGCAUCUUGAAAAGAAAAAGGGGAAAAUAUGUCCCCUAACUAAAAAAAGAUGAGUGUUCCUAGGGAAAUUCUUAGCUUAAAUUUAUAACUCAAAAAAGAUGAUUGUUGUUAGGGAAAUUCUUAACUUGAAUAUAUAACUCAUAUACACUGUGCAGGUGGGAGAAUCCAUGGUUCAAUGAACAUGAUGAUGCACGAUGGCAUGAGAGUCCACAUCUUAUACCUUCCGGUGAUUUAACCAAUUAAUUCAAAAGUUUCAAACUCUCAUGUUAAAAUCCAAGAAUACAGUUUUAUAAUUUUUAUUAUUUUAAUGGGAGAUCUCGUGUGCGUUGGACUGCAUUAUAUAUGUAUAUAUAAACGAAUUUUCAACUAUUGAUUUGGAGUGUCGAUUUAAAGUAUUGUAAUAGCUUAAGAUGUUUAUUGAAUAAGAUGAAUCUAGCUAAGUCUUGGCUUUACCCAGCAUGAACAUUUUCUUUUUAGUUACAUACCUAGUAUGAAUUUAAUUUAGUAGUAAAAGUAUGGAACUGAUGGUAAAAAAAAUAAUAAACUAAUUUUUUUUUAAAAAAAAAAAAAGCUUUGGAAUGUUCUAUGCCUUGCCCAGACAACCUUGUUGGUCGCCCAUUGGAUAGCACGACCGAUUGGUUGGCCAACUCGCCUAGCAACCAGCCAACUUAUAUCUCUCUCUCUCUCUCUUAUUUUUUAUCUUUUUUUUCAACAAAUAAAACUACAUGCCACACACUCUAUAUACUAUUUUACUUGUAGCACAUACUUUUUUAAUCUACGCACACACAAGAUCAUUGCAGGACAAGCGUUGUAUUAUCAGCCACUUGAAGGUCAAUCAAAAUAAUUACACCUGGUGGCUUCAUUUUGUGUAAUGCCUAUCAUUUCAAAGUUAUCUUCAAACUUCUUUUUAUGUAUUGUAUAUAAUUUUAUAUAGUUAACUCUUUUUAUUAAUGCCUAUGUAGAUCGAUCCUAAUUUUGUUAGGUUAUUUAUUAUUUUAACAAUCCUGUAUUUAAAAUAAAACAUUAAUUUUUUAAUUAUAUUAGAAAUUUAGAUUUCAUUUAUCUCUUUUCAUGAUCAACUUGCAGAUAUUUUUGUUAUGUUAUUUUCUAUUACUUUUCCAUUCAAGUUUUGGAUUGAUUCUUUACCCUUAUUUUGAGAGGCAUAAUAUAUAUCAAGGAAACAUUAAUAUGUUUAAUCACUAUUAUACAAGGUUGGUUAACUAAUAAGUUAAUAUAUAAUUCCAUUCAAAACAUUACACUUUCACUAUUUGUUUUUUAUUUUUUUUCUUUUAAUAUAUAUAAGAACUUAUAUAGCCUAUCAUUGAUAAAUAAAUAAAUAAAAUUUGCUUUAAUGGAGUCAUUUUAAAUUUCCUUUAACUCAACUUAUUGACAAUUUUCUCUUAAAAUUUAUUCAUUUCUGAUAAUAUAUUGAUAAAACACACCUUUAAUUCAUUAUUUCAACGGGAAAGUACUUAAAAGAUACUACAAGUUCAAAUUAUUAUUACAACAUCUAGACACACAAUAUUCCAAGAUGCUUUUUCACUCCUAACCUUCUAAAAAAAGGCGAUCACAUAAAAUCAUGACAUCUGUUGAUGAAGAUCAACCUGGAUAGUUACUUGGGCUUUGUCCAGAGAUAACGAAGUUUAUGAACACGAGGAAGACUAUACGACGUCAGGCACCUCCAAUUGUAGACAAGCAUGAAAAACGAGAUGUAGUAGACAUAAUGCGAGAGCUUUCCUUCAAUAAUUUGGUUGACGGAUGGCGGAAGAAUCCAUUGAAUAUAAAGCAAUGUUUGAGCAACGAAAAACGCGAUCCCCACCACUAUAAGGAUGAUUGCGAACACCCCAUAAUUGGAUCCACCUAAUGCUAUGCUCACGGCAAAAAAGAAUGACAAGCACAUCAUGUAAAUAGACCCACCCACCAUUAAUGAUGAAAACCAAACUGCAAAUGGUGCAAACUUGACAUCGUUCAAGUUUGUCCAAAGAAGGAUUAUAGCUGCCACCACAGAGGUAUUUAAAGCCCACACAUCAAGACACAAAUAACCAUCCAAAAGAGAUGAACCAGUAGGACUGUCAAAAGCAGUGCUGUUCCGGGAGGCAGCAGUAGUGCUCGAGUUAUUUUUAUCCCUUAGUUGUGGCAUCUGUAUAGCACCCGCGAAGGUUACACCAGCAACAAGCACCGCUACAACAAGAAGAUUCUCUAUCCUGCUCUUUGUUUCCUGUUUCCUUGGCGGCUUGCCUUGAGUACUAGUGAAACGCUCAUAUUGGGAUUUCUUAGGGCGGGCAUGGAAGUAUAAGAUAGAUAAUGUGUCAUCUGCAUAGCAUGGGGAAACAAACUUCGUAAUAAUGAGUUUCUGGCACUUCCUCAAUCGCAUGCAAAAGCUUUUGCCUUGAAAUCCCUUUUUUUUUUGAAGAACAAGCACGAUUCUGGAAUGAUUUCUGAAUUUUGAAAAUAACUGUGUAGAAUCUAAAUUAAUCGGCCUUCAAGUAGAUGUUCAAAAGAAUAGGGAUGACUAGAAAAAAUAUAGGAAAGAAGAUGUGUAAUAUUACCGUUCCAUAAUAAUCAAGCAGCUUGUAGUGCUUUGAAUCAACUGCUUUGUCCUGUAAAAAACAUAUUUUUAAGUUAAUGAAUAGAGCUACCUCUUUUUUCUUUCUUCCCUUCUUUCCUUUUGUGCUGGCUAGCCAACAAUAUAAGCCACUGAAACUGAUGAUCAGCCCAUUUUGGAAAGUAGUUCUUUGAGCUUAGAAGAGAUAAUUAACCUCGAUUUUGUGUAGUCAAUGUAAACUUGUACCUUUCCUUGAGAACCAGUCGAAGCGGUCGCCUUUUCUGUUGUAGAAUUCUUCUUUCCAUCCUUCACAUCUUCUGAAUUAACUUCGAUCUGAGGAAUGAAGACAGAAAUCAUGAAGCAACGCAGAGCAGAUAAUUGUACAAAUUACUUGACAUGAGCUCUUCUGACAAAGGAUGAUUGAGUAUAUCAAAGAACCACUCAACUCAAAAGCUUUAACAGCUAAUUGAGGUUUAAGGAUACGAUUUUAUAUUAUAUCUUUAGUCCUGAAUUUCAGUCAGCUUUUAAGAGUGUUAAGUUAUAUACUCUGUUUCCAUUCUUUCAUGACAUCAUCCUUUAUUAUGUAAAAUAUGAUAUCCUUUAGUGAAAUGGAAUCCUUGUCUACUUAAAUUGUAACAACAUUGUUUUUCAACAGAACUCUCAUACCUGGAUCUCGUCCGCAGGAAUACUGUUCUUUGAAUCAAACUGCUCUCGUUCCUUAGCAAGCUGGCAACAAAGAGGAAACCCAGACACCAAAAUAUUAAAUAAAUAAUACUCUUAAAAUAUGUACUUUUGUAGCCUCGAUAAAUGAUGAUCAAAUAGCAUACCAUUUCAUCUGUUUUGUCAUAUUGGUCUACAGCCUUUUGAGAUUGUUGUUUCGCAACAUCAUAUGGUGUAAAAUUUUCAUUGUUAGCAAUUGAAUUUUCAACGCGUUUGUCACGCACAAGAACAAAUGCAACCAUGGAUUGACCAUGUCGUGCUGCCAAAUGCAAAGGUGUAUUCCCAUCCUCAUCCAUCUCAUUUAGCAGUGGUUCUACGAUCUUCUGAUCGUUUUCGAGUAUGUACCUUACCACAUUACCCUGUCCAUUUUCUGCCGCUACAUGAAGAAUAUUCUGCCCCUUUUUAUUCAGGAAUUCUUUAGGAUAUGGGGUAAUCUUCAGAAAUUCCUUUACUACAUCAACAGAGUCAUUUUUGCAUGCAACAUGGAUAGGAUAGUUGCCAUCACUGUUUGUUUCAUAAGCACCAUUGAGAAACUUCUUCAAUAGGAAUUGAACUCCUUCCAGAAAACAUAUGGAUGAUGCAUAAUGCAGUGAAUUUCCCAACUCUUCGGCAGUGAGACAUAAUAGCUCUGGCUUUGCUUUUGCAAUUUUCUCCAAUAGAUCUGAAAAUCAAAAGAAAAUGUUUCAAAUGAAUAUAAAGAUGAUAGGUUUGAAACAAUUGUUUGUAUGCAAAUCAUUUUCUAGUGAGUAUAGACAUUGUGAUCACCUAUAUUACGUUGCUCGAUGGCAGCAUGAACAGGGGAUUUUCGUUUUGGUAGGGCAUCACCAUCUUCUCUUGUUAUAGGAAUCGAAGCUCCCAAAUCCAAGAGAUCAUCAAGUAUCCCGUUCUUAUUGCCAUUCUCAACAGCCAGAUAUAAAGGAGACCUGCCAUUCUUGUUGCUGUAAUAGGCCACUUCUGGAUCUCUGGAAACUAGGAAUUUGGCAACUUCUUUGUUACACUUGAUGACUGCGUCGUGCAAAGGAGUGUUUCGCUUUACAUUUGCCAUCCUCAUCAAGCUCGGAUUCAAUUCCACGAGAGAUUUAAUUGUACGAAUAGCCGUUCUUUCUUGGCAGCAAGAUGAAGGACUGUGUCGUUCUGGCUGUUUCGCAUGGUGAUUAGAGAAGGAAACUCUUUAACCAGAUAAGCUAUAAUAUUGUCACUUCCAUAGCUUACAGCUACGUGAAGCAGUGUAUUCCCGCAGGGAGUCACUAGCUUCUCUGUUAAAUGUUGCUGAAAACGUCUUUUCAAGGUCUCAGUAUCGUCCUGCUUCACACACUCAUGUAACUGACUAUCUAUCAUUGCAUUUUCCAAGUGAUCUCUCGGAAUCGAGUUUUCAUCUAUGUUUAUCUCAACGGCACUAGACAUAGCAAAAGAAAAUAUUAGGUUACUUGAAUCAGCUAUACCUAUCACUUAUCAGACAGCAGGACUUCUAAUUCAAAUAGGCUAGACUGCAUGUCAAUGGAAUCUGAAGUAACGUGAAUCUUAAUUACUCUUUUUUUUAUUUGCAAGGAUACUUUGAUUAUCAAAUACUUCACCCAUUUCGUUCUGGAAUCUUGGCUAUGGUUAAAGCAGCAUCUAAAAAAGGAAAAGGAAAAGGAAAAGAGGAAAAUUCUUAACUUGAAUUUAUAACUCAUAUACAGAGUGCAGUUGGGAGAAUCCAUGGUUUAAUGAACAUGAUACACGAUGGCAUGAGAUUCUUCAUCUUCUCGCGGUGAUUUAACUAUUCAAUUCAAAAGUUUCGAACUCUAACGUUAAGCUCGAGUGGUUAGCGCCUGAAGCAAGCCGAAGUCGCGGGUUUGAUCCCCCUGGACGCACAAUUUUUAGUUUUCUAAAAAAUAAAACACAUACAAGUUUUUCCCCCUCAAAAAUAGGUUUCUAUUGAUUUUUUUCAUUUAGUAUUGAUUUCAAAGUAAAUUAAUUUUUUUAUUGAUAUAAAAAAAACAAAAACUCAAUCUAAUGAAUUUUGAAUAGUAAAUGUAGCGGAUUAACUAUGGUGAACUUGACUUGAUUCUUUACUUUUCUGUUUUUUUUUUUUUUUUUUUGCAUUUAUACAGUCAAUAAGAUCAUGUCAGAUAAUUUUUAUAAAAUUUAAUUUAAAACUAGAGUUGAGUAAAAUGUCGUGUCAAGUGUUUUUGACAUUUUAAUUUUUAUACCAAAUUUAUAUAAAGCUGAAAAAUUGAUACAGUUUAGUUAUUAUUUUUAAUGUUUAAAAAGAAUUAGGAUGAACUAUAUAUGGUAAUAUACAAUACAAGUUGCUUGUUCUGAAGGGAAAAAAAGAAGCACUAAAUCAUCUCCGAAUUUGAAUUCAAUGAUUUAAACUUAACGAACAAAAAGAUGAUAGAAGAAAACAUGCGAUGAUCUCAAUCCAAAAAUAAAGAAAUAAAGGUUCAAAUUUAUAAUUCUCUUAGAAAAAAGUUGAAUAAUUAAAGGUUUAUGAGCAAUUUCAUAUUUAAAAGGGUGUUUUUGAAAGUAUAGAAUAUAAACUUAUUGAUCAAAGAAAAUUUUGAUUGAAAUCAUUGGUCUUUUACUUCCUAAAACUCAACCUAUUGAUAAUUUCCUCGUAAAAUUUAUUCAUUUCUGGGAACAUAUUGAUGGAGCACAUCAAAUUCGUUAUUUCAACUGGAAAUGGAAAAGUUAUUACAAGUUCAAAUUAUUAUUACAGUAGUUACACACACACACAAUAUAUAUCCCAAGAUGUUUAUUCAUCCCGAAACGUUUUAAAAGAGGCCAAUUCCACAAAAUCCUGACAUCUCUUAUGAACAUCAACCUGGAUAGUUACUUCGGUUUCUCUUGAGAUCAGGAAGUUUAGGAAUCUUAAAGACCUACCUCCAACUGUAGAAAAGCAAGAAAAACGAGAUGAGGUAGACAUAAUGCGAGAGCAUGACUACAAGAAUUUGGUUGAGUACAGAGGGUGGAAGAAUCCAUUGAAUAUAAAGCAAUGUUUGAAUAUUAUAUGUGUGUAUAUUUAAUUCUACUAUAUUGUACAAGUUUGGAACCUUAUUCUUACUUACAAAAUUAUCUCAAUUUAAAAAUUUAUGGAACUUUAAAUUCAAGAAUGAUUUUUUUUAUUCCAAUAUAUUUUUUAUAAAGUUUUUUGUGCCGAAAUCUUCUUGUCCAAGCAUUUAAAAGUUCAAUAUCACUCUUAUUCUUUUAAAUAUAUUAUAUAAAUUUGAGUAAUGGAUUUGUGGAAUUUUCAAACUUGAAAAACUUUCAUUUAGUAUACUGUGGCAUAGUAUACUGUGGCAUAGAGUUAGCACAAAAUCAUUUUUAUGGCUACCUAAAAUUUAAAAUUUUGAUUGAUAUAGUAUUUGAUCGUCUUCACCAAUAUAGUGAAGCUGUUGCUAGUUUCUUUUGAAACAUUGAUGUUACUAUUCUGGCCUAAAUGCAAGUCAAAGAAUGAUGAACUAUAUAAAUGGUAGUAUACAAUACAAGUUGAUGAAUCUAAUUAAAAGAAAGUGAUUUGGAUCCAUAGACUAGUCAUACACUAAAUCUCAAUAUUGAUUCUGAAUUCCAUGAUUUAUAUUAGUUUAGGAACAAAAAAUAAGUAAGAUUUAAAUUAUUGUUAUUUUUAUCGAGCACUACAUCAUGUCCAUUCCAUUAGAAUAUAAACUUAUUGAUCAAAGAAAAUGAACUCAACUUGACAUUUUUCUCUUAAAAUAUAUUUAUCUAUGAGAGAACAUAUUGAUAGAACACAUUCAAUUCAUUAUUUCAACCGGAAACUCAGAAGUUAUUACAAGUUCAAAUUAUUAUUUCAAUAGCUAGGCACACACAAUAUUCCAAGAUGUUUAUUCAUUCCCAAAAAUAACCUUUUAAAAGAGGGCAAUCCCUCAGAAUCCUGACUUCUCUUGAUGAAGAUCAACCUGGAUAGUUACUAGUUCUUUCUUUCUACAGAGAUCAGGAAGUUUAUCAGUCAGCCACCUCCAACUGUAGACAAGCACGAAAAACGAGAUGUAGUACACAUAAUGCGAGACCAAUCCUUCAAUAAUUUGGUUGACGGAUGGUGGAAGAAUCCAUUGAAUAUAAAGCAAUGUUUGGGCAACGAAAAACGCGAUCCCCACCACUAUAAUGGUGAUCGCGAGCACCCCAUAAUUGGAUCCACCUAAUGCGAUGCUCACGGCAAAAAAGAAUGACAAGCACAUCAUGUAAAUAGACCCACCCACCAUUAACGAUGAAAACCAAAGUGCAAAUGGUGCAAACUUGACAUCAUUCAAGUUUGUCCAAAGAAGGAUUAUAGCUGCCACCACAGAGGUAUUUAAAGCCCACACAUCAAGACAUAAAUAACCAUCCAAAAGAGAUGAACCAGUAGGACUAUCAAAGGCAGUGCUGUUACGGGAGGCAGUAGCAGUGCUGUUAAGUUCAUGAAGAUGCUCACUCUUGUUAUUUUUAUCCCUUAGUUGUGGCAUCUGUAUGGCACCCGCGAAGGUUACACCAGCAACAAGCACCGCUACAACAAGAAGAUUCUCUAUCCUGCUCUUUGUUUCCUGUUUCCUUGGUGGCUUGCCUUGAGUACUAGUGAAACGCUCAUAUAGGAAUUUCUUAGGGCGGGCAUGGAAGUAUAAGAUAGAUAAUGUUAUCAUCUGCAUAGCAAGGGGAAAUCAACUUCAUUAUAAUGAGUUUCCGGCACAUCCUCAAUCGCAUGCAAAAGCAUUGGCCUUGAAAUCCCUUUUUUUUUUUUUCAGAACAAGCAAGAUUCUGGAAUGAUUUCAGAAUUUUGAAUAUAUUUGUAUAGAAUCUAAAUUAAUCGGCCUUGAACUAGAUGUUUAAAAGAUUAGGGAUGGCAAGAAAAAAAUAGGAAGGAAGAAAAGAAAUAAUACCGCUCCAUAAUAAUCAAGCAGUUUGAAGUCCUUUGGUGGUGACUUUUUUGUGUCACGCUCCUUUGAAUCAACUGCAUUGUCCUAUAAAACAGAAACAAUUUUAUGUUAAUGAAUAUAAGCCACUGAAACUGGUGAUCAGCAAAUUUUUGGAAAAUAGUCCUUUGGGCAAAGAAAAUUUCAACACAACUCUUAUACCUGGUUCUUGUCCGCAGCGGUACUGUUCUUUGAAUCAAACUGCUUUCGAUACUCAGCAAGCUGGCAACAAAUAGGAAUCCCACAUACCAAAAUAUUAAAUCAAUAAUACUCCUAAAAAAUAUGCUUUUUUAGCUCAAUAAAUGAUGAUCAAAUAGCGUACCAUUUCAUCUGUUUUUUCAUAUUGCUCUACAGCUAUUUUGGAUUGUUUUUCAGCAAUAUCAUAUGGUGUCAAAUUUUCAUUGUUAACAAUCGAACUAUCAACGCGUUUGUCACGCACAAGAACAAAUGCAGCCACGGAAUGACCAUGAUUUGUUGCCAAAUGCAAAGGUGUAUUUCCAUCCUCAUCCAUCUCAUUUAGCAGCGGUUCUACGAGCGUCUUCUCUUGUCUGAGUAUGUACCUAACCACAUUGCCAUUUCCAUUUUCCGCCGCUACAUGAAGAAUGUUCUGCCCUUUUUUAUUGAGGAAUUCUUUUGGAAAUGGGGUAAUCGUCAGAAAUUCCUUGACUACAUCAACAGAGUCAUUUUUGCAUGCUAGAUGGAUAGGAUAGUUGCCUUCAUGGUUUCUUUUAUAAGCACCAUUGAGAAACUUUUGUAAAAGGAAUUGAACUCCCUCCUGAAAACCUCUGGAUGAUGCAUAAUGCAGUGAAUUUCCCAACUCUUUGUCAGUGAGACAUAAUAGAUCUGGCUUUGCUUUUUCAAUUUUCUCCAACAUAUCUGAAAAACAAAAGAAAUUGUUUCAAAUGAAUAUGAAGAUGAUAGGUUUGCAACAACUGUCUGUAUGUAAAUCAUUUUCUACUGAGUAUAGACAUUGUGAUCACCUCUGUUACGUUGCUCGAUGGCAGCAUGAACUGGUGACUUUCCUUUUGGUAGGGCAUCACCAUCUUCACUUUCUAUAGGGAACGAAGCUUCUGUUUUCAAGAGAUCAUCAAGUAUCCCGUUCUUAUUGCCGUUCUCAACAGCCAGAUAUAAAGGAGACCUGCCAUUCUUGUUGUUGUAAUAGGCCACUUCUGGAUCUCUGGAAACUAGGAGUUUGGCAAGUUCUUUGUUGCCCUUGAUCACUGCAUCAUGCAAAGGAGUGUUUCCCUUUGUAUUUGUCUUCCUCAUCAAGCUCGGAUUCGAUUCCGCAAGAGAUUUAAUUGUACGACUGCCUUUCCUUCUCUGGCAGCAAGAUGAAGGAUUGUGUCCUUCUGGCUGUUUUGGAUGGUGAUUAGAGAAGGAAACGUUUCAGCCAGAUAAGAUGUAAUAUUGUCACUUCCAUAGCUUACAGCUACAUGAAGCAGUGAAUUCCCAGCGGGAGUCUGUAGCUCCUUUGCUGAACGUUUUCGAACACAGCUCUUAAAUGGAACAACGCUGUCAAGCUUCACAAAUUCAUAUAAUGAAGGAUCCAUCAUUUCAUUUGGCUCAUGAGGCUCAUCGUCUAUUUUUAUGAGUAGAGUACCCAUAGCAGAAGAAAAAUAAUUAUGUUAGCACUUGAAUCAGCUACAAAUCGGGGUGGAACUUUAUUUGAAUAGAACAGAGUGCAUUUCAAUAGAAUCUGAAGUGAUAUAGAUGUUACUUUGAUUUCAUUUGCAUGAAUAUACUUGGAGUACUCGAGUCCUUCUCCAAUUUGUUGCGCACAACCAUUACUCAGCAACAUUAUCAUUAUUAAAUAUUACUAGAGAAUAAUAUAAAUAAUAUUUUUAAUUUUUAAUUUUUUAUUUCAAUUUUUAAGUUGAGAUAAUUCUUUAAUAUAGUUUUAAAACUUUAAUAAAUAAAAAGUCUCGAGUUUAAAUUUUACUAUUUUUAUUCUUGAUUUUUUCUUAAAAAAAUAUAUUAGAUAAUAAUAUAAUUUAUAUCUUAAAAUUUUAUUUAAUAAUUUAAAUUUUUAAAUUAAAAUGUUUUUUUUUUUGUAAUAGCAACCAAACCCAUAAAAGAAAAGGAUAAAAAUGUUCCAUAGGCGACUGAUUGUCCUUAUUCUUAACUUGAGAAUAUAACUCACUGUCCGAACACUCAAAGAUUAAAGGAACAGGAUCCACAAUGGCAUCAGAUUGGUUUAGGUAAAAAGAUCCAAAAUUUUUAACUGUUUAUCAGGAAGCCCGGGGUAUGUUUUAUGUUAUUUUCUUAUAAACAUAAAACUUCCAUAAAUUACUAUGUUGCACAAAAAUACCUUAAAUGAACUUUUUUUUAGUUAAGUUCUCAAAAAAAAAAAGUUUAUUUCAGCAUGAAUUUUUAAAUGAAUUUUUUGGAUCGUUUUAAUUCAUUAAUUUUAAAAAUAAUUUUUAUAAAAUAAAAAGAUAUCAUUUUAAUAUAUUUAAACAUAAAAAAUAUUUUAAAAAGUAAUCAUAAACACAUAGACACAUCAAAACCUACUUAAUUUAAAAUCAUCACUUGUAGAAUGGUGAUCAAGUAGAUCGUUGAUUGAAUAUAUAAGACCAAUAUUUAAGUAUUUGCUUUUACACAGUACGAGUUUAAUUGCCUUUGUGUCACACGUUUGGAACCUCAUUCUUUCUAAAGUGAAGAUGUAGGUGGUUCUUUUUACUCUCUUUUUUUAAUGUUCUAUGUGCUUGUCCCCGUUUAUAGAAAACAUAAUGACAUGGGAAGCAAUAGAAUGUGUGAAAUUCUUCUUACAUAAUCAUCAAAAUCCAUAGGUUAUAAAUCAAUCCAUUUGUAGUACAGUCAUAACGUCUGUAUCCAAUAAACUGCAAUUAAUCAUUAGGGACUAAACUUCAAAUCUGAUUCAACUCUUAGGGACCCAAUUUAAAUCUGAUUAUAAAAAUUAACGACCAAAUCAUAACAAUUCAAACUCCAAGGACCAGGCUAUAAUGAUUAUAAAUUUCCAUGGAUUAUAUUGUAUCUUUACCUUCUCCUUCUCGAGAGUUUCUGCCGAUUCUCCUUUACCGACAGUGGCUUAAUCCUUUCUGAAUCAUCUUCUUAUUUCUUUGGGACAUACUAAUCUUGUGCGGUAAACGUAAAUGCACAUGCAAUUAUUUAACCAUUACUAUCUUUUUUUAUUUUUUUUAUCUUAAAAGUUAAUUUUAGUUGCUAAGAAAUGAUUAUUAAUCUAUAAAUAUGUCAUAUAAAUUCAAUUUAUUUAUAUAAAUUAUAUAAAAAACAUUUAAAGAUAAAUUACAAUAAUCUCUUUGAAGGAUUAUAAAAUAAAUAAAUAAAAAACUUAAUUACUUUUUAAAAAAAUACUAAAAAAUUAAAAUAAAAUAAAAACAAGAUAGAGUAUUAAUUAAAAUUUAAAUAAAAAUUAAUGAAAUGUUUAUUAAUAAAAGUUAAGCGAUGCUGGGAAUACCAUACCAAGCCCACGCGCUUGGCCAAGGAUCAAUAAACAUAAGUGUGCUUGAUACUAGAAGCCCAAGCCAGCAUUCCCGGCUAAUUUUUUUUCUUUCUUUCUUUUGAAGUUUUUUCUUGAAAUAGACAAGUUGUUUAUUAUGCAAAAAUUAUUUGUUAUCCUCUCCAUCUUUUUACUCUUACCUCCUGUGUUUGAAAAAUAAAAGCUGAAGUUUUAAACUAUCACCUUAAUUAAACUUUCAUUAAAAAAAUAAAUUCAUUAACACCAAUUUUAAUCUUUUUAUGAUUGAAAUCUAUCCUUUAAAGCAUUUUUUCUCUCUUUAAUAUUUUUUGCUAACUUUUUAUCUUCUCUCUCAAUAUCCAGACACUAAAUUAUUAUUAUUUUUAAAAAAAGAUUGGACUAAAAUAUGAAUUGCUAUAACAACAAGGAUCAAAUAAUAGAUAAGUUGAAACUUUAUAUAGCAAAUUAAAGUUUUCCAUACCAAUAUUCAAAUGGGGUUUUUUUUAUUAAAUUUGGUCAAGUUCUUAAGUUUUUUUUUAACUAAACAUAAAAUUUUACUUUGCAAAAUCAAUUUUUAAUUCAUUGUUGUAAAAUUCGUUGACAUUUUGUAUAUGUAACACAAUGAAAAUUAAAAAAACAAAUCUUAACAUGUAAAACUGUUUUAAUAUAAUUUUGAAAGAUUAUAUUUUAAUUAUAGUUUCAUGAUCAAAAUUUUUUUAAAAAAAAACAUUUGCAUGAAUAGUGCAAUAAAUAAUGAAUCUCGAUCGAGAAGAAGAGUAACAAUACACAAUAUUAAUAUUAAUAUUAAUAUUAAUUCCAUAAAGUAAUAACUGAUAAUCCAUUUUAAUUAUUCGAUUAAUCUAAACCUCAUAACAAUACAUACAAUCCCUUUGAGAGUGCUUUUAUUUAUUUGCGAAAUUGCAAAUAAGUGAAUAACUACGAAAUGAGCAUUGUACCUCUAAAUCAAUGCCAGACAUUAAUUUUCAAAUAAGGAUAAUAUAGUCUAUUCGCUUUAAUUUUAUUUUAAUUUUAAUUCCAUCUAAGCCUUGUUUGUUUCCCGGAAAAUAGUUUCCGGGAAACCAUUUUCCAAACUUUCCUGUGUUUGUUUGUCAUUAGGAAAGUUGGUCAACGGAAAACAAUUUCCGGUCAGCGAAAAACACUUUCUAGUCAACGGAAAACACUUUCCGGUCAACGGAAAACACUUUCCAGUCAAUUUUAGUAAAAAAAAAAAAUUGACUUGGUUUUCAGAAAUAUUAAAAAAAACACUUUCCGGAAGUUGUGAAAGAUUUAGAAAUAUCAUUAUUUGCUGAUUAUAUCAAAUUUGAUCCUCAAACGUUUGAUUGUUAUAUAUAUUUUGUUUUGAUUAUUUAUUUUUCAAUUUCAUCUCUUAAAAUUUUAUUUUUAUAUUAACUUUGGUCCUUAUUUUUAUAAUUGCUAUUUGCUUUUUUCUUAUCAUUUUUUUAUUAAAAAUUUUUAUUUAUCAAAUUUGAUCCUCAUUCUUUUGAUUGUUACUUAUUUUAUUUGAAAUAAUUUAUGAAAUGUUGAUUAUUAUUAUUUUAAUUUCUUCAUUUUUCAUUUUUUUUAAUUUUUUAGAUUUGAUCCCUAUUAUUUUGAUUAUUAUUUGUUUUAUUUGAGAUAAUUUAUGAAAUUAUAUUUUUUUUUCAAUUUCAUUCUCAUUCCACUUUUUAAUUUGUAAGAUUUGUUCCUUAUUAUUUUAAUAAACUUGAGAAAAAUAAAAUAUUAAUAAGUUAUUUUCAGCUCAUUUUCCAUGACAUAACCAAACACUGGAAAGUAUUUUCCAGUUUAUUUUCCAUAACAACCAAACAUCGGAAAAUACUUUCCGGAAUUCACUUUCCAGGAAUUCAUUUUCCCCGGAAUUCACUUUCCAAAAGGAAUUCACUUUCCUGCAAACAAACGGAGUUUUGUUGGGCCUUGGCAUUUUUUUAGUAGAUUUCUACAGUUUUGUUCACAUUACAGCCUACCAUUUUCAAGAUGUCUACCUAUGGAUAAUCAUAUCUCACUUGAUUAUAUUUUGAAAGCCUUUUGAGGCAAAGAUGAUGAGGUUUUUAAAAAUUUUUUGUGGAAGGUCCAUCUAAUUUUUGAAUAUAAAAAAUCUUAUUUCUUAUCUUUAUUUUCAACGUAAAGUAUAUUAAUAAAAAGAUAAAUCUUAAUUUUGUUUCUUAUAUUCUUAAAUAUAAAAAUGUUCAUUGUAUUAUUUGAACCUUUUAAUUAGAGUGGAAGUUUAAUUUCAUCACUUUUUUACGAGGUUUUUUUUUCCAGUGGAUAAUCUGAAAAAAAUCUAAGUAAGAGAAACUAGAUUCGUUUCAGAGGGUAAAUUUAUGCAUAGAUAUACAAAGGAGACCAACUUCCUCAAUGCAUAAGAAAUAAAGGUAUCGAAAAAGUGAAGUUAGGCUCACUUUCCUUCACCAGCAUAUACCAUGCGUUUACCUUUCCAAUAAUUAGAAGAAAGCGACUUGUAUGGAGAGAGCUCUCUGAAUUUCUUAUAUUGAAAUUCUAUAGGUGUCUUUACAUUUUGAUUACAGUUUUGACACGUGUGCGGCGAAAAAUUAUAUAGUGUUUGUUUCCAUUUUCUUAAUCUACCAUGUAAAUCUAUAUAUAUCUAUAGGGAUACAAAAAACAAUAUUGUCUUUUAUUGGUAGAAAAUGGAAUGGGAGUCACCACCUAGUAUUUUGGUCACUAGGAACCCUAACUGGUCUCAGAGAUUGGGUACGGGGACUGGUUGCGUAAAGGGAAGGUAUUAGCACCCCAAAUACGCCCUACCUAAGGUAAGCUGCGUUGUUUUAUUGUCUGAUAAAAACUAAGGUGUUAUUGUGUUUUCCUAGUUGCUGAUCUGUCUAUGGUUCAAGAAAAAUCCUCCUCGGUAAGAAGGUCUUUAUCUUAUCGGGUAAAAUCCUAACCGUUCUAACGUCCAUACCAAAAUUUCAUUAAUAAUAUUUAGGAAUACGUUUUACGUAUAAAUUCGUAAUCCCAAAUACUAAAAGAAAAGAAAAAGAUUUUUUUAGAAUUUUUGAAAUAUUGGCCUAGUUCUCAUGGCUUGAAUAAACUGGUUAUUAAAGCCAAAAUGCAUGCUAAUACAUAUAUUGUUUUGAAAAUUUUCUUUGUUGUGAAAAUAUGAUGUUAUAAUAUUUAUAUAUAUAUAUAUAUUGGAGAGACUAGGUUAUUUAUGCUUUGACGAAAAUCGGGUAUUUUAAUACUGGAUUUGUAUCUUUACGGUAUAAAAAUACAAACCAACAUUAAGCCAUUUUGACAAAAAUAUGUAGGAAAAUCAAAAAUAUUUUUCAAAGAUUUUUCAAAAUUUAUUAUUAUUAUUAUUAUUAUUAUUUUUAAUAUAAUAUAUACACACACAUAUAUAUAUUACAAUUUAUAAUAAUUUAUAUAAUAUAUUAUAUUAUGGGGCUGGGCCGGCCCAAAUAAAUGGGCCAGGCUCAGCCCAACAAGAGAGGUUGGGCCGAACUCGGCCCAGACUGAGUUGGGCCGAUCUCGGCCCAACAGGCCUCAUGCUUCUUCUGGUCUGGGCCGGACCCGGCCCAGAUCUAAAGGCUGGGCCAGAACCGGUCUGGCCUAGGGGAAAAAAAAGAAACGGGGAGGGGAAUUAAUUUUCCCCUCCCCUCCUCCUGCAUGCAACUGGCUUAUGCAUGCAGGAGGAGAACCUGUUUUAAAACAAAACGAUGCAGGGGAAGAGGACUUUACUUGGCGCGGAGGAAGCGGUCGCUGGUGGUGUUGCGGUGGCAUGGCUCGCGUACGGCGGCUCGGGGCGGUGCUGUGGCGGUUCGAACGGCGGAGAGAAAGAGAUUUCGCUUUUUCGGUGGUUCUCCUUAUGCUCGGUUGUUUUUUUUCCUUUUUUUUGUUUUCAGUUUGCUCCUUUUCUUCCCUCUCACUCUCGUUAGUUCUCUCUCUCGUUAGUUCUCUCUCUCUCCUCCCUUUCGGUCUCCUCCUCCUUUUUCCUUUGUUUUCGGGUAGUCCCCUGUAUAUAUAGGGGAAGAAAAGGUUGGGACCAUUGUUAGUGCAUCUUGGAGCGGGUUUUACGGGCACCUGGUUGGCCACCACCCGCGACAGCAAAGUGCCGCUCCCUUGCUUUCGGCGGGGCGAGCGACCGGUGGUCGAACAUUGGGUUCGGUCGGUGGUCCAGUGUUUCGGGUUGGUCGGUGGGUGCAAGGAGAGAGAGGCGGGAAGAUUUUGAGGAAAAAAAAAAAACAAAGUUUCCUUCCUUCUGUUGCAGGUUUGGGGGGGGGGAGGAAGAUGAACAGUGUCGUUCAAAACGACACCGUUCUGGUCUCUUUUUUUUUUUUUUUUAACAUGAAACGACGUCGUUUUGGACAAAACGCGUCGUUUCAUUAAAACAGGGCGCCAAAACGCGCCAAACUUCAAAUCAGCCCUCAAUCAUCUUUAAUUCAUUUCAAUUGCAUCCCUGCCAAUUUCGAUCUCCGUCCCUCUUGUUGGCCGCGUUUUUCACUUUGGUCCUUGGCCUCUGAUUUAUGCAAUUAAGCCCUCAAUUGAUCAAUAAACUUCCAAUUUCUUCAAUUAGGCCCCUGAUCCAAAGCAAAACAGCCCCCUCUAUUUACCCGGUUUUUCCAAAUUGGUCCCUGGUUUCGGUUUUUCACAAUGAAACCCCUAAUUGGCCAUUAAACUUCAAUAUUUAUUCAAUUAAGCCCCUGAUUUGGCCUAAUAAAUUGCUAAAAAAUAUAUUUUGGCCCCAAAACUUAAAUUUCUUCUAAUUAAAGCCCAAAUUGACUUAAAAAACAAUUUUUCUUGCAAUCAAAACUCCUAUAAAUUCAAAUAAAAAUCCAAUCAAGUCCAUAAACAUCCAAAUUUGGGCUUUUCUCCCCAAAAAUUCAAUUUUUCCUUCUCAAUAGGGCUCUCAUCAUUCAAGAAUAUAUUGUCAAAAAUCCAUCUUUGUAUUUUUAACCUCCUUGACCGAUUUUUCUGACCAUUUGCUGAGCGCUUCUGCCUCCUGUUAUUUUUCUAACCUUCUUUGGAUAUUUAUUUUAUUUCAUUUAUUUGGGGACCUAAAAAUGGGUUACAACAAUAGUUUUUUUUUAUGCUUGCUUCAGUUAAAAGAAUUUUAAAUUUUAAAGUUAGAUAUUAAAUUUGAUGCUAACGAUCUACACUUCAGAUAUUAUCCAUGUAAGUCUAAACUUGUAGUUCUAGGCUUAAAAUGAUGUUUCUCAAAUAUAAAUUUAAAACUUAGUGAUCUUUUUUAUAUACAGAAAGCAAAUUAAAACUUGUGGAGUAGUCAAAUAACCUAAAUAUUUUGAAUACAAAAGAUAACUUAACAACUCAAAAUUAAAGAAUUUACAUUCAUUGGAUGAUUCUUCAACUUUGGCUAUCAAGGUUGUGCAAGAAGAUUAACUAGAUGUUGCUAAAGAUUUGAAAAUUAGAUAUACAAGGAAUAUUUGUGGUAUUACUCACGAUAACUUCACCACAAAUCAACUAAAAAAUCAUACCAAGAAGGCCAUCAUGAACCAAAUAGAAAUUUCAGUUUAACCUUUAUAUUAUUAAGAAAAGCCAUAAACAUAAAAGUUGAGCUAUCAACCAAUGAAGGUUCAACAAUUAGAUAGCAAAAGGAAUCUAAGGCAACAUGUGGCUCACUUUAUAGAGGCUUAUAACAAUACUAUACUUGAUGGUGAUCUCAUGGUAAACAAUUCAUUCAUUCUUUAAAAUGCUGAAACAAUUAUUUUUUAUUUUUUUCUUUCUGAAUGGUAAACAAGUACCGUGGGACGAAAACCGGGUAUUUUAAUACCGGAUUUAUAUUUUUAUGAUGUAAAAUACAGACCGAUAUUAAGCAAAAUUGAUAAAAUAAAUAAAUAAAAGUGCUGAAAAAAAUUGUAAAAUUUCUAAAAAAAAAAUAAAAAAAUUGAAAUGGGCCGGAUCCGACCCAUUACUAAAUGGGUUGGUUACUGUGCAUAAGCACAGUAACCAGCCUCUCAUCAGUUGCAGAACGUGAAUUAAUUCACGUUCUGCAUGAAAACAGAGAAGGAGACGCUGGCGUCGAGGCGGUGCUGCUGGCGGCGGAGGCACGAUGCCCGGCGGUUUUCCUUCUCUCUCUCUCCUCUAUGUUUUUUUUUCAUUUUCUUCUCUGCUUCUUCUCUUCUUUGCCUUCUCUCCUCUCUUCUCUCGGUCUUCUCCCUCUUCUCCCUCUCUUCUCCCUUCUAUUCUCUUUUUUCUUUCUCUUCGAUCCUCCUUGUCCAACACGUGGAAAGUGGUCGGAAAUUCGGCGUCUUUUUGAAGGGGAGGCGGCGUCUUUUUGAAAGAAAAUGUGGCGGUGAACAGAAGAAGAAAAAAAAUUCUUCUUCCCCUACUUCGCUGCAUGUCCAGGGGAAGAAGAUGAUGGUGCUGUUCAAAACGGCACCGUUUUGCGUUUUUCCUUUUUUUAUAUAAACAGUGCAUGAAACGGCGUCGUUUUGCCCAAAACGCGACAUUUCAUUUAAAUGGAUUUUGGCGCCAAACACGUCAGAUUCACAUUUCGGCCCUCCAUUUGCGCGUGUUUUACAAUUUAGUCCUUGGUCUCGGUUUUCUUCAAUUAAGUCCCUAAUUGGCCAUUAAACUUCAAUAUUUAUGCAAUUAAGCCCCUGAUUUGACCAAAUUAACUUCCAAAAAUUAUAAUUUGACCCCAGAAAAUUAAUUUCUCCUAAUUAAAGCCCAAAUUAACUCCAAAAUCAAUUUUUCUUGCAAUUAAAAUCUUUAUAAAUGCAAUUAAACCUUUAACAAAAUUUAAUUGAGUCCAUAAACUUCUGAUUUUGCAUUUUUCUUCCACAAAUUGAAUUUUCUUUAUCAUUGGAGCUCUCAUCAGUCAAUGAUAUACUGUCAAAAUUUAAUUUUUGAUUUUUGAACAUCCUCAAUCAGCAUUUUAGGGCGCUCUGACAUUUUUCACUGUUAUAUUUUUUUGAUAAUAUAUUUUUUGAAUUUUGUAUUUUAUUAUUUUUUAUCUGGGGACCCAGAAAUGGGUUACAACAACCUACAUGUUGAGCCCAAACAAAUAUGGAUUAUCAAGUUGUCAAACCCAAUAUCCUAGGGUUCACACUACAUGUUGAACCAAGUACAUAUAGAUCUAGAAAACUCAAUGAUAUUAGGUUCAGCUAUACACUAAGCAAAAAAAAUGGGGUUUACAAGUUGUUUAGACCUAAAAUCCUUGGGUUUAACUAUGCACUGAGCUCAAGCAUAUAUGAGUAUGGCAAGCUACCAAAUCCAACAUCCUUGUUGCUAAGCCAAAAAAAAAAAAAUAUGUGGCAAGCUUUCAAACACAACAUCAUUGGGAUCAGCUACGUGCUAAGACCAAGUACAUAUAGGUCUGUCAAACUACCAAACCUAAUGACCUUGGGUUCAACCACGUGUUAAGCUUAAACAAACAUAGGUUUAGCGAGUUAUCAGACCCAAUAUCCAUGAGUUUAACUAUAUGCUAAGCUUAAAUACAUAUAAGUUUGGUAAAUUGUCAUACCCAACAUCUUUGGGUUUAAUUACAUGUCAAGCCUAAACAAAUGUGGGUUUGGCAAUCUGCAAGACCCAUUGCUAAUGGACUUGACAUCAUGUCAAGCCUAAGUGGGUAUGGGUCUAAAGAUCAUUAUAAGCCUCGUAUUGGGCUAUAAGGCUUUCUUUGUUUAUUCUUAUGAUUUUUAAUAUUAAAUGUUAAUGUUAAGAAUACUCAUCUCUCUACAUUUAUAAAUAUAUAAGAGUCUUUUAAAAACCUACCAUAUUUUCAUCAGUAUUAAAUUAUUAUAUAAGAUAUAUUUAUCCCUCAUUAAUGAUGUAUAAGGGAUAUGUAUCCAAUGUCCAAACACUAAAAAACUUCUUUCUUAAACAUAUUAGAUUUUUCAAAUAUCAUAAACUGAUGAACAAGAAAUAGAUCUUUUUGCCAAGAGAAGAGUAGAGAGGAAGGAAAGGAUUAAAAAAACAAAAGAAUCAGCUACAAAACAUGAACUAUAUGACAAAAGUUGAUGCUUUACCAAGCUAUGUUCACCUAGCAACCGUAUCCUUGCCUAUAACAGAAACCCUAUCCAUUCAAUUAAUUAAGGAAACAGAAGAGGUUUAGCAAACAUGCAUAGUAAAUUAAUUUACACUUUGGUCCCUAAAAUCAAUAAUUGCUUUAAAUUAGGCAUCAAACAUUGAUUCUUUAAUUUGAUUUGAUAAAAUUUAAUUGAAAUUUAUCCCUAAAUUUCUAAUUUUGACAAUUAUAUUUUAUUUUUACAAUAAAAAUAUCUAUAUCAAUUUACUUUGAAAAUUUAAUACGAUCAAAUCAAGUUUUAGUUAAAAAAAGAUAUUCAAAGUUCAAAAAUCCUCUUAAGCAUAUUUUUCAAGACAUGUCUAUUUAUUUUAAGGCUAAGUGAACUCGUAUCAAAGGGGCAACAUCUGUAUAAACAAAAAUAUUGUACAAAUUCAAUUUUUUCAUGUCUUUUUUUAUUUUUAUUUUGACCUAAAAAAUUAAAAUAAUUGACAUCGAAAAUAAAUGGGCCUUUAUGUAUUUCUUGGCCAAUAAAAAAGUUGAAAAAUAGGAUGAGUUAUUUAAUUUAUUUUAUCAUCAAUGCAAGAUUUUAUAAUUGAAAAUCAACCAAUAACUGACAAUAAACUUUAAGUAGAAUUGAACAUUAUUAUUUUUCUAAUGAUAUGGUGAAUUUAAAUAUCCAAUACAAAUUUACCCAUUUAAACAUACUUAUUCAACAUUAUUAAUUUUUAAUUAAAAUUAUUUAUGAGAAUUAUUUAAAAAUAAAAUAAAAAGUCUUAAUGUAUAUUUGAUUUAAAUUCUGAAUUAUACUCAAUUUUUGAAAAUAAUAAUGCAAAUUAUGUCAUUAUUUUUUGCUUCAGUCGAUGUAUCCAAUUAUCGAAUAAAACUUUAUUAAUGAAUGUGUUCGCACAUGUACCUAUUUUUUUUUAUGAAUAUGUUCAGUACUAAUAUACCUACCAAAGCAUAUCUAUUCAACAUAGUUAAUUUUUUAUAGAAGAAUUUAUUGAUUAGUUUAAGAAAUCACAUCCUAUAAUAAAAUUAAAACUCUAGAUGCAUAUUCAAUUUAAAUUUAUAAUUAUGCUAAAUUUUUUAAAGUACUAAUUUAAAUUAUAUCAUUUGAUUUUGUUAGUUUGUUCUCAGAAAAAGAGCUCAAUUGAAAAUUAAUAGAAUAAGAUGUAAUUUAAAUAUUUUAUUAUAAUAAUAUUUAAAGCAGCUUAAAUGAUAUGAUCAUUAUUUAUAUCAUUUUAUCUUUUUUUUCCUUUUUUAUUAAAUUAUGAAUUAUUUAAUAUAAAUAAGGGAGGAGAUGAUUAGGUUAAAAGAAAUACAUUGAGUUGUGAUUAGAAUGUAACAAGAAAAUCUGAAAUAUUAAAUUUUAGAAAUUUUGACAAUUAAGUUUGGUAAACUGUCAAACCUAAUAUCUUUGAGUUCAACUACAUGUCAAGUCUAAAUGGAUGUAGGUUUGGCAAGUUGUAAGAUUUAUUGUCACUGAACUUAACAUCGUGUCAAGCCCAAGUGGGUAUUGAUCUAAUGAUCAUUAUAAGCCUCAUGUUAGGCUAUAAAGCUUUCUUUGUUUAUUUUUAUGAUUUUUUAACAUGAAAUGCUAAUGUUAAGAAUUUUAAUCUCUCCACACCUAUAAGUAUAUAAAAGUCUUAUAAGAGCCUACUAUAUUUUUAUCAUUAUUAAAUAUUGUGUAAGAGAUAUUUAUCCCUCAUUAAUGACGUGUAGUGUAAGAGAUAUUUAUCCAUUUUCUAAACACUUAAAAAAUUUAUUUGUAAGCAUAUUAAAUUUUAAAACAUCAUCAACUACUGAACAAGAAAUCAAUCUUUAUGCCAAGAGAAAAGUAAAGAAUAAGGAAAUUGUUAAAACAUAUAAAAAAAAAAAUCAGUUGCAAAACAUGAACCCUAUGACAAAAGCUUAUGCUUUGCCGAGCCAUGUUCAGCUAGCCACCACAUCCUUGCCUAUAACAAAAACCCUAUCCACACCAUUAAUUAAAGAAACAGAAGAGGUUUAGCAAACAUGCAUUGAGUAAAUUUUAUAAUUUACACUUUGGUCCCUAAAAUCCAUAAUUGCUUUAAAUUAGGCAUCAAACAUUGAUUCUAUCAUUUGAUUUCAUAAAUCUCAAUUGAAAUUGAUCCCUAAAUUUCUAAUUUUGAUAAUUAUAUUUUAUUUUUACAAUAAAAAUAUCUAUAUUAAUUUACUUUGAAAAUUUAAUACAAAGUUGGGAAAAAAAUUAUCAAAGUUAAAAAAUCCUCUUAACCGACAUGCCCACUUAUUUUAAGGUUAAGUGAACUUACAUUGAGGAGGCAUUUAUAUCAACAAAAAUAUCAUACGAAUCAAAAAAAUUUAUAUGUCUUUUUUUUAUUAUUUUUUACCUAAAAAAUUGAAAUAAUUGAGAUGAAAAAUAAGUGGAACAUUAUAUAUUUUUUAAGACAUAUCCACUUAUUUUAAAUAUUUUAUUAUUAUAAAAUUUAAAGCAUGCAGCUCAAAUGAUAUGAUCAUUAUUUAUAUUUUUAUCUCUUUUUUUUACUUUUUAUUUGAUUAAAUUAUGGAUUAUUUAAUAUAAAUAAGGGAGGAAAUGGUUAGAUUAAAAGAAUUACACUGAGUUGUGAUUAGAAUAUAACAAGAAAAUCUGCAAAAUUAAUAAUUAGAAAUCUUGAUAAUGAACAAAGGUUUUGGGACAAACAAGAUAAGGUGGACAAAUUAUCACAACGAGCCUGGUUUGAUUGGAUCGAGUAGAUAAGGUGAUUGAGAAUGUUUAGAGCGAGCCACAAAUGAUAUGACCUCGCACUUAUAUGAAGAUGUUACAAGGGAUGAAGUGAAAGAAGUCUUAGAAUAGAUGGAACCGAUACAAGUUCCAGAACCAAAUGAUAUCCUAGCUUUAAUAUUGUUGUCCUUCGUCCAUAAAUGAAACAAUUUAGGACAACAAUGUCUUUAAUUUGGAUCAUUAAAGAUAUCAACUUGGUUCGUCUUAACAGUAUUAAAAUGGCCGGCCUUAAAACAAGAAAAAAGGACAUGGCCAGGCAUUGACACGUUGCAAAUACGAUAAAGUCAACAAACAUCGUCCCACCCUUGCUCUAAUUUGAUGCAACAAUGUUUAAGGGUGCGUUUCUUUCUUAAAAGUAAUUUUCAAGAAUUUAUUUUUAAAAUUUUUCCUGUAUUUAUUUGUUAUUAAAAAAAUUGAUUAACAAAAAAUAUUUUUUAAUCAACGAAAAACAUUUUUCUAUCAAAGAAAAAUUUAAUUUGAUUUUCAGAAAAAUAUUUUUCUUUUACACAACAAGAAUUCACAGUUUUACUAACGAAAAUAUUCCGUCGGUAAAAUAUUUACCGACUAAAUUACCGAUGGAAUACGUCUGUCGGCUUAUCUUUCGUCAGUGAUUCCCCAUUUCGUCGCUAUAUCGGUCGGCAAAACAAAAAAACCAUUUACCAAUGAUUUUAUAGACGGAAUUUGUGCGCCAAAAAAAAAAUUCCCGCUUCAAUAAUACCGAUGGAUUGUUAUUCCGUCGGUGAUAUCACAAUUCAUCGAUGGUUAAUUUCCGUCGGUAAGUUAGUCGGUGAAUUGUUGAAAUACCAACAGAAUAUACCGUCUGUAAAUUCGUCGGUAAGUUAUAAUACCGACAGAAUUAAUCCGUCGGUAAAUCUGUUGGUGAGUCAUGAAAACACCGACCGAAUUUAUCCGUCUGGAAAUUUGUCGGUGAUGGUCGCUGAUACUGUCUAAUGCCGACGGAUAUAUUCCGUCGGUAAAUCCAUUUGUAAUUUUUUUAUAUAUAUAAUUAUUUAGAAUACAUAAUAUAAAAUGAUAUAAAUUAAUGGUAAUAAAAACCAAUUAUGCAAAUAAAAAUUAUAUUAAGCAUCAAAAACAAAAAAUGAAAGAUAAAUAAUAUUCAUUACAAAAUGAAAUUGUUCAAAAAAACAUUAAAUGAAAUUUUAAAUAUAAAUAAUGUUUAUCAAAAAUUAAUAUAAAGGAGGUUGAGGAGGAUCAGGAGGAGGAGGAGGCUGACUGUUAUGCGGCCAACUUGGAUUGGGUGCACAUGUUCCACCUUGUGACAUGUUUAUGACCAUUUGACGAAGCUCUUCAUAGGCCGCUCUUUGUUGUGCAGAUUCUGCUGUAUUGUUCUUUGAGUUGUGUGUAUGCUCUGAUAGGUGGUCGCACCUUUGCUGCAAGGCCACAACUCCUUAGAUUGGGAGCUCGAUAUGAUUGGGAGCUCCCGACGGUUGAAGCAGUACGGGUCGUCCGCAAGUGUCGGCCCUAGUGUUGGAGAGCCCGUAAACCCGAUUCUUAUCGGGUCCACCUGACGAUCCAGCCUCCAUCCACAAAUCCGGAUCGAAUUCCGGAUGGGUCGAAGGAUCGUCCCCGUAUGUCUCCCUCAACCGAUUAUUAUAGGUCUCCUGAAAAUAAAAAAAAGUAAUCAUCAUAUUCAAUUCAAUAAACAUAAUAAUAACUUACAAAAUAAAAUGGAUGAAUAAAAUACCACAAAAUGUUGAGCGACUGUCAACGAACUGUUGCACCCCCUUUUGGCGGUCUUGACUCCGCACGUGCGUCUCCACAAACAGCUCCAUAGGGCUCGGCUCACGUCCAAGAGACGUAGCCUAUAAUGAAAAAAAUUAUUAACAACAAAUUAAUUGAACGAUAUAUUUCAUUUAAAUUAAUCUUACCAUCCGUUUCGCAUGAGCAGCAAACGGAACGGAGCCGCCGGUGUGCGUUGUCACCGAGCCAUGAAUUGGCCGAUUCCGGUUGCCAGCACCGGACUGUGAGCGUCGUGUGAACCACUCAGGCAUCACGUGCUCAAGAUAGUGCGGCCAUAUAUCCUCCGGAUGUAUAUCGGUUUGAAAUCCCUCCAAACCGCAACAUCGUUCCAGCCUUGGAACCCCCUAUCCCUCGCAGUUUUUUUUGCCUUUUUUUGGGCUUCGUACCAAAAAUCACGCAACCUACUUAACGCAAUCAAAAAUUACAUUUCGAAACAUAAAUUUUUUUGUAAAAAAAAGUUGUAUUGUUUUCGAUGUUACCUAGUUGCCGCGUGAUUUUCCCACACCCUCCUCACAACAUUGUUAUGUUCCUCGUCCCAGCAGAAUCGAUUCUGUGUAUAAAAAAUAAUUUUUAAAAAUGUUAAUAAUUUAUUUACAAUUAUAUUAAGAAUUUAUUAGAAAUAAGCUGAAAAUUAUAUAUUAACACGAACCUCAAAUCUGGAAAACCAUGCAUUGAUUUGAGGCAUCCAUUCAGGAUGCCUGGAUAUCUGACUCCAUUGAAACAAUGGAAUCUCCAUCGACGCUUUAAACGCCGAUGAUAUUACUCGGGCGGCCUCAAUGUUUGUGAACCUGAAAAGAAUUGAAAUUAAUUAAAUAGUGACUUCAUAAAUUUGUUUUUUAAAAAAAAAUUAAAACCUUAACAAACUUACAUUGAAAGAUCGUCCUUCCAUUGUGCCUCGUACUUGCGGGUCCAUCGAUUCGCUGCGAAGGCACGCCGCUUCUGCGAUGUGAAACAUCGCUGGAAGAGGCAGCAUCAGCUGACGGCGCAAGUGGUGUAGGUGCCUCUUCUUGAGAGGCACCUAAGGAAAUGUCUUCGUCGCUGCUAGACGAACUAGAUGCGACCGUACGUGAAGCUCUGGUUUUCAUUCUCUGCAUUAUCUAACCAAUUUUAUAUAAAUAAUUAUAUAAUUCAAUUGAAAUGUUAAAAAAAUUCGCAGCACCUCCCCUAUACUUGGAUACUACCCAAAUCCACAAACCUGCAAAUAUUAAUGUCGCACCCCAAAAAAAAUCUAGCGCGCCAUCAUCGAUGGCGAUUUUUUCUCGUUUUUGUGUUUGCUUUGAAUUUGUUCGUUGGAGUCGCCACCUAGUAAUUCAUUGAGGGCUACUAGGAAACCUGAUGUACUGGUCUUGUCAGAGAUCGCGGGUAAGGGACUGGUUGUGGUUAGGGAAUGUAUUAGCACCCCUAACACACCCUACCUGAGGUAAGCUGCUUUGUGUUCUGAUGUGAUUUGAAAAUUUAAAAUAUUAAUUAAAUUCUAAGGCUUGAAUAAAUCAGUUAUUAAAUCCCCGAAUAUAUGUAGAAACUUGUUCUUACAUUUUCAUGGAAAAUACAACUUGAUUUUAUUUAUCCUUGAGAUAUUUAACCAUAUUUAAAUUAGCAAUUAAUUCUUUUUGUCCUUUUUUAUUUUUAAUUCAAUAAUAUAAAUAAAAAAAAUAAAAAAAACAAACAUACAAGCACACACAAACAUUUUUUUUUGUUGUUAUUUAUCACUUUCUCUUUUCUUUUCCUUUUUCUUCCAUAUUUAAAAAAUACAAAAAAAAACUCAAAACUAAAUAAAUAUUACAUUAAACAAUUUGGAAAAUACAAAAAUGACCCAAAACAAAUCCAGGAACAAUUCUGGGCUACAUUCUAAGCUACCUGAACACUGGCGGCGCGUGGAUUCACGUGCCACCGCAGAAAAAAUGGGCAACCGGUGGAUCCGGCUCGUCUCUGUUUCCUCUUCCUUUCCUCGCCGGUGUUACCUGCAAAAACAAACCAAAACGCAACAGGCAGUCGAUUUUAUUAAGAAUUUUUUUUAUUUCUUUUGUUUUCCCAAUCUUCCUCUCUUCUCCUUCAAAUCUGCUUCGGUUUUUUGCUUCUUCUUGUCCGAUCUGGCUUCUCCUUCUCUGUUUCAGGCGGCGGUGGAGUUAUGGGUGUCGCCGCUGCGGUCCAGGCGUUGAUGAAGGGGCUCGACCGGUGGGGCUGUCUUGUGGUUGAAAGAGGAGAGAACCGGCUGUGGUGGCUGCUCCGGUUUUGUUGGCUGCAAAAGGAGAAGAAAAUGGGGCCAGGACUGGAAGAGUGAGGGGGCCGGAGAUGGAGAGGGCUGUGUGGGGAAGAUGAGGUCGGCUGAGAAGGUCUGUGUGGGGGAAAAAAAAUCAACAUGGGGGCCGGCGGCUGGUUUUUCAGAGAAGAACACUAGGGAGAAAAAUUUAAAACCAGUGGGGGGAGUCGCCGCCGGCCCCUUUUUUUUUAGUGGGGAGAAAGAGUUGGGUUUUAGGGUUUUAGGGUUUUUGUGUUUUUUUCUGAAUGUGUCAAAAAUGCCCCCCUUGUAAAUGUUGGAAACCAAUAUUUAUAGGCAAAAAAUAUUGCCAAGUUUUCAAAAAUUGGUCCCUUAACUUUCUUUUUUUGUAAAAAUUUAAUUUUUCUUGUUUAUUUGUAUUUUUUGAAAACGAGCAAAUCAACGUCGACUCGAUGAGGAAAAUCAAUGAUUUUAAAAAACGACCCGUGAAAAGUCGAACGCGUUUGAAAAUCUUUUUGAAAAAUUAAAUUCUUUUUAGACGACGCUGAAAAUGCUAAAUGACGCGAAUAUAUUAAAAAAACAUAUUUUUUGGAUUUUCAUUGUUUUUCUCUAUUUUUUGGAUUUUUUGAAAAUAUAUCAAAAACAUGGGUCAAAAAUUGGGUAGCAACAAUUAACAAUAGCCACAACCAAUUGACCCAAUCUAUACUAAUUAUUCCAACAUAUUCAAUUACUAAUCCUAAGGUAAAUUCUACAUUAACAAUUACAAUUCAACAAAUUAUUCAAUAAUUAUGUCAAUACAACAAAACUAUAAAUUCAAAAUAAAUAGAAACAAUUAAACACAAAUCAUCAAGUUAGAGUAAAAUUAAUAAUUCUUCCAACAUAUUCAAUUACUAAAUCUAAGAUAAAUUCAACAUUAACAAUAUUAAUUCAACAAAUUAUUAAAUAUUCAUUAUGGCAAUACAACAAUAAAAUUAUUCUAAGGUAAAUUCAACAUUAACAAUAUUAAUUCAACAAAUUAAUCAAUAAUUAUAUAUGGCAAUACAACAAUAAAUUAUAUUCAAUAAAUUAAAAAAAAAAUAGACUAACAAUUAAAAUCAAUGGAAAUAAUUAAAUACAAAUCAUGCAAUAAUAGAGUAAAAUUACUAAUUAUUCUAACAUAGUCAAUUACUAAUUCUAAGUUAGAUUCCACUUUAACAACAAACAUUCAAUAAAUUAACUAAUACCAAUUAUAACAACACAACAAUAAAAAAUAUUCAAAAAAUUCAAAAAAAAAAAAACCUACAUCAAGAAAAGAACGAAAUAUACAUACCUUAAUAUGUCCAAUUCAAAACUUUAUCUACAUUAGAAAAAAAUACACCAAAACAACAAAAAACAAAAUAAAAACAAGUACAACUAAAAUAAAAGAAAAUAAAAUAAAAUAGAAAAAACCACAUACCUUUAUUCAAAAUCUUGCAAGAGAUUCAAGGUGAAAGCCUUGAAGGAUUGAGAGCAAAAAACUGAAAAUUACAGGGUAGCGGAGGAGAAGAAAAAUGGAGGAGAAGACAAAAUGGGGGGAAGCGGCGGGCGCUAAAUAUUAUUAAUUUUUUAAAUCCGUUGGUAACAGGUAAACAAUCCGUCGGUAAUUUUUGAAUUUCACACCAAAUUUUUUAAUUGCGCUCCAAAUUUUUCGCGGUCCUUCGGUAAAUUUGACAUGGUCAGAGGUGCAUUCAAUUCAUACCCUUUGAAAUUCGCGCAUUCUGUCGGUAUUUUUGUCAGUAAAAUUUGCCACCGACAACUUACCGACGGAUAAAUUCCAUCGGUAUGGACGUCGAUAAAGUUGUCGGUAUGGACGUCGGUGAUUGUGACAUUUUGGUGUAAUUAUUUUCAAACUCUCUGUGAUAUGCCGACGGACUACUGUCCGUCGGUAUGGACGUCGGUGAUUGUGGCAUUUCGGUGUAAUUAUUUUUGAACUCUCUGUGAGAUGCCGACGGACGGCUGUCCGUCGGUAUGGACGUCGGUGAUUGUCAAUGUACAAGAGUGUUGUGUUUGUAUUUUCUAUUUACCUUCCUGCAAAAAAUUCAAUGAUAAACUGUCCAUCGCACAAAACAAUAGCAACAAUGCUUAAACAAUAAAUAUAUAUUUCAUGUUUCAAAAUAUAUCAUCCAUAAUGUAAAUUACAUGAAGAAAAGGGUUUUACACAGGGCUUCGUUUUGAUAGUUAGUCAGAAUUCUUCUUCUUCGUCAUCAAUUGAAUAGUCAUCACCUUCAUCGCAAUCUUCAAUAUGGAUAUCAUCUUCUUCAUCGACAUUUGCUUGUCCGCUAGAGCUCAAAACAACUUCAACUCCUCUCGUCAACAUCAACAAGACUAUCAUCGAAAACUCGAAAAUUUGAAUUUUCUUCCAAUUCAAUCGAAGGAGCAACUCGAUAUGGUUCAACCAACUCACGAACUUGAAAGACUUCAUCUUUGUGUCUUCAUCCUGAACAACCUCGACACGACCCCGUGGUUUCGUUUUUAAAACGGACAACCAAUCAACUCUUGAUCGAUCCUUUCUAAAUGAAGGGGUGUAUGUGUAAUAAACUUGUUGACAUUGCUUUGCGAAAACAAAGACAUCGUUUAUGUUGCGGAGUCUAGCUUUUGAGUUGAUUUCGACCAGACCAUGGUGCGGAUCAACUCUGAUUCCUCUGUCCGUCGUGUCAUACCAAUAGCAUUUGAAUAAAAACACUUUAUUCUGCUCGCUAUGAUAUUGCAGUUCGACGACCUCUUCUAAUCUACCAUAGUAGUCAACUUCUAACUCUACUUGUGGAUCCCUUAACACAAACACCGCAGUUGUAUGUCUUUCUUCCUUGCCCGUAUUCUUCAGUAUGGAAAACAUAUCCAUUGACAAAAUACCCGUUGUAGCACUUAACUUUUCUUUCAGGGCCGAGGCUUAGUGAAGACAAUGACUUGGGCGCACUCCUUCCCAUUUGAUAAACCUUGUAUAUAUGUAAUGUACAUCAAUAACGGUAAAUGAACGAGAAUCUCGUAAUGACAUGCAUACGUACAUACGUUAGAAUGAGUUUGUGAUAGUGCUUACAUGUGUUCUGAACCAUGUGGCAAAUUGUUCAUCUUGUAAUUGAAAGAUCUGGGAUUCGGUCAGCUGCGAGUUAUUGGAGAGCAAAUAUUGUCGAUGUUGCCUGCAAGUGAUAAUGAGUGUAUGAUAUUACAAUAUAUAAUUAACAGUAUAUUACUGACAAAGUUUAAUUAGUAUUACACAUAUAUAGACUUACUGAAUAAAUGGUCUCAGCUCAUCACAGUUAAAUAGAACAUAGUUGUGUGCUUGUUUGAAUUCUAUUUCCGACAAAUAUCUUCCUCUUACGGCAUUUUUAGGUGUGGGUCGUCCAGUAUUGGAGAAUAUUGACAAGUUCCCACUGGAAGGCACUUCACCGCCAUCGUCAUGCCGUGGAACGCGAUUGAUUCUUGUUCUCAGAUGAGGUUCGAAAUAGUACGAGAUAAAUGUUGAUAUCUCUUCAACAAUAUAGGCCUCAGAUAUCGAAGCCUCAACAUGCGCCUUGUUCUUAACCUUUUUUUUAGAUUAAACAAGUACCUGCAUUGAAGUACAAUUCAAGUAUUUUCAAUUAAGAAAAACAUAGAAAAUACUUUAAGAUAUGAAUUCCAUUGCAACUGUAAUAUCUCACCGUUCGAAUGGGUACAUCCAUCUAUACUGGACCGGUCCUCCAGCUUUUGCCUCGAACGGUAGAUGUAUAGGGAGAUGCUCCAUUGAGUCAAAAAAUGAAGGAGGGAAUAUCAUCUCAAGUUUGCAUAGUGUCUCGAUGAUAUUCGUUUGAAGCAUCUCAAUGUGCUCAACAUUCAUCUUGCUGGAGCAUAUAUCUCUGAAGAAAUGACUGAUCUCCGUUAGUGCAUCCCAUAUUCCCUUUGGCAACAAAUCACGAAAAGCUAAUGGGAUGAGUGUUUGCAUAAACACGUGGCAGUCAUGACUCUUCAUUCCAUACAAUCUGCAGUCCUCUAUGUUAACAAGCCUUGAUAUGUUCGAUGCAUGUCCAUCCGGGAAACGCAGACUCUUAAGCCAUUUGUAGACUAGCAGUUGUGCGUUUUUCUCUAACACGAAGCUUGCCCUUGGUUUUGCAACCCGUGACUCGUCAUAAACCAACUCCAUAUUUUUACGGUUACAGUAUAAAGCUAUAUCCAAUCUAGCCUUCAUGUUGUCCUUUGUCUUCCCCUUCACAUCCAUGACGGUGUUGAAAAUAUUCUCAAACACGUUCUUUUCGAUGUGCAUGACGUCAAGGUUAUGGCGGAGAAGAUUAGUCUUCCAAUACGGAAGCUCCCAAAAGAUACUUCGCUUUACCCAAUUAUGGGUCAAACCAAAACCAGGAAACUUUUGCUUACCUGAUUGAAGGCCAAACACAAUGUCACCGUACUCUGAUACAACAUGAUGCAAUUCUUCACCAGAAAGACGCGGGGAUGCAACAUCUUUUUCAACUCUACCAACAAAGAAAUCUUUUUGUUCUUUCUGAACCUGUGAUUAAGUGGCAAGAAGCGACGGUGACAGUAAAAAAAGAAGCUUUACCUCCGUUUGCUAGCGUGAAUGCCUUGUUGUUUUCCAUGCAGUAUGGACAUGCGAGUUUCCCAUGCGUGCUCCAACCAGAAAGCAUUCCAUAAGCUGGAAAAUCACUGAUAGUCCACAUCAAAGCCGCCCUCAUAAGGAAAUUUUGUUUCCUCGAUAUAUCAUAAGUCAGAGAUCCGGAGGACCACAACUGCGCCAGCUCAUCAAUCAAGGUCGAAGACAAACAUCUAUAUUCCGCCCCGGGCUGCUUGGACCGGGUAUGACAGUAGAUAAAAACAUGAACUCCGGCCUCAUACACAUUCCCGGUGGCAAGUUAUAAACUGUGAGUAUGACCGGCCAACAAGAAUAGGGAGCAGCAAAUGACCCAAAUGGGUUGAUCCGUCUGUACACAACCCAAGAUGGACAUUCCUUGAUUCAGCUGAAAAGUCAGGAUGCACACUGUUAAAGCGUUUCCACGCUUCGCCGUCAGAAGGAUGCACCAUCACACCAUCAACCGCAUCAUGUGUUUGGUGCCAUGUCAUGUGCUCAGCAGUCCUUCGUGACAUGAAUAACCUCUGCAGUCUAGGUGUGAUCGGGAAAUAUCUAAGUUUUUUAUACGCCACUAGAGUCUUUCCCCUGCUAGUUCUGGGUUUGUAACGCGAAUGCCCGCAUGUCAUGUACUCGGUCAUCUUAGCAUUUUCAAGGUAGUAUAACAUGCAGAAUGUCACGACCCGAAUCCUGGAUCCGUGAACGGCAACGUAGGAGCGGUGUCGAAAGGACACCUCACCUACGCUAAGCCUCAGAACGGACAUCAAAAGAAUAAUUUGUUCAAAAAUACGCAGCGGCUCAUAAUAUUCAGAAAUAUUAUAUUAUUCAAAUACUGAUGAAACUGAAAGAUAAUUAUUAACACAAAAAUAAUAAUUCAUAAUACUCAUUACAUUGUCAAAAUCCAAAUUUAAUUAAACCAAGGUAACAGUGGAGCGUCUAAGACAUCAAAUCAAAACUGAAAGGAAAGCCUCGCGAACAAGCAAGGCAUACCGACCAGAACUGAAGAAGCGGAAACACUCAACAAAGUCCCAGAAACUAAGAACCUGAAAUAAUAUUAAGAAUGAGGGUGAGUUCAACCAACUCAGUGAGGGAAUAACAUUUAAUAUACAUUUCAGAUAUUAUUUGCAAGAUGAUUUAUCUUGAUAUACAUAUACAUAUACAUAUACUUACUAAACAUAAUAUCAUAACGUAAUAUAUUAUCAUAACGUAGUGGAUUACAUGUCAGAGAUCAGAUGACACCCGAAGGUGACCAGAUGACACCCGUAGAUGACCAGAUGACACCCGUCGGUGACCACUGUGGGAUGAUCAAUCGCCACAGGUUGAUGCCUCUCUCACCAACUAGGUAUACAUAAUAUGUGCACACAGGCUAACUAUUCUCCGUUAGCAUGGAGUACUGACAAGUCUCAUAUCAAGGCAUAACAGAUAUUCACAUAAUCAUCAAAGAAACGUAUAUCAUAUCAAAUAGAAUUUACUUUAACAGAUUGCGAGUGCAAAUUCAAUAAUAAAUGAGUACUCGGAAAAUAAAGCAACAUAUAUAAAUAUUCAAAAAAUUUACUAGUUGUACUCAUUGUAUAAUCAUCAUACAUAUUUAUUUAUAUUAUAUGCAUAUUAAAGAUUAUUUCACUCACCCGGAAAAUACUGAACUAAAGGAAUGUCAGACGAAAGACCCAAAAAUCUAAUUAAGGAUCGUUAGGAGAACCUACAAUAAAUAUAUGAAAUAUACUCAAAAACAAAUCAAACAAAAGAUCCCAAUGCAUAAAAUAAAACCGGGCUUAAUCUCCUAGGUUUAGGGACUAAAACGACAAUUUUCCAAAACAGGGACCAAAACGUAAUUUUACCAAAAUUUGAGGACCGAAUUGUAAAUAUAUAUCCAUACUGAAAUUUAUCCAUAAUUCGUCCUUAUCUUUUUCCAGAAUCUUGAAUUAUGCCCCAAGGUCCAAAAUGUGAUUUUAUCAAAAUAUUAGGGGUCAAAUCGUAAUUUGUCAAAUUAGAGGACCAAACUGAAAAUAUUAAUUAUACUGGAAUUUUGUCCUUAAAUCAUCCUCAGUUCUGUUCAGAACCUCAAUUUAUGCCCCAGGGACCAAUCUGUAAAAUUUCCAAAGUUCGAUGACUAAACUGCAAUUUUCACAAAUUGAGGGACCAAAUUGAAUUUUCGUCAUCUUCAACCUCAAACUCAGAAUUUCAACAGAUCACCUACUGUUAUCCCCUGAUUUCUAACACAAUUUCACCAUUUAAACAAAAUCAUAACUCAAAAUCAUUAUCCUUCAAUUCAAUCUCUCAAAAUCAACUAAUUAAUCAAAUACCCACAAUAAUCAACUCCUAACCUUCAAAUUAAUUCAUCAAUUAACUCAAAAUACAAACUUCAAAACUCUACAAUUAAUCAAAACCGAAAUUUAACAUAUUAUACACUUCAAACCAUAAAUCUUACCUUUUUACUUAUUUCCUCUACUUCUCUUCUCCUUCCUUUCCUUCUCUCCUUUCUUUUCUUCUUCUUCCUCUUUUCUCUCUUACGGUUUGUUCUUCCAAUAUUCAGAUCCCUCUUUUUUUUUUUCUUAUUUAUAUUUAUCAACUAUUGGUCAAUUACCACACUACCCUUCAAUCAUUUAUACUUACUCUUUAAGCCACCAAGGGCUUAUUGUAUUUUCCAAUCGUUUUAAUACAAAACAUCACACAGAAGUUAGGGCACAUGUCAAUUUUCUGGUAUCCUAAACCGAAGGGUUUCAUCAUGGACUUCGCAGCAUAGAAGUUCUCUUUCAGCCUGUUCCCUUCAGGUAAAAUGCUUCUUGCCCAAUCAAUAAUUUUUUCAUACCCGGCCUCACUCGGCCCGUGAUCUGACUUGAUGGGGAACACUUGUGCCACAGCUGACAAUUUACUGUGGUUUGUGCAGCCAUCCCAUAAUGGUUUGUCAGAAUCUUUCAACAAAUCAAAAAACCUAGCUGCCUCUGCAUUAGGUUCUUCUUCUACGAUUGGACAUUGACUGACAUUACCUUGAUUCAUUCUCAUUGCAUCCAUAACCAUGUUUCUGUAAGGAUUAGUGUUGUCAUUUGCCGCUUCAUGCACGUUGCUACCACUAGAAGUUGACUCAACCACCAUUUCUCUUAUUCUCCUAUUACUAACAAAUACCUCUCCAUGUGCAUACCAACACUGGUAAUCCUCCACAAAUCCUUUGUGUAGAAGAUGCAUCAUUACAACAUCUGGAUGGAUAUACUUUUUAUUUUGACACUUCCUGCAUGGACACCUAAUACCGUCUCCAGUAAAAUUUCUGGGAAUAGAUGUUGCGAAAUUAAUAAAACCCUGAACUCUGUUACAAUAAUCCAUCCUCUGCAAUCCUUGGGGUGAAUCUAGAUACAUCCAUGAACGAUCAUCCAUGACUUCUAUCGAACCUCUAUAAAAUUAUGAUGACAUCAUGUAUAUAUUAAUUAACUAAGUUAGGUAAAUAAACUUGUACAUAUAUUACUUUACCUCGAAAUUAUCCAACAAACCAAUCACAACUUCUCAUAAAUAUUAAAUAUCCAUUAUCAUUUAUCAACGUCCAUACAAAUUAUUAUAUAUAUAUAUAUAUAUAUAUAUAUAUAAAUUAACAGAAAUUACUACUUUGCAAUACCAUCGAUAAAACUUAAAAAGGACUCACUAAGCAAGCUAUUAAUUAUUUCAAAACAUAACAUGUAAUUCGGUAAUUCCACAAAGUUUUAACAAUUUACAAACAAAUACAAUCUUACAAAAUCUAAAACAAACCAUAAUAGGUAUAAAAUUAUACAUUCAUAAACUACAAGUUUGUUUGAGAAAUAACAAUAAAACAUGUACAUCUACUAAUAAAAAUACAUAUACUAAAAAAACAAUAAAAUUGACAUUUAAAUGUUAAAAUUUAAAAAGAUAGAAUUACUUACAAAAAUUGAUAAAAUCCGUCGGUAAAUCAGAACACGGAUGUUGUGACCACAAAACUUCAAGAAAUACAAUUGCUGAGAUGAGAAAGAUUUUUGUUUGGGGGCGAGGGGGGGCUGGUUAUUUGCAGAUGGGGAGACUUAGGAUUAGGAAGAAGGAGAAAUGGGGAGGAGAGUGUCGGCAGGGCGGCCAUAUAUUCACUUUUUCUGACGGACUCACCGACGGAAUAACACCGUCGGUGACUCCGUUGCUAAUUGUGACGGGGAAUCGACACGUCACCGCACGGACCGCUUUUUCAAAUCCCUCGGUAUUUUUUUACGGUGAACGUGUCAUGUCACACGUACAGAUCUGGCAUUCAAAUCCGUCGGUGAUUCCGUCGGUAUUUUUGACGGUGAACCGGUCACGUCACCCGUAUGGGUCCCAGGGUUUGAAUCCGUCGGUGAUUCUGUCGGAAAAAUCACCCGCCAAAACCUCCGCCUCAGGUACCCGCCGUUUUUUCAUUAAUUCUGAACUUUCCGUCCAUAAUUUGGUCGGUAAUUACCGACGGUUAUAUUCCGUCGGUACUUACCGACAGAAUUACGGACGGAAAAAUUCCGUCAGUAAUUUCGAUCGAAAAAUACCGACAGAAAUAUGCCGUCGGGGAAUCCGUUGGUACUUUUGCAUGCUACAUGGAUAGGAUAGUCGCCUUGACGGUUUGUUUCAUAAGCACCAUCGUGAAACUUCUUUAAUAGGAAUCGAACUCCUUCCAGAAAUCCUAUGGAUGAUGCAUAAUGCAGUGAAUUUCCAAACUCUUCCUCGGUGAGACGUAAUAGCUCU